RNAcentral lists this long non-coding RNA (308498 nucleotides) under Citrus x clementina. Its description in RNAcentral is "Citrus clementina (C. clementina) long non-coding RNA (CCLE_LNC002779)". The stretch from base 91974 to 92077 matches the Rfam family "Plant small nucleolar RNA R71". The record is from RNAcentral. Lineage: Eukaryota; Viridiplantae; Streptophyta; Magnoliopsida; Sapindales; Rutaceae.
CGGCAAUUGAUACGGCAACAACAUGAGUGACGUCAUGCAUUUUAACUUCAUCUUUAGCAUCACCGUCCAACAAUAAGCAUGAAGAUUUGAGGUUGUCGAUCAACCGAUGCACUCUACUCCUUGCUUCUUCCGAUGUGUAAACAUUUUCAAAUAAACGCCAACCCACACCAUAUCUCAAUAAGUUAGAAACUUGUAUGACAUAACCUUCACUGUAUAGACCACAAAGACGGAACAGAGAUUUUGCCUCCUCACUUUCCAAGAAGUCAUAACUCAAUUUUAUGGAGGUGUAAACAUUUGCUUGCAUGCCAUGAAUUUCUCUUGCAUCCGAUCUUCUUAGCUGAUUCAAUGCAUCUUUCCAAAAGUCAAGCUCCUUAGUUUUCAGAGCAUUUGCAACUGUACUCAGUGCAACAGGCAAACCUCCGCAUCUUUCAACGAUCUCAUUGGCUGUACUUUGAAAAGCAGAUAUUUUAGUUGAAUCACCCACUAUCUCCUCAAAUAACUGCAAUGCUUCUUUUGGUGGCAAAGCAUCGAUCUGGAAAUUUUUCUGAGAAUUCAUAUCAAUGCGCAAUAAAUCUUGCUUUCUAGACGUCAAUAUUAUUGUGCAUCUUCUCUGAUCAUCCUUUCUAUCUUUCUCAGCAACAUCCCCGGUUGGAAUUCCAAAUUUAUCCAACUCAAGUUUUGUCCAAAUAUUAUCUAAUAUAAUGAGGAGCUGCUUCUCUUUCUUCAAUCUUUCAUGUAAUCGUUCAGCUCUUUGGAAUUCAUUCUCAUUCAGGCCAAAUUCCAUGCCUAAAUCAAAAGCAAGUUUGUUUUGAAUUUUAUGAUGAUCUGGGGUCUGUGUUACCUCAGCCAUAACGACCUUAUCGAACAAGUUUUCUUCCAUCACUUGCUUUGCAACUUGCUUGACUAUCGUGGUUUUACCCACGCCGCCCAUCCCGUGGACCCCAAUUAUGUUGAGCUUAUCAUCCCUCAACGCCUCCAUAACAUCUUGAAAUACUUUCAUUCUUGAAUCAAACGCCUCGAAAUCUUUCACUUGAAUAUGUUCUGCCAGCUUUGGAGUAGGACGGUGGGAAACAUUAGAGAAGUUGCCUUUUCCCACGAGACUAGCGGCAGCUUCUGCGGCCUUUGCUGCUUGUCUACUGAGCUUGUAACGGGAAAUCAAGUUUGGGCACGAUCCUUUGAAACAGAACUUCUUAGCUCUAUCUUCAUCAUCAGUGAUGGAUUUUGCAGCGCCCUGAGUGAAUUCCUUGACACUAUUAAGCCAGUCUGCAACAUCCUUAUAAAUCUCAUCUCCUUGUUGAGUAGCCUGAUGAACGGGUAUUUCCACCCUUUCUCUUUUGUGUUCCAGCUGCUUCACUUGAUCUUUUAGGCCAUCUAUGUAGCUCUGGUACUUGAACACAUAAGAUAUCUGCCGUAUAAUCGGUUUGAAUAGUGACUUUACACCUUCUGAUACGAUGCUGGAAAAAGCAGCCAGACCCACUUCUGCAGCCAUUGCCUGUUGCUUAACAGUAUAUAUAUAUAAAUAUAUAUAUAUAUAUAAAGUGAAUAAAAAUGUCAAAUAAAGGAAUACAAAUAAAUUAAAAUGAACUAGAGGGAAAGACAGAGAAAGAAUAGACCGCAAACAACAUCACGAUAUUGAUCUUGAACCAACUGAUACCUAAGUGGAGAAUUUCUUUUUCUAUCUUAAGGAUCAGAGGUUUCGCUAUUAACAGAAAGGUAUCCUUCAAGGAAAGUUGAUGGAAAUUAAGAAAGAAUGGCUAUCAAGAUCAAGUAUUCUGCUACUAAAAAUAAAUGAUAUGAUUAAGAAAAACCAGAGAAUUUUUUCCUAGGAAAGUUGAUGGAAAUUAAGAAAGCACCGCUAUGAAGAUCAAGUAUCAGAGAUUCUGCUACUAAAAGAAUAUUACAGGUUUUAGAACAAGUGCACCUCUUUACCUGUCUGGGAUCAGAGUUGAUGAGCUGCUGUAUUCACCUUGAAUAUAGAAGAAAUAUUACAGAUUUUGACUAAAGAGGAAUGUGAGGAACGAGUUGAUGAGAGUAAUAACAAUGAAUUUCCAAAAGAAGACGACUUGAGCAUUAAGCAUGCACCCCCUUUUUCAAUCAAAUAUUGGUACGUAUGUACGUAGGGACCAUUAUGCGUAUAUGAAGUCCAUUAGUUGCAAUCAGAAACCCUGGACCAAUUUAAAUGACACUCGAUUUUUGAUAAGAAGAAGGCAAGGAUAAGGACAAAGUCAAUCAAUCACCAACAGUAAUUACUUCAAUCUUUGUCAAUCUACUUAAAUUGUCGAUCAACAUGAAAAUUGUUUAAAUUGAUAUUUGUAAAUCAAUCAAUUUUCUAGUUACUAUGAUUAUAGCGUUUCACCUUUCAUAUUGGAUUUUAUCUUUUCGAAAGUUUUCAAAUAUGAGUGUCAAUAAUUAUUGAGACUCCAAGCCGUGCUCUCAAGAUCGUGCUGACACAUCACUAUUAACUUUAUUUAUGCAUAUUUCAAAGAAAAAAAGUUAUGGUUUUGUAUUGCCAGCCCUGCUACUUUUUGUUUUUUUUCAUUUGUAUUAUUUACGAUUUUUUUUUAACAGAAACAUGAGAACUCAUCAUCGUACAAAAUUGUAUGAAAAAAUCUUCAAAUUUAUAAAAGUAAAUUUCAUUGACAGAUUGUGGAUAUGUUAGCAAGAAUAAGGAUAAGAAUGAGUUAAGAAAUUAAAAAGAAAAAAAAUAUAGUGUAAGUAAACAAUGUUUUGGUACAUUUGGUAUUGUUUUCAAAAUAUUUUGAAAAGAAAAAUUUUCAAUCAUCCACCUAAAAAUUAUUUUAUUAUCCAAAAGUUAUGAAAAUUUAAAUAUACUUAAUUUUAUACCCAUUAUUACAAUGUGUAUCAACUGUUUACUAAAAAAAUAAAGUUACUCCUAAAACGUAAUCACCACUACAAUUUUAUGUUCGCUUCUAUUUUGUCACUUUGAACGAAUAACUUUGAGUAAAUGACUGAUAAUUUCUCUUUUAUAAGCUACAAGAAGUUAAAAAAAGAAAAAAGAAAAAAUAGGAUGAUAAUUUCUCUUUUAUUUGCCUCAGAUGAUUUAUUGUUUCGGGUCUAAGAUUUUAAAUAUUCAACUUAAAAGAUUAAUAUAUUAUAAAUUAAUUAAUUAAAUAAUCAUUAAGCAAAUAAAUUGUGUCCCUGGAUGUCAAUUCCUUUAAUAUUGACGCAACUAUUUUUUUCUGGCAAAUAAUUAUUAAUGCACUUACGGAACUUUGCAUAUCUACACAGCGAUUUUAAAUAUUACUGGUAACUGCUAAGAAAUGUGCGAGAAAGGAGUUGAUGAGAGUAAUAACAGCGACUUGCAAAAGGAAAAGACAGAAUCAUUCACCCCUUUUUGUAUCACGUAUUUGGUUACUGUUUCCCUGUUGACGCAUGUAUAAAUUUGAGUGGUUUUUCUCCACGUUUUUGAGUGGUCUUUCUGCACUUUUUAACAAUAUGAUAAUUGACAGGUUAAUUAUUUUAUAUCUUUUAUAAAAUUACUAUUAAAGGAGAUUUUCUGCACGCAUGUAUAAUAUUUUAUAUCUUUAUUUAUAUUACUAUUAAUUUUAAAUUAAAAUUAUUUAUAUUUAUUCAUAUUCAAAUAUUUAUUAUUAGUUAUAUUAACUAUAAUAUAAUUAAAUAAUACAUUAUUUAGUUAUAUUUUCAAUAUAAUAAAAAUUAAUAAUAUAAUAAUAAAAUUUAUUUAAACAUUUAUUAACAUGUAAUAAAUUUUGUUUUUGUGUACAAUACAAUAAAUUGAUAACUAAAAUAAAUAUUAUUAACAUUAUUUUAUUAUUUUAUUACCUCAAUAUUAUUAGUAAUUAUAAGAAUUCCUUGAAAGUUAAUGAUUUUACUUUUUUGAUUAAUAAGGAUAAUUUUAUAUUUUUAUAGUAUGUAUGACGGCUUGCCUCCUGCAUGCGUCUAAGUGCAACCUUCCUAUAUAAUCGGUUGCUUUGCUUGUGAAACUACAUCAAACCCUAAUCCUGAUCCUGAUCCUGCUGAGAUGAGUGUUAUAUAUGCUGAAGCAAAUUAAACACGCACAUCAUCAAUUUGAUUCGAUAUGCGCACCGUCUUACGUAUAAAUACCAAAAGAAAUCAUAAUAUACAUCUUAGUACUGAUAGUCGUGAUCACAAAUUAGGAACACAAUAUAUACACAUGCAUAAUAUAAAGAAAACACGAGGUAAAUUAAAAGCGUGUAAAUAUUCAUUUUUUUCAAAUAUUGAGAUGUAGCUAUAAAAGAAAAAAUAAAUUAAAAAAUUUUAAAUUUUAAUAUGGCCAUCGUAGAGUUAGAAUCCCCGCUCCAACCCAAUUUGGAGAUGUGCUUGGUCUAUUUAUGUUUUGGAAAAAGAAAAACCAAAGGAAAAAAAAAUACACACACGACCAAAUCAAGCAAUUCAUCAAAUAAAAAAUAAAAAAAGGAAAGAAAUUUAAUGACUUGCAUGCAAUUUUGGAUCUGAAAUUAAAAUUACAUAAAAAUUAAGGAUUACCUACCUUAAUAUUUACAGCUUAUUUGAUGGACUCAACAGGUUUAAGCAACAUCAAAAUGUUUGUGGCUCCUUAAAUGAGCCCCCGACAUGGUGCAAAUGACAACAUCGACUUGUUUGACAGCUCCAACAAGGCUACGAUGAUCAGAAAAUGAGCCCUCAAUCAACAAGCUAAGAUUGGCUUCUCUAUCCUCUUCUCCCCACAACCAGCGCCUUGCUCUUUGUCAUUUUUCCUCUUGUUAGUUUUCUUCUACAUAUAAUUAUUACACUGGGAAGUACACACCCCUCUUUUCUUUUUAUAGUACCUUACUAUUAUAUCUUUACAAAACAAUAUCACCCUAAGACAGAUAUGUAUGAAAUAAAUGAAAUAAAUAUAUAAGGAACUGACGAAAUAAAAUUAUCAUGACCAUAGACUUUUCUAAUUUAUUUUUUCCUUUAAAAAACGACAAGGAUAAGUUUGGGAAAAUGAUUAUAUUUUUAAUAAAAGAAUUCUUUUUUAUUAUAAGGAUCCACCUACGUUACAAUAGUGAUACCAUACUACAGUUUUUGUCUUUAUUUAGUUGAGUCGUUGGAUGUUUUACUGGUCAAUCUAAUGGCUGAAAUUAAUUAUUAGAUAAUUGAUGCGGCAACCUGCAACCGUUGGAGCCGGUUGCGUUUUAAUGUAAUGUAAUAUCAUUUGCGAGCUUGUGCUGAGAAAGUUUGUUGUACUGCAUCAAUGGAACUGAUUUGGUCAGGAUUUAUGGAUAUAGAGAAAGAGGAGUGUUAGAAAAGAAAACGGUGCAGAAGAUUGUCCCUUCAUCCAUUUGGCCUUUGGUAGGGGCUUCCUUUGAUUUUCACCUGGACUUCAUAAAUUCCUCAAAUUUCCUUCUUGAUAACAGUAAUCCUGCAUUCGGAGAGAGGUAAGUCACCAUGUUUCGUCACAAACGUGGCCAUCUCUUCUCCAUUCGAUUGGUUGCUUUUUAAAUCCAAUGGUUAUAUUAGAUGAGGACAAAAAUUGUGGUAUGGUACCACUGUUGUAACAUAAGUGGAUCCUUAUUAUAAUACUUUUUGUCUUAAUUAAUUUAAAAAUAUUGACUCUUAUAUUUUAAUAAAUAUAAAUAUAAUAUUAUAAUAAAAUAUAACAAUAUAUACAAAUAUUUAAAAAAUUUAAGAUUUUAUUAAAAUAAAUUUUAUAAUAAAUACAAAUAUAUUAUUAAUAUAAUUAUAAUAAUUUGCAUUUUAAAAAGUAAUACUGCUAUAAAUUUUUUAAAUUAUAUUACUCUACCAAAAAAAUAAACUAUUAAAUUAUAUUGAUAUUUAUUAAAAAAUUUGCAAUUAAUUCUUAUUAUAUUUUUAAUUGGAAUUUUUUUCUUGUGAUAUAACAACAAUUGCUACAGUUUUUUCCCUAAAUAAAGAUGGAGUUAUAAAUUAUUUGUAUAAGUGUCAUGAAAGUAAUAGUUGAAUAACAAUAAUGGGGCUUUAGGCAAUUUUUUUAUGAGGUCUUCUUACAAUUUCAACACUUAAACAGACUUGUCCUUGAUCCCAAUUUAUUUACUGCAUUUGGGCCCACGAUGAGAUAAAUAUAUUCCUGUGAGAUGAAAAACAUCAGGAGAAGAAAAUGUUUUAUUAUAAUAAAAAAAAAAGUGGUCCAUAUGUUACCUGUUACCUGCAGAGGAAUGUGAUUAUAGAGAGCUUAUGAGAGUAACGACAAUGAUUUGCAAAAGAAGAAGACUUAAUCAUGCAGCCCUUAGUAUUUAUCAAAUGAUUAGUGAUCAUUUCUUUUAUAAAUAAAAUGCCAACAGCAAAAAGAAAAAAAAAAGGUUAAAUUUAUUAAGUCUUAUUUUAAUUUUAAUUUCUUUUAUUUUCAUUCGCCGAAGAGGGAAUCUCUUUUCCUAAUGUGACAUAAUUAAAGCAAUCUAUAAAUAAUACAAUAAUCAGAUAAUAUAAUAAUUAAAAAGACGCACAUGUUUAUAAUAAUAAUGAUGGGAUCCAUAUGUUUAUACUGAUUAAAUUGGUGGACCAGAAUUUAUUUGACCUUACUUGUUUUCUAUUUAAUUAAAAAUUGAAACGACAGAGAAAAAAUGUCGUACUGAUGGUUUCGAUUGUGGAGUUCCGCUGUGGAUAGCACAUCCAAUAGUGAAAAAUGAAGCUUUCGUCAACUAUCUCACAUCCACGCGUACCAUCAUGCAUAAUUGGAUAUUGCAUUAUUUCUUUAGAAAAGCAAGAUUAAUUCUUUUAACAAGCAAACGCAUAUACAUAGAAUAAUUAUAUGUAUUUGUUGGUUCAAGAAACUUAACUGACAAGAUUGAGACAAACAGGAGAUUUUAAUUUUUUUUGGACAUUAAGAAAUAACAGCUGUCAAGAUCAAGGAGAUUAUGCUAUUAACAGAAAUUAUUAAAGGAUUUAGAACAAGUUAACCUCUUCAGUUAUCCGGGAUCAUACGGUUGAUGAGCUUCUCUGUUUGGCCUUGAAUAUUUAAGAAUAAUUUUGAUGAGCAAAAAGAUCACUGGUAACUGCUGAGAAAUGUGUGAGAAAAGAGCUGAUUAGCGUAAUAACAAUGAAUUGCAAAAGAAAAAGACUUAAGGGUAAUUUUUGGAAACCUCCCCUGAGGUUUGCCCUUGCUACACUUAGAGAGAAUGUAUGCAUAUAUUGACAUAUAGCACCCCUGACCGUGUAUGAGCGUUAGAGUGCCGUUUGGUUGUUAAGGGCAAUAACGUAAUUGCAAAAAUAAAGAGGCUGACUGCAGAAAGAACGCAAUAGCUUUUGCUUCCUCUCCAUGUCUUCGUUCUUGUUCUUUCUCUCGCUCUCAAAAGAAUUUGGAGGCAGAAAAGGAAAAAAAAAAAAUUCUUCUUUUCUUUCUCUUUUCCCCCCUUCCUCUCCACCCAUUUCGUUCUUUUAUCAGUAAAGCUGAAAAACAAAGGCCACUAUUCCUGCAUCACCACCAGUUUGUCGUAUUGCUUUGCUAGUCAACAAAAAUUCUAACCCCAUGUUAAAAAAUAACAUCAAUAUUAAUGCUUCUUCUUCUUAUGAUUCUUUCACCUCUUUAGAAAAUGGUGCACUAGUUAUUCAUAACAAAAGAGAAAGAAAACCAGCAGGCACCCCAUGUAGCUUUCUUUUUCAAUUUUCUUUUGUAUAUGGGUUAAAUUCUUUUAAGGCGAAUUGCAAGUUUUAAUUUUUGUUUUUCCGUUUUUUGUUUGAUACGCACACACGCAUAAAUCCAGAUGAGAGGUGGUUUUUAUAUGCUGUUCAAUCUAAUUAUAAAGCACAUCUAAAAAAUUGUGGUACUAGAGGCCAUUCUUCUGACUGUGGCCGAGUGUUUUCCAGGUUCUUCUCUUUCUCCUAAAUUUACUCCCUUUUUUAUUCUUUCAACAAAAAUGAGAUUCUUUGCUCCUUCAAGUGGAACCUCGGGGGCAAAUUACCUCCACAAAUUGACCCACGGGCCACGGCUACUAGAUUUGGAGGGGAGAGAGAGUGACCUACGGCUGCUGGAAUUGGAGGGGGGAGAGAGUGACCCACGGCGGCUGGAAUUGAAGGGGGGAGAGAGAGUGAACCGUGCGUUUUGUGCUAGAUUUGGAGAUCCGAGGGGAGAAAGAGAGUGUGACCCGUGACCCACAACUGUUGGAUUUGGAGGGGAAAGAGAGUGAGAGCUGUCGACGGAGCGUGGUGAGGAAGAAUGGGAAAUUGGUGGCUUGGUAAGAUUAGUGGCAUGAGCUGUGAGGGAGAGCGAGAGAGGGUGUGCUGCGAACGUUGCGUGUGUGUUGCAAAUGGUGUUGCACAGUUCUUUCAAUCAAACCCUAAGAUCCUCACAAAAUCAUGCCAAAAUAUUGAUUCACCAGGCCUUUUAAUUAAGUUAAAAGCUUCUGUUUUGUUAUCUUCUGCAAUGAAAGAAGCAUCGUCAAGUCUGCAACUCCACGUUGCUGCAAGUAUUGUCAGUUAUUGAACUGUGCAGUGAAGGGCAUUAUUGUACUUUCGGUAACAGAGCAAACGGCAGUCUAACACUGAUACACGGUCAGGGGUGCUAUAUGUCAAUAUAUGCAUACAUUCUCUCCAAGUGUAACAAGGGCAAACCUCAGGGGAGGUUUCCAAAAAUUACCCAAAGACUUAAUCAUGCACCCCUUUUCAUAUCACGUAUUUGGUUACUGUUGCCUUGUUGACAUAUGUGUAUAAUAAGGGUCCGCCUAAGUUACAGCUAAUGUAAGUUGAAGAAAGCACUAGUUCACGACUUUACCUUUGGAUAUAUUCUAAAGAGAUAAUUAAGUUUGAUAAAAGAUAAAGCAAAAGCUUGAAUGCAUGAUUGAGGGCGAAGACUUUUAUUAAAGCAGAUGCCGAAAGCACACGAAAAGCUUGAAUGUUGUGGCUCCUUAAGUGAGGCCCAGACAUGGUGCAAAAGACAAAAUCGACUUGUUUGACAGCUUCAACAAGGCUACGAUGAUCAGAAGAUGAGCCCUCAAUCAAGAGAGCUCCCUGCCUCUUAAAUGAUAAAUUAAAAGCAAUUGUAGCUUGUCGACAUCAGGCCAAUUUCAGGCCUUUGAAGAGCACAAAUGACAUGGCCUUGACCAAAGAUUGCCUUCUCUAUCCUCUGCCGACACAUCCACUUCUCUCCACAACCAACGCCUUGCUCUCUGUCAUUUUUCCUCUUGUUAAUUUUCUUCUACAUAUAAUUAUUACGCUGGGAAGCAUACACACACCUCUUUUCUUUUUUUUCUUUUUUUCAAACUACUAAAUAUUAUGGGAAAAUGAUCGAAACCCUUUUUUUUUUUCUUUCUAGUUAACAUUAUCAGGUGUAUUUUUGGCUUUUCACACUUGCAUAAAAAAUUGAUAAAAAUUUGAAACAUAAAAUUCACUUUAUUACCUUUUACUUUUGUAAAUAAACUAAAAGAUAUUUUAGUCUUUUCAUAUAUUUGCCAAACGUUUUUAUAAAUUAAAUGGUGAAAUUGUUUAUAUAGAUUACAAAUAAACAGUAUAAUUAAUUAUAUUUUGUAUGUAUAAAGCAUUAAAUAAUCAGAUAUUUGUGGCUUUUAAAACUCAAGAAAACUCAAGAAAAUUAAAUGACAAGAUUAAGACAAACAAGAGAUAGUUUUUGUUGGACAUUAAGAAACAACUACUAUCAAGAUCAAAGAUUAGAAAUUAUGCUAUUGAAAGAAAUUAUUAAAGUAUUUAGAACAAACGCACCUCUUCAAUUAUCUAGGAUCACAGAGUUUAUGAGCUUCACUCUUGGCCUUCGAUUUAUAAGAAAAAUUUUAAUGAGCAAAAGAUCGCUGUUAACUGCAGAAGAAUGUGAGUAAAGAGUUUAUGGGAGUAAGCAAUACAAUUGAAUUGUAAAAGAACAAGACUUAAAGCGUGCACCCCGUGUUCAUAUAAACAGAACACAUGUUCAUUUUUAACAAAGUGAUCAAUAACUCUAUUCGUUAUUUAAUUGAUAUUGUAACCAAUUCUAAGAGAAUAUAACAAUUAUCAUUCAAUCCAUAAAUUUUGAAUUAGAUUUUUUUAACUCUUUAUUUAAAUAUAAACCUUAAUGGAAAAUUAUAAAAGUUUAGAGAUAAAAUUUUUCAAUCACCAAACGAAAAAAACAGGGGAAUGAAAACAGAGGAAUCUUGUUUUAACUAAUUUUUUUUCCUCAUUUCUUGGUCUUAUAUUAAUAAUCUUGUUUUGAUGAUAGUGCUCGUGACUGCGGGAAAAUUUCUACUGGAAACAACUCAAUUUCGGAAGAAAACUUAAUUUUGCAAGUGAUGAAUUUGAACUCGUUGGAUUGGUUGAUUUAUGAUUGACUGAAUUUCACUUUUGCCCAAAAGAUCUUUAACCAAAGUUUAAUAGCUAUCAUGUACUCCUUAAAAGCAAUUUUUUUUUUAUAGAUUUGACUGAAUUUGAACUUGUUGGAUUGGUUGUUUUUAGAUUAUUAAUAUGAGAUAUUACAACGUAAAUAUUUUCAUGGGGUUGAGCCCUAUUCUAAAAUCUGUAUAGUUAGCUUUAGAAAAAGGGCUUUUCCUGCUGAUCUGUAAUCUUCAAAUAAACUUAGAUACAAAUAAUGAAAUAAAAGACAACAAACAAGCAAUACUGAUACAAAGCCAACAGAUCAGAGUUUUUGGUACAAAGCCAAUAAAAGACAAUAAACUUAGGACCUUUUUUUCUUGCUUUCUUUUGUUGAAGGAUUAGAGUUUUUGGUAUUAUCAGUAAAGAUUUCAAGGGUCUGAGUAAAAGCCUAUAAUCUUUUUCUAAACUUUUUUUUUGGGGGUGGGGGGGGAGCAUGCAAAUUAACCAAAAGAAAUAAUAAGACCACAGGCUUUAACAAUGAAUGCUAACUUAAAACUCAUGCAAAAUAAGUUACAAUAUUAAAACAAACCAGAGAAAAUUUUUUCUUGGAAAGUAGAUGGAACUUAUGAAAGAGCAGAUGUCAAGGAUUUAGAAAACGUGCACCUCUUUAAUUAUCUGGGAUUAGAGAGUUGGUGAGCUUCUCUAUUUAAGAACAAGUUGAAAGAGGAAAAAGAUCACAGGUAACUGCUGAGGAAUGUGUGAGAAAAGAGUUGAUGAGAGCAAUAACAAUGACCUGCAAAAGAAACAGAAUUAGUCAUUCACCGCUUUUCUAUAUCAUGUAUUUGGUUAUUGUUGCCCUGUUGACGCAUGUUGAAGAAGAAAGCACUAGUUCACAACUCUACGUUUUCAUAUAUUCUAAAGAAAUAAUUAAGUUUUCAUAGAAUAAAAUGGUAAGACUUUUAAUUGAACAAUUGAGUGCAAUCAGUAACAAAGGCUUUACAAAUGCAAGUAAAAUUUGUACGUUGCUUCAGAAAAAAAGGGCAUUUCUCACUCAUCUUUAAUCUGCAAGUAAAAUUAGAUACAAAGCAAAUCUAAUAAAAUGACAAACAAACAAACAAAACAAAGAAAAGACAGGAGGCAAACAACAUUGAUCUUAAGCCAACUGAUAAUUAAACAGAGAAUUCUUUUUUUUUUUUUUAACCUGUUGCUAAAGGAUUAGAGUUUUUAUAUUAACAGAAAGGUUUCAGGGGUCUGAAUAAAAGCCCACAAUUUCUCUAUUUUAUUUUUAUUUUUAUUUUUUGAAAGGAGCUUCACCAUUGGCCUUGAACAUAUAAGAAUGAGCAAAAGAUCAAUGUCAACUGCCGAGGAAUGUGAGUAAAGAUUUCAUCAGAGUAAGAAAUACAAAUGAAUUGUAAAAGAACAAGACUUAAGCGUGCACCCCGUGUUUUGUUUUAUUGUACGUAUAAACAUAACAUGUUCAUUUUUAACAAAGUGGUCAAUAACUCUUUUUUUUUCGGUACAAAGACGUGCCUAGUAUAGACUAGGGCAAAACAAAACGGGGGUGUGAAACCCCAAUACAAUCAUGACGAAUCCAAAACCCAGCCCCUAAAGGAAGAGAAUUGAAAAUGUGCAAUCCAACAGGUAGUGAAAGAGUAGAGUUUGCAAGAAAGUCAGCUGCAAAAUUUGAUUCUCUGUAAACAUGCUUGACCCGCACUUGCCAGGUUCUGUUAAGCAAUUCCUUAAUACCCCUGACAAGAGAAGCAUGUGCAUUUGGCCUAAUCUCGUCAUCCGCCACCAAACGAGUAACACAAAGGCUGUCAACCUCCACCCGAAGCUGCCGAAUUCCAUUAUCCCAAGCCAGACAUAACCCUUGAUAAAGGCCCCGUAACUCAGCACCAGUGAUGGUACCCACACCAAUAUUCAUUCCAAAACCAAUUAUCCACUCUCCAUAACAGUUUCUAAUCAAACCACCCGCACUAGACAUACCAGAACUUUUACGAGCUCCAUCUGUGUUGAGUUUAAACCAAGGCCAAGUAGGUGCCACCCAUCCAAAAUAUUUCUCAAUCUUCAUGGCAGCAGGAACCAAACAACUCUGAUUAAACUUUUGAAUUUCUUCUGUACGGAUCUUAAUAUCCAUUACAACAGUACUCUUGCUGGUAAAAACACCAUUAUGUAGAUUUUGGUUACGCCAAAACCAAAGCCUCCAAACUGUGACCCCAAAAAGACAUGGCCAGUCAAACAUACCAUCAUACUUCCACAAGUUCCUCAAAUUAUAUAACAUCCAAUCUCGGAGAUUCAAACUAAAAAAUUGAUGACUAAUCCCAUGGGGUAUCAAUGACGACCAGAUUGCUUAGCACUGGGGCAAUCCCGCAGCACAUGAAGAGUAUUUUCAACAACACAGCCACACCUUGCACAGCUCAUAUCAUCAAAAAUAUGUCUCCAGAAAAGUUCUGCUUUAGUUUUAAGUCUAUUUUGACCCACCACCCACAGAAAGGUUUUGAUACGUUGGGGACCUCUCCACUGCCAAAGAAUGCGCCAAAAGGAUUCUUCAUUGUGAACCUCCAUUUUUGACAAAGCCCUAUAUGCUGAAUUAGUAGUGAAAUCUCCUGACUUAGAAUAUGCCCAGUACAUGUAAUCAUCCUCAUCAUUUACACUGGGAGGCUUGGUGGCUGCAAUUUUGAGAAGUAAAUGAUGGGGCAAUAAAUUCUCAAAAAGCCGCCAAUUCCAAGUACCCUCAACAGUGAUAAACCUCGCCACACACUCCUCAAGCUGCUCUAAAGGUAUCGGCUGCAAAGCGAAAGUAUACAAAGGGUAUUCCUCUAUUACCCAAUUAUCCCACCAAAAUCUAACUCGGUUGUCAUUUCCAAUGUCCCAUUUGAUCCCUUUUAAAACCUCAUGCCAAAUGCCUCCCACAGCCUUCCACAUGUAAGAGCCAUAUUUCGUAGGUAAUGUGCUGGGGAGAGCAUUAGGAGCCAGCCCAUACUUAGACAAGAGAACCUUCACCCAUAAACUAUUUGGAGAAGCAAUUAAACCCCACCCAAUCUUCAUGAGCAGAGAGCAUCAUUCAUUAAAUUAAGCUGCUUAAGACCAAGGCCUCCGCUAGGUUUCGGUUGACAUAUUGUAUCCCAUUUCACCAAACUGAUUUUCUUCUUGUCUGCUGCCCCGCUCCAAAUAAACCUCCUACAAGCCUGAUUAAUUUUCUCCCGAAUACCAAACGGAAUCCUCGUGGUCUGCAUUGCAUAAAUAGGAAUCGCCUGGAUUACCGAUUGAGUGAGAGUGAUCCUAUCCACCAAGGACAAAUGUAUCGCAUUCCACCCCGACAAACGUUGGUUCACUUUGUCCAAAAUUCCCUGAUAAGUCAGCUUAUUAACCCGUGAAUGAAUAAUUGGCACUCCUAAAUAUUUCCCUAGGUUUUUUGUGACAGAAAAACCCAAGGAAUCACCAAUUUCCUUAGCCUCAGCAGACUUUACGUUGUGGGAGAAAAAAACUUGUGUCUUUGUUUUACUAACUUUCUCUCUAGAGGUCAUAGAAAAAACAUUCAACACUUCAUUUAUAACCAUUGCUUGCCUACAGGAAGCCUCUGCAAGCAAGAUAAGAUCGUUAGCAAAAAAUUAGUGAGAUAAAGAGGUACCUCCACGAGAUAGUUUAAUAGGUUUCCAGUGCCCUCUCUUCACAGUGUCAUUUAUUCCAUGGCUUAACCUUUCUAUACAUAACACAAAGAUAUAUGGGGAAAUGGGGUCUCCCUGUCCAAUACCCCUAGAAGGGGUAAAACUCUCCGUAAUUUCUCCAUUCCAUAGAAGUUGCAUAGUCGCCGUUGGAAUACAUUCCAUAAUAAGCCGAACCAAAACAGUAGGCAAUCCAAACUCCCUCAAGGUUUCAUAAAUAAAAUCCCAGCUUAAACGAUCAUACGCCUUUUCCAAAUCCACCUUAAUGGCCAUCUGCCCAAUCCUCCCUUUCUUACGUCUCAUCGAAUGAAAAACUUCCUGAGCAACCACUAUGUUUUCCGUUAUGUGUCUCCCCGGGAUAAAACUAGUCUGGGUAGGUCCAAUGAGGUCAGGCAAGAUAGAUUUCAGCCGGUUAGCUAAUAACUUAGUGAUAGUUUUAUAGAUAACCGGGCAAAGACUAAUCGGACGAAAAAGCUUAAGGCUAAUAGGAUUAUCCGACUUAAGAACCAACACAAUCAGAGUUUUGUUCAGCUCCUUAGGGAUCUCGUUGCCAUUAAAAAUACCUUUUAUAAGACUACAGACAGAUUUUCCCACUACAUGCCAUUGGGUCUGGUAAAAGAGAGCAUGCAACCCGUCUAUUCCAAGGGCUUUCAAAGCCUUCAUGCUGAAGAUCACAUUCUUAAUUUCCUCAUCAUCCUCCACUGCUUGUCCCAAAGCUUGCAUUCGACUUUCCUCAAGGAUUGGGAAGGCGUUAACAACAUGGUAUGGAUGAUAGAUUGCAUCCUCUUUGGAAUAGAGCUUUGAAAAGAAGGACACAGCAUAAUCUCUAAUCUCAUCAUUAUUCAACAUUCAAUAACUCUAUUCGUUAUGAAAUUGAUAUUGUACCCAAUUUUAAGAGAGCAUAAUAAUAACCAUUCAAUGCAUAAAUUUAGAAUUAGGUUUUUUUGUAAUUCUUUAUUUAAAUAUAAACUUCAAUGGAAAAUUAUAAAAAUUUAGAUAUAAAAUUUUAAAUCACCAGACCAAAAAAAAAAUAGGGGAACGGAAAUAGAGGAAUCUUGCUUUACCUUUUUUUCCUUUAACUCUUGUUCUUAUAUAAAUAAUCUUGUUUUGAUGAUUGUAACUCGUGACUGCGGGAAAAUUUCUAAUGGAAACAACUCAAUUUCGGAAGAUAAGCUUAAUUCUGCAAGUGAUGAAUUUGUUCAAUUGACUCUGUACUUGAACUAGUUGGAUUGGUUGAUUGAUGAUUGACUAAAUUUGAAUUAAGUUUAAUAGCUUAGCUAUCAUGUACUCCUUAAAAGCAAACGUAAAUCUUUUUUAGAUUUGACUGAAUUUGGGAACCUGUUGGAUUGAUUAUUUUUAGAUCAUUAAUAUCAGAUACUACAACGUAAAUAUUUUCUUGUGGUUGAGUCCUAUUCUCAAAUCAGUAGGUUGCCAUAGAAAAAGGGCUUUUCUCACUGAUCUUUUUUUUUUUCUUUAAUUCACACGCACUUGAUUAUUGACUUCUUUCAUGAAGAAAUAAACUUGUAAUGACUUAAAGAUUUAAUUUCAAGUUAGAAUCAAUACCAAAAGACGGAGGUUUAACCAAGCAUGCAGUGUGAUAAAAGUACUUUAAAAAAUGUUGUUCGACCCAAUUAAGUUGAAGAAAUAACAAAGUUUUCAUGGAAUAAAUACCGGUUGUGCUUUAAUGAUUUUGGCAUAGACAUUGCUUGUGUACUGUGAAAUUGAAAUGAAUAUUAAGUGACAGCGCGAUGUAUAUGCCUAAUAAAAGAUCAGCAAAAGCUUGGAUGAAUGAUUGAAGACCAAAACUUUUAUAAAAGCAUUUUUGAGAGAAACUAAACACCAAAUUAUCAAAGUAAGAUCAACAGUAUAUGAUUUGAUUUAUACAUAUUCAAAAACAAAAUAAUGAUUAAUAAUAAAGUUUGAUUUUGUAUUGCCAACGAUGCUUUUUUGUUGUUUCAUUUGUUCGACGUGGCCUUAUUUACAAAUUGGUUGAUGUUAACAGAAACAUGAAAUUCACAUCACACAAAAUUGCACGAACAAAUAUUAAGAGAACGUAAUAAUAAUCAGUCAAUGCGUAAGGGUAAAUUUAGAAUUACAUAUUCUUUUUUAUUUAAUAAAAUCCCAACGGGAAGUCAUAAAAAUUUAGAUAUAAAAUUUUCAAUCACCAAACAAAAAAACAGGGGGAAUGAAAACACAGAAAACUUGUUUUACCUUUUUUUUUUCAUCUAAUUCCUGUUCUUAUAUAAUAUUUUCCCUAGUAUUUCAGGCAAGAAAAAAAAAUUCAAUAAAGAGCAAGAAAACUUCACAAGCUCAGAUUGAUUUAUCUUGUUUUUCAGGUUAGCUUGUGAAAUGAUGAUAAUGCUCAUGAAUGCUAGAAAACUUCUAAUAUAAACAACUCUAUUUGGGAUGAUAAGCCUAAUUUUAUAAGCGAUAAAUAUAAAUAACUUUUUGUGGUUAAUUGAAUUUGUAAUUACUCUUAGCCCUAUUCUAAAAUUUGUAGGCUGCUUCAGAAAAAAAGAAUAUUUCUCACUCAUCUUUAAUCUUCAAGUAGAAAGCAAAUCUAAUAAAAUGACGAACAAACAAACAAAUAAAAGACAGCAAACAAAGAGAAGGGUUUCUUUCUUCUUUUCUUCCUCUCCCACACCCCCCCCCCCAACCCCCGCCUCAUGGAUCAGAGUUUUUGCUAUUAACAGAAAGGUUUCAAGGGUCUGAAUAAAAUCGCAGACUUUUUUUAAAAAUUUUUUUUUUUGGGAAAAUGGAUUCAAAAUAACCAAAGCCAAUAAUAAGAUCACCGACUUUGACAAUGAACAAUAACUUUUUCUCGGAAAGUAGAUGGAAACUAAGUAAGAACUGCUAUUAGAGGAUAUUAUUAAAGGAUUUAGAACAUGUAUAACUCUGUAAUUAUAUGGGAUCAGAGAGUCGAUGACCCCCUCUAUUCGCUUCGGAUAUUAAGUAAGAACUGCAAUUAAAAGAAUGAAUUGAUGAGAGUAAUAACAAUGAAUUGCAAAAGAGGAAGACUUAAUCACGCACCCCUUUUAUACCCGAUUUUGAAGAUUUAAUUUCGAAGUUCACCAAUCAAGAACAAAGAAAAAACCUUAAUAAAGUAUGCAGUGAGAAUAAUUAAGUUAGAGAAAGUACUAGGUUAUGGCUCUGCGUUUCAGAUGCUGUAAUGAAAUAAUUAAGUUGAAGUUUUUAACGAUUAAAUACCUGUUGUGAUAGAAUGAUUUUAGAAGAAUAUUGGCUUAUAGAGCAUAUUAGUAGGGAUAAGAUUUGUAAGAUGCCAGAUAAAAGAUAAAGCGAAAGCUUGAAUGAAGAAUGGCGUUUAAUAAUUAUAGAAGAAUAUUGGCUUAUAGAGCAUUUUAGUAGGGAUAAGAUUUGUGGACAGAAUAAAUGAAAUAAUAAAAGGCAUAACUGAUCAAGUCAUUAUUGAUCUUACUUUGAUUAUUACAUUGCACAUUAGUUUCUUUCUAAAAAUGCCAUUCUUCAUUCAAGCCUUCGCUUUAUCUUUUAUCACGCAUCCUACAAAUCUUAUAUACAAACCUCCGCAUCUUUCAACGAUCUCAUCUGCUGAUUUUUUGUAUUCCUGUUCUUUCACUUCAAUAAUUUUUUGUAUUAUUCCAUAUCUUUCACUUUAAUAACCCAAAAGCUUUCCUCUGUUUCAACUAAGCGAAAAUUUACAUAUUAAAGCCUGGCUCAAAUUCCUUUUUUCAAUCGAAAUAAAACGUAGCCACAAAACCCUAAUUCACCACACCAAUUUAUCUCUGCCCGGUAUUCAUUUAAACCCUACCUCGCGGUUCAAUGUCAUUCUAUACGAUUGCAGAUGCCGUUUCAACUUGUCAUUUAGUUAGCGCCAUCCAGUUCUCUAUGGUAAGCCUUAACCCUAACAACUAAUCGACUGUGGUAGCACGUUGCUUGUUAGGAGUGGGGAUACAUUAUUUGAAUAUACGAAUUGGGUGAUGUUAGUGAUUCAUUCCCCUAUUUGUCGUGAAUUGAGAUUUGUGUAUAAUGCUCGUAAGAUUGCUAAAAAUUUCAUAUUUUGUAUUGUUCCAGUUGAAUUUCUUGCUUGUGGAAGAUAGAACAAAAGUUCAAUUUCAUGUUGAUUUAAUUCUUCUUUUUCAUCUUUUUUUUUUCUUCUUUAUAGUCACGCUCUGGCUGGUGCUAUGCUUAGUGCAGUCUAUGGUUUCAAGAUUAAGUCACGUUUAUUUGAUGGCGUCGACUCCAUCAUUAAGAAGCUCUUCUUAUUUUAUCUCAGUUUCAAUUUUCUUUUAUUAUCUGCCUCUACCUGAAAAUGGACGUGUUUUACUAGUAAGCAGACUUUUUUUAUUUAAUUGAUAUUUUAAUUUUAUGUAUAAGAAUGGAGGUUUAUUUUAAAAAAAAAAGAAAUAAAAAAAUAGACUCUGUUGAAGCUAAUUAGUACUGUUUUUUUUUGGUGGUGCGACCAGAGGUGGAAACCGGGUAUGACAAUGUGUUACUGGUGAGGUUGCUGCUUAAGAUGAGAAUGCAUUCUUUUCAAAAAUCCUUUGUAGGUGUUAUCUAAUUAUCUUUGAUGGAAUAUUAAAUGGCCAAAAAUCUGUCAUACGUUCAAACUUUGUUUGUGUUUAGAAGAAUGGUGUUGAUUGUAUAUUCAUUUGCUUAGCCUUUUGACAGAUGGAUUUGGAACUGACGAUAAAUGUGAUUCAAUUCACAAGGUUUUCAAGGGGCUCACCGUGGAAGGGAUAUUGAAGAGCUGGUCUAGGAUAAAGCCUAUGAUUGUGAAAGAUUGGAGUGAGAAUAUAGAUGCUCGUUUUCAUCUUUUUGGCAAGGUCAGAGAUGAAUGGAUAGAUAAGGAUUUAUUUGACUACCUGGAUUGGUGCUAAUAGGUAUUUUAAGCAAGCUUUUUGAGAUAACACUGAGCAAGUUGUACUACUAUUUUGCACAUGAUGAUCAAAACUCUCGAAAAGUAAAAUAAAAUAAAGUAUUAACUUUUACUUUCAUCUUUUGCAUAGCAAUCAAUGUGGUGCUUGUUCUGUAACAACUUUGAUAAUCUACUUUAUUGGUUAGCGUUUGGACCAAAAAGGUUCUUAUGAUUUACAUGUUUUGUAGAAAUGCAUGAACCUUAAAUGUGCUGAUCAGGGAGUUUAAUUAUUGCACCUUGAAAUUCAUUUAUUGUUAACUAAUUGGCUUUCCUUUGCAUAAAGCCGCUUAUAAGGCUUGAGUGGACGUCUUUAUGGGCAUAUUAUUCGUAUUUCUUUAUGCAUGCCUUUAUCAUUUAAUGUGCUGCUUGUAUUUCUUUAUGCAUGCCUUUAUCAUUUAAUGGCCAGCUCCCUUUCCUCAUUUGUAAUUUGAAUAGUAGUAUGGGCCUCCAUUUUACAAAUCUUUAACAUUUUUUGCUGUAAAUUAAUUUUUCUUUCAAAUAUUUUGGAGGUCAUUGGAAUUCCUGUAGGUCUAUUUACCAGAUUUUAGUAUGUUUAAGGUUUUAAUUUUUCUUAGACUUUAAUUUUUCUGAAAGAUUGUAGUAUUGAUCCUUAAAGUAAGAUCAUGCUACUUCAAAUUAUUUUGAAGCGUUGCUAGUUAUAGCCUUACAUAUCAAAUUCCAUUUGUCUGGAAAUUUAUUGAUAGCUGUUACAGCAGCAUAUUUUAUGACUCUACUUCUUAGUUAUGUAAGUUCAUUAUGUUUAGGUCAGAGGCAGUCAGCUAUGGGGAAUCGAUAUAUGCACAGAUGACUCUGAUCUUGUUGCUGGUAUGUGGUUCUAUGAAUAAUUGUUCACAAUAAUUGUGUUUGCCUCACUGUUUUUGUUUUAUGAGAUCUAUAAUUGAUCUUGGGAUAUUGCUUUCUAGUUCUCAUGCAAGCAAGUUACUACCUUCCCACUGCAUCUCCUCCUUUAUCUGCUAUUCAAGAGUUGCGUGCCAUAAUCUGGUAUUACCUCUGCAAGAUUGUGAAUCAAUAUAUUGCGUCUAAAUUUAUUUUAUACAUAAUGCUAAUGCUGAAUAAUAUAUUGUAGCUCCUGUCAUAUUCUACUUUGACUUUUUAUAUUCUGUUUCAUAUAAAAAUCUUAUUCAACUUUAGUUGUUCAUGAGCAAAUGUCACAUGUAUAAGCCCAAAUGAUGUUUAAAGGUAGCCCGGCUACCUUCAGUUUGAGCUUACAAUGGGUGAAAAAGAAUUUGAGACUGAUAUUUUGCUGUUUUUGUGAUUUUUCAAAGUAUUUUAGAUCUUGACUUUUGUUUGGACUUGAUGGUUAUAGAUUGUGUCUAGAUUUGUUAAGUUGUUUCCAACACCUCGUGCCAAAUCAAAGCACAAUCUUUCUGAUUCAGAUGUCUGGUUAAUUAUGCUUCAUUUUUUCGUUAAAGAUUGGAUGGUUGCAUGGAUUGAUGGAGUUGGAGUUCAACCAGUAAUUCUAAUUUUUUGGACUUAAAAUGCUCUGUAUAAAAACUUUAGUAAGUGUUAUUGAGUUGACAGAAGUUGAAUACUUACAGGUUGUUUCACACUUUCUAAAAGUUUUACAUAAAUGAAUUUCUGUUUUUUGAAUUGCAGAAAGGAGGUGGAACUAUUGAUUUGGAGCCUUAUCUUACUCACUCAUCGACAACGGAGCCUACCCUCGCUCCCAUGGCAGUGGAACGGACAAUGACUACUAGGGCUGCAGCAUCGGUUGGUUUGGGUCUGUUUUGAGUUUUAUUGUCAUUUAUUUGGCUAUGUUUUGAUAGCGAAUUUUGAUAUGUCAAUAUAAUGUGUAAUUGUUUUGGGUUGAGCUGGUAAUUAUGCUGGAUUAGAUUGGUUUGUUUUGGUGGUUCUCUGAUGGAACACUGCUUUCUUUUAGAAAUUUUGAAUAUAAUAUGAGACUACAUAUAGUUUAAUUGAACACUGCAUCUAGUCUAAUUACUAGAAGUGUGGCAUUUGGUUUGGUUUAUCCGAUAUUCUCUAGAAUUUCACUUGCAUCUGGUUUUGUUGCAUAUGUUUGCUUGCAUUUGAUGGUAGUAGCAGACUGUUUGGUUUUGUGGCAUUUGAUGGCAGUUUGAUCUGUUCUUGGUGCUGAUUUAAGAUUGUUCCUGUUGUGCUGAUGUUAAUUGCAGGUGCUUGAAUCAGCUAGGGUUGCUGGUUUAUUCAGACGACUGACUCAGGCGUUGUUAUUGGUUGAUUCAGGUGGUUCAUUUAAUGUUAGGAAGCAAAUUAAGAAAUAAUGAAGUAUUCAUUUAACUAUAAUUAUUGUAGUUAUUUUAUUUCAUAACUGAAUUAUAAUCUAUGAUACUUGUGAACAAAUUAGAGAAUUUUUAUAUAUGAAUUAUAUAUAUGUGUGUAUGUACAUUUUGCUAUUUAUAUAAUAAUUUAAAGAAUAUAUUUCAAUUCCCACAAAAAAUGGCUCCAAUUCCAAUAAUUCCUGCCAAAUAAUUAAAUUUUUUAAAUUUACCACCAAAAUAUAUCUUAAAGAAAUGUUAGUUAUUCUUGCUAGAUUUAACAAAAAUAAUUUGUAGGAUUAAUAUUUAAUUAAAAUGAUUAAAUAAUUUUAUUAUUCCAAUUAAAUAUGUCAUGUUUAUAUGACAGGCAAUAGUCAUGAAUGGGAAGUAUUAGUUACAUAUUUUUCCUUGGGAUUUCAGGCAAAUGAAAAAAAGAUUGAGAAUGAUUUCAAGAGGACAGGUGGAUGAUAAGUAUUCAUUUUUGCAUAUUUGGCUAAUGUCCUCAGCAGUGGAUUUUUAUGGUAUUGAUUUUAUAAUUUUCAAUUAGUUGCAGCCCUAGAGGAAGAGUAGGCUGAUCAAAUUGAUUUGUCUUGUUUUUGGGGCAAUUUGCGACACGAUGACCGUGAUAAUGCUCGUGACUGCUGGAAACUUUCUGAUGGAAAUAACUUUAGAGUUCGUAGCAAGCAUUUCUGUUAUGACAAAACAAAGGUUCCCCCAUAUUUUGGUUGUUUGUUAUGGUAUUUAUAUAUCCUGCAUAUGCUAGGUCGACAGGUUAUGAUGUAGUUUGGUUGGCUCUUCUUGUGCUUUGUGCAAUUUGUAACUGCAGAUACCUGCGAGAAAACAUUUAAUGGAUCUUGUUGCUGUUGAUUGGUUCAAAGACACAGAGAAUGGACCAUGUAGCUAGGCGUCAAGGCUGUGCUGCACAAGUAACUAUUCUUUUCUUUUUAUUUUUCCUUUUCCAUUGAUGCGUUAGGAGAAAAUACUGCCUGUGAGAUACUACAAUGUAAAUAACUUCUUAUGGUUCAUUGAAUCUAUAACACACUGAGCCCUAUUCUAAAAUAUGUAGGUUGCUUCUGAAAAAGGACUUUUCUCACUGAUCUUUAAUCGUCAAGUAAGUUUGUUUCAUUUCAGAAGGUAUAAGUUUCAAACUUAUUGUAUUGGGAGGUUGUAUAGUUGUAACCUAAGCAUCUGCAGCUUCCUGGUUCAACACAUUAUAGUAUGGUAUUUUAUUUUGUCACAAGGUAAUUGGUUACGGGAUCACUUUUGCGACGGUUUGUUGAUGGCGAUGAUGAAUUUCGCAAUAGUAGGUUGAAACUUAUUCCAUCUGUUCCUAAGGUAUCCAUCUUGGCCUUCAUGUAUUAGGACUAUAUUAAUGUAUACUUACCCUUUACUACACGGUACACUUCAAUUUGUACAAAGAAGGCAUGCAUUUAGGUGUAAAUGUACUGAUGGGUUGUAUCUUCAAUCUUCAUGUCCUUUUUACCCUCUUGAAUUUGUUUUGCACUUGUUCUUGAUUUGAAGCACUGAAUCAUGCAGGGGUCAUGGAUCGUGCGCCAUAGUGUUGGAAGCACCACUUGUUUAUUAGGGAAAGCGGUUGAUUGUAACUAUCUUCAUGGUCCCAAGUACUUAGAAGUAAAUGCUCUUGGAAUUUCUUUAGUACACGAGAUGUUCCCCUUUCAAAUAGUGUCCGAUAUCAUUAACAUGGUUUAACAUUGUUCAUCUUUCUGUAGAUUGAUGUUGACAUCGGUUCUUCUACUGUUGCUAAUGGAGUUUUGGGCCUUGUAAAUGGUGUAAUUACGACAUUGGUGGUUGACAUGGCUUUCCUUGUACAGGUAUGUAUGAUUGUUAUUUUAUUUUAUUUUAUUUUUUUACCCCCACUUCUAAAUGGACACAAGGGAAAAGACAUGAUUUUGAGAUAUUGCCCUACAAUUUGCAUUUUUGCAUACUUGAAUGUUCUCAGAAUGGUAUAAAUAAUGCUUCGAGUGUCUCUUCUUUAUCUUGCUUUUUUGUAUGCAGGCAAACACUACAGAUGAAUUACCAGAGCGACUGAUUGGAGUUGUACGUGUUUCUAGUCUGCUAUUGUCCCAAAGUUGGAACCAGAGACAUCAUCAUGACUGUGGUUUCAUUUCACCUCAACUGUUUUUUUUUUUAAUUGAAAAAAAAAAUCAUUUGUUUUAGGUAUACGUACAUGUAUUUUGAUCCCGUUUUCAUUGUAAUUUCUCAUUUACUUUGAAAGAAAGUCAUUGGUGUUUUCGAAUGGGAAUUUUGCAUUAAAAAAUGAAGAAUACUUAAUAGGAAAUUUCAUGAUUCUUUAGUUACUAUUUUUGGAAUGAGUGUAAUAGUAUUAAAGUUGGUUUCUACUCGCAAACAAGUGAACUACUCGAUCCCAACUGCGACCACGCUAAUUGUCAUUGUUUAAUAGCUACUACUUUUAAAACUCAACAACUAACAAAAAUACUAAAAAAAAAAUGAUUUUCUUAUGAUGCUGUGAAAACAUUUAUGGGUUCACUUAUUUCCACAAGAUCUAUAACAUGGUCUUGACUUCACGAAAUUCUUUUAAUUUAAAGGGUGCUGGUCUGAGAAAGUCAGUUUGACGGAUUAAUUCUUUUUAAUAAUGGUCGAGUUAAUUUUACUAGACUCAUAAAAUUAUUCUUAUUCUGAUAAUGCCACAAAUGUUAUGUUGUUUUCUUCAGCUAAUGAUCUUCUAUCAGGACUAGUUGGAAAUCAAAUGCUUAAAACACCAAUUGAAUGAAUAAUGCAGAAGUUUAAACAGUAUCUAAUUGAAAAUUGCAUGAAACUUGAAACAUCAAUUCAAGUCCUUCCUUAAACAGAGAAUGCAUCAAACAAAUCCAAAGUGUCUUUCAAGUCUGUAGCAUGACUAAAAAAUUGUAAAUGCCUUCAGAACCAAAUUAUUCAAGUACAGGAGAACGAGCAAGUUGAAUCAUGUACAAGAGGUUGGCUUGGUUCCAGAUAGCUUCUUCACUGUACCUGAAGGGUUGGCUCAAUCUUUUCUUUAGAAUUCUGCACAUUUUGUAAUUACUCAUGUAAGCAAGCAUACAUUACAACCAUAAUAAUAAUAAAGCAAGAGUAAUGAUACGACCACAACCUCUUGUGCACAAAUAAUAUUGUACAAACUAAUAUGACAUAAUAUGAUUGAGUAAUGAUACGACCACAAUCUUUUGUGCACAAAUAAUAUUGUACAAACUAAUAUGACGUAAUAUGAUUGAUUAAACAAAAACAUAACAUAACCCUCAUAAUUUAUUUAUUAUUAUUUUAUAUUUUCAAUCAAGCAAUCAUAUUAUGCCACGUUAAUAGCUAUAGAAAUAAUUUGCUAGAUAGUGCAACACUUCAUUGAUACUCACCAUUUCAUUGAACAAUUUUUUUAUGGUGUCAUUGAGGUUUCCUUCCCAACAUCCUUCGUCAUCACCAUCUUCUUCUUCGGUGGGUUUCACUUUGUUUAGCUUCGGUGCGUCUACGACUCCUUGAGAGAAAAUCUUCAUUGUUGGGCACUGUCUCACAACUACGUGUUCCAAGGACGGGAACUCAAGAGCGUAAUUACCCAAACAAAAGCUUGUUAGGCUUGGCAAACAAUCAAGUCCCAAGUACUCCAAUUUCCUGAAAACAAUGCAAUCUUCCGCUUCUUCUCCAACCUGCGAUUGUAUGAUUUCUUCUAUCAUUUUGCAAUCAGCUAUCUUCAUUCUUUCGAGAUUCACUAGAGUUUUAGAUGUUGAGAGCGUCAACACAUUUAUCAACCCGUGACACUUCGAUACUUCUAGUUCCCACAGAUUUUCCAAAUGCCACGAAGGUGGUACUAAUUUUUGCAACUUACUACAUUCCGAUAUUUCUAGACUUCCCAAGUUUGCAAACGCUUUGCUGGAUUCGUCAUUUUCCUUCCAGAGAUGCUGCACUUUGUGUAAUCCAGAUACUUUAACUCUAUCAAUUGAGGGAAUGCAACCUAAAAAUCAACAAAAUUAAGUUGUAAAUGAAAAUAUGUAUCCAAUCUCUGCAGUCUUCCCCUGCAUAUUUUAUGGACAAGAUUAAUCACAGCAUUUUAUAUUUUUUUUUCCAAAUUAGUAUGCUUUGCAGUAGGAUCCCAAAUAUAAGUAUCAAAUCGAUUACCCUUUGAAACACAUAAAUGAAAUCUGAUGCUAAAUCUAAUAUGAAUUAGCUAGGAAAACAGAGAUGUUACACACAUAAUUAAUAUAGUUCAUCACCUCGUGUUACCAGGCAUCCAAUUAAUUUCAGACACUUUUAUAAUUCAUACUAUAAAGUUAGUUAAUAAUUGCGGUUAUAUUGUUAAAUCAGAUAUAAAUUAAGACGACAUGUAAAAAGAUGAGUCAUUAAAUUUGAUUUGAUUCUAAUGAAAUUACAACUGUGCGAAAGAAAGUGAAGGGAAAAAUAAUAAUAAUGAUUACCUUUUCAUUGAAGAGAUGUUGUAUUUGAUCAGCUACCAAGAGGUUCUUUUCUGAUUUUAAUUUUUGAGCUUCCUUAUUAUCUGCUGUCAUGUGCAGUACAGAUGUAGAAUUGGAUAUGAAUGUUUCCAUAUCAGGGCAAUUCUCAAUAGUUAGAUAUCUCAACUUAGGCAGUUCAAUUAUAUUCCUAGUGAAGUUGAAAAAUCUUUUGAGUUUUGGAAGGUCAGUGAGCCCUAGCUUGAAAAGCUUAGGAAACAGGGGGCCUAUAUGUUCUUUGUCAGCAUUAAUUAGCUCUUCCAAAUGAAGCACCUCUUCAAGUGAAUCACAAUUCCUCACUUCCAGGUAUACCAAAUUGUUCAAGCACCGUAGCAGAUUAGCAGGAAUAGCACUCGACAUAUUCGUGCAGUCAUCCACCACCAGGUCGAAUAAAUUGUUGAAGAAGCUGACAGGCAGUGCUUGGCCAUGCCAUAUUUCUUUCAAACGUGGAAAAUGCGAGAGUUGCAAAUGUAUUAUGUCACGAAAUCCAAUCUGCACAAACCAAAACAAUUGCACUGGAUAUAUACAAUUUUUUCUUUUUGAAAGGCAUAGAUAUAUAUAUACAUUAAACUUAUAUGUUCAAAUGUGCAAGUGCAAGGGAGAUGCAUAAGUAAUUUCGACGAAUCGAUUUAACACAUACCAUUUCUUCGUAACACUUUUGUAUAGUGGAAUUAAGGUUGCCUUCCCAACGGCGCAAUUCACCCUCUUCCUGUUAAGAAUAGAAUUAGUUAGUUAAUGAGUAUGCUGACAUGGCAGCUGAGUCAGCUAAAGGUUGUUAUAGAGGUUGUUAGUAGUAACCUGUGCGUGUGUGCAAUGUGUGUAGAAUCUUCUAUGCACAUAUAAAAAGGCUUGUAAUUUCCAGAUUCAUUAGAUCAAUAAUAACAGAAUUCUCAGCUUACAGAAGUUUUCUUUCUUCCUAUUUUCUUAGUAACCUAACAACAUCACAGUUUCAUAUAAAACUUAAUACUUCCUUUUACUCACUUGCACUUUGCAUAGCUUUGGUGUGGAUAAGAUUCCCUGAGAAAAAGUCUUCAUGUUCAGACAAUGUGUCAUAGAAACUUGUUCCAAUGAUGGGAAUUCAAGAGUGUAAUUCUCCGAACAAAAGCUGGUAAGCCUUGGUAAAUAAUCAAGUUCCAAAAGUUUUAAUUCGCUGAAAGCAAUACGAUUCUCCUUCGCUUCUUCUCCAACAUGUCCUAUGAUUUCUUCUAUUUUUUCACAGAGUGAUACAUUAAGAUUCACUAGACUAUUGGGAAUUCCAACCUGAAAAUAAAGAGUAGCAUUCAACUAGAUUCAAAGUAUGUCAAAAUCAUACAAUUGUUUUAUGAAAAAUAACAAACCAUGAAUGUCUACUAGAUAUUUUUUGUUAAAGAAAAAAAGGAAAAAAUUAAAACAAAAAUAAAUAAAUAGAAGUCCAGAAAAACAAAGAUAAUGAAAAUGCAUUUACACUAUUUAGUAUUAGGAACGGAGAAAGAAUUUCAGCUAAUUUUUAAAUAUUAUAAAUUCAUUUUUCAUCUUGAUGCUAGUUUUUAAAAAAUUUUAAUUUUCAAACAUGCCUAUUUUUAAAAUAACUAAACUAAAACGCUGUAUUUCCCAUUUUUUUUUCCCGAUAUUCAUGCUUUUAAAAAUGGAAAACAUUUCUGGAAAACACUUCCCAACGCCAUCAACAUGGGACUGUUAUAGAGUGAAUAUUUGAGGAAUUUUUUUAAUCAACGGUCGAUUCAAAAUGACCAUCAUGAAUUUGUGCUUAAUCAAUGGCGUAAUCAAUUCAUAACUAAACUAGAGAUAUUAACUACAUUUGAACACUUUUUUUUUUUAAAUAGAAAUCUAAAGACCCAAGGAAAAGAGAAAUAUAUAUGAAUUUGUGAACUUAAAAGCUGAGUAAUUAAGUAUCUUUUAAUUUCUGAAAAUCUUAUUUAUUAGGAUUUAAGAAAAAAAAACAAUUAAAUUGAAUUAUAUUAUGCUGUUAAAUCGUGUUUAAAACAAUUAUAUUGUUGACUUUAAUGCAGGUGAACCUAUAAAUUAGAUUGAAAAUGCAGAGUUCAGAAUGGUGAUUUGAAGUUCAAUACUUUUGUUCCCUCCAGAAGUUUGAAGUACAAUACUUGCAAUAAAUAAUUUGUGAAUGAAAAUUAUUUGUAAACACAAAAAUGAUUAAAAUAAUUGUUGAAUGUUAUUUGAAAUAAAAAUUCAAAAUGAAUAUAGCAAUCUUACCAAUGGAGGAAAAAUAUUCAGUAGAUUAUCACACUCAGAUAUCUCCAAUUUUUUCAAUUUGCUAAAAGACUUCGAAGCAAGCUGGUGGUGCCAUAUUUUUCUCAACUUAUCCGCCUCACUAAUAUGUAAUACCUCCAGACUUGGGAGUCGUACCUGAAGUUAAAAAUUCAAUGCAAUUAGAGAUGUAUAUUAAUUAAAUUUGAAGACUCAACGAAAAGAGAAAUUAACUAUUGAGAAUAAAAUUAAUUUAAAAAAAAAAAACCUUUUCAUCAAAGAGGGGUUGAGGUUGCAUUUCAGUGUGAAUGACGUCUUCUGGUGAGGCAAAGCUACAUAGUUUUGGAAGACCAUCGAGCCGCAGGUAGUGUAGUUUGGGAAAAACCUUUAAUUCAUCUCUUCCUCCUAACCCCCCCGUGGUGUCGACUACCCCUUCCAUUGACUCACAAUCCCAUAUCUCAAGAUGUUGGAGUUGCCCAAGACUAUUAACCAUAGAACAUGAAAACAGAUACUUCACACAAUGACACCUUUCCACAGUCACUUUUGUUAAAUUUUGACAACAAUACAUUCCCUGAAAUUGAUCGAGCCAUAAUUUUUCGAUGUUUCGUAAAUCGAAAAGUUUCAGUUUCUCCAAACGUGGAAAAGAAACCUGCAAAGCAAAACCGUACAUUUUUGUUCCUUCAACUACAACUUCUAAUAUAAUAUUCUUUCGAUGAUUGAAGAUCAAUCGUAAUAAUAUAUUAAUUAAUUAAUUAUUAAACAGAAAAUUAUUACCUGUUGAACAGGAUCAUCCUCUGCAUUGAUUUCUGUGAAUCCCUGAGUAGUUGUUGGUUUCUCCAUGUCGGGCCCUAUAAAUGAACAAAAACAAUAUGUAAUAAACAUCCGUGUUUUUUUUCACCAAAAAAAGAAAAAGAAAAAGAAAAAAAGAAUGAGUCAAUGUCAAUAAUCCUACCAAUAAUUAAUUUCAAUACUUACCAAUAAUCAUUUUCAAAUCAUCGCAGUUUUCCACUUCUACUUUUUGAAGCCGCAAUAGGUUUUUGGCCAUAGAGAAUGAGAAGAGAUACUUCAAUUUUGGACAGCAAUCUACGUUUAUAAUCCUUAAGUUGCUGAAAGAUUGAUCUUCUCUGAGUUGGCUGUAGCAUAUCGUCUCCAAAUUAGUUAAAAACAUAAGAGACAAUGACUCCAGCAAGGGAAAGACUUUGCAACGAACCCGUCUAACUGAACCGACAAUAUGUAAAAUCUCAGAACAACUUUUUACAUGAAGAUGCUUCAAUCGUGGAAAACCUUCCCCAUCGUCUAAUUCAUGAACAACACUUUGAACACCCUCCAAUGUUUCUAGCCAGAGACCUUCAGUUCUCUGCAGCAACAUUUUUGUCCCAUCAUUCUCCUGAAGAAUGCUAACUUUUUCUAGCCCCUUGAGCAUCAUCAAUCUUGGUGCUUCAGAUUUGACGAGCAAUGGGUCAAACUCAUCUUCGGACUCAUCUCCUAUGCGUAUCCUAUAUCUUUGCAAUUCCACAGAGACAAAAUUCGGCGGCAGAAUUUCGGCAUCCGCAACUUCUAUCUCCAAAGUAGCUAGCUUUGUCAACCUCUCCAACUCGACAAGACUGGCAUUACUUCCUCCUUCAACCUUCUCCCACCCUGAAAAGCUGUUACCCAUAUACAAUUCUUCUAAUUGAGAUAAUUUUGAUAUGACAUUCGGUGCUAUCACCUCAAGCAACCAACAAUUGCUCAAAUCUAGCAACUGUAACCGCGUCAAUUGUCCAAUUUCAAGUGGUAACUGCUUGAUAGUGGAACGUGCAAGGAUGAGAAUCUCUAAUUUCUUUAGCUGUCCAACUAUUGCUAUAUCUUUUAGUCGGCAAUAGUCUAAACACAAUGUUUGGAGGUUAAUGAGGCAACCAAGUGAUGAAGGUAAUGAAGAGAAGUGAAUUCGAGUAAAAUUCAAAACUUUGAGUCCUUCCGUCCCUUUAAAGAAGUGAUCUGAAACUUGCAUAGAGCCAUCACCCUCCGUAUGCAAUAGCUCAAGACAGGGACAUUGCAACCUUUCAGGAAGCACUUGAAUACCUCCAUAAGUUAAAGAAAUAGCAAUUGGAUCUUUUCGUAUUGUCUCUUCCAUCUUUUUCUCCAAGUCGGCAACAUUUGGAAUAUUAAACAUGCGCUUCUCAAAUAACUGCAAUGCUUCUUUUCGUGGCAAAGCAUCGAUCGGAAAAUUUUUCUGACAACUCAUAUCAAUGCGCAAUAAAUCUUGCUUUCUAGACGUCAAUAUUAUUGUGCAUCUUCUCUGAUCAUCCUUUCUAUCUUUCUCAGCAACAUCCCCAGAAGGAAUUCCAACAACAUCCAACUCAAGUUCUGUCCAAAUAUUAUCCAAUAUAAUGAGGACCCGCUUCUCUUUCUUCAAUCUUUCACGUAAUCGAUCAGCUCUUUCGAAUUUAUUCUCAUCCGAGCCAAAUUUCAUGCCUAAGUCAAAAGCAAGUUUCUUUUGAAUUUCCUGAUGAUCUGGGGUCUGUGUUACCUCAGCCAUAACGACCUUAUCGAACAACUUAUCUUCCAUAACUUGCUUUGCAACUUGCUUGACUAGCGUGGUUUUACCCACGCCGCCCAUGCCGUAGACCCCAAUAAUGUUGAGCUUAUCAUCCUUCAACGCCUCCACAACAUCUUGAAAUACUUUCAUUCUUGAAUCAAAGGCCUCGUAAUCUUUCACUUGCAUAUGUUCUGCCCGCUUUGGAGCAGGACGGUAGGAAACAUUAGAGAAGUUUCCUUUUCCCAGGAGACUAGCGGCAGCUUCUGCGGCCUUUGCUGCUUGUUUACUAAGCUUGUAACGAGAAAUCAAGUUUGGGCACAAUCCUUUGAAGCAGGACUUCUUAGCUCUAUCUUCAUCAUCACUGAUGGAUUUUGCAACCCCUUCACUGAAUUCAUCAACUUGAUUUAGCCAGUCUGUGACACCCUCAUAAAUCUCAUCCCCUUGUAGUCUAGCAUGAUUAACAGGUUGUUGCACCGUUUCUCUUCUAUAUCCCAGCUGCUUCACUUGAUCUUUUAGGCCAUCUAUGUAGCUCUGGUACUUGAACACAUAAGAUAUCUGCCGUACAAUCGGUUUGAACAGUGACUUUGCACCUUCUGCUACGAUGCUGGAAAAAGCAGCCAGACCCACUUCUGCCAUCGCCUGCUGCUUAACAAAUCUAAUAAUAUGUCAAAGAAAGGAAUACAAAUAAACUAAAAUGAACUAGAGGGAAAGACAAAAAAUGGAAAAGACAGCAAACAGUAUCGCAACAUUGAUCUUGAAUCAACUGAAACAUGAACAAAGCAUUUUUUCUUCUUUCUUAAGGAUCAGAGUUUUUGCUAUUAACAGAAACGUACUUCAAGUGUCUAAAAAAAAUUAACUAUAAAUGAACAAUAACUACAAAACUCAAGCAAAACAAGCCAUAAAAUUUUUAUCUUGGAAAGUGGAUGGAAAUUAAGAAAGAAAUGGUAUAGAGAUCAAGCAUCAGAGAUUAUGCUAUUAAAAGAAAUUAAUUGAAGGUUUUAGAACAAGUGCACCUGUUUAAUUAUGUGGGAUCAGAAAGUUGAUGAGCUUAUGUAAUCGCCUUGAAUAUUUAAGAACAAUUUCAAUGAGCAAAAAAUUUCUGUUACCUGCAGAGGAAUGUGAUUAUAGAGAGCUUAUGAGAGUAAUGACAAUGAUUUGGAAAAGAAGAAGACUUAAUCAUGCAGCCCUUAAUAUUUAUUGAAUGACUUGUGAUCAUUUCUUUUAUGAAUAAAAUGCCAACAGCAAAAAGAGAAGAAAGGGCGAAAUUUACUAAGUCUUAUUUUAUUUUUAAUUUCUUUUAUUUUCAUUCGGCGAAGAGGGAAUCUCUCCCUCUUUUUGUUUUUUUACGGGGAAUCUCCUUACCUAAUGUGACAUAAUGAAAGCAAUCUGUAAAUAGUAAUAUAAUGUAAUAAUUAAAAAUACCCACAUAUUUAUAAUAUUAAUGAUGGGAUCCAUAUGUUUAUACUGAUUAAAUUGGUGGACCAGAAUUUAUUUGACCGUACUUGUUUUCUAUUUAAUUAAGAUUGAAACGAUAGAGAAAAAUUUGUCGUAUUGAUUUGUUUCGAUUGUGGAGUUCCAACACUGAAAGUGAAGAUUUCAUCAACUUUCUCACAUGGACACGUACCGUCAUGCAUAUUGCAUUAUUUUCCUAGAAAAGCAAGAUUAAUUCUUUUAAUAAGCAAACGCGUAGGUGGGAAUCCAUUCAUGAAACAAGUGGAACGACAAUAUCAAACCAAUGAUAAUUCAAAAUCUGAAUCCGCCUGAUGGACGGCAACUAAUCUGAACCAUUCUCCUUUAGUAACAGGGGAAUGAAAUUAUAUCGAUGAUAGAUAAUUUCAAAACAGGGGAAUGAAAACAGAGGAACCUGUUUUUCCUUCCUUUUCUUCUUUCCCCCAACUCUUCUUCUAUUUAUAUUUUCCUUGGAAUUUUCGGCAAACGAAAAAAAAUUGGGAAUGAUUUCAGGAAAACAGGUGGAUAAUAACUAAAAUAUUUAUUUUUAUAUUUUUGAUAAACACACUCACUAUUAAUAGAAUUCAUUAGAUAUCAUAACUUAAAUAACUUCUUGUGAUUAAUUGAGGGUACAUUUGGGAUUUCUUUUAUUUCCCAAUAAUUAGCUUCUAUGUUGAUUCUCAGAAAAUUAAUUUUACGAAUAAUUUAGUAGGGUGUUUGGUAAAUGAUGAUUAUUUGACAACCAGUUUUCAAAUAAUCUACUAUACAAAUUUGAUAAGUAAAAAUUAGAAGUGUAAUAUUCAAGUGCAAAUGUGCAAUGAUAAAAAUGUAAUUGUUUGUUUAUUUGUAGUUUAUUUAGAAUAUUAUUACUAACAUCAUUUUUUUAUUUACUGGAUUUUUAAAGAGUAUAUUCUAUUUUCUUUAUUACAUAUCUAUAUCAAUUUUUUAUUAACUAUUUUAAUUUGUAAUAAAACUAACUUUAAUUUUUUUUAACUAAAAAAUUUGUUAUGCAGUUUGUUAUAUUAAAAAAAAAAUUCGGACGGUGUCUAAACAUGGUCACCAGUGAUUGUUAUAUUAAAAAAAAAUCUAUUCAAUUUUUUCUCUGAUUUUGUGUCGAUAUCUUUCUUACGUAUGUUGAUAUCAUAUUAAAGUGAAUUCAAGACCCUAUAUUAUUUUGCAUAACAUCAAAAUUUAGCCGAAUGGUAAUUAAGAAUUUCCUUUUUUGUUUGUCCCACAAUUAUAUAGUCUCAUUUUUUACAAUAAGCUCACAAUAUGCACGGAAAUGAAGAUCUAUUAAAAACUUCCCUAUAAUAUUAAACACUAAACAAUAUCACCAUGUUAUGCAUAUGGUGCCUCGUCAACAAUUUGAUGUUUAUUUUGUUUCUCGGGUGAAUAUGACUACUUGCGUUGCGAGUCCAUGCUUUUGUCGUUUGGAUGGAGGACGUGCCAUCUUUUUAUUUUAGAUGGUUUGUAAGACUUCUGAUUUAAUGAUUGAAUGCAGUCAAUUAACAAAAGCUUACAUAUUAUGUAGGUGCUGAUAUGUCUGUUCUUGAUAAAGUAGAUUUAUUUACAUCCAAGCCAACGGAGCCAAAGACAUUUCGUUAAUAAAAUACACGAUAAUUAUUUUUGUUAAACUGAUUUCUGGUUAAUAAGACCUAUAACAGCAUUCAAGGAAGCCACCGAACUCAAAGGAAAGGCAUGGUUAAAUAUACUGCGAAGCAUGUGAGUUCGUUUUUUAAUCUCUUGAUCACUCAUAAGCUUUUCUAUACCACUCACUGUAUCAUCCUUUUGAAUCGAUUUUGAUUGAUCAUCAGAGAUCAUGUACCCCACCUUAAGAUGAUUGAUCACAAAUUUGGCAUUGUAAUGUUGGUCACCUCUAAUUGGCCAUGCUAAAAUUGGGACUCGACAACCAAUUGCUUUUACUGUUGAAUUCCAUCCACAAUGAGAUAAAAAUCCACCCGUGAUUGAUGACUCAAUAUCAAUAAUUGUGGCGCCCAUCCAUCUAUUAUCAAAUCCUUUUUACCGACUUUAUUAUCCAAACCACUACGAAAAUAACUGCCUUCAGCUGGUUUGUCCAAAUGACGUAGAGGAUCCAAUCUACCUGCACCACCUUGAAUUACCCAAAUAAACGAUCGAUUUGAUGCUUCUAAAGGAUUAGCUAGUACUAAGUACUCAUCUAAGGUCAGAUCCACUUCAGUACCAAAUGACACAUAUAACACAGAUCCGCGUGAUUUCAAAUUCAACCUUUGAACGAUCUCAUCUUCCGUCAUAUUAGAACUCCGCCGGUUGGUUCUCAUCUCAUGAUCAUCAAGCACUGAACCGGCCGAUUUGUAAAAUUGUUCAGGUAAUAGUGGGCCCACUCCCCACAUCGGCUUUCCCAAUUCAUUGGCUAAAUAAUUAAUAAAUGGUCCCUCAAGACCAUCACACGUGUUGAACAUCAACGCCAUUGAUCCCUCCACUUCCUUCAUCCAGUGUGGUUGAUCACCGGCUUCUGGUGGACCUAUUUUCUCGGAACCGGGUGCACCUCUCAGAGGUGGUGGACCACCAGGAGGGGGCCCAUGAGGCCUGUGUUUUAGGUCCGAUUCAAAUAAAGCCAUAUCCUCGGGUAACCGAGGAAGUAAACGGGCCUCUCCCGGUUUGACAUCUUGGAUGCGAGCCUGCCACAUGGCACACUCCGCAGCUGCCGAGCAAGCACCAGAAGUGAAGAACCCAACAAUGGGAACUUCAAAAAUCUUGAAAACAUCAGCCGUCCAGCCCAUCAUAACGUCGAUGACUGCACAAACGGGUCGGCUUUUGGGUUCCCGGGUUGAAAGGAGGUUUCGAACUUCGAAGGCCUUGAAGCAUUUGGCUGUGCAUGGCAACAUGAGGGUGAGGAGGCGAAGGAGGGUAUUUCAGUAACUUCAAAGAGAGGGUAUUGGUGAAACGAGGAAGGGAUGAUGCUGGGGGCGGAAAUGUGAGAGGGAAUGAUGAGGGUAGAUUUGUAAUUACGAGUAGCGAUUUGCUUGCAUAAUUCAAUGCAUGGAAACAGAUGUCCCUGACCGAAGAAUGGGACAAUCCAAACCUCGGCCUCAGCAGCAGUAGCAACAGAGCUUGACAUCUUUUUGAAUUAUUUGAUACUUAAUUGUUACUGUUUGCUUUUACAUCUUUCAUAAAACACUCUUUGUUAUAUAUAAAGAGAUGACUUAAUGGAGAAGUAAGUGUUUUAGUUUUACAGUUUUACUAGUAGGUGAGCUCUGAGUUUGAUAAUUUGAUUGUUAGUUUUAGUUGGUUAGUUAUGAGAAAGCAUCUUUUAGAAAAUUCAUUCCAGUUUCAACUAAAAUUAAUAAUAUUGUUCAAAUUAAUUACUCGAUAAAUAAAUAAUUAGAGAUAAAUCUAUCCCUAAUCUCACAUUUAUAAAAUAAGGAUUGAAAUAAGUUCUUGUGGAUUCGAACUCAAGCCCUCAAGCCGAGUGGCUGGAUCUUGACUACUUUGACUUAAUUAUUAUUAUUAUUAUUAUUAUUAUUAUUAUUAUUAUUAUUAUUAUUAUUAUUAUUAUUAUUAUAUAUAUAUAUAUAUUUCAUUCUUUCAUUGAACAUCUUUUGUUAUAUAAUAAAGAAGAUAAGUUGACGGAGAAGAGUUUUACUUUUACUAGUAGAUGAGCUUUGAGUUGAGAACGUUAGUUUUAGUUGAUUAAAUAUCUACCAUCCAAAUCAACAUUCCUUAAACUAUUAUUCAAGUGAGAUGUCUGAGUAACAUACGCUUGAGUUAGUUGGUGCCUAACAAUUCGUGUGAUACAUGAAACCAACCAAUAUGAAAACCAAAUCAAGUUGGUAGGAUUACAUUAAUUUAAAUUAACUUUCAAGUUCCAACAUUAUAAGAUAAAUAAAUAGCAUAAACUAAUUUUUUUUUUCAAGUAAAUAUGUUUAUCGUUUAAAAAUUAUUUUUUCUUGCGGUAAAUGCAACACUAAAUAAGGAGUGAAGAGGGUAUUUUGUAGGGUAUACCCCCACCUUUUAUUUCAUUUCAUUAUUAAAAAAUAAAGGCUUGAUUCAACAUUCAAGUAAAAUUAACAAUUCCAUGAUAAAAUUGCUUGAGAAUAAGAAUUAAAAUAAAAAAAGAAAACAGCAACUCAAAAACGACAUACAAAUACCGCAUAGAGGUUUUUCGUCACGAGAUAUUUUUGGGUUGAGACAACAGUUGUAUAACAGAGCAUACAGACUGAAUGACGGUGAGAAUAAGAAGGAAAACGGCGCCACACACCGAAAUGCCAGCCCAUGGAGUAUUGAAGUAAUUUUGUUUCAAGUUUGCCCUCCAUUUGUAGCACGUUCUUUUGCAGUGAUCAUUCAAUCCUUUGCAUAGCCCAGAAAAAUAGAAGCUAUUAGACAGCAGAGUAGUACCUCUAGAAAGGAACACAUAAUCAUUUAUGUAACACAUAAUCAUUUAUGUAAUUCUCUGAGUAAUGCCGUUGUUCAAAGGCAAUGAGAUUACGAAAUAAGGAUUCUGUUUCUAGCUGUAGCUUCAGUUUCGGAAUAUGCGAUGUCCUGUUUUUGAAUUCUAUGGCGAACAAAUCAUUGCUCUUGCUCAAACUGAAGUGGACUCCAGCUUGGUGGAGAUUAGUCACACUUGGUGCGGUUUUACCUUUGUGGUAUUGCUGACCUUCUUGUUUUUCCUGAUUCCUCGAUGAUGGGAGAUGGCAAAUCCUUAGAAAAUCAAGGAAAUGCUCUACCCUAGCCUUAGUGUAAGGAGGGAAUUUUUGCUGAUUACCUUGUACUACCUCUAAACCCUUGAAAUACUCGUAUGUGACUGUGAUGAUGGUUGGAUUUUCAUGUUGGUCGGGGAUUUCAAUUGCCGCUAGAGCAAAAAGAUCCUCAAGAAUGAAGAAAGGAAGCUGAUUCUCAAGCAACCACAUAUCAUACCGUAUAUCCUCUAUUAAAUAGGGUUUAUGAAAUAUAUGAUCAUCUUUUUUUUGAAGUUGACGGAAAUGAUACCUCAAUAAGAGUUCAAUGAUGAAGGCAGCAUCCAGCAGAAUCAUUUCAACAAAUUUAUCACUACUUAGUUCGACUUUUUCUGCAUAAGAACCUCGUAAUUCUGCUUCUCUGAACUUUAUAAUUUGAACAAACUCGUCAAAGCUUAUUUGGGUCCGUUGAAGAAAGUAAUGCAGGUACCGCUGUUUAUGUUCUUCCAUGAACUGUAAGUUUGCUUUGCCAUGCUGAAGAGGGCCAAUUGAGACUACCUGAGGUGUAUGUACCUUUUCAUUUAUCUGACGUAAUCGCUCUGGAACUCUGUAGAUGCAGCAGUUUGAGGGCAAUGGUGAUAAUUUUUUCAACUUAACUUGCAAGCAUUCUUCCAUGUUAUAAACUGAAAACAUGGCGCGAAAUUUAAUCAAUUCAACACUUAAUAAGGCAUAGUAAUUAAAAAAGAAUUAAAAAAAAAAACCAAAUACAAGAGCAUUCUUACACGUACAGAAGCACCUCAAUCCCUACUAUUUGCAGAGCUGUAGCCAGGAGUCAAUGAUAGACCAGACUGAACUAAAAGGAACAACUUUCUUAGGAAUAUGUUAUCGGUAUUUUCUCUGGCCUCAGGCCAUCAACAAAGCAGUUUCAGUGCUUCUUAUAUAAUUCCAUGGAUUAUUCCUUGCCUUUACAGAUGAUAUAAGUCACAAUUCAUAUAUUAAUUUCUCCAGAUUCCGUACAAGUGGACCAUAACUAUGGAAAAAUUCAAAGAAUGCAACAGCCAUUUGAUUGGUCCAUGUCAGAAGUUAAUCUGGGGAAAGAAGCUUGAUCUAGCAGUAAAAUUCUCUCCUUCAAUCAGUCAGUUUGGGGCAGCAACAAGAUCAAAGCCACCACGCAAACAUUUACUAAAGUUUAUAUAAUAUUCACUAGUUUAUAUAAUAUUCUUGAAACUCAUCUUAAGUAAAGCAACAAAAGCCUUCACUGUUUCUUAACAACUUUAUUGCUCUAACACGUAGCAUAACACUUUUAAAUUUGCAUAAAGCACAAUAGUACUUUAGUUUGUAACAACAGCACAGAUAAUAAAUCGCAUUUUAUAGCUUUAACAAAAGCAUACAAAAUUCUUAAACCUUGUUUCAAGCAAUUCAUUAAUGCCACAAGGAUGUCUUUUUGCUUCCUACAGUUUUUAUUGAAAUUCAUAUAUUCUUCUUUAUCAAAUUAAGUAAUUUUCCUUUUUCAAAAAAUCAAGAAGGUUUCGACUGCAUGGAAAUACAGCACACAAUUACUACUAUUCCCGGAGUAAGAAAUUCAUAAAUGCAAUAUAAACAUACAUUUUCAUAAGACAUCAGAAUCAAAGAAUCAUCAAUGCAUCAAAUCUGUACACCCAAAAAAGUUGAAAGCAUCAAGAGAAAAUUAUACCGCAUGGACCCUUUACAACCCUUAUAACGAGUUCAGACAGCCUAAUCCAAUUUAAUAGAUUUGAGGACAGCUACAAUGUGCAAUACAAAAUUUCCCAAUACUAUUUAGAACAAAGUCUAGAAAAUAAAACCUAUAUAUUGUACAAAAUCACGAAAACCAGAAAUGACGAAAAACCUGCGAAUGUAAUUUUUGGGUUUCUUCAACAUAUCUUCCAUCCAAAUCAAACAAGAAUCGAUAAAUCAACAACAUUCAUCUUUAAACGACAUAUUACCACAAUAAAAUUGUCAACCAAGCCUCAUAUAAACCUUUUUUGUGUUUUUUGGUAAAUAUAUUUGUUAUUCUCUAAGAAUACUAGGGAAAAAAGAAACCCACUUUCUUAAUCAAGAAUCAAAUAGUAUAUAUGAAUCUAAGCUGAAGUAAGUCUUGGGUUUGAUGAAAAAGCUUGCAUUGUGAUUUAGAUUGGAAAGGAAGUUGAUUUUUGCUGGUUGAGAGAGAGAGAUUUGAGACUUAAGGAGUGUUGCUAAUCUUCGAUCGUGUAAACAAGGGUAACUGGGUCAUAGUUCAAAAUAAGGGUCCAAAAUUUACUAAAGCUAUUAAGGAGCCCAAAACUCAUAAUGGCUUCCCCAAAAUAAAUAAAAUUUUCUAGCAUUAAGUUUUUGUUUCUUCUUGAGAUUUCCUUGUCGUACUUACCCAUAUUUCGAUAUUGCCUCCAAGUAAACUUAUAUAUAUUGAUUAACAAUAUAAACAAGCACUAUGAAGUUUUAGGCCUGAAAAAACAUUGAGGUUGAAAUGAAAACCAUCUAUUUAAGUAACAAAAUCUUCUGAUAAUUUGAUGCUUAAUAAAUAGAGCAGAGAUGACAUAUUAAUCACGCUAUGAUGUGGAAGUUAUGAUUAUAUUCAUCUUAAGAAUAAGAUCUUUCAAACACUGGCAGAUUAGUAUCAAAAUACUCAGCAUAAGACCUACAAACUAGAAAUCAUGAACCAAUUAUUGAACUCAGUACAUAAGUUGAUCUUUUAUAAGCUAUAAAACAAAUCUGCUAUAACAUAAGAAAGUGGGAUUUAUCACCAGACAAAUAUUUUGGUGAAACUCAAGAUGACGGAAGGAUAUCCAAAACAACCUCCUUAAGGGAAGGCAUCACUUCCUGCUGAUGCAAACAUAUAUAUUUAUUACUCACUUUCUUGAGGACCUUCCAGGAACCUGGGUAGCAUCUAACAGAAAGUGGAAAAGAAUAAAAUGUAAAAUAUAAGUUAAACAGCAGGAAAACAGUGAGUGAUACUAGGCAAGCAUUAAUAGGUUGCCGCAGGAAAAGUGUCAGUAACUAGCUAGCAAACCUGAAAAGGGUUCCUCCAUUGCGACCCUUAAAAUUGUGAAUGUAAUAUAUGGUCUCCAUCACAGGAAAAAGUGUAUUGGAUAGUGCAGCCAGCUUAGUGUUGCGGACCGCCCAAAUUCGUAGCCCAAUUUAUUCACCAAGAGCCCAACACAAGGCCAAGAGUGCUACCUUGGCCCGAUUCCGGAAAAUUCUAGGCAACUCUAGCACAUUGAGCUUGUAAAUACUCUAGAAUUCUCCAUAGAAUUCCAGCACAUGUAAAUAGCUAGGAAAUGGUAGAAUUCUCUAGAAUCUCUAGAGCUUGGCAAGCCUCCCCUAUAAAUAUGGGAUGGCAUUAGGCAUUUGUAUCCAACAAACACUACAACAAGCAUUGUAAGCAACUCAAGCAAUGUAAUUCUCUCUUUGUGCAAUACAAUUUCUCUUAUUCGGCUCUAUUGCUCUCUUCUCUAGUUCGAGAAGCUCUAAGCUUACUUAGCAACAUUCGGCAAAGUUGUCUAAGUGCCGCACGAGUUAGCUGCGCAAAAUACUCAUCCCGUGACAAGUGGUAUCAGAGCUAAAGUUUGCACGCACGCAAAUUAGCUCACGAGCAAUGGCCAACCUUUCAAACGUAGCACAAUAGGGUGUUGUUGGUGUGGAUGUUCCACUGGAACCAAGCCGCGACCAAGAGGGAGAACGCUCCCAAGGCAAGACUCGUGGCAAGUCCAAGGCCCCAUCCGUGGAUGCGUUGGAGCCUCGUGUGACUACUCUCGAAAUCACAUUGUCCGCCGCUCAAGAAAGUCUCGAGGGAUUGGAGGAACGAGUGGACGGUCUCGAGGGGGAAUACGCCGAGUUCACGGUGGCAACAAAAGCUCUCAUCCAAGAGCAAGCGAACACUCUCCGAGGUGAGUUUCGUUCUUUCCAUGAUGAGUUGCUCAAACUUCGUAGCUUUGUUCAGGAUGAACUACGAGCUGUCCGUGCAGAAGUGGAUGAAGUCCGCUCGGAUUGGGCAUGGCACAAGUGCACAGUCUCUGCUAGUCCAGCUUCCGCAAACUCGAGUGAUGCGCGCCGCAUUGACGUGCCAAAGCCCGACACCUACGAUGGCACACACAAUGCCACCAUCGUGGAUAAUUUCCUCUUUGGGCUCGAUCAAUACUUCGAUGCCAUGGGUGUCCGAGACGAGGCAUCGAAAGUGGGCACUGCACCCACCUAUCUUAGAGGCGCUGCACAACUAUGGUGGCGUCGCAAGUAUGGCGAGAUGGGCAAGGGCAUUUGCACCAUCGACACUUGGGCCAACUUCAAGCAAGAACGCCGAAAGCAGUUCGCCCCAAGCAAUGCGGAGAAGGAAGCACGAGCGUGCUUACGUCGCCUCAAGCAAACGGGUAGCAUAUGGGACUACAUCAACGAGUUCACUACCCUUAUGUUGGAGAUAAGCGACAUGUCCGACAAAGAUUCGCUCUUCUACUUCCAAGAUGGCCUCAAGGAUUGGGCCAAGACUGAGCUUGAUAGGCGUGGUGUUCAAACACUUGACGAUGCCAUGGCCGUUGCGGAGUCGCUCACCGAAUACUCUAUCCAAUCCAAGGACAAAAAGGCCAACCAAGGCAAAGGUGGGGGAGAGAGUCGCAAGGACAAGGGCAACAACCGCAAAGAUUGGGGGUAGAAAAAACUGCCUAGCAACAAGAGCGAGCAAGGAAAAUCGGAGGGUAAGAAGGAGGCGCCAAAGCCGCGAAGCCCAUGCUUCAUAUGCAAUGGUCCUGAUUGGGUACGCGACUAUCCGGAGAAGAGGUCGCUAAACGCUCUUGCUGCCCAACUCAAGAGCAACCCUACAAUGUCCACAGAGGAACCCCAACUCAGCAUGGGUUCUCUCCAACGCCUCGGCGCACUUAAUCACUAACAGCCUGCACUCGUCAAGAAAGGGCUCAUGUAUGUAAGCGCAAAGGUAAACGGUCAGUUCGUUCGCGCGCUGCUAGACACGGGAGCGACGCACAACUUUGUGUCCGUAGACGAGGCCAAGCGCUUAGGCCUCAAGGCCACCAAGGAAGGAGGCACGAUGAAAGCGGUGAACUCACCCGCCAAGCCAAUUGCGGGGAUCGCACAAGGCGUGCACAUUAUGCUUGGAACAUGGAGCGGAAAGCUUGAUUUCUCCAUCGUUCCCAUGGAUGACUUCAAGAUGGUCCUCGGCAUGGAAUUCUUCAACCAAGUCCAUGCCUUCUCGCUGCCCGCUCCGAACUUCCUAAGCAUCCUCGACGGGAGUAAGGCAUGCAUGGUUCCCACGGAACGAGGCAAGUCCGAGGAGAAGACACUCUCUACCAUGCAAUUUAAAAGGGCUUUCAAGAAGGACCCAAGUUUCUUGGUCUCCAUUCGGGAACUAAACGAGGUAGGAAAUAGCGGAAUCUCGCCAAACCAAGUCCCUCCGCGAAUUCAAGCCGUCCUUAAUGAGUACAAGGACGUGAUGCCUCCAGAACUUCCGAAGAAACUCCUACCUCGACGAGAGGUUGACCAUGCAAUUGAGCUGGAACAAGGCACGAAGCCACCAGCCUUGGCGCCCUACCGCAUGGCGCCACCCGAAUUAGAGGAGUUGCGGAGACAACUCAAAGACUUACUGGACGCAUGCUACAUUCGCCCCUCAAAGGCCCCAUUCGGUGCACCUGUGCUCUUCCAAAAGAAAAAUGAUGGAUUGCUGCGGAUGUGCAUCGAUUAUAGAGCGCUCAACAAGAUCACCAUCAAGAACAAGUAUCCGAUUCCCUUGAUCGCGGACUUGUUCGACCAGCUUGGCAAAGCGCGGUACUUCACCAAACUCGACUUGCGCUCCGGGUACUACCAAGUGCGCAUCGCCAAGGGAGACGAACCAAAGACAGCGUGCACAACAAGGUACGGGUCUUUCGAAUUCCUUGUGAUGCCUUUUGGCCUUACUAAUGCACCCGCCACAUUUUGUACGCUCAUGAACAAGGUGCUCCAACCAUUUCUCGACCGCUUCGUGGUCGUGUACUUGGAUGACAUAGUGGUGUAUAGCACCACGCUCGAGGAUCAUGCCCAACACUUGCGACAAGCCCUCCAAGUACUUCGAGACAAUGAGCUAUUCCUCAAAUUGGAGAAGUGCUCGUUUGCCCAACGAGAAGUGGAGUUCCUUGGCCACAAGAUUGCGGGCGGGAAGCUCAUGAUGGAAAAUGCCAAAGUGAAGGCCAUUCUCAAAUGGGAACCUCCCUCGAAAGUGCCCGAGCUUCGCUCAUUCCUUGGGCUGGUGAACUACUACUGCCACUUCAUCAAAGGCUAUUCGGCCAAGGCAGCACCCUUGACGGAUAUCAGAACGUGGCAUUAGUUCGAAGAGUGCCAACGCGCAUUCGAGGAGUUGAAGAAGGCAAUUUCAGAAGAACCUGUCCUCGCUCUACCGGACCACACAAAGCCCUUCGAAGUCCAAACAGAUGCCUCAGAUUUUGCCAUAGGUGGAGUCCUUAUGCAAGAAGGCCACCCCAUAGCGUUCGAGAGUCGAAAGCUAAAUGAUACGGAGCGUCGCUACACGGUGUAAGAGAAGGAGAUGACAGCCAUCAUACAUUGCUUGCGUGUGUGGCGACAUUACUUGCUAGGCUCACACUUCACGAUUAUGACGGACAACGUGGUGACAAGCUACUUUCAAACUCUAAAGAAGUUGAGUCCGAAGCAAGCACGGUGGCAAGACUUCCUUGCGGAAUUCGACUAUUGGCUCGAGUACAAACCGGGGAAAGCCAAUGUCGUUGCGGACGCUCUAAGCCGCAAGGUGGAAUUGGCAACACUUAGCAUGAGCCAACCGAAGUUCGACCUUAUCUCACGCAUCAAGGAAGGCCUCCAACAAGAUCCGCUAGCAAAGGAUUUGCUGGAGAAGGUGCUCGAGGGAAAGACAAGGCGUUUUUGGCAAGAGGAAGGCAUCCUCCUCACCAAGGGAGAUAGGCUGUUCGUGCCAAGGUGAGGAAACUUGUGGAAGGAAGUUAUCAAGGAGUGCCACGACUUCAAGUGGGCUAGUCACCUAGGAAUCGAGCGCACCACCGCACUAGUUCAAGCCUCGUAUUUUUUGCCACACAUGAGGGACGACAUCGAGGCAUAUGUGCGAACUUGUCUUGUGUGCCAACAAGACAAGGUGGAUCAUCAACUUCCAGCGGGAUUAUUAGAGCCGCUAUCGCUAGCAACAAGACCAUGGGAAAGUGUCUCCAUGGACUUCAUCACAUCGCUGCCUAAGUCCGAAGGAUGCGGAAGUAUCAUGGUCGUUGUCGACCGAUACAACAAGUAUGCCACAUUUAUUGCCGUACCAAUCGAUUGCAAAGCGGAUGAGGCAUCUCGCCUAUUCGUCAAGCACAUUAUGAAGCUUUGGGGAGUUCCAAAGAACAUUGUGAGCGACCGAGACCCUUGGUUCACUGGGCGUUUCUGGACGGAGCUCUUCAAGAUGUUAGGGACCGAUCUCAAGUUCUCGACAAGCUUUCACUCACAAACGGAUGGGCAGACCGAGCGCAUUAAUGGCCUCCUCGAGAUGUACUUGAGGCAUUAUGUGAGCGCUCAUCAGCGAGAUUGGGCGAAGCUAAUCGACAUCGCCCAAUUUUCUUAUAACUUACAGCGAAGCAAGGCUACGGGCAAGAGUCCGUUCGAGAUCAUCAUGGGAUUUCAGCCCAUGACCCCCAACGCCAUAGCCUCGACUUACGGAAGGAAAAGCCCCGCGGCACACAAGCUCACCCGCGAAUGGCAUGAGGAAGCGAACACCACGCAAGCCUAUCUCGACAAAGCCGUGAGGAAAAUGAAGAAAUGGGCGGAUACAAGGAGACGACAUGUUGAGUAUAAGGAAGGUGAUCAAGUUAUGAUCAAGCUCCUACCCCAACAAUUCAAGAUGUUGCGGAAAGUCCACAAGGGGUUAGUGAGGCGCUACGAGGGACCCUUCCGAGUUGUUCGACGUGUGGGCAACGUCUCGUAUCAACUCCAACUUCCGCCAAGACUCAAGAUCCAUCCGGUCUUCCAUGUGAGUCUUCUCAAGCCAUAUCACGAAGACAUGGGAGACCCAAGUCGCGGAGAAUCGAGGCGCGCACCAACUGCCGUUGUCACCGCGUUCGACAAAGAUGUGGACUACAUCAUUGCGAACCGCGUGGUUUCGAGGAGGGGCGUGCCAGCACAUAGCGAGUACUUGGUGAAGUGGAAAAACCUCCCCGAGAGCGAAGCCACUUGGGAACGUGAAGACAAUUUGUGGCAAUUCGUUGAGCACAUCCAGAGGUUCAAGCACGAGAGCGCGAUGAGGACGCCGCGAGGUUAGGUGGGGGAGGAUGUUGCGGACAGCCCAAAUUCGUAGCCCAAUUUGCUCGCCAAGAGCCCAACACAAGGCCAAGAGUGCUAGCUUGGCCCGAUUCCGGAAAAUUCUAGGCAACUCUAGCACAUUGAGCUUUUAAAUACUCUAGAAUUCUCCAUAGAAUUCCAGCACAUGUAAAUAUCUAGGAAAUGGUAGAAUUCUCUAGAAUCUCUAGAGCUUGGCAAGCCUCCCCUAUAAAUAUGGGAUGGCAUUAGGCAUUUGUAUCCAACAAACACUACAACAAGCAUUGUAAGCAACUCAAGCAUUGUAAUUCUCUCUUUGUGCAAUACAAUUUCUCUUAUUCGGCUCCAUUGCUCUCUUCUCUAGUUCGAGAAGCUCUAGGCUUACUUAGCAACAUUCGGCAAAGUUGUCUAAGUGUCGCACGGGUUAGCUGCGCAAAAUACUCAUCUCGUGACAUUAGGGUAGAAGAAUGACGGAUAAUCUUUAGCUCAUUUAAGGAAAUCCUCUCUGAUCCUUUCAUUGCACAUUCCAAAACAACUCUACUACAACCAAGUUACCAAUUCUUUUUGUUAAGUCAUUGUUAUUUGUUAAAAAAAAAAAAAGUCUUCCUUGCAACAUUUUAUUGAAAGAUAUAACAUGAUCAUCCCUAUUAAUUCCCUUUUAGAUUUCUGUGAGUGAAUUUCAAAUUAUUGUAUUCAAAAAUAGAAGCAAAAGACCCACUUUACUUUCAAUUUCUGCAACAAGAUACCAAUUGAAGGACCAAAAAGUUGUAAACAAGCAAUUCAAUGGGUGGGCAUCUAGAAACUGCUAAAUAGCAUCAAAAUCAUACUAAAUUUACAGAAAGUACAAUAAUAAUGAAAGAAUGGUGAAGGAUACACCCAGACCUUAUCCGGUCAAGUUCUCUAUUGAAUAUAAUCAGUUUCUGGGCAGUAUUGAAGACAGCUUCUUUGUAAAGCUCUUCAACGACAAGCAUUUCUACAAGACGAAAGAAAAGCAAAAUUAAUUACCUUAAGGAAUGAAUAUCAAUAAGAAGACAAGGUGUAAGACUACCAUUGACAUUAAAAUAUGGAUAGGCGACUAGAAACAAUUCAUCUUCUGGCUUCACACGGUCUGCCAUUUUAACCUUCUCAGUGAAUCCAAAAUCCUCAAAGAAUGAAGGUUUUGUUAGAUAGUCCAACUUAAAUAAUGAUCCUUCAAAGACCGAUUUUCUUGCAUAUUUGACUUCAUUUGCCUCUGGGAAAAACUAAAAACCAAAUGACAGACCAAGAUCACGAAACGAAUCAUGAACAUAGAUAUCAGAUAAUCAGAAAUGGGCAUUAAACAGACUACUAACAAGUAGGAAAUGCAUACAGAAAACAUUAUUCAUACACCUUAUGCACAUGAAAUAUAUAUGCAGAGGGAUCCUCUUGUGAAUUUAGUUUAUAUCCUAAUAUGAGACAAUGAACAAUUGGAUGGCAUCUAAGGGCUAACAUUUGUUUGAUUAUUAUAUGAAAAAAAAAAACAAAACAGAGUUGAUUGAUGGCCUUUGAUGGAUUGCCUACACUCUUAAAGUGCAGAGAGCCUGAUUAAUUGCUUUACCUGCCCCCCCCCCCCACACACACUUGGUUUUAUUAUCUCUCUUUUCAAAUAUAUAAUCAUUGGCUGUCUUUCAUCCUGAUCCGGCUCUCCUUCCAGGCCCCAGCUGUGUUUUCUUCAAUUCAGUGAAACAUUCACAUUCAGGUAAGAAUAAACUUGUCCUUCCUCAAAAAUCAGCUUCUCACCAUGAAGCUUUCUUUUUUAAACCAAUUACUAGUCUAGCAUAACGCAUCUAAUUGAAGACAACUCAGAAUUGAAAAAGCCAUACUUUAAUGUCUGUUGUUGGGACCUCAAGACCAGGAACAAAAAGCUUCUUUCUAACAGUUGGAUUAACAAGUAGAAAUAGCUUUUUUUCUGAAGGACCCAACAUUGCAUUGAAAAAUUCAACAAAAGGAAUGGCAUCAUAUUUAGUCCUGCUAGAAUUUUGUGCACUUAACACAAUGGUUAAUAAUUGGCCCAGCGGACACUUUGUCGAACUAUUGGCAACCUUGACUGUGGAAAUGCAUAUUUCAAAUGUUGGCAGGCUCUAGCUUCUUGAUGUACUGUUGAUAGAAAUGCCUAUUUCAAAAGUUGGCAGGCUCAAACUGCCGAGACUUUGGUUUCUUGCAUUUCAAACCCACAAAUAAAACUUUGGCAGAACCCCAGAAAGAGCUACACCUCCCAAAUUUGAUGACAAAUGAAGAGACCAUGCCUAGUGCUUAGUUCGGCAAAUGAGUAAGUUUGAAAGAAAUUAAGGGAAACCUUUCCCACAGAGAGUCAUAUUGAAGGUUACAAUUUGAAGACUUUGUCCCCUGUCGCCCACAACCUUCUUUGAUCUCUUUGCUUAGUCAUAAAUAAUCAAACAUAUGUUAGUCGUUGGAUGCAAUCCACUCACUGACAUCUCAUGUCCACAAUCAAUCAACCAUAUUUUAAUAGAAAUGAAAACAUUUUAAUUAAAAAAGAAUGAGAUAGGAACAAAAUGAAACUUGGCAGACAUGGGUCUAUGAGAUUUUAAAGAUGCUUGGUGAAAGUCGUAUUCAAGAGUUCAACAGUCAGUUCUAUCACCUAUGGCAAAGUAACCACCAUAACUAAAGCAAUUACAAAACAUCAAGAAGCUUGAACUUGGCAAGAGGUCUCAUUAACAGUAUACCUCAGAAAUUAAGACAGACUUAAAGUACAAGCUUUUGGAUUUAUUUAAACACUGAAAAUAAUAUGGGUAGAAGCUCCUAUGGUCACAGCAAACAAUUACAAAGCACAAAACCCAAAAAAUAGAUAUGCAAAAAGCUGCAAAAGAACAUUAUUAGCAAUUGACAUCUGCUUUGCUCAGACAAAGGUUCUCAUAACAAAGGACUUAGUGAUUAUCUUUCAUAUGUUUAUGUUAAGGGGAAAAAGGAAGUUUGUUUUAGUCAAUCUCAUGUCUAAUGGCAUUCAUAAGGAGCCCAAAAAUAAAAGAAAAAAUAAAGAGUUAGUAGGUGUUUCUCGCAGUAUAAAGAAAAUUUAUCAUCCAUGAAAAACUUAGUAUGGAAAAAGCUAACUCAUUUAUCUGCCAAUGGAGAAAAACUUGUUGUCCACCCACUAAGGACCCACCAUUGGGAGAUGGAUCCCAUGGAUGGGAACCACAAAUAUUUUAUUCUAAAUGAAAUGGGUAUUGUACCAUAUCAUUUAAUUUGUAGAUUCCACUGAUGGAACUCAUCAAACUUUUCAAAUGGUAGGUCCUUCAUGGGUAGGCGCAUCACUUCAGCAUCCUUCUCCACCGAUGACUAAAUCUGGACUCAUUUAAAAAGAAUACAAAGCAAAACUAAUUGACACAAAUUGCAUAGAGGUCUAGGAGCCAAAUCAAUGUUGUUAACUCAUCCAAUUAAUACAUUCUCUUAGAGGUCAUACCUUGGUAACUCAUUUCAAAAGAAAUUAAAAGAAAAACGACUGCACAAAUUGUACUGAGCUCAAGAAGACCUGUUCAAGGUGUUCACUUGUCCAACUAAUAAAAGUCAUCAAGGAUUGUAUCGGGGACUUGGGACCAAUCCUGCCUUAACUAGAGAAAGGGAAUUUAGGAUGAAGAAGAUAACCUCUUCUCCUAGAGCCCUUUUGGACAAAAAUGAAUUCCUACUAAUUCUGAGAAUAAAACCAUAGACAUCUAACUUCUGAUAUCUAGUCAAUCUGGUAAAAUCUUGUCAGUUGCACUUGGGGCAGAAAUUAGUUCCACCUUGGUUUACAGGACAGAAAUUCGUCAUAUGCAUGUAUUUAUUUAUGUUUUAUACACAAACGCAUACAUGUACACACAAACACUACCUUCACUUUGAAGAAAAGAUUAAAAUAACACUGCUCACAUACACAAUACUUACUAUUCUAGUUCGUGUAACUUUCUCUGGAGUCACAAACAGGUCACAGAAUUCACGUAUUAACCGCAUACUUCCAGUCAUUUCUAUUCCUCCUUCACCAUCACCUGUCCCACAAUUACAAAAAGUGAGAGGUAAUAACCAACAUAUUUGGGUUGCUCUUCGGUAAGGGGUGGGAGGUAAGGGUUAGUUGUGGAGGGCACCUGGUACAGAAUCAAGGCCAGCUGUUGGGAAUUCGAUCUCUUGUAACAUAUACUUGUUCAUCAUAAACUAUAUACUUAUUCUGCAGUCGAUGUGUGCAUAUAGCUCUUCAAUUAUCCAGUAAUAACUCACCAUCAACUUCCUACCAUCCUUCAUGGCUAAUUCAGCAGCCAUUUUUGCCUGUUUAAAGGUCAAAAGCCCAAACUAAGCAGAUGCUCCUACUCCGAUACUUAUUAUCUAACUACUACAGAACAGAUGAUACACAUCAAGUUGUAUCAAGAGAGACACCAAGUUGUGUUUUCCAAGAGGUUCCAAAGAGGAUCUGUUUCUUUGUGUAAUUUUUAGACUGCUUUGACAACUCAUCUUAAAGGUGCCACUCAUCCAAUAUGAUGUGGUGACAGUAGUUUAGAGUUUUAAACUAAAUGCAGAGCUAAUAGUAUUUUGGAAAUAUAAUCAUCCUAAGAUACUAUAACACAAGGAUUCUUACACAAAAACAACAACUUCGAUGUAGAGAGAAGAUGAUUUCACAAAAGCAGAUGUUUUGAUUUAAGUCUCCAAAACCCCCACCAAGAAAAUGUUCAACGGAUAUAGAAAUAUGAUCCACAUAUCUGUAACUUAAACUGUAAAAGUUGUUGAUGUUGUUCUAAAAUUGCCACAAUCUAUCUACCCCAUGAAUGUUUUUGGAUAAAACAAGAAGCAGGACCCAAUGCCUGUUUUCUAAUAGCUUCAAAAAGGCCAAAUUGGUUUUGAAAUGUCUCCAGCUUUUCAUUUAACAAGUUUAAGGAUCCCUUCGGCAUUGCAAUUGGGGAGCUCAGAUAUAUAAAAGUGCCUGGUAAACUCUUACAGCCGCAGCUUUUGAGCAAAAAUAAUUUUAUCUCAUAAUUGUUUGACUAAAAACAUAUAUCACCUUUUAUCAGUUUUGUAAAAAAUAUUAUUUAUAAGUCAUAUUUACCAAACACAGUCAACUUUUACAUCACAACUAUAGCUUUUUUUUUUUUUUCACCACACAUAUAUAGUUAAAAACUACAAGAACUCGAUAUCAAACAGAUCCUAAAGCGUAAUCUAAUAAAAAGGUAAAUAAACAAAUGCAGAAGCCAGCGUACUUGAUCAAGAAGCUCUGAAUAGUCACUGGGAAAGGGAAUAUCGACGUUAAUGGGGUUAUUGCCAUCGCUUGAAACCGAAUUGGUGAGACAAUUGCGUUUUCUUCUGUACGGCGAAAAUGUGACGAUUGAGUAACAACUUAUAUCGAACUUUAGGUUAAAAUAAUUACUAUGGAAUAUUGGAAUACGAGAUUAUUAGCAUUUGAGUGCUUGAGUGGGAAUCAAGAAAACUUAAAAUAGUUCAGUUAACCCAAAAAGAAAAAGGGGGGAAAAAACCCAUGGAAAGUGCGAUGAAUGUAAAUCCACUUUAAAACUUUAAUCAUAAAUGGUUAACUAAUUUUAAGUAAUUUGGAUUAACUUGACAAAUUGAAAAACCAUGCACUAGAGGAAAAUGUUCAUAUUUGGAGGUCCGAAUUUAUCUACCAUUCAACCCUAUUUUCAGCUCCUGCAUGGAGGAUAAGUUAGUUUGGUGAAUCUACCACUAGCUAAUUAGCUAAUUUUUUUUUUUGAAGAUAGCUAAUUAGCUAAUUAAGAGAGCAUUAACGUUGAUAAUUUGUCCUAUCUAAAAUGAAAAGUAAGAAAUUUACACUAGUAAAUUUUACACAAUCACAGUUGGAAUUUCAAAGAAACAAAAACGGAUCAAUAGUGCAAUUGUAAUUCAAAUUUGCACUUUAGGCCACACGUUCGGCCCAGUUCUUGUAUUAACACUUCAAUACUUGACAUGUGGCCAUUUUUUUAUUCGUCCACGUUCUUUGCAUUCUCAUGGUAGUACUCGAACAAGACAAAAUUUCACGAAUAUUCAGUUGAAUUGUUGUUGAAACAUGUAUAAGAAAUCAAAUCUCGUUAGUUUUGAAUAUUACCAGCAACUCAAAUUAUUUUAACCUAAAGUUCAAUAUAAGUUGUUGUUGGGGGUUAACGGCAUUUUGAACCACAAAGUAAAGAGAGAGAGAGAAGAAACGCUCCCCUUUCAAAUACCGUGCUCUUUUGUACCUGGGAAUUUAAUAAUUCAUGCGAAUAAAAAAAUUAUAAAUUUAGUAAAUUAUUUAUUAAAAAAUAUUGAGAGGUUGUGCAUUAUUUUAUUAGUAAUGACAUAGUAAUCAUCAAAUUAGUUGAAUUAAAAUAGUUGUUGACUCACGUAAUUUAUUUUUAUUAUUUUUAAAAAAAAUGGUCUGCGUUAAUAAGGUUAAGGGUGACAACUGGGAUCAAUAUACAGUUUAUUCGGGUGCUUAAAACCUAAUAAAUAUCCACUAACUCAUAUAUAGUUAAAAUAUAAUUAUUUUUAAAUAAAAAAUUUAAUAUAAACUAAACAAAUUGAUCGGAUUUUGUUUCUCAAGGUACAUCAUUAGAACGUUACUUUUAAUUGAACAAAAGCACACAUAACUAGCACAUUCGCCACAAAAGCCUCGGCUUAGUGGUCGGCUUAUUAAUUAUCCUAAUAAAAUCAUGGUCAUAAAUUUGAGUCCCCGUAGGUUAGGUAGCUUUUUUAGACUACACUAUAAAUACAUGUAUUUUACUUCUCGCGGGUAUUGCUUCUAGUAGUUAUCCAUCCGAGUAUAGAGCUUUGUAGCUUUCUUCAUGACCUUCCCCAAUUUCAAUGCUUGUUAAACAAUCUCCACAGAAAAUGUGAUAGAAAUGUCCCGCUGCCACUUGUUGUGCAUAGUCCAAAUCUGCAAUUUAAGGUCAUCAUUUCAUUUAAUUUUCCGUUAUAUAUAUUCAUCUUUCUUAGAGGCCAAGAAGUCUUCGACAGAAAUGUGAUCUUUUUCUAGUAGCCUCCCGGUGAUGAGCUUCUCCCAAGUUUCAAUUAAUUCGCUUUGAGUGAGGAUAUUUUCUGGUGGCCUCAAAUACAAUGUUUUGUUCAGCACUCGAGGAGCAUCUAUUCUCUUAAUAGUAUAUAUGGCAACAUCAUCGAUAUGCACCAUAGAAAAAAAGAUAAUCAUUUUGUUUAAUAUGAACAUAAAUUCUUACAGUCUAACUCAUAUUAUAGUGAACGAUGUUGUUGUGUGGUGCGUGCAUGCACUAUCUAUAGUUUUAAUAUUAUUAAUAAAGAGUUAAAAGUCUUGAUUUAAUUUUAAAUUGUCAUUCCUCUAACUUCACCGUCUUCAUAGAUCCAGACUUUAUCUUUUGAAGGGCGAGGGUAGCUAUAUUUGAGAGAGGUGUCCGGGGAACCAACCAGCAAAAAACAGCUAGCAGAAACAUAAAUGACAGGGAUUUGAGCAGCCUUGAUUGCCCUUCUCACACAUGUGCUCUGCGUUCUCCCUCUCGCUCUCACUCACUCACGCCCAAAUCUCACCUCACUCACGCCCAAAUCUCACCUCACUCACGCAUCUCUCCUUCUGACCGGUGGUUUUCUCUCUCUCGCCGUGGGUCUCUAGGCUGGCAGGGAUUUCUCGACUUGACUACUAAAACAUAAUCCAAAAACUACUAAGAGAUGUAUAUAUUACUCUGAUAUACACAAUAUGAAGAAACUGCAGUUAUAUUUCAAAUAUUAUAUGAAGGAAGAGGCUGUAUGGAUUAUCCAAAGGUGCUGAAAUUAAGAGACCCACACCAACCGACAGACCCCCGGUGAUAGAGAGAAAGUCGACCGUGAGAUGCAUUCAAGACGGGGGAAGAGUGAGAGAGAAAACUGCCCGGUCAGAAAGAGAGAUGCAUGAUUGAGGUGAGAGAUUUGGGCGUGAAUGAGUGAGGAGUGAGGGAGAGGGUGCCGCGUGUGUGGGAUGCGUACAGUGACAAUUUAUACUUACAUCAAAACGCCGAGUUCGGUGCCAUGUGUAGGGCUAACUGUGGUUUGAAUCUCACUUUGGUAACGGAAAUGACUUUGCAAUUGACAGUUUUUGUCAAAAGUUCGCACUGCAUGAAACUAGUGUUAAUAUAAUUUAAAAAAUUAAUUUCAGUAUUAAUUUUUAAAAUGUUAAUUAUUAUAUUUAUUUUAAUAAUAUAUUUAUAUUUAUAAUAAAAAUUUUAGUUAAAUAUUUGUGUUAAAUAGAAUUUAUAAUUAAUAUAAUAUAUCUUAGGUAUUAAUUAUUAUAAUUAUUCUAUAUGCUAUUGAAAAUCAUUUAAAUUUUUAGAUGUUUAUUUUCAUACUAAGUUUCUAUUUAUUUUAAAAUUUAGUUUAAUAUAAUAUAAGCAAGUAAAGUAUUAAAAUAUUUUUUAGUAUUUUUAAAAUAUUAAAAUUAUUUUAAAAUAUAAGUCAAUUUUUUAAGUUAAUAGAACUAAUAUUUACAGUUUAUUUGAUGGCCUCAACAAGCUAAAGCAGCAUCAAAAUUAUGUGGCUCCUUAUUUUAUUUUUUCCCUUUCAAAAAGGGAAAAGGAUAAGUUUGGGAGAAUGUUUAUAUUUUUAAUAAAUUCUUUUUUAUUAUAAUACUUUUUGUCUUUAUUAAUUUAAAAAUAUUGACUCUUAUAUUUUAAAAAAUAUAAAUAUAAUAUUAUAAUAAAAUAUAACAAUAUAUAUCAAAUAUUUAAAAAAAAUUUAUAAUUUUAUAUUAUAUUAAAAUAAAUUUUUAAUAAAUAAAAAUAAUCUAUUAAAAUAAAGUACAAAAAUUUAAAUUAUUUUCAUUAUCAUCUAAAAUAAAUUUACUAUUAUUAAUGCAUGAAAUAUAUUAUAGUAAUUGUAAAUUUCAUUUAACUCAAAGAUUUAUUUAGAAUGUUUAUAAUAAGUCCAAAUAUAUUAUUAAAAUAAUUAUAAUAAUUUACAUUUUAAAAAUUAAUACUGAUAUUAAUUUUUAAAUUAUAUUACUCUACCAGAAAAAUUAAACUAUUAAAUUAUAUCAAUAUUUAUUAAAAAAAUUGAAAUUAAUUCUUGUUAUAUUUUUAAUUGGAAUUUUUUCAUGUGAUAUAACCACAAUUGCUACAUUUUUUCCCCUGAAUAAAGAUGGAGUUAUAAAUUAUUUGUAUAAGUGUCUGUGUGGAAACUAAUGUGACAUGAAAGUAAUAGUUGAAUAACAAUAAUGGGGCUUUAGGCAAUUUUUUCAUGAGAUUUUCUUGCGAUUUCAACACUUAAACAGACUUGUCCUUCAUCCCAAUUUAUUUACCCCAUUUGGGCCCGUUAUGACAUAGACAUAUUCUUGUGGAAUGAAAAACUUCAUGAGAAGAAAUUGUUUUAUUAUAAUAGAAAAAAGUGGUCCAUAAGUCUAUUCAUUACUUUUUUUAUUCAAUAUAAAUGGCUAACUUUAAAAAUGGUAAAAAUCACAUAACGCGCAAGCGAAAUCUAAGAUUUAUAUUUUUUAAUACUCUCCAAGUCUCUCUUUCUCUUUUUCUUUUUUUAAAUAAAUGUCAAUAUAAAAUUAGAAAAAUUUUAGAUAUAAAAUUUGGCGAUGACCAAACAAAAAUUGUAGAGGAAACCUUGAUAUCAUUGAAAUACUGAUCAUAGACACUACAGUAUAAAUAACUUAUUGUGAUCCACUCAACUUGUAACACUUUAAUCCAUAUUCUAAAAUUUUCAUGUUUGUUAGGAUUUUUAUUAUUGAUACUACUGUAUCAAUAAAAUUAUAAUUUAUUCAUAUGGAAUGAAAACAUCAAGAAAGGACCUCUGAUUUUUAUUAUAACAGAAAAAAAUGGUCCAUAAGUCUAUUAAUUAUUUUAUUUAUUCAAUACAAAUGUCCAACUUUAAAAAUGGUAAAAAUCACACAAUGCACAAGUAAAAUAUUACAAUUACAUUUUUUAACUCUCUUUGAGUCUCUCUCUCUCUCUUUAAAAAAUAAACCUCACUAUAAAAUUAGAAAAAUUUUAGACAUAAAAUUUGACAAUCACCAAACAGAAAACAUAGGGAAAUGAAAAUGGAGGAGCCCUAUUUUCAUUAGAAUAUUGAUCAUAGAUACUAUAAUGUAAAUGAUUUGUUGUGGUUCAUUCAACUUGUCACACUCUAAGCCAUUUUCUAAAAUUUGUAAGGUUUAUAGUAUUUUUAUUAUUGCCAUCAUUGUAUCAAUAAUAUUAUAAAUUAUAUAUUCUAUUGUAAUGAAAAUUUGUGUAAUCUUAGGUAUUUAUUAUAUUAAAUUGUGUGGAUUAAUUAAGAAUAUUUUUGGAGACAAAAGAAGUGUGUGUACGUAGGAUUAAUGAUAAAAAAUUUCUAAAUAAAGAUGAUUGCUUCAUUGACAAGCACAUAUUUAUAUUCCUCUAUUAAUAUUUGGGUUGUAAACUCUAUAAUAAAGUUGGUUGGUGUGAGUGGUUCGGCACUCUCACUCCUUAAGAAAGAUCAGGGGUUCAAGCCUCGCUCUCGUAUGGAGUCACCACUUUGGCCAGCACUUUACCUCUUACGGGCCGACCCGAUGCGAGCAUGAAUUAGUAUGAGUUGUGGUACGGGCUUAAAGGUGCCUCCCAUAGUUUGGGCCCACUUAGGAUCACCUCGUGGUUCAAACAAAAAAAAAGUGAAUAUAUUGUGGUAAGCGAUGUGGGCAAUAUCGGUUGCGAAAUAUUGAGAGAUCAUUAAUGCAUAUAAUUAUUGAAGAUGCAUAUAGAGGGAAGAGUGUAGAUCUGGCUGUAACAAUUAUGAAGCUUUCCCCAAGUAUACUCAUGCUUCCUUAAUUGUUCCGAAGUAUUUUUCAUAGUGUGCAGAUUUACUUUAUGGUGUCUUAAUUCGUCUUAAAUGAUUACUUUAGUUGUUUUGGGAUUUAAUGUCAUUUAUUGUGUUAAUUUUAAACAAUAGAAAAAAUAAGUAAUGGUAACGAAAGACUAAUUUGUGAUAUUGAAGCAUACGGGCUUAACUCAAUCCAAAAAUUAGUAAGUUAGCUCAAGAGUUAAGAGUUGUCCAAAUCUUAUAUGCUGAAUCCAAGUUUAAUACACAAUUGAUGCGGGAUGUUAUUCCUAACACCUUCCAUCAUGCGUAGGAUUGGCAAAAAAAUUCGGGUCAGUCCCACCUAAACCUGCAGGCUUUAUGCAUGGCUCGCAUGAUGAAGUUACGGAUAUUAACCUAAAAAUUUGAAACUUACUAUGAAUGGCCUUGCUUAAAGACUUUUGCAACUUUAAUUUAUAACAAGUAUGUAUAUAUACACACACAUAAGCUUAGAUUGCAUUUGGAUGGCUUUUUUAAUCAAUUCAAACAAUUUGAAAUUUAUCGGAUUAAUCUGAAUCUUAUCUGUAUCCGAUUUUGUCCGCCCCUACUAUUUAUAAGCCCAGGUGACUCUCUUUUACUAAUUAAUAAGAGAAUUUUUGACCUUAUAUCCUUGCUGUGGUGUUAGACUGUUGGUCAUUUUGAUUGUUUCCUACCUUCCAUUUACGCCAGCUAUAACAUUGUAUUAUCACCAUUUUAGCCAUUUAAAUGAAAUUUUAUUUUUGUCAAAAAUAAAAUGACACCCUUAAAAUUAAAAAAGAAAUAGUUAUGUAGACCUCAAAUUUUUAAUAAAGAAUGCCAAUACCCCUUUUAACUACAAGAUUCUUAGUAGAUGAUAACUAAAAAAAUUAACUUCAAAAAUUUUCACUAAAUGUAAAUCUGAUUGAAAUAGUUUAAAUUUUUCUAGUAGACUAAUAUAUAUAACUUAAAUAAUUAAUUUCAUUAUUAAUUUUUAAAAUGUUAACUAAUAUAUUUUUAAUUUAUUAUAAAAAUUUUAAAUAAAUUCUUGGAUUAGAUAGAUUUUACAAUUAAUGUAAUACUGUUGAUUUAUUAAUAAUAUUAAAAUUAUUUUAUAUGAUAUUCAAAAUAAUUUAAACUUUGAUAUAUUUAUUUUAAUAGUAUGUCUAUUUAUUAUAAUUUGGUUUAAUAUAAUACGGGAUUGCAAAAUAUUAAAAUAUUUUUCAAUAUCAAAUUAUUUUAAUAUGUAUAUAUCAUUACAUUUAUUUCAAUAUCGCAUUUAUAUUUAUUAUAAGAUAUAAAAUUAAAGAGUAUUGCAAUAAAGUAAAAAAAGAAAAAAAAAAGUCUUAUUAUCCCUUAUUCACGAUAUGAGGUUCUAUAAAAUUAUUUCCCCAAACGGGUGUCCUUUUCUUAUUUUCAAAAGAAAAACUAAAGUAAGAAUAAGUCCAUGGGUUUCAAAAGACUUAUAGUCCUAUCCCGGAACCUACAUUAUCUGCCACUAUGACUAAUGACAAAUUUUUGGUGGGAUAUAGGAAAAUUGUCAAAAGUUCAUGCUGCGUGAGAGUCUUUGGUGGGAUGUGGAAGGAUUGUCAAAAGAUCACACCACGUGACAUAACCACAAUUGCUACAGUUUUUUUUUUUUAAAAUAUUGAUGGGAGUUAUAAAUUAUUUAUAUAAAUUUGCGUAGACUGAUGUAACAUAAAAGAAGUAGCUGAAUAACAAUAUUUGGUGCUUUAGGUAAUUUUCAGAUGGGCCUUUCUUUUAUUUAGCGACUUUAGUGCUUAAACAAACUUGUGCUCGAUCUUAAUUUAAGCCUAUGAUGACAUAAACAUAUUCUUUUGUGACGAAAACAUCAAGAGAAGACAUCUCAUGUUUUAUUAUAACAGAAAAGAAGUGGUCCAAACGUCUAUUCAUUAUUUUAUUUAUUCAAUAUAAAUGGCCAACUUUAAAAAUCACACAACGCUCAAGUGAAAAUUUAGAAUUACAUUUUUUAAUACUCUCGGAGUCUUUCUCUCGUGCCCCCUUUUUUUCUAAAAAAAUAAACCUUAGUGUAAAAUUAGAAGAAUUUUAGAUAUAAAAUUUAACAAUCGCUAAACAGAAAAGCAGCGGAUUGAAAAUAGAGGAGCUCUGUUAUCAUUGGAAUAUUGAUUAUAGAUAAUAGGGUAUUUUUUAAUUGAGUCCUCAUUAUUUCUAGAAAAAAAUUCAGAGACCAGAAAUUUACUAAAUGAAUUAAUUAAAUCCUUUCAAGUACAAAUUAAUAUCAUUCAAGUCCAUAACUUAACUCUUCAGUUAGAAAUAUUAACAACGUUGAGGACAUUUUAGUAAAAGAACAAUUGAACCCUUCCUCAUUCUUUUAUUUUUGACAGGUGGCAAUAGUUUGCUUACAGGUGGCAAUAGUUUAAAGCAAAGUCAAUUCACCUAACCAAGUUAAAGUUCUUUCAAGCGGAAAAAAAAAAAACCUCUAGAAGAAACUGCCGUAUUCUUCGUGUGAGAGGAGGGAUUGAGAGAACGUGGGAUGGCGUCAAAAAUGUUAUAUAAAUAUACUGUAAUUUUGACCAAAGCUUUGUUAGCAUUGGUUGAGUUCAAGUAUUGGAGAGAAGCCGAGCUUAAAGGUUAGUAACUCUAAUUUUUAAGUGAUUUUUGCAAGUAUUUUCUGAUAAAAUUGUUUCCAUAUUUAGUGAUCUUUGUGAAAAAUUAUGUUUUUCAAGUCUAUUUUUCUAAAUGACAAACUAUGUUUAAUUAUUGGUGGAUUUUUUUAUUGAAUGUUGUAUUUUGUUAAUAUACUUUUUUUAAUUUGCUCUUUAUAUAAUAAUUAGACCAAAUACACCAUAUUUAUAUAUGUAUUUAUUGAACUUAUUUUGCCUAUUUUAUAGGCUUUCUUGAGUUGUUGUAUAUGUACAAUAUUUCAUUUCAACCAAUUGGUAUCGUUAUAUUAAUAAGAUUGAAUUCAUUGUAUUUGCUUUUUUGUUCAUGUAAAAUUGAAUUCUAUGUGUUAUUAUGAGUGGUAAUUUUUAUAUAUAUUAGACUAAAUUCUCUAUAGUUGUUGGGUUAUUUUUUCUUUUCAGUUUUUAUUUUUAUAUGUAUUAGAUUGAAUUUUCUUUUAUACUUUUUUUAAUCGAAUUACAUGUAUAUUUCAUUUAGGUUGAGUUUUUUAUUCUUUGCUAAAUAAAAUUGUAUUAGUUUAGCCAUUUUUUGAUGCAAUACUUUUUUGUUUUAAAAUUGAUGCAGGUAGUCAUGUUACCUUUUUUUUUGUUGGUUAAAAUUAAUGGGGCGGUGUAUGAGAUAGGAUAUAGGGACCCAGAGGAAUAUAAGAUUAUUAGGUUGUUUCAUGAAAUUCUAGAAGUCAUGGUUAAGUAUGGACACAAUGAAAUGGAUUUGAUUGAAAUUUUUGUUGUGUUGCCAUGGACUACAAGUAGGCAGAGGAAGCUAAUUUCAAAUGAUAGUGAAUUGUAUUCGGUUUUUGAGGAGUUUUUUUACUAAUAGUUGUCAUGUUAUUGAGUUUGAGGUGCACACUGGGUUAGGUGGUCAAUCAUGUCAUGAAAGUGUUGUAAUAGGAUCUGAAAAUCCUGUCAAUAUAGGUGUUAGUAUGGGUAGUGAUAAGUUUGAAAAACUUAGUGAGGAUGGCUUUAUCGGAGGGCACUUAUCUGAUGAAGAGAAUGGUCUCUUACAUAUGUAUGAAUCCAUUGUUGAUAAUGAGUGGAAACCAAAUCUAAAUGGUUCAGUUAGUCUAAAAGUAGGAAAUACCUUUGAAUCUGUUGCAUUAUUAAAAGAGGUUAUGGUGAAAUAUGCAAUCCAAGAGGGUUUUGAGUUAAAUAGGAUUAAAAAUGAUGGUGUUAGGUAUACUUGUUGUUGUGUUAAUCCAAAAUGCACUUGGAAACUUCAUGCUUCAUCGAUGGUUGAUGGGAUAACUUUUAAAAUUAGGUAUAUUAAAGGGAAACAUGAUUGCCAGAUUAAAUCAAUUAACAAAGAUGCAACAGCACCUUGGAUAGCUAAAGUUUGUGCUGGACUUAUUCAAACUAACCCAGGAGUUGGUGUAAAUGUCAUAAGAAGUGAGUUAAAAGAUAAACAUGGGAUUGAAUGUGACAAACAAAAACUAUACAGGGCAAAAAAAAUUGCAUUAGAAAACCUAGGUGCUGACCACAUUGCUUGCUAUGGAAAGCUUUUGAAAUAUGCUCACAUUCUAAUGAAAAUGAAUAGAGGUGCUUGUGUUAAGGUAAAGGUUAAAAGGCCAUUGUCAAAUAGCCCAGUUUUUCAAAGGUUUUUUUUGUCAUUUCCUGCACUUAAAGUGGGGUACCUAACUGGGUGUAGACCUUUCAUAGGAUUGGAUGGGUGUCACUUGAAGGGGCCAUACAGGGGAGUAUUGUUAUCUGCUGUUGCAUUAGAUGAUGAUAGUGGAAUUUUUCCAUUGGCUUUUUGCAUAUGUGAGGUAGAGAACUAUGAUAGUUGGAGUUAUUUUUUAUCUUUGCUGUAUGAAUUCAUUGGGGCUGAUGAUCAUAGGUCUGUAACUAUUAUUAGUGAUAGACAAAAAGGUCUUUUAUGGGGAUUGGAAAAAUAUUGGCCUAAUGCUAGUACUAGAUAUUGUGCUAGGCAUAUCUUUGCCAAUUUGAAGUGUAAGUUUCCUGGUUUGAAUGUCAUGGGGUUAUUUUGGAAAGCUUGUAGGGCUGCAAAUCAGUAUGACUUUGAGAGGGCAAUGAGUCAAAUUAGGGCUAAAGACCAAAAUUGUUAUGAAUGGUUGAGAAAAAUACCACCUGCACAGUGGUCUAGAAGCGGGUUUGAUCAUCAUGUGAAAUCUGACCAUGUUACAAACAACAUGACUGAAUCUUUUAAUAAGUGGGUGGAUGAGGUUAGGGAUAAGCCUGUCCUAACCAUUCUUGAGCAUAUUCGUAGACAACUAAUGGUGAGAAUGUUGAAAAAAUAUCAGCUAGGUGAAACUUGGCAAGACCAUUUGACCCCAUAUGCUAGAGAAAGACUAAAUCAAUCCUCAAAUGAGGCAAGGAGAAUUAAGGUCUUUGGAGGUAGAGGGGAGCUGUUUGAAUGUUGUCAAGCUGGCUAUAGAAACAUCCUGGUACAUAUUACAGAUGGUACAUGUGAAUGUGGGAUGUGGCAAGUUAGUGGAGUGCCUUGCAAACAUGCAGUAGCUGCUAUUCUUCAUAAAGGAGGGCAACCUGAAAAUUAUGUGCAUCAUUAUCUGACCAAGGAAUCUUUUAUGAUGACAUACAUGGGGACUAUAAAUCCUAUUCCUGAUGAGUGUGCUUGGCCUGAAGUGGAAGCUGAACCUUCCCCUGAUGUUGUGGUGCCUGUGAAGGUUGGACCACCUGACAUAAAGGCUCCAGUUGGUAGACCGAAAAAGAAAAGAACAAAAGAACCUGGUGAGACCAAACUAACUAGUAAAAGGUUUACUAUCAAAUGUAGUGCUUGCAGAUGUCUUGGGCACAACAAAAGGGGUUGCCCUAAUUUUCCAAAAACCACAAGAACUAUAGAGGUAUAACAUAAGAGUCAUUUUUGUUUUUUAAAUUUCAUUUGGUGAAGCUAACAAAUAUUGAUCUUGAUGUUGUGCAGGGAAGCAAUAGGACUUCAUCAAGUGCACAGGUUUAAUUUAAUUAUACAAUUUUAAUUCAAAAGGAUUUUUUUUUCUUUUGCACUAGAUAUUGCUUAAAACUUGGUGAUAUUGGUUGUGUGCAACGAAGAAAUAAGGCUUAAUCAAGUGGACAUGUUUAAUCUAGUUCUGAAAAUUUAAUUCUAAAGGAUUUUUUUCGUUCUUUUUCAUUAAAUUGCUUAAAACUUGGUGAUUUUUUUUGUGCGCAGGCAAGCGAUAUCACUUCAUCAACUGCACAGGUCUGAUUUUGUAAUUGAAUCUCCUUAUAUAUGUUUUGUUAUGUUAUCAAAUGGAUUAAUAACUUGGUACUAUAUAUGUUUGAUUUGAUCAUGGAAUUAUAUUGAAUAGAUUGAUUCUUUUUUUUUUAUUAAAUGAAAUUGAUGUCUUUUUUUUUUUCUUUUUGGACAGCAUGGAACUAACCCACAAUCUCAAGAAGUAGAUGUCAAUGAUCAAUCAAUUGGCAAUAGUUCUGAACAAGCUAGUUAGGCUUCAAUCAAUGUCACUCAACCAGUGGGGCUGUAUACACAACUAUUGUGGACUGUACUUCAACCUCAAAAUGAAGAAAUUAUCACUGUUAACAAGGAGUAGGAUAAUACAAUUUCACCUUGGGUUGACAUUUAAUUCUCCAUUAUAGAAUUUAGAAGACAAUUAACUAUUUUUUGUGUUUAAAUUUCAGUUUACCUUAGUAUUGUUAAGGUAUUUGUUAGUUUGAAUUUAAUUGACUUUCAUACUUUUAAUUUCAUUUUUAGACCGAAUGUUAUUGUGAUUUUUUUAAUAUUAUAUUCAAUACAUAUGUUAUUUAGUUUAACAAUUAUUAUAUUUUUAUAGAUGUGAUGAAAUUAUAUGGAUAGCAAAUUACAUUUUCAUGUAUAAUUCACUCAAAUUGAUAAAUAGGCUGUUAGAUUGAAAAAAAAAAGUCCAAGGUUAAAAUUGUACUUUAAAUCACUAAUAUGAUUAUAGGGGUAUACCUGUCUUUUAUGUUUAACUUAACAUUUUCACUAAUUUUUUUAACGGAAGAAUUGGGUUAAGGGCUUGAAUGACAUAAAUUUACAGUUGAAAGGAUUUAAUUGAUUCAUUUAGUAAACUUCUGGUCUCUGAAUUUUUUUCUAGAAAUAAUGAGGACUCAAUUAAAAAUUACCCUAGAUAAUAUAAUAACUUGUUGUGGUUCAUUGUAGCACUCUGAGCCAUAUUUUAAAAUUUACUGGUUUGUUAAUGCUUUUAUUAUUGACAUUAUUGUGUCAAUAUUAUUAUAAUUAAUUUAUUCAUUUUAUUGUAAUGAUAAUUUGUCUAGUCUUAGGUACUUAUUAUAUUAAAUUAUGUAAAUUAAUUGAGAAUACUUUUAGAGACAAAAGAAACACGUGUAUGUAGGAUUAAUAAGCGAAGAGUUGUAAAUGAUGGUGAUUGCUUCAUUCAGAGGCAUAUUAAAUAAUUAUGGAGAGUUGCUCUAUUUCGGAAGCAUAUAUUUAUACUUCCCUACCAGGAUUUGGGGUAAGCGAAGUGCUUUAUGUAUUGCAGUAAGGAAAUGUGGGCAAUAUCAGAGCCGAAAUAUUAAAAGAUCAUAACGCAUAUAAACAAUUAGUAUAUUCAAGACACAUAUAGAGGAAAGAGUGCAGAUCCGGCCGUAACUAUUAUGAGGAUUUCCUCAAGUAUUCUCAUGCUUCCUCAACUGUUCUGAACUAUAUAUUCUUCAUUGUGGGCUGUUUUGCUUAAAUACCAACACAAUGAUUCAAUACUUCAAAGGUCAAGGAAAUGUCAAAAUAUGAAAUGAAAAUACUUAAAUAGCCUUCUACCUAACAAAACUUAGUACUUCUAACUGCCUUCGCAGAGAAUCUAUAAAAUAAAAAAAAAAUCAUCCAGGAAAAGUUUCGUAACAGAAAAACCGUCUUUCAAAAAAUAAAAAUAGAAAAACCGACUCAUUUAUCUGCCAAUGAACCAGUCGGGACUCAUUUAAAAAAGAUUAAAAAGCAAAAGUAAAUGACACAAAUUGCAUAGAUAUCUCGGAGCCGCAUCAAAGGACAAAGGUGUUAAUUUGUCCAAGUAAUAAAUUCUCCUAGGUCAAAAGCAAUUAACGAUGAAAACUUUCUUCAUUAAGGGUCUGGCCUACGUAAAAAAAAAACAGAAAAACCACCCCAAGGUCAAAGCACAACCAUAAGUUUUGAGUUGCAGUUUUUAAAUUUUUUUUAUAAUAAAUCAACGUGUAUAAAAAAUAGAUAAUGAUUUUGAAUAAUCUUUUUGAUAAAUAUAGACAUAAAAUUUUAAAAUCACCAAACAGAAAAACAGGGAAUUAAAAGAGAGCCCUUGUUUCUCCUCUAUUUUGUUUGUUUGUCCUCUAUUUUAGCAGGGCAGCUAAAAGGGUUUGGAAGUUGACUGAAUUUUAUGAGGAUGUAAAGCAAUUAGCUCGGCAAGACAUGUUGAGUGUGCUGCAGGAUUUAACUGUGAAGAGAAAAAAGAAUGAGCUGGAGCUUGUUGUUGCGGUGUGCUGGGCCAUCUGGUACUCUAGGAAUCGUUUGGUGUUUGAAGGAAAGGAUGAAGAUCCAAAAAAUUCAGUGGCCAGAGCAAUUGCUAUGGUGGAAUCAUACAGGCGAAUAAAAGUUCCAAAUGAACAAAAUUCUCCAGGCCAUAGCAGAAUCAGUCAACUAGAAUGGGCAAAUCCUCCAAAGGGGUGUUAUAAAGUCAACGUUGAUGCUCCAAUCAAUGUUUCAAACCAAAAGGCAGGGUUGGGGGUAGUCAUUAGAAACUCUGUGGGUAAGGUUGUUGCUGCAGCAGUCCAAGGAACUCCAUAUAGGGGAGAUGUGGCGUGUAUGGAGGCUGAAGCUGUUCUGUUUGGUCUUCAGAGUGCCCAACAAGCAGCUGUUUCCCCAAUAAUUAUUGAGUCAGAUUCAAAGGAAGUGGUGGACCUAUCCUUAAAGAAAAAGAUCAGCAAGACUGAAAUUGAGUGGAAAAUUGCAGAAAUCCAAGCAAAUCUGGAAAAUCAGAAUGUGUCCUCGCUGUCAUAUGUCCCUAGAAACUGUAACUCUAUUGCUCAUUCUAUUGCAAAGAUAGCUCUAGGUUUUGAAAGUCAAGUCUUUUGGCUGGAAAACUUUCCAGAACAUAUCAGGUGUACUCUUGCUAAGUUCAUCAAUUGAAAAGCUUUACUUUUCUCAUCAAAAAAAAAAAAAUAGGGAAAUGAAAAGAUCGUAGGUGGAAAUUUUUUUUCUGCGUUGUAUCUUCUCAAUGCUGCAUGCAUUCAAAUUGUCAUAUUGCGAAAAUCCCUUUUCAAUGUUUCAAUUGCAAUGUCAUUGCCAUUAUUCAUAGUGGCAGACAAUGGACAUCACGGGACAUGGCUAGAAGUCUAUGUUACGGCUUCUGUAAGUAACAGCAGCCAAUGGGGAACUUCCACGGGUGCUAGAGGAGAGAGAAAGAGGUCCCAAUGCAAGGUGAUGGAAAUAGGGAUGGCAAUUGUACCCGCAAACCCGCAAACCCGCCCAAACCCACCCGCCAAAACCCGCCCGUUGCGGGUAAUUUUACCCGUUGCGGGCGGGUUUAGUAUUAUAAAUUAAAACCCGCACAUGGAUGCGGGUGGGUUUGGUAUUAACCUUAUAUCCGGUGGAUACCCGCAUGGAUAUCCACCAAACCCGCAAUAUUUUUUUUCAAAUAUUUUUAAUUUAAUUUAAAUAUAAAAAUGUAUAAAGAAAAUAAUGUCAUUAAUCAAAUUACCAAAUAGACAAAUGCUCAAAGUUGUGUAUGUGUGUAUGUGACCCAUCUCUUAUUCUAAAGUCAUAAGCUAAAGAAAACUAAAGGCAUUACCCUUCGAAUUAGUAUUUGAAAAUAUUAAUCUUAAUUAUUAUUAUAGGCAUUGUGUUGGAUGGGUGCUUAUGGUGGUGAAUGAAAUGAAUAUAUUCUCUUGGAUCUUGUUUUAAAUGAUAAUAUGAAAUGUAAUUAUUAUUUUUAGAUACUAGUUUGUGUUUUUUAAAUAGAUUUGUGUAAUUUAUACUUAAAUUUGAGAAUUUGUAUUGAAUUGAUGUGGAAAUUUUAAUUUUUCAUUGACAUUGUUUAAAUAUAAAAUUGAGUAUGCUAUAUGGAAUUUGAGGUUAUUAUUAUAAAUUUAUAUAUUAAAUAUUUGUGAUUUUAAAUACGGAAACCCGCAAAAAAUCCGCCGGAUACCAUUGCGGGUUUGGUAAUUGUUAAAACCCGCUGCGGGUGGGUUUUUUUAAAAAAAUUAAAACCCGCUGCGGAUUGCGGGUGGAUUUGGUGAUUUAAAUUUUGUGCGGGUUUGGGUUUGAUAAUGGCAAACCCGCUGCGGGCGGUGCCCAUUGCCAUCCCUAGAUGGAAAUGGGAAAGUUCAAAGCUGUUACUUUCAGCUUCUGCACCGUAGCCAUGUCCCACGGGACAAGGCUAGAAGUUAUCAUGACCAUAGACUUUUCUAAUUUAUUUUUUCCUUUCAAAAAGGGACAAGGAUAAGUUUGGGAGAAUGAUUAUAUUUUUAAUAAAAGAAUUCUUUUUUAUUAUAAUACUUUUUGUCUUUAUUAAUUUAAAAAUAUUAACUCUUAUAUUUUAAUAAAUAUAAUUAUAAUAUUAUAAUAACAUAUAACAAUAUAUACAAAUAUUUAAAAAAAAUUAAGAUUUUAUUAAAAUAAUUUUAUAAUAAAUACAAAUAUAUUAUUAAUAUAAUUAUAAUAAUUUUCAUUUUAAAAAGUAAUACUGAUAUUAAUUUUUUAAAUUAUAUUACUCUACUCAAAAAAUUAAACUAUUAAAUUAUAUUGAUAUUUCUUAAAAAAGUUGCAAUUAAUUCUUAUUAUAUUUUUAAUUGGAUUUUUUUCCCGAGAUAUAACAACAAUUGCUACAGUUUUUUCCCAAAUAAAGAUGGAGUUAUAAAUUAUUUGUAUAAGUGUCUGUGUGGAAACUAAUGUGACAUGAAAGUAAUGGUUGAAUAACAAUAAUGGGGCUUUAGGCAAUUUUUUUAUGAGGUCCUCUUGCAAUUUCAACACUUAAACAGACUUGUCCUUGAUCCCAAUUUAUUUACCCAUUUAGGCCCACGAUGAGAUAAAUAUAUUCCUGUGAGAUGAAAAACAUCAGGAGAAGAAAAUGUUUUAUUAUAAUAAAAAAAACAAGUGGUCCAUAAGUCUAUUUAUUACUUUUUUUAUUCAAUACAAAUGGCCAACUUAAAAAAUGAUAAAAAUCACAUAACGCACAAGCGAAAAUUUAGAUUUACAUUUUUUAGUUCUCUCCGUGUCUCUCUUUCUCUUUUUUUUUUAAAAAAAUAAAUAAAUGUCAGUGUAAAAUUAGAAAAAUUUUAGAUAUAAACUUUGGCGAUGACCAAACAAAAAUUGAAAUACUGAUCAUAGACACUACAAUAUAAAUAACUUGUUGUGAUCCACUCAACUUGUAACACUUUAAUCCAUACUCUAAAAUUUGUAUGUUUGUUAGGAAUUUUAUUAUUGACAUUAUUGUACCAAUAAAAUUAUACUUUAUUCAUAUGGAAAGAAAACAUCAAGAAAGGACCUCUGAUUUUUAUUAUAACAGAAAAAAGUGGUCCAUAAGCCUAUUUAUUAUUUUAUUUAUUCAAUACAAAUUGCCAACUUAAAAAAUGGUAAAAAUCACAAAAUGCACAAGUAAAAUUUUAGAAUUACAUUUUUUUAAUUCUCUUUGAGUCUCUGUUUCUCUCUUUAAAAAAUAAACCUCACUGUAAAAUUAGAAUAAUUUUAGACAUAAAAUUUGGCAAUCACCAAACAAAAAAUGUAGGGAAAUGAAAAUGGAGGAGCCCUAUUAUCAUUAGAAUAUUGAUCAUAGAUACUAUAAUGUAAAUGAUUUUUUGUGGUUCAUUCAACCUGUCACACUCUAAGCCAUUUUCUAAAAUUUGUAAGGUUUAUAGGAUUUUUAUUAUUGGCAUCAUUGUAUCAAUAAUAUUAUAAAUUAUAUAUUCUAUUGUAAUGAAAAUUUGUGUAAUCUUAGGUAUUUAUUGUAUUAAAUUGUGUGGAUUAAUUAAGAAUAUUUUUGGAGACAAAAGAAGUGUGUGUACGUAGGAUUAAUGAUAAAAAAUUUCUAAAUAAAGGUGAUUGCUUCAUUGACAAGUACAUAUUUAUAUUCUCUAUUAGUAUUUGGGUUGUAAACUUUGUUUAUAAAGUGAAUAUAUUGUGGUAAGCGAUGUGGGCAAUAUCGGAUGCAAAAUAUUGAGAGAUCAUUAACGCAUAUAUUUAUUGAAGACGCAUAUAGAGGAAAGAGUGUAGAUCCGGCUGUAACAAUUAUGAAGCUUUCCCCAAGUAUUCUCACGCUUCCUUAACUGUUCCAAAGUAUUUUUCAUAGUGUGCAGAUUUACUUUAUGGUGUCUUAAUCCGUCUAAAAUGAUUACUUUAGUUCUUUUGGGAUGAAAGGUCAUUUAUUGUGUUAGUAUUAAACAAUAGAAAAAAUAAGUAAUGGUAACGAAAGACUAAUUUGUGAUAUUGAAGUAUACAUGCUUAACUCAAUCCAAACUUAGUAAGUUAGCUCAAGAGUUAAGAGUUGUCCAAAUCUUAUAUACUGAACCCAAGUUCAAUACUCAAUUGAUGUAGGAUGUUAUUCAUAACACCGCCCGUCAUGCGUAGGAUUGGCAAAAAAACUCGAGUCAAUCCCACCUAGACCUGCAAGCUUUAUUUAUGGCCAGCAUAAUGAAGUUACAGAUAUUAACCUAAAAAUUUGAAACUUACUAUGAGUGGCCUUGGUUAAAGACUUUUGCAACUUUAAUUUAUAACAAGUAUGUACACACACACACACACACACACACACACAUGUUUAGAUUGCAUUUGGAUGACUUUUUUUUAUCAAUGCAAACAAUAUCAAAUUUAUCGGAUUAAUUUGAAUCUGAUCUAUAUCCGAUUUUGCCUACCCCUACUAUUUAUAAGCCCAAGUGACUCUCUUUUACUAAUUAAUAAGGGAAUUUUUUGACCUCAUGUCCUUGCUGUGGCAUUAGACUGUUGGUCAUUUUGAUUGUUUCCUACCUUCCAUUUACGCCAGCUGUAACAUUGUAUUAUUCACCAUUUUAGCCAUUUAAAUGAAAUUUUAUUUUUGUCAAAAAUAAAAUGACACCCUUAAAAUUAAAAAAAAAAUAGUUAUGUAGACCUCAAAUUUUUAAUAAAGAAUGUCAAUACCUCUUUUAACUACAAGAUUCGUAGUAGAUGAUAAAAAGAAAAUUAACCUCAAAUUUUUUCAUUAAAUGUAAAUCUGAUUGAAGUAGUUUAAAUUUUUCUAGUAGACUAAUAUAUAUAACUUAAAUAAUUAAUUUCAUUAUUAAUUUUUAAAAUGUUAACUAAUAUAUUUUUAAUUUAUUAUAAAAUUUUUAAAUAUUAUCCUUGGAUUAAAUAGAUUUUACAAUUAAUGUAAUACUUCUUAUUUUUUAAUAAUAUUAAAAUUAUUUUAUAUGAUAUUCAAAAUAAUUUAAACUUAUAUAUAUUAAUAUUAUGUCUAUUUAUUAUAAUAUGGUUUAAUAUUAUACGGGAUUGUAAAAUAUUAAAAUAUUCUUCAAUAUCAAAUUAUUUUAAUAUGUACAUAUCAUUACUUUUAUUUUAGUAUCGCAUUUAUAUUUAUUAUAAAUAUAAAAUUAAUAAAAUUAAAGAGUAUUGCAGUAAAGUAAAAAAAAAAAGUCUUAUUAUCCCUUAUUCAUGAUAUGAGAUUCUACAAAAUUAUUUCCCGAAACGGGUGUCCUUUUCUCAUUUUCAAAAGAAAAAAUAAAGUAAGAAUAAGUCCAUGGGUUUCAAAAACUUCUAGUCCUAUCCCGGGACUACAUUGCUGCCACUAUAACUAAUGGAAAUGACAUUUCAAUUGACAUUGCCUUUCGCAACAUGAAAAAUUUUUGGUGGGAUAUGGAAGAAUUGUCAAAAGUUCACGCCGUGUGAGAGUUUUUGGUAGGAUGUAGGAGGAUUGUCAAAAGAUCACACCAUGUGAUAAAACCACAAUUGCUAUGGUUUUUAUUUUUUAAAUAAUGAUGGGAGUUAUAAAUUAUUUAUAUAAAUUUGCGUAGAAACUAAUGUAACAUAAAAGAAAUAGCUGAAUAACAAUAUUUGGUGCUUUAAGUAAUUUUUAUAUGAGCCUUUCUUUUAUUUAGCGGCUUUAGUGUUUAAACAAACUUGUUCUCGAUCUUAAUUUACUGACCCCAUUUAAGCCCAUAAUUAAACAUAUUCUUUUGUGACGAAAACAUCAAGAGAAGACAUCUCAUGUUUUAUUAUAACAGAAAAAGAAGUAGUCCAAACAUCUAUUCGUUAUUUUAUUUAUUCAAUAUAAAUGGCCAACUUUAAAAAAAUGAUAAAAAUCACACAACGCUCAAGUAAAAAUUUAGAAUUACAUUUUGUAAUACUCUCUGAGUCUCUCUCUCCUGCCCCCCCCCCCCCUUCCUUUUAAAAAAAAUAAACCUUAGUGUAAAAUUAGAAGAAUUUUAGAUAUAAAAUUUGGCAAUAGCUAAACAGAAAAGCGGCGGAUUGAAAAUAAAAAAGCUCUAUUACCAUUGGAAUAUUGAUUAUAGAUAAUAUAAUAACUUGUUGUGGUUCAUUGUAGCACUGUGAGCCAUAUUCUAAAAUUUAUAGGUUUGUUAAGGCAUUUAUUAUUGACAUUAUUGUGUCAAUACUAUUAUAAUUUAUUCAUUUUAUUGUAAUGAUAAUUUGUCUAGUCUUAGGUACUUAUUAUAUUAAAUUAUGUAAAUUAAUUGAGGAUACUUUUAGAGACAAAAGAAACACGUGUAUGUAGGAUUAAUAAUCGAAGAAUUGUAAAUGAAGGUGAUUGCUUCAUUGAGAGGCAUAUUAAAUAAUUAUGGAGAGUUGCACUAUUUCGGAAGCACAUAUUUAUACUUCCCUAUCAGGAUUUGGGAUAAACGAAGUGCUUUAUCUAUUGCAGUAAGCAAUGUGGGCAAUAUCAGAGGCGAAAUAUUAAAAGAUCAUCCAUGAAAAGCUUCGUAACAGAAAAACCGUCUUUCAAAAAAAAAUAAAAUAAAAUAAAAAUAAAAACAGAAAAACCGACUCAUUUAUCUGCCAAUGAACCAAUCAGGACUCAUUUAAAAAAGAAUACAAAGCAAAAGUAAAUGACACAAAUUGCAUAGAUAUCUAGUAGCCGCAUCAAAGGACAAAGGUGUUAAUUUGUCCAAGAAUAAAUUCUCCUAGGUCAAAAGCAAUUAACGAUGAAAACUUUCUUCAUUAAGGUUCUGGCCUACGUAAAAAAACAGAAAAAAUCACCCCAAGGUCAAAGCACAACGAUAAGUUUAGAAUUGGAAUUUUUAAUUUUUUUUAAUAAAUCAACGUGUAUCAAAAAUAGAUAAUAAUUUUGGAUAACUUUUUUUGAUAAAUAUAGACAUAAAAUUUUAAAAUCGCCAAACAGAAAAACAGGGGAAUUAAAACAAAGUCCCUGUUUAUCCUCUAUUUUGCUUGUUAUUAAAAAGGGAAAUGAAAAGAUUGCAAGCCGAAAUUUUGUUUCUGCGUUGUCUCUUCUCAAUGCUGCAUGCAUUCAAAUUAAACCUUACAUAUGCUAGCAAACUAGCUACUCUGCAUGUAAGUUCUCGAUAAGUCCAAAUAAUAGAAUAAUUGUAAAAUGUUCAAAUUCAGUAAUUAAUUAUACAUAUUUAUUUAUUCAAAAAUUAUUAUUAUUACUAAUUAUUGUCAAUAAUAUAUUAAUAUACUAAUUAAUUGUAAAAAAAUUUAUCAUUCAUAACAAUAAUGAUGAUGAUGAUAAUAAUAAAAAUUCAAAAUAUAUUAAUUAAUUAUAAUAAUAUAUUAAUUAUUUAAUAAUAAUAUAUUUAAAAUAUAUAAAUUGAUUAGAAUAGUUAUAUUAAUAAAUUAUAAACAUAUAUUAAUUAAUCAUAAUAAUUUUUUAAUUGAUGACAAAAUAGAUAUUUUAUAGUUUGUGAGAGGGGGCAAAAUGAUCAAUCUUGGGAAUGGGGGAUUGAUUCCCACCACCUUCCUUAGGAAUCAAUCUUCCAUUCCUCAUUCCUAAUUUGGGUGGUCCCCAUAGUUCUUAUUCGGAUCCCAGCCUCUAUUUUGUGAAGUAAACAUCAUUAAUGAUUUCGAUUUCGGAUUCCGAUUCUCCAAUCCAAGAAGUAAAGGCACCAUUAUUGUUAAUUGGUUCAAACACACAAAGAGAAUGUACCAUGUAGCUAGGCGUCAAGGUUGUGUGGCACAAGGUUGUGUGGCACAAGUAGGGAUGGCAAUUCAACCCGCACCCGGCCCGGACCCGGAUGAAACCCGGAUUUUCCAGUCCGGGUUUAACCCGUACCGGAUUAAAUAAAAUCCGGAUCCGGAUGUCAUUUUAAAAACCCGCAUGUACCCGGGUCCGGUUCCGGGUUUAAGUAAACCCGUACAUCCGGAACCCGGACCCGGAUAUAUAUUAAUUUUAAAAAAUUAUUUUUAAUAUAAAUAGAAAGCAAAAAAAACCCAAAUGGUGCCCUAGAAGCUCAUUACACUUUCCCAGCCGCACAAACAUUUCCUCUCUUAUUCCCUCUUCAGCUCAUCUUCAUCUUCAUCAAAUCAUCGUCGCAUCACUUGCCCAUCUUCGCGGCUGUUCAACUUCAACAUCAUCAUCAUCAUCAUCAUCAGCCGUCGUUUCCUUUCUUUUUCUGCGGCGACCGGUAACUAGCUGUGAUACGGGUUGAACGCCGCCUUUGCCAAUCGCAACCGCGGCUGUGUUCAUCAUCAUCAACCGCCGUCACUUUCAAGAACGAUACUCGAAAAUAUUUUGAUGGGAAUCUUGUUUUUGGUCAUUUUAGUAACAGUGUGUGCAAGUGCGAGUGAGAGAGAGAGAGAACGUGGCUUACUCGAUGCCACUUAUCAUGCUUUCAUCUUUUUUCAUCCAGUGCGGGGUCUGUCUUUGUUGGCUUUUUGGAAAACUUGUUGCUUUUAAUGGUGUAUUACUUCUUUUGAAUAUCCAAUCAAUGUAAACUUAUUUACAUUACCCCUCCAGUUUUCCCAUCACCAUUAAAAGUGCUUUGGUUGCUCCUUGACUGUGCUUUGGUUGCUCCUUGACUCCUGACUUCCUGCUCGCAACAAAAGCUAGUUCUUUAGCUCUCUUUACUAAUUGAACGAGUCACCACAUUGGGUUGCUGAUUCUGGGCAGCCAAACAAAAUUGUUGUUUUUGUUAAUUAGUUUCCAGAUGAAAUAAUUUUUCUUUGAUUUGCUGAAAUCCUGGAUAUGUAUUUCUAUUUGAUUUUUUUAGUCGAAUUUAGUUUUUUUUUUUAAAUUGGAUUCAUCAAUCCGGGUUGGAAACCCGCAGUCCGGAAACCCGGAUUUUUCCGGGUUGAACCCGUACCGGACCCGGAGUGGAAAAAUGCGGGUUUAUUUCCGGGUCCGGUACAGAAAAUAUUCGUCCGGGUCCGGAUCCAGAAUGACUAAACCCGGACCCGGACCCGGAUUUUGCCAUCCCUAGGCACAAGUAACCUUUUUCUUUUCUUUUUAUUUUUUUUUGUUUUCCUUAACGGAUCAGAAGAAAUCGGUGCCUUUGAGAUACUACAAUGUAAAUAAGUACUUGUGGUUCAUUAAAUCUGUAACACUCGGUACCCUAAGGUUUCUUUUGAAAAAGGGCUUUUCUCACUGAUCACCAAUAUCCAAGUAAGUUUGUUUCAUUUCAGAAGGUGCAAAGUUUCAAACUUUUUGUAUUGGGAUGUAACAAACUUUGGCCUUAUAUGCCUGCUGUGACGUUAGACUGUUCAUUUUGAUUGUUUCAUACCUUUCACUUGCGCGCACUGUAGCACUGUAUUAUUCAUCAUUUUAGCUGUUUAAAUGAAAUUUUAUUUUUGUCAAAAAUAAAAUGACACCAUAAAAAUUUAGAAAAAUAAUCAUGUAGAUCCCAAAUUUUUAAUAAAGAAUACCAAUAUUCCCCUUGACUACAAUACCCUUAGUAGGUGGUAAUCAAACAAAUUGACUUAAACUUUUUUACGAAAUGUAAAUAUGAUUUAAAUAAUUUAAAUUUUCCAGUAGACUAAUAUAUAAUUUAAAUAAUUAAUUUCAAUAUUAAUUUUUAAAAUGUAAAUUAAUUUAUUUGUAUUUAUAAAAUAUUUGUAAUUAUUUUAAAAUUUUAACUAAAUCCUUAGGUUAAAUAGAUUUUACAAUUAAUAUAAUAUUUCUCAUGUAUUAAUAAUAUUAAAACUAUUUUAUAUGAUAUUGAAAAUAACCUAAAUUUUUAUAUAUUUAUUUGAAUAUUAUGUCUCUAUUUAUUAUAAUUUGGUUUAAUAGAAUACGAGAUUGUAAAUUAUUAAAAUUUUUAGAUAUUGAAAUUAUUUUAAUAUGUACAUAUUAUUAUAUUUAUUUUAAUAUCCUACUUAUAUUUAUUAUAAAAUAUUAAAAUUAAUUUUUUUAGUUAAUAAAUUUAAAAAAUAUUAUAAUUAAAAAAAAGAGUCUUAUUGCCUGUUAUUCACGAUAUGAGGUUCUACAAAAUUAUUUUCAAAAGGAAAAAUAAGUCCAGGGGUUUCAAUAAAUUCUAGUCCUAUCUGCCACUAUAACUAAUGGAAACGACAUUGCAAUUGACAUUGCUUUUCGCAAUAUGACAAUUUUUUGGAGGGAUAUGGGAGAAUCGUCAAAUGUUCACACUAUGCGGGAGUUUUGAAUGGGAUCGGGGAGAAUUGUCAAGAGUUCACACCACGAGAAACCAAUGAUAGCCAUAAUUACGCUGUCAGUUCUUUGUUUAUUUAUUUUGUUUAUUUCAUACAUUGUUGUCUUGUUGGCAUUGUUUUGUAAAUAUAUAAAAGUAAAGUAAACUAUUAGGGUGCUGCUAAGUUAAACUGUUGUAACUUACAAUCCCUUAAAAAAUAAUGUAAAAAAUUUAACACGUGGUGGGAUCGACAUAUGUUUGAAGAGGCUUUAAGUUACAGUAGUUGUGACUUAGAAAAAUCCAAAUAUUAGACAAUAACACACAUUAACAAUGCAUAUAAUUUGGGUUUGAUUUUUUUAAAAAUUAUUUGAGUAUUAACUAUCCUUAAGAUAUUAAUGUGAAUAUAAUUUAAUAUUAAAUAAUCAAAAUCUGUAUAAUUAUAAUAUAUAUUUCAUACAUUGCAUGUUUAAUCAAAAUCGGAUUGCUUUUUACCUUCCAUUUACGCCCACUGUAGCAUUGUACUAUUCACCAUUUUAGCUGUUUAAAUGAAAUUUUUAUUUUUUUUCAAAAAUAAAAUGACACCCUUAAAAUUUUAGAAAAUAGUCAUGUAAACCCCAAAAUUUUAAUAAAAAACACCAAUACCCUUUUUUACUAUAGUACUCUUAUGGUAGCCACAAAAAAAAAUGACUUCAAAAUUUUUUACUAAAUGUAAAUAUGAUUUAAAUAGUUUAAAUUUUCUAGUAGACUAGUAUGUAUAAUUUAAAUAAUUAAUUUUUAAAAUGUAAUUUAAUAUAUUUAUUUUAAUAAUAUAUUUAUUAUAAAAUUUUAAACAAAUCCUUGGGUUAAAUAGUUUUUAUAAUUAAUAUAAUAUUUCUCACGUUUUAAUAAUAUUAAAGUUAUUUUCUAUGAUAUUGAAAAUAAUUUAAAAUUUUAUAUAUUUAUUUUAAUAUUAUGUCUCUAUUUAUUAUAAUUUGGUUUAAUAGAAUACGAGAUUGUAAACUAUUAAAAUAUUUUUAGGUAUUGAAAUUAUUUUAAUAUGUAUAUAUUAUUAUAUUUAUUUUAAUAUCCUACUUAUAUUUAUUAUAAAAUAUUAAAAUUAAUUUUUUUAGUUAAUAAUUUAAAAAAAUAUUAUGGUUAAAAAAAAGAGUCUCAUUGUCCGUUAUUCACGAUAUGAGAUUCUACAAAAUUAUUUUCAAAAGGAAAAAUAAGUUCAGGGGUUUCAACAAAUUCUAGUCCUAUAUGCCAUUAUGACUAAUGGAAACGAUAUUGAAUUGACAUUGUUUUUUGCAAUAUGACAAAUUUUUGGAGGGAUAUGGGAGAAUCGUCAAGCGUUCACACCAUGCAAGAGCUUUAUGUCACGGGAUGAGUGUUUUGCGCAGCUAACCCGUGCGGCACUUAGACAACUUUGCCGAAUGUUGCUAAGUAAGCCUAGAGCUUCUCGAACAAGAGAAGAGAGCAAUUGAGCCAAAGAAGAAACUUGUAUUGCACAAAGAGAGAUUACAAUGCUUGUUGCUUACAAAGCUUGUUAGAUACAAAUGCCUAAUGCCAUUCCAUAUUUAUAGGGGAGGCUUGCCAAGCUCUAGAGAUUCUAGAGAAUUCUACCAACUAUCUAGAAUUUACAUGUGCUGGAAAGUCAUAGAGAAUUCUAGAGUAUUUACAAGCUCACAUGUGCUAGAGUUUCCUAGAACUUUCCGGAAUAAGGUCAAGCUAGCACUCUUGACCUUGUGUUGGCUCUCUACCCCGAAAUUGUGGGCAAUUGGGCUAGUGAAUUGGGAGGUCCGUAACAUCCUCCCCCACCUAAGCUCGCGGCGUCCUCGUCGUGCUCUCAUGCUUGAAGCGUUGGAUGUGCUCAGCGAAUUGCCACAAAUCAUCUUCACAUUCCCAAGUGGCUUCACUCUCGGGGAGGUUUUUCCACUUCACUAAGUACUCGCUAUGUGCUGGCACGCCUCUCCUCGAAACCGUGCGGUCCGCAAUGAUGUAGUCCACAUCUUUGUCGAACGCGUUGACAACGGCAGUUGGUGCACGCCUUGAUUCUCCAAGACUUGGUUCUCCCACGUCUUCGUGAUAUGGCUUGAGAAGGCUCACAUGGAAGACCAGAUGGAUCUUGAGUCUUGGUGGAAGUUGGAGUUGAUACGAGACGUUGCCCACAUGUCGAACAACUCGGAAGGGUCCCUCGUAGCGCCUCACUAACCCCUUGUGAACUUUCCGCAAAGUCUUGAAUUGUUGGGGUAGGAGCUUGAUCAUGACUUGAUCACCUUCCUUGUACUCAACAUGCCGUCUCCUUGUAUCCUCCCAUUUCUUCAUUUUCCUCGCGGCUUUGUCGAGAUAGGCUCGCGUGAUAUCCGCUUCCUCAUGCCAUUCGUGGGCGAGCUUGUGUGCCGCGGGAUUUUCCCUCCGUAAGUCGAGGCUAUGGCAUUGGGGGUCAUGGGCUGGAAUCCCAUGAUGAUCUCGAAUGGACUCUUGCCCGUAGCCUCACUUCGCUGCAAGUUAUAAGAAAAUUAGGCGAUGUCAAGUAGUUUCGCCCAAUCCCUCUGAUGAGCGCUCACAUAAUGCCUCAAGUACAUCUCGAGGAGGCCAUUGAUGCGCUCGGUCUGCCCAUCCGUUUGUGGGUGGAAGCUUGUCGAGAACUCGAGAUUGGUCCCCAACAUCUUGAAGAGCUCCGUCCAAAAAUACCCAGUGAACCGAGGGUCUCGGUCGCUCACAAUGCUUUUUGGAACUCCCCAAAGCUUCACAAUGUGCUUGACGAAUAGGCGGGCUGCCUCGUCCGCUUUACAGUCGACGGGUGCGGCAAUGAAUGUGACAUACUUGUUGUAUCGGUCGACAACAACGAUGAUGCUUCCGCAACCUUCAGACUUGGGGCAGCGAUGUGAUGAAGUCCAUGGAGACACUUUCUCAUGGCCUUGUUGCUAGCAGUAGCAGCUCCAACAAUCCCGCUGGAAGUUAAUGAUCCACCUUGUCUUGUUGGCACACAAGACAAGUUCGCACAUAUGCCUCGAUGCUGUCCCUCAUGUGCGGCCAAAAAUAUGAGGCUUGAACUAGUGCGGUGGUGCGCUCAAUUCCUGGGUGACCAGCCCACUUGGAGUCGUGGCACUCCUUGAUAACUUCCUUCCGCAAGUUUCCCCACCUUGGCACGAACAGCCGAUCUCCCUUGGUGAGGAGGAUGCCUUCCUCUUGCCAAAAUCACCUUGUCUUUCCCUCGAGCACCUUCUCUAGCAAAUCCUUGGCUAGCGGAUCUUGUUGGAAGCCUUCCUUGAUGCGUGAGACAAGGUCGGACUUCGGUUGGCUCAUGCUAAGUGUCGCCAAUUCGGCCUUGCGGCUUAGAGCGUCCGCAACGACAUUGGUCUUGCCUGGUUUGUACUCAAGCCGAUAGUCAAAUUCCGCUAGGAAAUCUUGCCACCGCGCUUGCUUCGGACUCAACUUCUUCUGAGUUUGGAAGUAGCUUGUCGCUACGUUGUCCGUCAUAAUCGUGAAGUGAGAGCCUAGCAAGUAAUGUCGCCACACGCGCAAGCAAUGUAUGAUGGCUGUCAUCUCCUUUUCUUGCACUGUGUAGCGGCGUUCCGUAUCAUUAAGCUUUCAACUCUCGAACGCUAUAGGGUGGCCUUCUUGCAUGAGGACUUCUCCUAUGGCAAAAUCCAAGGCAUCCGUUUGGACUUCAAAGGGCUUUGUGUGGUCCGGGAGAGUAAGGACAGGUUCCUCCGAAAUUGCCUUCUUCAAAUCCUCGAAUGCGCGUUGGCACUCUUUAGACCAAUGCCACGUUCUGUUUUUCUUGAGCAUAUCCGUCAAGGGUGCUGCCUUGGCCGAAUAGCCCUUGAUGAAGCGGCGGUAGUAGUUCACCAAACCAAGGAAUAAGCGAAGCUCGGGCACUUUCGAGGGAAGUUCCCAUUCAAGGAUGGCCUUCACUUUAGCAUUCUCCAUCAUAAUCUUCCCGUCCGCAAUCUUGUGGCCAAAGAACUCCACCUCUUGUUGGGCAAACGAGCACUUCUCUAGUUUGAGGAAGAGCUCAUUGUCUCGAAGUACUUGGAGGACUUGUCGCAAGUGUUGGGCAUGAUCCUAGAGCGUGGUGCUAUACACCACUAUGUCAUCCAAGUACACGACCACGAAGCGGUUGAGGAAUGGUUGGAGCACCUUGUUCAUGAGCGUACAAAAUGUGGCGGGUGCAUUAGUAAGGCCAAAAGGCAUUACAAGGAAUUUGAAAAACCCGUACCUUGUUGUGCACGCUGUCUUUGGUUCGUCUCCCUUGGCGAUGCGUUCUUGGUAGUACCCUGAGCGCAAGUCGAGUUUGGUGAAGUACCGCACUUUGCCAAGCUGGUCGAACUAGUCUGCGAUCAAGGAAAUCGGAUACUUGUUCUUGAUAGUGAUCUUGUUGAGUGCUCUAUAGUCGAUGCACAUCCGCAGCGAUCCAUCCUUUUUCUUUUGGAAGAGGACCGGUGCACCGAAUGGGGCCUUUGAGGGGCGAAUAUAGCCUGCGUUCAGCAAGUCUUUGAGUUGUCUCCACAACUCUUAUAAUUUUGGUGGCGCCAUGCGGUAGGGCGCCAGGGCUGGUGGCUUCGCGCCUUGUUCCAGCUCGAUGGCAUGAUCUACCUCUUGUCGAGGUGGGAGCUUCUUCGGAAGUUCUGGAGGCAUCACGUCCUUGUACUCAUUGAGGACGACUUGAAUUCGCGGAGGGACUUGGCUUGGCGAAGUUCCGCUAUGUCCUUCCUCAUUUAGUUCUCGAAUAGAGACCAAGAAGCUUGGGUCCUUCUUGAAAGCCCUUUUGAAUUGCAUGGCGGAGAGUGUCUUCUCCUCGGACUUGCCUCGCUCCGUGGGUACCAUGCAUGCUUUGCUCCCGUCGAGAAUGCUUAGGGAGUUUGUAGCGGGCAGCGGGAAGGCAUGGACUUGGUCAAAGAAUUUCAUGCUGAGGACCAUCUUGAAGUCGUCCAUGGGCACAAUGGAGAAGUCAAGCUUUCCGCUCCACGUACCGAGUGUGAUGUGCACGCCUUGUACGAUUCCCGCAAUUGGCUUGGCGGGUGAGUUUACUACCUUCAUUGUGCCUCCUUCCUUCGUGGCCUUGAGGCCUAAGCGCUUGGCCUCAUCUACGGACACGAAGUUGUGCGUUGCUCCCGUGUCUAGCAGCGUGCGAACGGACUGGCCGUUUACCUUUGCGCUAACAUACAUGAGCCAUUUCUUGACGAGUGCGGGCUGUUGGCGAUUGAGUGCGCCGAGGCGUUGGAGAGAACCCAUGCUGAGUUGGGGUUCCUCCGUGGACAUUGUAGGGUUGCUCUUGAGUUGGGCAGCAAGAGCGUUAAGCGACCUCUUCUCCGGACAGUCGCGCACCCAAUGGGGACCAUUGCAUAUGAAGCAUGGGUUUCGCAGUUUUGGCGCCUCCUUCUUGCCCUCCGAUUUUCCUUGCCCGCUCUUGUUAUUAGGCGGCUUUUUAUGCCCCCAAUCUUUACGGUUGUUGCCCUUGUCCUUGUGACUCUCUCCCCUACCUUUGCCUUGACUAGACUUCUUGUCUUUGGAUUGGGUAGAGUAUUCGGUGAGCGAUUCCGCAACGGCGAUGGCGUCGUCAAGUGUUUGAACACCACACCUAUCAAGCUCGGUCUUGGCCCAAUCCUUGAGGCCAUCUUGGAAGUAGAAGAGUGAAUCUUUGUCAGACAUGUCGCUUAUCUCCAACAUAAGGGUAGUGAACUCAUUGAUGUAGUCCCGAAUGCUACCCGAUUGCUUGAGGCGACGUAAGCGCGCUCGCGCUUCCUUCUCCGCAUUGCUUGGGGCGAACUGUUUUCAGAGUUCUUGCUUGAAGUCGGCCCAAGUGUCGAUGGUGCAAAUGCCCUUGCCCAUCUCGCCAUGCUUGCGACACCACCAUAGUUGUGCAGCACUUCGAAGAUAAGUGGGUGCAGUGCCCACUUUCGAUGCCUCAUCUCGUACACCCAUGGCAUCGAAGUAUUGAUCCAGCCCGAAUAAGAAGUUGUCCACGAUUGUGGCAUUGCGUGUUGUUGUGCAAAUUUUAAUGUACUCGCAAGCGCACGAAUCUAUUAUAGUAUAGAUCAAUGGUGACGAGUGUCGAUCCCACGAGAAGGUGGAUUUUAAUUGUGUAUAGAAUUAAUUUUGCAAAUGGUUGAUUGGAUUUGUGGUGGAAAUGAUUUGGAAUAUGCUAAAACUUAAAUUAAAAUGGCGAGAAUAAAUUCUGAAAUUGGAAUUGAAAUGACGAGAAUAAAUUGAAGAGAAUUCUAUUGAAAUGACGUACUUGGGUAUCUGGAUCCGUAUCAACAUGCAUCAUGGGCUAAAUAAUCCGUAUUAAUGCCAAUUAAAUCAUGAGGGGGGAAUCCACACCUCAUGAACCACGCUCUAAUCAAUAUGGUGCUAAGGGCUUAUCGUGCCAAAUAAUAAUAACCUUGUACUAGAGAGCCGGUGUAACCAAGGCGGUAUCUAGACAAGAUCAGUAUUAUUUGUCGACGAUAAGUCAAAUCAUCCACAAAAACUAGAGGGGAAAAGAAAAUAAAUUUACCAAAUAAAGCCCAUGACACAUGUUGAGACUUCACCUUCAACCCAAGCUUGAAAGAAAAUUAGCCACUCAUAAUUGAACUAAGGGCAAAAUGGGAAUUUAUUAAAAUACAAAGAAAAUACAAGAUGGAGAAGGAAUUACAGAAAAUGGAUCCCAAAAAUGGAUUCAGAGAUAUCAAAUUAGGGGGGGGAGGCCCCCUUUUUAUAGAUACAUGGAGUAAAUCAUGGCCAUCGGAUUAAAAACAGUUUGGACGCUCAGGAUUGCGCCACGUCAUCAGUCAACAGUCCACGGUUUGACCACGCGGAUGAACAGUAACACGGUUUGACCUGGAUGAACAGUAACGCGGUUUGGUUGACAAUAAUCCUGUGUGAUGCAUGCACCGUACGCGAGAUUUUUCGUCCACUGAUAUGCUGCCACGUCACCAUCAACAGUACAUAAGAUUUUAGUCCAACAGGAUCGUGACACCUCAUCAGUCAAUGCCACAUCAUCGGUCAAUGCCACAUCAUCGGUCAAUGCCACGUCAUCGAUCAAUGCCACGUCAUCGAUCCGUCUAUGUGAACAGUGUCGUGAACAGUAACGUAGACAGUACCGUAUACGUGAAUAGUACCGUACAUGUGAAUAGUGCCAUUUUUCCUUUUAUGCUCCUCCUAAGGUUUUCGACCGUCCUGAGUUCAAAAGUGAUGUCCGUUUUGCCAUCUGAUCUCUCCUUUAUUGUGAAAUGACUAUAAUGCCCCUAAAAUACAUAAAAUACUUAAUUAAAAUAACACACACGUAAUUACAUCACAAGAAGGUUAAAUACAUAAAAGUAAGGGUUGUUAGUAAGACUUGAAAUGUAAAAUGACGGUUUUCUCCUUUAUAAAUAUGCAUUUUCUAACACUCAACACACCCCCCAACCAGCUUAUUGCUAGUCCCUAGCAAAUAAAGCGAAAACAAAAUUCAAAUUCAAAUUUUUUUUUUUUUUUUUAGAAACACUCGUGUUUAUUCAAUCAGAUUAAUGAUAGCAAUCAAAUAAAAGUAUAAGCAUUAUCUCCAGUCUAAAGCAAUAUCACACCCACAUCAACCAUCCACAUGAAUCGGCCCAGUAGAUUUUGUUAUAGGUACUUUCAAGAAUGACAUGUCAAACCCCAAAAUCUCACUGGAAGUAAUGACACUCUCACAAAUAAAUUAAACCCAAUAAAAAUAGUCACUCCAAUGAAUGGUAAUUGAGAGAGAAAAUAAUAAAGAAGUGAUAUCACAUGCUCUCACCAAGAUGAAAUAAAUAUGCCCUUAGCUUAGAAAUAAUACGAUCUCAAGUCAAAUAAAAUGUUAGUCAACCCACUUUAUAUAUCUUUUUUUUUUUUUAUUAUGCAUCACUACAUCUUUUUAGCCCAUAUAACUAGCUUCUACUUCAAACUAUAGUUCCCUAAAAUCAAGAAGGACUUUUAUUAGGACGUAACGUAGGCUAGGGAUAUGGCUAAUAAAGAAAGGAAAUAAGGAAAACAAAGUGUAUGUUUGAGAAAAAUGCAGAAAUAAUUUUUUUUUUUUUUUGAAGUUGCAAGGUAGAUUUCACCUAUUAUUGUUAUUUUAUUCUUUUGAAACAACAACUUUUGUUUUUAUUUUAAUUUUUUUUUUUACUUUUAUUUGGCAUAACUUCACUGAACAACAUAAUUAUUUACAUUUUCUCAAACAUAAAUAGGUGAUGGAACUUAAAAGACAUUGGGUAAUACUCCAAAUCGGAGUGGGUCAAGAUGAUAAGUUGACAAAGAAAAUGUUUUUUUUUUUUUUUUUUUAAAGGCUCAAAAGGGGUAACUAUGGAUAUUUAAUAACAGGGAUGGCUAGAAAGGCUCAAACGGAUCAAAGAUGGUCUUUCCAUCGUUUUUUAGGGCUCUAAAUAAUUAUCCAUAUCUACUAGUUAAAUGGGCAUCCCAAUAUAGCAACACACAUUUUUUUCUUUUUUCUUUUUUUUUUUACCAUUUUUUUUUAAAGGGUUAACUCAAAAGAAAUCUAGAGAUCGUGUAUAAAAUAAUAAACUGCUAAGUUGUAUAGAGAAUGGGCAAAAGGGUUACUCUCCAAGAAAAUGAUAGGCUCAACUACUCACUUGGCACUUAUUUAUGACAUGUUCAUUCCUUCAAGCAACUCAUAUUUGUCUCCGACAUCAACAUGUAAAGUAGCAAACAUAGCGUAACAUCACUUAAGACCAAAGAUAAUACAAAUACUAAAAUUUGAAAUUAAUCAUGUCAUCCAAUGUUAAAACAAAUAACACAAUUUUUUUUUUUUAAACAACAUUCUACCCCCCAACCUAUUCUAAACAUGAAAGGAAAAUAUGCAUGCAGAAAUGUGAAAAUGAUGUAGAAAAAUUAAUUAGAAAAAGAAAUUUUUUUUUUUUAAACUAAGAAGAUGCGUUUCUAGAGGCACUACACUCCAUAUUCAGCCAUCUUCGACUCAAAAAUUUGAAACUACAUAUUUAUAAAGGAGAAAGAGGAAGAAAACAGGUUUUUUUUUUUUUUUUUUUUUUUUUAAACGAUGAAGAUGCGUUUCUAGAGGCACUACACUCCAUAUUCAGCCAUCUUCAACAUAAAAUGUUAGCAACAGUUAGUUUCUACAACAAAAAAUCAGUAAAAACUUAACCAAGAUUCCACAAUUGUCGACUAUUCCCUCCCCCCAACCAGAACGAAACAUUGUCCUCAAUGUUUUAAAGGAAAGAAGUAGAGUUUAGAAGACAUCACCUGGGUGGUGCAACACAGAAGAAAAUAUUUACAGGCGGAGAGUUAAAUCUAAUUUGUACUUCUUACUGCGGCUACUGUUACCAUCAUUAUUUGGUCGCUCCAACACAAAGGUCCAGGGGUCUGGCUCCGGUUUAUAAGCUUGUAACAUAUCAAGUAGCUCAUUAGCAGUGUGAGCACAAAUAAAGAGUUUUUUCACAUUAGAAGGAAUGAAAUAGUUUUUUAUUGCAUGGUUAAGAAAUGCGAUAAAGCCAUCAUAAAAGUUAUUGACAUUUAACAAACCGAUGGGUUUCUGGUGGAUGUGCAGAUGGGCCCAAGAUGCUAGUGUCAUAAGUGCCUCUAGUGUUGCAAGAUCUCCUGGAAGGAAAAUAAAAGCAUCAGCAUGAUUAAGCAUUUCAGUUAUUCUUUCUUGCAUACCUGAGACGACUAACUCUUCUCCAGUUGAUGAGUCAGACGAACUGCCCAAUGGUUUUAGGAUUCUUGGGAUGAUGCCUAACACUUGACUUCCUCUGAUAAAAGCUGCUUCUGAGACCAUUUUUGAUAACCCUCGGUUACCUCCUCCAUACACCAAAUGUAAUUUUCUCGCUGCUAUGCUUCGACCAAGAUCUAUGGCUGCCUCCACGAACUCUUUAUGUUUGCCAUAGGUAAAUCCAGAAAGCACACAAAUGUUCUUGAAUUGUCUAUUAGGAGUAGCUGCCAUUGUGAUACUUCUCAAAAAUAAUUUGUGAGUGCUUGACAAAAGAUAAAUCACAUUUAAGAAUCUUGGUGACAGUGGAUCACAGCUGUGAAUAAGGUAACAUGUCAGUGUCAAAUAACGCGUAAAGCACGUGGCUCGCGAGUCAAAAAGGAAACAGUAAAAAGGAAAAAGCAAACAGUAACAAAAUUAUUAAAGACAAUAAUGCAAACAAUAAAACAACAGUGAAAUGAAAUAAAAUAACAGUAAAGUAAAAGGAUAUUUACACGUAGUUGCGACUGUGGCUCACAUCUUCCUCUGGUUUUACGUCCAGAAACGGCUUGAACGCCCUCUAUGGGUCGAGGAUAGGCUUCCUAUCCAGUUUUCUUAUAAACUGGCAAACAGGGUCGUUUAUAGUCAGAUUCCCAAGACUAUAUUGUGUAUGCUCUUUCUGGAAUAAUGGCCAUAACUGGAGAAUCGCUCCUUGCACAUAUCCACUGGGAUGCGUUUCAAGAGACAAAAGGAUAUCAUCCAAUGACUCCUUAUUCAAGCCAUCCCUAAUGAAUUGAAUCUUAUCUUCUCUGUUAUCAGACACCAUUCCUAAAGAACAUGGGUUUCUAUCGCAACUCAUUCUGGCACACUUGUGACAAGCAACAGAAAUUCUUCGAGCUCGUCGUUUUCUUGCGUAAUUUCCUUUACCACAACCAGGCAUGUAUGCAAUAAAUUUAGGAGGUAACUCACCUGCCAAUCGUACUUUAGCCUCGAUUAACCAACGGAUGUCUGCAGGUAUGUUAUUCCUCAUGAGCAAUCGCAUGCGUUCAGACCGGGCUUUAUAGAUUGUAAGGAGGGCAUUCUGAGGAAGUGAAGGGAAUCGCUUGUGAAGCUUUGCUAGAAUCUCGUUUCUAUCCAUACCUUCGCCUCAGAAUAUCAGUUAUUAUGGGAAACUGAAGUAACCGACUUGAUUGUCACGGAGUACCGUUAUCCGCCACUUCACCGGGGUAACAAACUAAAGCACACAAAUAGAAAAACAAAUCAAAACACACAAAGAAAAUUAAAAUCGUCCUCUUAUUGAAUUUACCUCAAGCUCCAACUGGAUGUCGUAAACACUUCUCUCAAUGUCUCUGAGUUGGCGUUCUAAACCCUCAACAUAGGCUACUAACUCUGGUGGUUGUAGAGCCCAAAUGCGUUGUGUUUUACAAAAUNNNNNNNNNNNNNNNNNNNNNNNNNNNNNNNNNNNNNNNNNNNNNNNNNNNNNNNNNNNNNNNNNNNNNNNNNNNNNNNNNNNNNNNNNNNNNNNNNNNNNNNNNNNNNNNNNNNNNNNNNNNNNNNNNNNNNNNNNNNNNNNNNNNNNNNNNNNNNNNNNNNNNNNNNNNNNNNNNNNNNNNNNNNNNNNNNNNNNNNNNNNNNNNNNNNNNNNNNNNNNNNNNNNNNNNNNNNNNNNNNNNNNNNNNNNNNNNNNNNNNNNNNNNNNNNNNNNNNNNNNNNNNNNNNNNNNNNNNNNNNNNNNNNNNNNNNNNNNNNNNNNNNNNNNNNNNNNNNNNNNNNNNNNNNNNNNNNNNNNNNNNNNNNNNNNNNNNNNNNNNNNNNNNNNNNNNNNNNNNNNNNNNNNNNNNNNNNNNNNNNNNNNNNNNNNNNNNNNNNNNNNNNNNNNNNNNNNNNNNNNNNNNNNNNNNNNNNNNNNNNNNNNNNNNNNNNNNNNNNNNNNNNNNNNNNNNNNNNNNNNNNNNNNNNNNNNNNNNNNNNNNNNNNNNNNNNNNNNNNNNNNNNNNNNNNNNNNNNNNNNNNNNNNNNNNNNNNNNNNNNNNNNNNNNNNNNNNNNNNNNNNNNNNNNNNNNNNNNNNNNNNNNNNNNNNNNNNNNNNNNNNNNNNNNNNNNNNNNNNNNNNNNNNNNNNNNNNNNNNNNNNNNNNNNNNNNNNNNNNNNNNNNNNNNNNNNNNNNNNNNNNNNNNNNNNNNNNNNNNNNNNNNNNNNNNNNNNNNNNNNNNNNNNNNNNNNNNNNNNNNNNNNNNNNNNNNNNNNNNNNNNNNNNNNNNNNNNNNNNNNNNNNNNNNNNNNNNNNNNNNNNNNNNNNNNNNNNNNNNNNNNNNNNNNNNNNNNNNNNNNNNNNNNNNNNNNNNNNNNNNNNNNNNNNNNNNNNNNNNNNNNNNNNNNNNNNNNNNNNNNNNNNNNNNNNNNNNNNNNNNNNNNNNNNNNNNNNNNNNNNNNNNNNNNNNNNNNNNNNNNNNNNNNNNNNNNNNNNNNNNNNNNNNNNNNNNNNNNNNNNNNNNNNNNNNNNNNNNNNNNNNNNNNNNNNNNNNNNNNNNNNNNNNNNNNNNNNNNNNNNNNNNNNNNNNNNNNNNNNNNNNNNNNNNNNNNNNNNNNNNNNNNNNNNNNNNNNNNNNNNNNNNNNNNNNNNNNNNNNNNNNNNNNNNNNNNNNNNNNNNNNNNNNNNNNNNNNNNNNNNNNNNNNNNNNNNNNNNNNNNNNNNNNNNNNNNNNNNNNNNNNNNNNNNNNNNNNNNNNNNNNNNNNNNNNNNNNNNNNNNNNNNNNNNNNNNNNNNNNNNNNNNNNNNNNNNNNNNNNNNNNNNNNNNNNNNNNNNNNNNNNNNNNNNNNNNNNNNNNNNNNNNNNNNNNNNNNNNNNNNNNNNNNNNNNNNNNNNNNNNNNNNNNNNNNNNNNNNNNNNNNNNNNNNNNNNNNNNNNNNNNNNNNNNNNNNNNNNNNNNNNNNNNNNNNNNNNNNNNNNNNNNNNNNNNNNNNNNNNNNNNNNNNNNNNNNNNNNNNNNNNNNNNNNNNNNNNNNNNNNNNNNNNNNNNNNNNNNNNNNNNNNNNNNNNNNNNNNNNNNNNNNNNNNNNNNNNNNNNNNNNNNNNNNNNNNNNNNNNNNNNNNNNNNNNNNNNNNNNNNNNNNNNNNNNNNNNNNNNNNNNNNNNNNNNNNNNNNNNNNNNNNNNNNNNNNNNNNNNNNNNNNNNNNNNNNNNNNNNNNNNNNNNNNNNNNNNNNNNNNNNNNNNNNNNNNNNNNNNNNNNNNNNNNNNNNNNNNNNNNNNNNNNNNNNNNNNNNNNNNNNNNNNNNNNNNNNNNNNNNNNNNNNNNNNNNNNNNNNNNNNNNNNNNNNNNNNNNNNNNNNNNNNNNNNNNNNNNNNNNNNNNNNNNNNNNNNNNNNNNNNNNNNNNNNNNNNNNNNNNNNNNNNNNNNNNNNNNNNNNNNNNNNNNNNNNNNNNNNNNNNNNNNNNNNNNNNNNNNNNNNNNNNNNNNNNNNNNNNNNNNNNNNNNNNNNNNNNNNNNNNNNNNNNNNNNNNNNNNNNNNNNNNNNNNNNNNNNNNNNNNNNNNNNNNNNNNNNNNNNNNNNNNNNNNNNNNNNNNNNNNNNNNNNNNNNNNNNNNNNNNNNNNNNNNNNNNNNNNNNNNNNNNNNNNNNNNNNNNNNNNNNNNNNNNNNNNNNNNNNNNNNNNNNNNNNNNNNNNNNNNNNNNNNNNNNNNNNNNNNNNNNNNNNNNNNNNNNNNNNNNNNNNNNNNNNNNNNNNNNNNNNNNNNNNNNNNNNNNNNNNNNNNNNNNNNNNNNNNNNNNNNNNNNNNNNNNNNNNNNNNNNNNNNNNNNNNNNNNNNNNNNNNNNNNNNNNNNNNNNNNNNNNNNNNNNNNNNNNNNNNNNNNNNNNNNNNNNNNNNNNNNNNNNNNNNNNNNNNNNNNNNNNNNNNNNNNNNNNNNNNNNNNNNNNNNNNNNNNNNNNNNNNNNNNNNNNNNNNNNNNNNNNNNNNNNNNNNNNNNNNNNNNNNNNNNNNNNNNNNNNNNNNNNNNNNNNNNNNNNNNNNNNNNNNNNNNNNNNNNNNNNNNNNNNNNNNNNNNNNNNNNNNNNNNNNNNNNNNNNNNNNNNNNNNNNNNNNNNNNNNNNNNNNNNNNNNNNNNNNNNNNNNNNNNNNNNNNNNNNNNNNNNNNNNNNNNNNNNNNNNNNNNNNNNNNNNNNNNNNNNNNNNNNNNNNNNNNNNNNNNNNNNNNNNNNNNNNNNNNNNNNNNNNNNNNNNNNNNNNNNNNNNNNNNNNNNNNNNNNNNNNNNNNNNNNNNNNNNNNNNNNNNNNNNNNNNNNNNNNNNNNNNNNNNNNNNNNNNNNNNNNNNNNNNNNNNNNNNNNNNNNNNNNNNNNNNNNNNNNNNNNNNNNNNNNNNNNNNNNNNNNNNNNNNNNNNNNNNNNNNNNNNNNNNNNNNNNNNNNNNNNNNNNNNNNNNNNNNNNNNNNNNNNNNNNNNNNNNNNNNNNNNNNNNNNNNNNNNNNNNNNNNNNNNNNNNNNNNNNNNNNNNNNNNNNNNNNNNNNNNNNNNNNNNNNNNNNNNNNNNNNNNNNNNNNNNNNNNNNNNNNNNNNNNNNNNNNNNNNNNNNNNNNNNNNNNNNNNNNNNNNNNNNNNNNNNNNNNNNNNNNNNNNNNNNNNNNNNNNNNNNNNNNNNNNNNNNNNNNNNNNNNNNNNNNNNNNNNNNNNNNNNNNNNNNNNNNNNNNNNNNNNNNNNNNNNNNNNNNNNNNNNNNNNNNNNNNNNNNNNNNNNNNNNNNNNNNNNNNNNNNNNNNNNNNNNNNNNNNNNNNNNNNNNNNNNNNNNNNNNNNNNNNNNNNNNNNNNNNNNNNNNNNNNNNNNNNNNNNNNNNNNNNNNNNNNNNNNNNNNNNNNNNNNNNNNNNNNNNNNNNNNNNNNNNNNNNNNNNNNNNNNNNNNNNNNNNNNNNNNNNNNNNNNNNNNNNNNNNNNNNNNNNNNNNNNNNNNNNNNNNNNNNNNNNNNNNNNNNNNNNNNNNNNNNNNNNNNNNNNNNNNNNNNNNNNNNNNNNNNNNNNNNNNNNNNNNNNNNNNNNNNNNNNNNNNNNNNNNNNNNNNNNNNNNNNNNNNNNNNNNNNNNNNNNNNNNNNNNNNNNNNNNNNNNNNNNNNNNNNNNNNNNNNNNNNNNNNNNNNNNNNNNNNNNNNNNNNNNNNNNNNNNNNNNNNNNNNNNNNNNNNNNNNNNNNNNNNNNNNNNNNNNNNNNNNNNNNNNNNNNNNNNNNNNNNNNNNNNNNNNNNNNNNNNNNNNNNNNNNNNNNNNNNNNNNNNNNNNNNNNNNNNNNNNNNNNNNNNNNNNNNNNNNNNNNNNNNNNNNNNNNNNNNNNNNNNNNNNNNNNNNNNNNNNNNNNNNNNNNNNNNNNNNNNNNNNNNNNNNNNNNNNNNNNNNNNNNNNNNNNNNNNNNNNNNNNNNNNNNNNNNNNNNNNNNNNNNNNNNNNNNNNNNNNNNNNNNNNNNNNNNNNNNNNNNNNNNNNNNNNNNNNNNNNNNNNNNNNNNNNNNNNNNNNNNNNNNNNNNNNNNNNNNNNNNNNNNNNNNNNNNNNNNNNNNNNNNNNNNNNNNNNNNNNNNNNNNNNNNNNNNNNNNNNNNNNNNNNNNNNNNNNNNNNNNNNNNNNNNNNNNNNNNNNNNNNNNNNNNNNNNNNNNNNNNNNNNNNNNNNNNNNNNNNNNNNNNNNNNNNNNNNNNNNNNNNNNNNNNNNNNNNNNNNNNNNNNNNNNNNNNNNNNNNNNNNNNNNNNNNNNNNNNNNNNNNNNNNNNNNNNNNNNNNNNNNNNNNNNNNNNNNNNNNNNNNNNNNNNNNNNNNNNNNNNNNNNNNNNNNNNNNNNNNNNNNNNNNNNNNNNNNNNNNNNNNNNNNNNNNNNNNNNNNNNNNNNNNNNNNNNNNNNNNNNNNNNNNNNNNNNNNNNNNNNNNNNNNNNNNNNNNNNNNNNNNNNNNNNNNNNNNNNNNNNNNNNNNNNNNNNNNNNNNNNNNNNNNNNNNNNNNNNNNNNNNNNNNNNNNNNNNNNNNNNNNNNNNNNNNNNNNNNNNNNNNNNNNNNNNNNNNNNNNNNNNNNNNNNNNNNNNNNNNNNNNNNNNNNNNNNNNNNNNNNNNNNNNNNNNNNNNNNNNNNNNNNNNNNNNNNNNNNNNNNNNNNNNNNNNNNNNNNNNNNNNNNNNNNNNNNNNNNNNNNNNNNNNNNNNNNNNNNNNNNNNNNNNNNNNNNNNNNNNNNNNNNNNNNNNNNNNNNNNNNNNNNNNNNNNNNNNNNNNNNNNNNNNNNNNNNNNNNNNNNNNNNNNNNNNNNNNNNNNNNNNNNNNNNNNNNNNNNNNNNNNNNNNNNNNNNNNNNNNNNNNNNNNNNNNNNNNNNNNNNNNNNNNNNNNNNNNNNNNNNNNNNNNNNNNNNNNNNNNNNNNNNNNNNNNNNNNNNNNNNNNNNNNNNNNNNNNNNNNNNNNNNNNNNNNNNNNNNNNNNNNNNNNNNNNNNNNNNNNNNNNNNNNNNNNNNNNNNNNNNNNNNNNNNNNNNNNNNNNNNNNNNNNNNNNNNNNNNNNNNNNNNNNNNNNNNNNNNNNNNNNNNNNNNNNNNNNNNNNNNNNNNNNNNNNNNNNNNNNNNNNNNNNNNNNNNNNNNNNNNNNNNNNNNNNNNNNNNNNNNNNNNNNNNNNNNNNNNNNNNNNNNNNNNNNNNNNNNNNNNNNNNNNNNNNNNNNNNNNNNNNNNNNNNNNNNNNNNNNNNNNNNNNNNNNNNNNNNNNNNNNNNNNNNNNNNNNNNNNNNNNNNNNNNNNAUGAACUAUCAGAAAUUGGGUAAAUGAUACCUGCGUCUAAUAGCUUAAGGACUUCUGUUCUAACAACUUCUUUCAUAUUAGGAUUUAACCGACGUUGCAUUUCCCUAGUAGAUUUAGCAUUUUCAUCAAGGUGAAUGUAAUGCAUGCAGUCUACUGGAUUUAUACCUUUGAUGUCUGCUAUGGUCCAUCCUAAUGCCCCUUUGUGCUCUUUUAAAACAUCCAACAACUUACCUUUUUGUUCGUCAUUUAGGGAUGAUGAGAUGAUUACCGGCAGAGUACUUUCUUCUCCCAAAAAUGCAUAUUCCAGAGUGUUGGGUAAUGGUUUGAGCUCGAGUUUCGGUGGUGAUUCUGAUGAUGGAAUGAGUUUCUUCUCUGAUGGUGCUAGUUGUUCAACUCUUGACUUCCAUUUAUUAGUGUCCAUGGAUGGUGCUGAGUCAAGUAGGGCGUUGACCUCUUCGACCGAUCUGUCAAUAUCAAAAUCCAAACCAAAGUGAGUUAAACAUGUUUGUAAAGGAUCAUCACUAAGGUUUGAAAGAAAAGUAUUAUCAACUAUUGUUUCUAUUAAAUCCACAUCAACAAUUCCAUCAUCUGCACUGUGAGGUUGUUUGGCAAUGUUGAAGAUGUUUAGCUCCAUAGUCAUGUUGCCGAAGGACAAUUGCAUAUUUCCGGUCCUACAUUGAAUAUGAGCAUCUGCAGUUGCCAAGAAAGGUCGGCCUAGAAUAAUGGGGAUGUGCUUCCUUGAGUCCUGUAUUGGUUGAGUGUCAAUUACAAUGAAAUCAACAGGAAAAUAAAACUUGUCUACCUGGAUAAGCACGUCCUCCACAAAACCACGAGGUAUUUUUGUGGACCGAUCUGCAAGUUGUAACACCACUGGAGUUGGGUGUAAUUCUCCCAGUCCAAGUUUCACGAAUACAGAGUAAGGCAACAAAUUUACACUAGCUCCUAAAUCCAACAAAGCAUUCUCAAUUGUGUGGUUCCCUAUACUACAUGAGAUAGUGGGGGAGCCUGGGUCUUUGCAUUUUAAAGGAAUUUUAUGUUGGAGUAUAGAACUAACGUUUUCUGUUAAAAAUGCCUUCUUUUGAACAUGCAUAUUUCUCUUUUUAGUACAAAGGUCUUUAAGAAACUUGGCAUAAGAUGGAACUUGCUUUAUAGCAUCAAGUAAAGGGAUGUUAACACUUACCUGUUUGAAGAUUUCGAGAAUCUCACCUGUGGAUUUUCCUUUCUUGCCUUUCGCUAACCUCUGAGGAAAUGGAGCUUUCGGAACGUAUUCUCGUGGGUUGGUUUCUUCUUUCUCCUCCGGUGGUGAGUCUUCAACAUUCACAGGUACAAUUUGAUUUUCUUUUGUCACCGGCAUCUCCACUUUGUUGUCGACUUCCUUUCCUUUUCGCAAGGUCAUGACUGCUUUGACCUCUCCAUGCUGUUGUGGUGAACUGGUACUUGCUUCAUGUACUCCUUUAGGAUUAGGCACUGGUUGACUUGGAAAUUUUCCUUUCUCAACAGUCAUUGCCAAGGUCUGAACUGAAGAAGCAAGUUGUCCCACCAUCUUCUCGAGGCUUGAAACUGAUUGAGCUUGUGAGUUGAAGCCUGCUCUCAACUCAUUUCGUAGUCCAUCAAUGGUGCGGUUCUGUUGCUCAAUCGUAGAGUGAGUAGCAUUCUUGAAAUUCUGGAAUGAAUCCUCCCAUGGUCUGGGUUGAGAGUAGUUUUGGUUCUGAUUGAAUGGUCUAAAUGGGGGCUGAGAGGCUUGAGGAUUUUGAGGAAUUUGUUGCAUUGGUGGAGCUGCUGGUCCAUUCUGUUGGAAUCCUUGAGACCAUGAAAAAUUGGGGUGGUCUCUCCAUCCAGGAUUAUAUGUGUUGGAGUAUGGGUUGUAAUUCGAUGGUUUUCUCAUUACACCUAUGGCAUUGGCUUGAUCUGAGUAUGAGUCAUGGUCAUGUGAUUCUGUUGAUUUAGCAGUCGAUAACGAUGCUAUUUGUCGAGCAAGACCUUCAACCAUCUCCUUGACUUCUUUGAUUUCCGAAGUUGACUCGCCAAUUUGAACCUCAUUUACUCCCUUAAUUCUUCUAGUAUUCCUGAGUGAUCGACUCCGUUGUUGGGAAUUAUCCGCUUGUCGCUGGAAGAAUUCCCAAAUCUCUGAUGCACUUUUUGACAUUAGCUCUCCUCCACUUGUUGCCAUUAGCCAUUCUUGCACAUUUGGUAGUAAUCCCUCCAAAAAGUAUUGACAUUGGUGCCAUUUUUCGUACCCAUGAUGUGGACACUUCAAGAGUAGCCCAUUGAAUCGCUCCCAUGUUUCGAAAAACUGCUCGUCCUCUCUCUGUGUAAACUCUGAAAUUUCCCUGCGAAUAGCAUUGGUUUUAUGCACUGGGAAAUAUUUAUUCAAAAAUUUUGUAACCAUUUGUUCCCAUGAUGCAAUGCUAUUAGCAGGCAAUGUAUUAAGCCAUGAACGAGCUCUAUCCUUUAAAGAAAAUGGGAAUAAUCUGAGUUUAACAUCAUCGUCUGAAAAAUUCUCAUAUUUGAAUGUUUGACAAAUGGCAUGAAAAUCAUUCAAAUGAUUAUAUGGGUCCUCAUUUUCUAAGCCAUAGAAUGUGGGGAGACAAUUUAGCACACUAGGUUUUAAUUCAAAACUCCUAGCAGCUACAUUUGGGUAUCUUAUGCAUGACGUGCUCAAAUUAGCUAAGGGACUAAAAUAGUCCUUAAAUGGCCUCUCCUGUGGUGCUUGUAAAUCUAUUUUAUUUUUAACGUGUUUGUGUGUGCGAAGUGUUUUUUCUAAUUCAAGGUCUAUAGGUUCAAGAUUUGGUAAUAAUGACCUACGACCAUGCAUGCAAAAUAAAUAAAAUAAAAAUAAAGAUGGGAACAAAAACAAAUAAAAAUAAAGAAGAGGGAGAAAUUACGAUACUAACCUUAUUGCGCUAUUACAACCUUUCUAUAAAAAUACACAAAAACAAAUACGUGAAAUAAAUUAACUAAAAAUUAAAUUAAUAAAAUAAACAAAAAUUACAAAGAAAAAAAAUUAAAAAUUAAAUUACAGAAUUUUAAAGAAGAGAAAAAGAAAAGAAAUAAUAACCUUUAAAUGUAGAUUUACUUUUUUUUUUAAUAAAAAAUACAAGAAAACAAAUAAAAGAAAUUAUUCACAAAAAUUAAUUCUAUGAAUUAAAAUUACUUACCUCCCCAGCAACGGCGCCAAAAACUUGUUGUGCAAAUUUUAAUGUACUCGCAAGCGCACGAAUCUAUUAUAGUAUAGAUCAAUGGUGACGAGUGUCGAUCCCACGAGGAGGUGGAUUUUAAUUGUGUAUAGAAUUAAUUUUGCAAAUGGUUGAUUGGAUCUGUGGUGGAAAUGAUUUGGAAUAUGCUAAAACUUAAAUUAAAAUGGCGAGAAUAAAUUCUGAAAUUGGAAUUGAAAUGACGAGAAUAAAUUGAAGAGAAUUCUAUUGAAAUGACGUACUUGGGUAUCUGGAUCCGUAUCAACAUGCAUCAUGGGCUAAAUAAUCCGUAUUAAUGCCAAUUAAAUCAUGAGGGGGGAAUCCACACCUCAUGAACCACGCUCUAAUCAAUAUGGUGCUAAGGGCUUAUCGUGCCAAAUAAUAAUAACCUUGUACUAGAGAGCCGGUGUAACCAAGGCGGUAUCUAGACAAGAUCAGUAUUAUUUGUCGACGAUAAGUCAAAUCAUCCACAAAAACUAGAGGGGAAAAGAAAAUAAAUUUACCAAAUAAAGCUCAUGACACAUGUUGAGACUUCACCUUCAACCCAAGCUUGAAAGAAAAUUAGCCACUCAUAAUUGAACUAAGGGCAAAAUGGGAAUUUAUUAAAAUACAAAGAAAAUACAAGAUGGAGAAGGAAUUACAGAAAAUGGAUCCCAAAAAUGGAUUCAAAGAUAUCAAAUUAGGGGGGGAGGCCCCCUUUUUAUAGAUACAUGGAGUAAAUCAUGGCCAUCGGAUUAAAAACAGUUUGGACGCUCAGGAUUGCGCCACGUCAUCAGUCAACAGUCCACGGUUUGACCACGCGGAUGAACAGUAACACGGUUUGACCCGGAUGAACAGUAACACGGUUUGGUUGACAAUAAUCCUGUGUGAUGCAUGCACCGUACGCGAGAUUUUUCGUCCACUGAUAUGCUGCCACGUCACCAUCAACAGUACAUAAGAUUUUAGUCCAACAGGAUCGUGACACCUCAUCAGUCAAUGCCACAUCAUCGGUCAAUGCCACAUCAUCGGUCAAUGCCACGUCAUCGAUCAAUGCCACGUCAUCGAUCCGUCUAUGUGAACAGUGUCGUGAACAGUAACGUAGACAGUACCGUAUACGUGAAUAGUACCGUACAUGUGAAUAGUGCCAUUUUUCCUUUUAUGCUCCUCCUAAGGUUUUCGACCGUCCUGAGUUCAAAAGUGAUGUCCGUUUUGCCAUCUGAUCUCUCCUUUAUUGUGAAAUGACUAUAAUGCCCCUAAAAUACAUAAAAUACUUAAUUAAAAUAACACACACGUAAUUACAUCACAAGAAGGUUAAAUACAUAAAAGUAAGGGUUGUUAGUAAGACUUGAAAUGUAAAAUGACGGUUUUCUCCUUUAUAAAUAUGCAUUUUCUAACACUCAACNNNNNNNNNNNNNNNNNNNNNNNNNNNNNNNNNNNNNNNNNNNNNNNNNNNNNNNNNNNNNNNNNNNNNNNNNNNNNNNNNNNNNNNNNNNNNNNNNNNNCACUGGAGUUUGCGGAAGCUGGACUUGCGGAGAGUGUGCGAUUGUUCCAUGCCCAAUCCGAGCGGACUUCAUCCACUUCCGCACGGACAACGUGUAGUUCGUCCUGAACAAAACUACGAAGUUUUAGCAACUCAUCAUGGAAAGAUCAAAACUCACCUCAGAGAGUGUUCGCUUACUCAUGGAUGAGAGCUUUUGUGGCCACCGUGAACUCGGCGUAUUCUCCCUUGAGACCGUCCACUCUUCCUUCCAAUCCCUCGAGGCUUUCUUGAGCGGCGGACAAUGCGAUUUCGAGAGUGCCUACACGAGGCUCCAACGCAUCCACGGAUGGGGCCUUGGACUUGCCGCGAAUCUUGCCUUGGGCGCGUUCUCCCUCUCGGCCGCGGCUUGGUUCCGGUGGAACAUCCACACCAACAACACCCUCUUAUGCUACGUUCGAAGGGUUGGCCAUUGCUUCGUGAGCUAACUUGUGUGCGUGCAAACCUUAGCUCUGAUACCACUUGUCACGGGAUGAGUGUUUUGCGCAGCUAACCCGUGCGGCACUUAGACAACUUUGCCGAUUGUUGCUAAGUAAGCCUAGAGCUUCUCGAACAAGAGAAGAGAGCAAUUGAGCCAAAGAAGAAACUUGUAUUGCACAAAGAGAGAUUACAAUGCUUGUUGCUUACAAAGCUUGUUAGAUACAAAUGCCUAAUGCCAUCCCAUAUUUAUAAGGGAGACUUGCCAAGCUCUAGAGAUUCUAGAGAAUUCUACCCACUAUCUAGAAUUUACAUGUGCUGGAAAGUCAUAGAGAAUUCUAGAGUAUUUACAAGCUCACAUGUGCUAGAGUUUCCUAGAACUUUCCGGAAUUGGGUCAAGCUAGCACUCUUGGCCUUGUGUUGGCUCUCUAGCCCGAAAUUGUGGGCAAUUGGGCUAGUGAAUUGGGCGGUCCGCAACAUUUAGGUGGGAUAUGGGAGAAUUGUCAAGAGUUCACACCAAGAGAAAUUAAUGAUAGGCCUAAUUUCGUUGUCAAUUCUUUAUUUAUUUAUUUUAUUUUUUUAUACAUUAUUGUCUUGUUGGCAUUGUUUUGUAAAGAUAUAAAAGUACAAGUAAAAUAUUAGGGGAAGUAAAGUAAAAUAUUGGAGGUGUUGCUAAGUUACAGCUGCCGUAACUUACAGUUCCUUAAAAAAUAAUGUAAAAAAUUUAACACGUGGUGGGACCCACAUUAUGUUUGAAGAGGCCGUAAGUUAUAGCAGUUGUAAAUUAGUAAAAUCCAAAUAUUAGACAAUAAUACACAUUAACAAUGCAUAUAAUUUGAGUUUGAUUUUUAAAAAAAUUAUGUGAGUAUUACCUAUCCUUAAGACAUUAAUGAGAAUAUAUUUUAAUUUUAAAUAAUCAAAAUCUGUUUAAUCAUAAUAUGUAAUUCAUACAUUGCAUGUUAGAUUUGUUUGGAUUUUAAGUUGUUGCUAAUAAAUAUUUAUGUUGUGAAAGUCGAAUUCAAUAGCUACAAAAGCAGAGAUAAUGGUAUUUUAUGUAGUUUUUAAGAAUACAAGGAUAAGACCAUAACGCAUGAGAUAGUGUUAUUUUAUAUUAAAAGACCAUAACACAUGUAUUUGAGCCAUUUAUAUUGAGGACACAUAUAGAGCGAAAAGUGCAGAUCCGGCCGUAACUAUUGUGAAGCUUUCCUCAAGUAUUCUCAUGCACGCAGACCUUAGCUGGUCAAGUUUUCUGAUUUAAUAUAAUCAAUUUCCGCGCAGUACUAACGACAGCUUCUUUGUAAAGCUCUUCAACCACAAGCAUUUCUACAAGGCAAAAGACUAGGACGUGUCGGAAUGAAUAUCAAUAAGGGAAUGUCUUAUGAAUUUAGUUUAUAUCCUAAUAUAAGACAAUCAAUAAAUAUUAGAUGCAAUCUAAGGGCUAACAUUUGAUUGAUCAUUAUACGAAAAAAAGGUACAAAAAUACAAAACAGAGCUGAUUGAUGGCCUCUCACAGUCAGUUAUAUGACAAAGUAGCCACCACAACAAACUUGAACUUGGCUGGAGGUCUCAUUAGCAGUAUACCUCCGAACUUAAGACAAAGACUUUAAAAUGCAAACUUAUGGAGCAAUUUAAGCACUGAAACUAAUAACAGUACGGUAUUAGCAAUUGACCUCUGCUUUUGCUUAGACAAAGGUUCUCAUCACAAUGGAUUCAUUAGUUGCCCUUGCCUCACACGUUUGGAUGCUAAGGGGAAAAAGGAAGUUUGAAUUAGUCAAUCUCAUUUCUAAUGGCAUUCACAGAGAACCUAUAAAGCAAAAAAAUAAAUAAAAAUUUUCAUGUUGCAAGUGAGCUCGUUUUCAAUCGAUUUUUAUUGAUCAUAAGAGAUCAUGUGGCCCACCUUAUUUUUAUUUUGGAUCCAUAACCCAAAGCUGGCCCAAGUUCUGAUUCCAGAAUCAUUUGUCUACAAAGUGACCUCAUUCCGGCAAUUGGUUUAUGCUAAUAGCACGUGCAAUUUUCAUUUUCUUCUUUUUAUUAAUUAAUUUCAUCAUUAUUAUUUGCUUAUUAGUUUAAAUUAAUUAAUUAUAUUGUAUUAAUGAAAUUAGUCUUUCAUUUUCUUUUCUCUUUCAAUGCACAAAGCCAAACAACCAUUCUUUCUUCAAAUACCGAAGAGCUCCUGACUACGGCUGUCAAUGCUUCUAUAUUUAUGUGCUGUGCUGCAGCACUCUUAGCGAAAGCUUGAAUGAAUGAUUAAAGACAAAAGCUUAUAUAAAAGCAGAUGCCGGAGGCACUCAAAAAGCAUUUGAGAGAGAAGCUAAACAGCAAAUCAUCAAACGCACUUCAAUGACUUUGAUUUUGAUUUUUGUUUCAAAAGAAGUAGAAAAGUCCAUGGGUCACGAUAACUGCUUGUCCUCUGCCGUGACCUCAUUGUCCGCUGCUAGUGUCAAAUAGAUUAAUCUUUCUAGUAGAUUAAUAUAAUUUAUAAUUUUAAUUUCAGUAUUAAUUUUUAAAAUGUUAGUUGUUAUAUUUAUUUUAAUGAUAUAUCUAUUUUUAGUAUAAAAAUUUAAAUAAAUAUUUAGAUUAAAUAGAAUUUAUAAUUGAUAUAAUAUAUCUCAUGUAUUAAUGAUAUUUAAAUUAUUUUAAAUAAUAUUAAUCCUAACUUAAAAUUUUAUAUAUUUAUUUUAAUGUUAUGUUUCUAUAUAUUAUAAAAUUUAGUUUAAUAUAAUAUAAGAUUGUAAAGUAUUCAAAUAUUUUUUAAAUAUUAAAAUUAUUAUAAAAUGUAUAUACUGUUACAUUUUUAACAUUGAAGUCAAUCUUUUUUAAGUUAAUAGAGUGAAAAGAUAUAAUAAUAAAAGGCUAUGUAAUCUUUCACUUGCACAUAUUCUGUACUCUCUGGAGCACGACGGUAGGAAACAUGAUUACAGAUGUUAAAUUCGCCUUUUUUCACAAGUUUAUCAGCUUCGUUUGCGGCCUCUGCUGCUUGUUUACCAAGCUUGUAACGAGAAAUCAAAUUUGGGCACAACCCUUUGAAGCAGAAUAUCUUAGCUCUAUCUUUAUCAUCAAUGAUGGAUUUUGCAACCCCUUCACUGAAUUCAGCAACUCUAUUUAGCCAGUCUCUGACACCCUUAUAAAUCUCAUCUCCUUGUAGAGUAGCCUCUCUAACCAGUGUUUGCACCCUUUCUCUUAUAUAUUCCAGCUCCUUCACUCAAUCUUUUAGCCCAUUUAUGUAGCUCUGGUACUCGAACACAUAAGAUAUGUGCCGCAUAAUCAGUUCGAAUAAUGCUUUUGAACAUUGUGAUACAAUGCUGGAAAAAGCAGGGAGACACCCUUCUGCAGCCAUUGCUUGUUGCUUAACAAUAUAUAUAUAUAUAUAUAUAUACAAGUGUCAAAGAAAGGAAUACAAAUAAAUUAAUAUGAACUAGAGAGAAAGAUAGAGAAUGAAAAGACCGCCAACAAUAUCGCUAUAUUGAUCUUGAACCAACUAAUAAUUAAAUAGAGAAUUUCUUUUUCUUUCUUAAGGAUCAGAGGUUUUGCUAUUAGCAAAAAGGUACUUCAAGGGUCUGAAUAAAAAACCAACCAUAAAUUAUCAAAAGCUAGUAAGAACACAGACGUAAACAAUGAACAAUUACUUAAGCCAAACAGACCAUGAUACAAAGCAAAUCUAAUAAAAUGACAAAGAAAGAAAGAAAGAAAAUACAACAAACAGUAUUGAAGUGUUGAUCAUGAGCCAACUGAUAUUUAAACAGAUUUUUUUUUUAAUUUUUAGUCUUUUCUAAAAGGAUUAGAGUUCUUGCUAUUAAUAGAAAGGUUUCAAAGAUCUGACACUAUUAGAAAAGUAUUAAAUAAUGACAAAAAUUUUAUGACAUAUAUGGUUGUAUCUCGAAUGUGUCAUAAAAUUAUGAUAGAUUCAUAAUAUGUAUUCAUAUGCCCAGAAUAUAUGAUAUAUUCAUGACUUAUAACUUAACCGUAGUAAAUAAAUGAUACAUAUAAGUCAUGAUUAAGUUUUGUGACCUUAUAAGAUUGUAAAACAGUGUCGUUUAAAUUAACGACACCGUUCUGUAUAACUUAAAACACAUCAACACUUCAGCCAAAUUUUGGCGGGUAAAAACCCAUUUAGUCCCUAUAUUUUAAGAUUAGUAUACAUUUAGUCCCUAUAUUUUUAAAAAUGCCUCGAAACGUUCCUGCCGUUAAAGUAUUGAUACCCCUACUGUUACUUUUUAUUUCUUUUGGCUUACUUUUACAAUAUUAUAAAAGUGUAAUAUUGUAAAAGUAAGCCAAAAGAAAUAAAAAGUAACAGUAGGGGUAUCAAUACUUUAACGACAGGGACGUUUCGAGGUAUUUUUAAAAAUAUAGGGACUAAACAGACACUAAUAUUAAAAUAGAGGGACUAAAUGAAUUUUUACCCAAUUUUGACUAAGCGUUGAAUAAAUCCCUCUCUCUCCACUGGCGACUACAACCUAAAAUGAAUCAACUCUGAGCCUCUCUCUAUAACACUAUAUAGAACCCUAAACCUAAGAGCAUCUCCAAAAGGCUUUAUAAAUUUUACUCUUUAAAUAUUUAUUUGCUUACCUAUGUGGCUAAUAGAAGAGUGAAAAAAUAUAUUAUCUCUAAAAGACUUUUCAAAUAUAAAUGAGUUAAUAUUAUUUUAAUUAAAUAAUUAUUUUUUAAAAUGAAAAGUCAAUAAUAAUUAAAUCAUCUCUCUCUUUUUCCAACAAAAAUAAUAAAAUAUAAAUUAAAAAGAAAGAAAUCAACUCUCUAAAUUUAAAGAGAUAGAAUAAUUUUUUAUUUAAAAAAUUUUAAUUAAAAUAUUUUAUAAAACUUUAAAUGUUGACUUAACUUUUCAGACAGCUAAUAAAAUAAGAAAUAAAAUCUUAUUUGAAAAGUGUUUUCCUUAUAUUUUAAGUCUCACAUUCGCAACCGACGAAGCUGAAAAAGUUCCCCACAUAUCAAAACCACAGCGAACUGCCUCCGACCCUACGGACCCAAAAAAAUUUAUUGUAUUCCUGCUCUUUCACAUCAAUAAUUUUUUGUAUUAUUCCAUAACCCAAAAGCUUUCCUCUGUUUCAACUAAGCGAAAAUUUACAUAUUAAAGCCUAGCUCAAAUUCCUUUUUUCAAUCGAAAUAAAACGUAGCCCCAAAACCCUAAUUCACCACACCAAUUUAUCUCUGCCCGGUAUUCAUUUAAACCCUACCUCGCGGUUCAAUGUCAUUCAAUACGAUUGCAGAUGCCGUUUCAACUUGUCAUUUAGUUAUUGCCAUCCAGUUCUCUAUGGUAAGCCUUAACCCUAACAACUAAUCGACUGUGGUAGCACGUUGCUUGUUAGGAGUGGGGAUACAUUAUUUAACUAUAUGAAUUGGGUGAUGUUAGUGAUUCAUUCCCCUAUUUGUCAUGAAUUAAGAUUUGUGUAUAAUGCUAGUCAGAUUGCUAAAAAUUUCAUAUUUUGUAUUGUUCCAGUUGAAUUUCUUGCUUGUGGAAGAUAAAACAAAAGUUCAAUUUCAUGUUGAUUUAAUUCUUCUUUUUCUUCUUUUUUUUUUUCUUCUUUAUAGUCACGCUCUGGCUUUGGUGCUAUGCUUAGUGCAGUUUAUGGUUUCAAGAUUAAGUCACGUUUAUUUGAUGGCAUCGAUUCCAUCGUUGAGGAUUGGAUUGUUGAUCAAAUGCACAUAGUAAGCUCUUCUUAUUUUAUCUCAGUUUUAAUUUUCUUUUAUUAUCUGCCUCUACCUGAAAAUGGACGUGUUUUACUAGUAAGCAUAGACUUUGUUUAUUUAAUUGAUAUUUUAAUUUUAUGUAUAAGAAUAGAGGUUUAUUUUGGAAAAAAAAGCAAUAAAAAAACAGACUCUGUUGAAGCUAAUUAGUACUGAAUGUUUUUGGUGGUGCGACCAGAGGUGGAAACAGGGUAUGAAAAUGUGUUACUAGUGAGGUUGCUGCUUAAGAUGAGAAUGCAUUCUUUUCAAAAAUCCUUGGUAGGUGUGAUCUAAUUAUAUUUGAUGGAAUAUUAAAUGGCUAAAAAUCUGUCAUACGUUCAAACUUUGUUUGUGUUUGGAAGAAUGGUGUUGACUGUAUAUUCGUUUGGAAGAAUGGUGUUGAUUGUAUAUUCAUUUGCUUAGCCUUUUGACAGAUGGAUUUGAAACUGACGACAAAUGUGAUUCAAUUUACAAGGUUUUCGAGGGGCUCACAGUGGAAGGGAUAUUGAAGAACUGGUCUAAGAUAAAGCCUAUGAUUGUGAAAGAUUGGAGUGAGAAUAUAAAUGCUCGUUUAAAUCUCUUUGGCAAGGUCAGAGAUGAAUGGAUAGAUAAGGAUUUAUUUGACUACUUGGACUGGUGCUAAUAGGUAUUUUAGGCAAGCUUUUUGAGAUAACACUGAGCAAGUUAUACUACUAGUUUGCACAUGAUGAUCAAAACUCUCAAAAAGUAAAAUAAAAUAAAUUAUUAACUUUUACUUAUCUUUUGCAUAGCAAUCAAUGUGGUGCUUGUUCUGUGACAACUUUGAUAAUCUACUUAAUUAUUGGUUAGCAUUUGGACCAAAAAAGUUCUUAUGAUUUACAUGUUUUGUAGAAAUGCAUGAACCUUAAAUGUGCUGAUCAGGGAGUUUAAUUAUUGCACCUUGAAAUUCAUUUAUUGUUAACUAAUUGGCUUUCCUUUGCAUAAAGCCGCUUAUAAGGCUUGAGUGGACGUCUUUAUGGGCAUAUUAUUUGUAUUUCUAUAUGCAUGCCUUUAUCACUUAAUGUGCUGCUUUUAUUUCUUUAUGCAUGCCUUUAUCAUUUAAUGGCCAGCUCCCUCUCCUCUUUUGUAAUUUGAAUAGUAGUAUGGGCCUCCAUUUUACAAAUCUUUAACAUUUUUUGCUGUAAAUUAAUUUUUCUUUCAAAUAUUUUGGAGGUCAUUGGAAUUCCUGUAGGUCUAUUUACCAGAUUUUAGUAUGUUUAAGGUUUUAAUUUUGCUUAAACUUUAAUUUUUCUGAAAGAUUGUAGUAUUGAUCCUUAAAGAAAGAUCAUGCUACUUCAAAUUAUUUUGAAGUGUUGCCAGUUAUAGCCUUACAUAACAAAUUCCAUUUGUCUGGAAAUUUAUUGAUAGCUGUUACAGCAGCAUAUUUUAUGACUCUACUUCUUAGUUAUGUAAGUUCAUUAUGUUUAGGUCAGAGGCAGUCAGCUGUGGGGAAUCGAUAUAUACACAGAUGACUUUGAUCUUGUUGCUGGUAUGUGGUUCUAUGAAUAAUUGUGUUUGCCUCACUGUUUUUGUUUUAUGAGAUCUAUAAUUGAUCUUGGGAUAUUACUUUCUAGUCCUCAUGCAAGCAAGUUACUACCUUCCCACUGCAUCUCCUCCUUUAUCUGCUAUUCAAGAGUUGCGUGCCAUAAUCUGGUGUUACCUCUGCAAGAUUGUGAAUGAAUAUAAUGCCUCUAAAUUUAUUUUAUACAUAAUGCUGAUGCUGAAUAAUAUAUUGUAGCUCCUGUCAUAUUCUACUUUGACUUUUUAUAUUCUGUUUCAUAUAAAAAUCUUAUUCAACUUUAGUUGUUCAUGAGCAAAUGUCACAUGUAUAAGCCCAAAUGAUGUUUAAAGGUAGCGCGGCUACCUUUAGUUUGAGCUUACAAUGGAUGAAAAAGAAAUUGAAACUGAUAUUUUGCUGUUUUUCUGAUUUUUCAAAGUAUUUUAGAUCCUGAGUUUUGUUUGGACUUGAUGGUUAUAGAUUGUGUCUAGAUUUGUUAAGUUGUUUCCAACACCUCGUGCCAAAUGAAAGCACAAUCUUUCUGAUUCAGAUGUCUUGUUAAUUAUGCUUCAUUUUUUCGUUAAAGAUUGGAUGGUUGCAUGGAUUGAUGGAGUUGGAGUUCAACCAAUAAUUCUAAUUUUUUGGACUUAAAAUGCCUUUUUCUUCUGUAUAAAAACUUUAGUAAGUGCUAUUGAGUUGACGGAGGUUGAAUACUUACAGGUUGUUUCACACUUUUUAAUAGUUUUACAUAUAUGAAUUUCUGUUUUUUGAAUUGCAGAAAGGAGGUGGAACUAUUGAUUUGGAGCCUUAUCUUACUCACUCAUCGACAAUGGAGCCUAUCCUCGCUCCCAUGGCAGUGGAACGGACAACAACUACUAGGGCUGCAACAUCAGUUGGUUUGGGUCUGUUUUGAGUUUAUUUUCAUUUAUUUGGCUAUGUUUUGAUAGCGAAUUUUGAUAUGUCAAUAUAAUGUGUAAUUGUUUUGGGUUGAGCUGGUAAUUAUGCUGGAUUAGAUUGGUUUGGUUUUGGUGCUUCUCUGAUGGAACUCUGCUUUUUUUAGAAAUUUUGAAUGUAAUAUGAGACUACAUUUAGUUUAAUUUAACACUGCAUCUAGUCUAAUUACUAGAAGUGUGGCAUUUGGUUUGGUUUAUCCGAUAUUCUCCAGAAUUUCACUUGCAUCUGGUUUUGUUGCAUAUGUUUGCUUGCAUUUGAUGGCAGUAGCAGACUGUUUGGUUUUGUGACAUUUGAUGGCAGUUUGGUCUGUUCUUGGUGUUGAUUUAAGAUUGUUCCUGUUGUGCUGAUGUUAAUUGCAGGUGCUUGAAUCAGCUAGGGUUGCUGGUUUAUUCAGAUGGUUGACUCAGGCGUUGUUACUGGUUAAUUCAGGUGGCUGACUCAAGUUGUUCAUUUAAUGUUAGGAAGCAAACUAAGAAUUAAUGAAGUAUUCAUUUAACUAUAAUUAUUGUAGUUAUUUUAUUUCAUAACUGAAUUAUAAUCUAUGAUACUUGUGAACAAAUUAGAGAAUUUUUAUAUAUGAAUUAUAUAUGUGUGUGUAUGUACAUUUUGCUAUUUAUAUAAUAAUUUAAAGAAUAUAUUUCAAUUCCCACAAAAAAAAAUGGCUCCAAUUUCAAUAAUUCCCGCCAAAUAAUUAAAUUUUUUUAAUUUACUGCCAAAAUAUAUCUUAAAGAAAUGUUAGUUAUUCUUGCUAGAUUUAACAAAAAUAAUUUGUAGGAUUAACAUUUAAUUAAAAUAAUUAAAUAAUUUUAUUAUUCCAAUUAAAUAUGUCAUGUUUAUACGUCAUACAAUAGUCAUGAAUGGGAAGUAUUAGUUACAUAUUUUUCCUUGGGAUUUCAGGCAAAUGAAAAAAAGAUUGAGAAUGGUUUCAAGAGGACAGGUGGAUGAUAAGUAUUCAUUUUUGUAUAUUUGGUUAGGGGAUUUUUAUGGUAUUGAUCUUUUUUUUUUUUUAAAUUUUCAAUUAGUUGCAGCCUUAGAGGAAGAGCAGGCUGAUCAAAUUGAUUUGUCUUGUUUUUCGGGCAAUCUACGACACGAUGAUCGUGAUAAUGCUCGUGACUGCUGGAAACUUUGUGAUGGAAAUAACUUUAGAGUUCGUAGCAAGCAUUUUUGUUAUGACAAAACAAAGGUUCCCCCAUAUUUUGUUUGUUUGUUAUGGUAUUUAUAUAUCCUGCAUAGGCUAGGUAGACAGGUUAUGAUGUAGUUUGGUUGGCUCUUCUUGUGCUUUGUGCAAUUUGUAACUGCAGAUACCUGCGGGAAAACAUUUAAUGGACCUUGUUGCUGUUGAUUGGUUCAAAGACACAAAGAGAAUUGACCAUGUAGCUAGGCGUCAAGGCUGUGCUGCACAAGUAACUAUUCUUUUCUUUUUAUUUUUCCUUUUCCAUUGAUGCAUUAGGAGAAAAUAUUGCCUGUGAGAUACUUCAAUGUAAAUAACUUCUCAUGGUUCAUUGAAUCUAUAACACACUGACCCUCUUCUAAAAAACGUAGGUUGCUUCUGAAAAAGGGCUUUUCUCACUGAUCUUUAAUCUUCAAGUAAGUUUGUUUCAUUUCAGAAGGUAUUAAGUUUCAAACUUAUUGUAUUGGGAGGUUGUAUAGUUGUAACCUAAGCAUCUGCAGGUUCCUGGUUCGACACAUUAAAGUAUGGUAUUUUAUUUUGUCACAAGGCAAUUGGUUAUGGGAUCACUUUUGCAACGGUUUGUUGAUGGCGAUGAUGAGUUUCGCAAUAGUAGGUUGAAACUUAUUCCAUCUGUUCCUAAGGUAUCCAUCUUGGCCUUCAUGUAUUAGGACUAUAUUAACGUAUACUUACCCUUUUCUGCAUGGUACACUUCAAUUUGUCCAAAGAAGGCAUGCAUUUAGGUGUAAAUGUAUUGAUGGGUAGUACCUUCAAACUUCAUGUCCUUUUUACCCUCUUGAAUUUGUUUUGCACUUGUUCUUGAUUUUAAGCACUGAAUCAUGCAGGGGUCAUGGAUCGUGCGCCAGAGUGUUGGAAGCACCCCUUGUUCAUUAGGGAAAGCGGUUAAUUGUAACUAUAUUCGCGGUUCCAAGUACUUAGAAGUAAAUGCUCUUGGAAUUUCUAUAGUACAUGAGAUGUUCAUCUUUCAAAUAGCGUCCGAUACCAUUAACAUGGUUUAACAUUGUUCAUCUUUUUGUAGAUUGAUGUUGACAUUGGUUCUUCUACUGUUGCUAAUGGAGUUUUGGGCCUUGUAAUUGGUGUAAUUACGACAUUGGUGGUUGACAUGGCUUUCCUUGUACAGGUAUGUAUGAUUGUUUUUUUCCCCCACUUCUAAAUGGACACAAGGGAAAAGACAUGAUUUUGAGAUAUUGCACUGCAAUUUGCAUUUUUGCAUACUUGAAUGUUCUCAGAAUAGUAUAAUGCUUCGUGUGUGUCUUCUUUAUCUUGCUCUUCUGUAUGCAGGCAAAUACUACAGAUGAAUUACCGGAGCGGCUGAUUGGUGCUGUACAUGUUUCUCAUAUAGAACUCAAGUCUGCUGUUGUCCCAAAGUUGGAACCAGAGAUAUCAUGACUCUGGUUUCAUUUCACCUCAACUGUGUUUUUUUUUUUUUUAAAUUAAAAAAACAUUUGUUUUAGGUAUACAUACAUGUAUUUUGAUCCCAUUUUCAUGGGAAUUUUGCAUUAAAAAAUGAAGAAUAGUGAAUAGGAAAUUUCUUGAUUCUUUAGUUACUAUUUUUGGUAUGAGUGUAAAUAGUAGUAAAGUUGGUUUCUACUCGCAAACAAGUGAACUGCUCGAUUCCUGAGUGGUAUCAACCAGUUUCCAACUUUUUAAUAUACACUAAUUGUUAUUGUUUAAUAGCUACUACUAUUAAAACUCAACAGCUGACAAAAAUACUUAAAAAAAAUGAUUUUACUUCUUUCCACGAGAUCUAUAACAUGGUCUUGACUUCACGAAAUUCUUUUAAUUUAAAACGUGCUGGUGUGAGAAGGUCAGUUUGACGGAUUAAUUCUUUUUUAACAGUGGUCGAGAUAAUUUUACUAUACUCAAAAAUAUUCUUAUUCUGAUAGUGCCAUAAAUGUUAUGCUGUUUUCUUCGGCUAAUGGUCUUCUAUCAAGAGAGGGUAGAAAUCAAAUGCUUAAAAGACCAAUUGAAGGAAUAAUACAGAAAUUUAGGCAGAAUCUAAUCGAAUAUUGCAUGAAACAGGAAACAUCAAUUCAAGUCCUUUCUUAAACGGAGAAUGCAUCAAACAAAAUCCAAAGUGUCUUGCAAGUCUGUAGCAUGAGCAAAAAAUUAUUCAAGUACAGAAGAAUGAGCAAGCUAAAUCAUGUAUAAGAGAUUGGUCUGGUUCGGGAUAGCUUCUUCACUGUACCUAAAGGGUUGGCUCAAUCUCUUCUUUAGAAUUCUGCAGAUUUUGUAAUUACUCGUGUAAGCAAGCAUACAUUGCCACCAUAAGAAUAAUAAAGCUAGAGUAAUGAUAUGACCACCACCUCUCGUGCACAAACAAUAUUGUAUAAACUAAUGAGACAUAAUAUGAUUGGUUAAACAAAAACAUUACAUGGCCCUCAUAAUAAUAAUAAUAAUAAUAAUAAUAAUAAUAAUAAUAAUUAUUAUUAUUAUUAUUAUUAUUAUAUAUUUUCAGUCAACCAAUCAUAUUAUAUCACAUUAGUUUCUAUAAAAUAAUUAGCUAAAUAGCACCAAAACUUAAUUGAUACUCACCAUUUCAUUGAACAAUUUUUUUAUGGUGUCAUUGAGGUUGCCUUCCCAACAUCCUUCAUCAUCAUCAUCUUCUUCUUCGGUGACGUUCACUUUGUUUAGCAUUGGUGUGUCUAAGAGUCCUUGAGAGAAGAUCUUCAUUUUUGGACACUGUCUCACAACUACUUGUUUCAAGGACGGGAAUUCAAGAGCGUAAUUACCUAAACAAAAGCUUGUUAGGCUUGGCAAACAAUCAAGUCCCAAGUACUCCAAUUCCUUGAAAACAUUGCAAUCUUUCGCUUCUUCUCCAACCUGCAAUUGUAUGAUUUGUUCUAUCAUUUUGCAAUCAGCUAUCAUCAUUCUUCCGAGAUUCACUAGAUUUUUAGAUGCUGAGAGCGUCAACACAUUUAUCAACUCGUGACACUUCGAUACUUUCAAAGCCUCAAGAUUUUCCAAAUGCCACGAAGGUGGUACUAAUUUUUGCAACUUACUACAUUCCGAUAUUUCCAGCCUUUCCAAGUUUGCAAACGCUUUGUUGGAUUCGUCAUUUUCCUUCCAGAGAUGCUGCACUUUGUGUAAUCCAGACAGUCUUAAAUUCCCCAAUUGAGGGAAAGCAACCUGAAAAUCAACAAAAUUAAGUUGUAAAUGAAAAUAUGUAUCCAAUCUCUGCAGUCUUCCCCUGCAUAUUUUAUGGACAAGAUUAAUCACGGCAUUUUAUAUUUUAUUUCCAAAUUAGUAUGCUUUGCACUAGGAUCCCAAAUAUAAGUAUCAAAUCGAUUACCCUUUGAAACACAUAAAUGAAAACUGAUACUAAAUCCAAUAUGAAUUGAUAAUCAAUACUAUAAAGUUACCAGUUCAUCACCUCAUGUUACCAGUCAUCAAAAUAAUUUAGGACUUUUUUAAUUUAUACUAUAAAGUUAGUUAAUAACUGCGGUUAUAUUGUUAAAUCAUAUAUAAAUUAAGACGACGUGCAAAAAGAUGUCAUUAAAUUUGAUUUGAUUAUAAUGAAAUUACAUAUGUGCGAACGAAAGUGAAGGGAAAAUAAUAAUAAUGAUUACCUUUUCAUCGAAGAGAUGUUGUAUUUGAUUAGCUACCAAGAGGUUCUCUUCUGAUUUUAAUUUUUGAGGUUCCUUAUUAUCUGCUGUCAUGUGCAGUACAAAUGUAGAAUUGGAUGUGAAUGUUUCCAUAUCAGGGCAAUUCUCAAUAAUUAGAUAUUCCAACUUAGGCAGUUCAAUUAUAUUCCCAGUGAAGUUGCAGAAUCUUUUGAGUUUUGGAAGAUCAAUGAGCUUUAGGCUUAAAAGCCUAGGAAACAGGGGGCCUAUAUGUUCUUCCUUAGCACUUAGCUCUUCCAAAUGAAGCACCUCUUCUAGUGAAUCACAAUUCCUCACUGCCAGCCAUUCCAAAUUGUUCAAGCACCGUAGCAGAUUGGCAGGAAUAGCACUCGACAUAUUCGUGCUGUCAUCCACCACCAGCUCCGCUAAAUUGUUGAAGAAUCUGACAGGCAGUGCUUGGCCAUGCCAUAUUUCUUGCAAGCGUGGAAAAUGCGAGAGUUGCAAACGGUUUAUAUCAAGGAAUCCAAUCUGCACAAACCAAAACAAUUGCACCAGAAAUAUACAAUUUUUUUUUUUGAAAGGCAUUAUAUAUAUACACAUUAAACUUACAUUUUUUGUGUUUUAACUUCUAAAAAUAUAUAUACAAGGGAGGUGUAUAUGCUUAAAUGUGCAAGUGAAGGGAGAUGCAUGAUGAACAAUUUGGGUGAAUUGAUUAACACAUACCUUUUCGUCAUAACACUUUUGUAUAGUGGAAUUAAGGUUAUUGCCUUCCCAAUGGUGUAGUUCACCCUCUUCCUUUUCAGUCACUUGCACUUUGCAUGGCUUUGGAAUGGAUAAUAUUCCCUGAGAAAAAGUCUUCAUGUUCGGACAACGUAUCAUAGAAACUCGUUCCAAUGAUGGGAAUUCAAGAGUGUAAUUCUCCAAACAAAAGCCGGUAAGUGUUGGUAAAUAAUCAAGUAUCAAAACUUUUAAUUUGCUAAAAGCAAUACGAUUCUCCUUCACUUCUUCUCCAACAUGUCUUAUGAUUUCUUCUAUCUUAUCACACCACGAUACAUUAAGAUUCACCAGACUACUAGGAAUUCCAACCUGAAAAUAAGCAGAGAGUGUGUGUGUGUGUACGUUAAAAAAGUAAAAAUGUAAGAAUAUCAUUCAACAAGGUUCAAAGUAUGUUUAAAUCAUACAAUUAUACAUUUUAUAAACAUAACAAACCAUGAAAUGUCUACUAGAUAAUUUUUUGUUAAACAAAAAAGGCAACAAGAUAAAUAAAUAAAUAAAAGCCAAAUAAACAAAAGAUAAUAAAAAUGAAUUUACACUAUUUAGUAUUAGGAACAUAGAAAGAAUUUAAUGCAAUUUCUAAAUAUUUUAGACUUAUUUUGCAUCUUGACGCCAGUUUUUAAACAAAAUUUGCAAAUUUCAACUAUUCCUUUUGGGAAAAAAAAAAUCAACCAAAAUGCCGCUUUUUCCCUUUUUCCUUGGUCCCUUUUUUUUUAUGUAUAUUUAAUUUUGGAAACAAAAUUAAAGUGGAUCUUUAUUAAGUACUUCUAGACUCGAGGAAAUUUCUUUACAAUCAAGGAUCAGUUGUAAAUAAUCAUGAAUUUGUGGUUAAUUAAUGGCAUAAUCAGUUCGUAACUAAACAAGAGAUAUUAAUUAAAUUUGAAGACUUUUCUUUUCUUUUUUUCUUUUUCCAAUCGAAAUGUGAAGAAUUAAGGACAAGAGAAAUAUAUAGAUGAAUUUGUGAACCUAUAAGAUGAGUGACUAUCCUUUAAUUUUUGAAAAUUGUACUUAUUAAGAUAUGAGCAUAAACAAUUAAAUUGAAUUAUAUUAUGCUGUUGAAUCGUGAUUAAAAAAAUUACAUUGUUGAUUCUAAUGCUGGCGAACCUAAGAACUGGACUUAAAAUGUAGAUUUGAGAGUGGUGGUUCGAAGUACAAUACUUGAAAUAAAUAAUCAGUGGCUGAAUAUCAUUUGUAAACCCAAAAAUGGUUAAAAUAUUGUUGGAUGUAAUUUGAAAAAAAAAAAAAAAGAUUCGAAAUGAAUACAGCAACCUUACCAAUGGAGGAAAAAUAUUCAUUAGGUUAUCACACCCAAUUAUCUCCAAAUUCUUCAAUUUGCUGAAAGACUCCGAAGCAAGUUGGUGGUGCCAUAUUCUUCUCAAAUUAUCGAUCGACCUAAUAUGUAAUACCUCCAACCUAGGAAGUCGUACCUGGCAGUUAAAGAUUAAAUAACUAAUUAAUCAAUUAAUGGCAUAAUCAAUUGAUAACUAAAUUAGAGGCGGAUAUUAACUAAAUUUGAAGACUUAAGGAAGAGACAAAUAAAAUAUUGUGACUAAAAUAAAUUUAAAAAAAAAAAAAACCUUUUCGUCAAAGAGAGGAGGUUGCAUUUCAAAAUGAAUGGUGUCUUCUGGUGAGCUCGUGGAGAUGAAUCUUAACAUAUUACUGCAACUCUGAAUCUCGAGCUUUAGCAAAGAAGGGAAUUCAACAACUAAAUCUGAAUGAAUAUGUCCCGUAUUGGCAAAGCUUGUUAGCUCUGGAAGCCAAUAGAGCCGCAGGAAGUGUAGUUUAGGAAAAACCUUUAAUUCAAUCAACUUUCCUUCAUCUCUUCCUAACCACCCCGUCGUGUCGACUACCCCUUCCAUUGACUUACAAUCCCAUAUUUGAAGACGUUGGAGUUGCAAAAGACUAUUAACCAUAGAAUACGAAAACAGAUACUUCAUACGAUCACAACCGAACACGUGCAGCUUUGUUAAAUUUUGACAACAGUACAUUCCUUGAUUAUGAUCGGCCCAUAAUUUUUUUAUGUUUCUUAAUCUCGUGAGAUUCAAUUUUUCUAAGCUCGGAAGAAUAACCUGCAAAGAAAACCCGUACAUUUUUGUUCCUUCAAGUACAACCGUCUAGUAUAAUAUUCUUUUCAUGAUCGAAGAUUAAUCGUGAUAAUAAAUUAAUCAAUUAAUUAUUGAACGGAAAAUUAUCACCUUUGGAGCAGGAUCAUCAUCAGCAAUGAUUUCGUUGAAUCCCAAAGAAGUUGUUGGUUUCUCCCUGUCGGGUCCUAUAAACAAACAAAAACAAUACACAUAAUUAAUCUUUGUCGGUUUUUUUUUUUCAAAAUAAUUGAGGCGAAGUCCAUAAAUCCACCAACACUUAAUUUCAACACUUACCAAAAAUCAUUUCCAGAUCAUCGCAAAGACUUAUUAAUACUUUUUGAAGCCGCAGUAGGUUUUUUGCCAUGGAGAAUGAGAAAAGAUGCUUCAAUUUGUGACAGGAUUGUACUCCUAUAAUCCUUAAGUUGCUGAAAGAUUGAUCUUCUGUGAGUUGGCUGUCACAUAUUGUCUCCAAAUUGUUCAAAUAGCUAAGAAACAAUGACUCCAGCAAGGGAAAGACUGUACAAUGAACCCGUCCAACUGAACCGACAAUAUGCAAAAUCUCAGAACAACUUUCUACACGAAGAUGCUUCAAUCGUGGAAAACCUUCCCCAUCAUCUAAUUCAUGAACAACAUUCUGAACACCCUUAAGUUCGUAUAGAUUGAUAUCUUCAGUUUCCUUCAGUAACAUUUUCAUCCCAUAAUUCUCCAAAAGACUGCUAACAUUUUCUAGCCCAUGGAGCUUCAUCAAUCUUGAUGUUUCAGAAUUAACGGGCCAGAUGUCCCACACUUCUCCUAUGCAUAUCCUGUAUCUUGACAAUUCCACAAAGACCAAAUCCUGCAGCAGAAUUUGGGCAUCCCGAACUUGUAUCUCCAAAGUAGUUAGCUUUGACAACCCCUUCAACUCAGCAAGACUGGCGUUACUUCCUCCUUCAACCUUAUCCCACUGCGAAAAGCUGUCACCCAUAUAUAGUUCUUCCAAUCGAGAAAAUUUUGAUAUGACAUUUGGUGCUAUCACCAUAAGGCUGCUACAAUUGCUCAAAUCUAGCAACAAUAACCUCGUCAAUUGUCCAAUUUCAAGGGGUAACUGCUUAAUGUCGGAAUCUCGAAGGCUGAGAAUCUCUAAUUUCUUUAGCUGUCCAACUAUUGCUAUAUCUUCUAGUCCGCAACUAUCUAAACACAAUGUUUGAAGGUUAAUGAGGCGACCAAGUGAUGAAGGUAAUGAAGAGAAAGGAAUUCUAGUAAGACUUAAAACUUUGAGUUCUUCUGUCCCUUCAAAAAAGAGGUCAGAAAUUUGCAUAGAGACGGGCGCCAUGCCCCUUGCUAUUAACAAAAAUAACUUGAGUUGGGGACAUUCCAACCUUUCGGGAAGCUCUUGAAUAUCUUCGUAAGGUAAAGAANNNNNNNNNNNNNNNNNNNNNNNNNNNNNNNNNNNNNNNNNNNNNNNNNNNNNNNNNNNNNNNNNNNNNNNNNNNNNNNNNNNNNNNNNNNNNNNNNNNNGCAUUGAUACAGCAACAUCAUGAAUGAUGUCAUGCAUUUUAACUUCAUCUUCAGUAUCGCCAUCUAACAAUAAGCAUGAAGCUUUGAGAUUGUCGAUCAAUGCAUCCACUCUAUUCCUUGCAUCUUCCAAUGUGUGAACAUUUUUAAACAAACCCAAACCCAUACCAUAUCUCAACAGGGAAACAACUUCUACAGGAUUACCUUCACCAAACAGAGUACAAAGAAGGAACAAAGAUUUUGCUUCAUCACUUUCCAAGAAAUCGUAACUCAAUUUUAUGGAAGAAUACACAUAUGCAUCCAUACCACGAAUUUCUCUUAGAUUGGAACUUCUUAGCUGAUUCAAUGCAUCCUUCCAAAUGUUAAGACUCUUAUUUUUCAGAGCACUUGCAACUGUUCUCAGUGCAACAGGCAAUCCCCCGCAUUUUUCAACGAUCUCAUCUGCAGUGGGUUGAAAAUCAUAUGUUUUUUUUGAAUCACCCACAAUCUUCUCAAAUAACUGCAAUGCUUCAUCUUUGGAUAAAGCAUCGAUCCAGAAAUUUUUCUGAGAAUUCAUAUCAUUGCACAAUAAAUCUCGACUUCGAGACGUCAAUAUUAUUGUGCGUCUACUCCGAUCGUCCUCUCUAUCAUAAGGAAUUCCAACUUUAUCGAACUCAAGUUUUGUCCAAAUAUUAUCCAGUAUAAUGAGGAGCAGCUUCUCUUGCUUCAACCUUUGACACAGUCGAGAAGCUCUUUGAAAUUCAUUCUCAUUCAAGUCAAAUUCCAUGCCUAAAUCAAAAGCAAGUUUGUCUUGAAUUUUAUGAUGAUCUGGUGUCUGUGUUACCUCAGCCAUAACGACCUUAUCGAACAACUUAUCUUCCAUCACUUGCUUUCUAACUUGCUUGACUAGCGUGGUUUUACCCACGCCGCCCAUCCCGUAGACCCCAAUUAUUUUGAAACUAUCAUCCUUCAACGCAUCCAAAACAUCUUGAAAUACUUUCGUUCUUGAAUCGAACUCCUCGUAAUCUUUCACUGGCAUAUAUUCUGUACUCUUUGGAGCAGGACGGUAGGAAACACUAGAGAAGUUGCCUUUUCCCACGAGACUAGCGGCAGCUUCUGCGGCCUUUGCUGCUUGUUUACUAAGCUGGUAACGAGAAAUCAAGUUGGGGAACAACCCUUUGAAGCAGGACUUCUUAGCUCUAUCUUCAUCAUCAAUGAUGGAUUUUGCAACCCCUUCACUGAUGAAUUCAUCAACUUUAUUUAGCCAGUCUAUGACACCCUCAUAAAUCUCAUCCCCUUGUAGUCUAGCAUGAUUAACAGGUUGUUGCACCGUUUCUCUUCUAUAUCCCAGCUGCUUCACUUGAUCUUUCAGGCCAUCUAUGUAGUUCUGGUGCUUGAACACAUAAGAUAUCUGCCGUAUAAUCGGUUUGAACAGUGACUUUGAACCUUCUGAUACAAUGCUGGAAAAAGCAGCCAGACCCACUUCUGCCAUUGCCUGCUGCUUAACAAAUCUAAUAAUAUGUCAAAGAAAGGGGAAAGGAAUAGAAAUAAAUUAAAAUAAACUAGAGAGUGACAAAAAAGGAAAAGACAGCAAACAGAAUCGCAAAAUUGAUCUUGAAUCAACUGAAACAUGAACAGAGCAUUUUUUCUUCUUUCUUAAGGAUCAGAGUUUUUGCUAUUAACAGAAACGUGCUUCAAGUGUCCCAAAAAAAAAAUGAUAAAUGAACAAGCCAUAGAAAUUUUAUCUUGGAAAGUGGAUGGAAAUUAAGAAAGAAAUGGUAUAGAGAUCAAGCAUCAGAGAUUAUAUUAUUAAAAGAAAUUAAUUGAAGGUUGUGGAAAACCUGUUUAAUUAUGGAAAGUUGAUGAGCUUCUGUAAUCGCCUUGAGUAUUUAAGUGCAAUUUUGAUGAGCAAAAAGUUACUGUUACCUGCAGAGGAAUGUAAUUAUAGAGAGCUUAUGAGAGUAAUGACAAUGAUUUGCAAAAGAAGAAGACUCAAUCAUGGAGCCCUUAAUAUUUCUUUUAUGAAUAAACUGCCAGCAGGAAAAAUAAAAAAAAGUGGUAAAUUUACCAAGUCUUAUUUUAUUUUUAAUUUCUUUUAUUUUCAUUCGCCGAAGAGGGAAUCUCUUUUUUUUUCGUAAGGGAAAUAUCCUUUCCUAAUAUGUCAUGAUUAAAGCAAUCUAUAAAUAAUACAAUAAUCAUAUAAUGUAAUAAUUAAAAAGACCCACAUAUUUAUAAUAUUAAUGAUGGGAUCCAUACGUUCCUACUGAUUAAAUUGGUGGACCAGAAUUUAUUUGACCUUACUUGUUUUAUAUUUAAUUAAAAAUUGAAACGACAGAGAAAAAUUGUCGUAAUGAUGGUUUCGAUUGUGGAGUUCAGCUGUGGAUAGCACUUGCAAUACUGAAAAAGAAGCUUUCGUCAACUUUCUCACAUGGACGCGCACCAUCACGCAUAAUUGCAUAUUGCAUUAUUUCUCUAGAAAAGCAAAAGCAAGAUUUAUUCUUUUAAUAAGCAAACGCGUAGGUGGGAAUCCAUUCAUUAAACAAGUGGAACAGCAAUAUAUUAAACCAAUGAUAAGCAUUCUUAAGUGGGAAACCAAUUAUGACGGAUAGUUCAAAAUCUGAAUCCGCCUGAUGGACGGGUUUGACCGCAGAGCUCAAGAUAAUCUGAACCAUUCUCCUUUCGUAACUUAUAGAUAAUUUGAAAACAGGGGAAUGAAAACAGAGGAGCCCUGUUUUUCCUUCCUUUUUUUUUUUUUUUUUUCUUACCCAACUCUUCUUCUUUUGUAUAUUUUCCUUGGAAUUUUAGGUAAACCAAAAAACUUUGAGAAUGAUUUCAAGAGAAUAGGUGGGUAAUAACUAAAAUAUUUAUCUAUAUAUUUAUAUAAAGUUGGGACUACAAGAGAUGAUGUGGCAUCACCAUUUCUAAUUUUUGUAUAUUCUCUAUUAUCUAACAAAUAGAGAAAUUUUCUUUCAGAUUUUAUUUUUCAUCUUUUCAUAAUUAAUUUGACUGUUAUUAUACAAUCAAUAUGUAACAGUUCAUCAAAAGACCCACUAUCUUCUUUAAUUGAAACCUUCUUGAUCAGGACUACAAGAAGUAAUGUGGCACUACCAUUUCUCAUCUUUGUAUAUUCUCUAUUAUCUAACAAAUAGAGAAAAUUUCUUUUAGAUUUGGCUUUUUAUCUUCUCACAAUUAAUUUGACUGUUAUCAUACAAUUAAUAUGUAACAGUUCAUAAAAAAACUCACUAUCUUCUCUAAUUGAAGCCUUCUUGAUCAUAAAUUAAGCAAUAAUUUAUAAAUAUUUUUAAUCACUCUUCUCCUCUGACUCACCUAAAUUUAUAAAUAACAACAAAAAAUAUGAUAUCUCAUGUAAAUAUAAAAGAAUAGAAAAUAGCAAUAGCUCUAAAACAUUUUUUUUUUCAUUUUGGCCCUCACUUGCCUGAUCAUGGCAAAUAUUACAAAUGCAACCAGUAGGAAUGAUUGCCUCAACAACAAUAUGAAACCAGGCUACAAUCUUGCAACAAGACUUGAAGUUAGUGGAGGCCAAAUGGAGUGUUGGAACGUGUUAAUGGAGCUGAAAUCAUGCUCAAAUGAGAUUGUUAUAUUCUUCAUUAAUAGUCAGGCUGAUAUUGGCCCUGACUGUUGUCGCACUGGCCUGCAAUGCUCACCUCUCUCGGAUUCACGGCUGAAGAAGGGAACAUACUGAGAGACUACUGUGAUGCAUCUUCUGCUCCUUCUCCAGGUGGCCUCGCGGUGAUAUAUCAGCUUCAGGUUUCCAAGGUUUUUUGGCUUAGACAGGGUGCAUCUAUGGUACUUCAUAAUUAAAAAAAGUCUUUUUGGUUUUAUCUUUUCUUUAUUUUUUUAUUUUUUUUUUGGAAGUCUUGCCUCUUAAUCGAAUAGAAUAAAUUGUUAAAAUUAGAAUAAGAAAAAAAGGAUAAUAUUAUUUUUUUUCAAAGCCGCGCAAAGGGCGGUUCUAUUUCCUAGUUUUUAUAUAUUUGAUAAGCACGCUCACUAUUAAUAAAACCCAUUAAAUGCUAUAACUUAAAUAACUUCUUGUAGUUGAUUGAGAGUAUGUUUGGAAUUUCUUUUACUUCCCAAUAAUUAAUUUUUACCUUGAUUAUCAGAAAAUUAAUUUUAUGAAUAAUUUAGCCGGGUGUUUGGUAAAUGAUGAUUAUUUGACAAUCAGUUUUUAAAUAAUCUAUUAUAUAAAUAUAGUAAGUGAAAAUUAGAAGUAUAAUGUUCAUGUAGAAAUGACAAAAAUGUACUCAUUUACUUAUUUGUAAUUUAUUUAGAAUAUUAUUAUUUAAAUAAUUUUUCUUAUUCAUUGGAUUUUUUAAGAGCAUAUUCUAUUUUCUUGAUUACACAUUUAAAUAACUUUUUAUUAACUAUUUUAAUCUGCAAUAAAAAUUAACUAUAUUAUAUUUAACUAAAAAAUUUGUUAUGUAGUCCGUAAUAUACACAAAUACUUGAAUUUAUUAAUAAACUUAACUGCAAAAAAGAAAAUGCAUUACAUAUAUCUAAUUUCUUAUUUUCAACGAUUGAAAGAUGUUAUUUAGGAAACUUGUACGAGAUAAUUUAAUUUUGGACUAUUGACAUUAUAUUUACUUAGAAGUGGAAAUAGUGGGUGGAUAAAUUUAAUUUUUCAUUAAUUGCUCAAGAAGCAAGAGGAUUAGUGAUGGAUGGAGAGUUAGUGUAGAAUUGUGAGGCCAUUUGAUUACUGCAAGCAUUAUAAAUUUCUUGUUGCUGAGAUUAAUCUAAUUGAAUUAAUGACUCCAUGAUAGACUUAACAAAGGAUUCUUGUGGCAAGAUUUCUAUUUAUGAGGCCAUUUGAUUACUGUAAGCAUUAUAAAUUUCUUGUGGCAAGAUUUCUAUUUAUGACUCCAUGAUAGACUUAAGUUUUAGUGAGACAAUUGCUGCCUGUUGCAGACAUGAUACCUCUAGUACUUCAGAAGAUAGCAUAUCACGAAACACAUCCAGACUAUACUGAGGUUACAUCGAAAAUUCCUUGGCCCAUCGUGCGAGUGUGUGACAUCCCGCAACAAAAAUUAGGGUAUGUACUAUAUAUAUAAUGUGUUUUGAACAUAAUAAUAAGAAUGCUGAUUUUUAACAAUUAAUUUAUUUUACUUUUUUUAGUGGUGAUUGUGGAGAAUUUUUGUUGCGGUACUUGGAGGUCCUAACCCAUGGACUUGAUGUCAAUUCAUAUUGCAAACAAGAUCAUGUUAUACAAUUUCGAAAAGCCUUGGUUGUCAAAUUAUUUGGGCAUAGGUCAUGGAAAAAAACUUUGUAGUGUACUACCCUUAAAAACUUUGUUGGUGUGUCAUUUUUGGACCAUGAGAUGUGAUAGUUAUAAUGAGGAUGUUGUUGAUAUUUGAUGUCAUUAAAGAUAACUUGACAUCAUUAAUAUGUUUUAUUUCUUUGUUAACUAUAUUAAUGAUAGUGAAGAUAGUUUGUACAAUCUAUGUAAUGUAACAGGAUUGCCAUAUAUGCUCAGGGAAUACUCUGUAAGAAAAUACACGACUGCUGUUAGCUAUUUGCACGGAUACAUGACUGCAGUCGAGUAUUUACAAAUAUACAUGACUAGCUCUCUGUAAGAAAAUACUCGACUGCAAUUGGGUAUUUACACAGAUACACGACUGCAGUCAAGUAUUUAUAAUUGUACAUAACCAGCUCUCUAUAAGAAAAUACUCGACUGCAUUCGGGUAUUUACACAGAUACACGACUGCAAUCGAGUAUUUAUAAUUAUAUUUGACCAGCUCUCUGUAAGAAAAUACUCGACUGUAGUCGGGUAUUUGCACAGAUACACGACUACAGCCGAGUAUUUACAAUUAAAUAUGACUAGCUCUCUAUAAGAAAAUACACGACUGCAGUCGGGUAUUUGCACAGAUACACGACUGCAGUCGAGUAUUUGUAAAUAAACAUGACCAGUUCUGUAACAGCCAAAAUACACGAUUGUACUCGGGUAUGUGGACACGGAAUAAAAAAUCAACUAAAACAUUCAUUAUAUUGAUGACACAAUCAAUAUAAACUUUAACAUAUUAAAUUUCAAAUAAAUGAAACUAACUGUAGUCUGGUUGCCUAUCAAACAACAUAAAUCCAAUACUUAUUCGAAUCGUAAAUAAGUCAUAAUACAAUAAAAGUUGUUUAACAAUCAUCAUAAUUUUUUUGCAUUUUCAACCCAAACACUCGGUCCAUAUUUUAUAAGCCUCUAGUAAUUUGGUUGCCUAUUAAAUAACCCGAGAUACUAUUUCUAUCAAUUGUGCAUACGUUGUAGAAUAGGGCACUAUGAUCCCUCUUGCCUUUGUACCAUUAAAUCUAUAAUGGCCGUUUUGCUCAAUCCAUUCACCACAAAACAUAAUUGGCACACGUACUGAAGUCAUUUCCUGUAAUAAUACAACGGUUGAUUAUACAACAAAUACAAAAAUAAAAAUCAAGCAAUGUAUAUAACGAAGUGUGGAUCUGUCUGCCUAUUUACAUGACUCACGUCGUGUAAUUGGUAGUUUACACGACAAUAGUUAUGUAACUUGCUAAAAUACACAACUAUAGUUCUAUAAACAGUCAGAUGAUAUAUUUAGUAAAAAAAGCUGUAAUCUUUGUACUAAUCGAAUGGUAGGUGUCAUAACAGCUACUAUAUCUUCCAAACUUGCACGAUUGUUGUCGUGUAAAUUCAUACAUACAUGACAAAAGUCGUGUAAGUUGCAAAAAUAUAUGACUCAAUAAAUAAUCAGAGGACAUAUUUCUUCUUAAAAAAAUAUUGGGAUCUGAUAACAAUUGGAACAUUUUACAUAUAUACACAAUUAUAGUAUGUAAGUUCAUACGUACACGAUAGUAGUCGUGUAACUUAUUAACACACACGACUAUAGUCCAGUAAUAGUAAAAGGAUAUAUAUAGUGAAAAAAAAAAUAUUUUUUGCACCAAUAGAAUGAUAAAGUGUCAUGAUAAUUGGAAUCUUUUGCACAUUUGCACGACUACAGUUAUGUAAAUCCAUACAUACAAGACUGAUGUCGUGUAUGUCGGGUGCAGAAAAAAAUUUUGGCAACAACUUCAGGUUUUAACGAAUGUAGUUAUAAAAUCCAUCAAAUAACAGUCAUAUGAUGCAAAUGUAAUGAAAUAUGAGUUGCUUUAGUGUUUAUCACAAACCAAACAAAACCCUAAAAAUAAUAUAAUGUCAAUUAAAUGAAUAAAUAACACAAAAUAAAAAAAAAUUUCAAAUACCUUAUUCAUGGGAUGAAUAAUGCACCCAGCUGCAAAUUAAAAUCUCAAUGCAUUAGCUGUUUGUGAGUGAUUUUGAGUAUGGAGUGAGUUUUCGUUGUGUGGAGUUAAAAAAAGUGAGAAGUAAAGAGUGUUAGAGACGAGUUGUGUGUGUUUUAUAUAUUUUUUUAAGGAUAUUUUAAACAAUGUAUCACAUAAAAAGGUAUAUCUAGAUAAUUUUCAAGCAUGUGAUAUAUUUAACUAAAUACCCUACUUUUAAGGUAUCUUUAAUUAAAAACCCUCUUAUAGUUGAUUGAGGGUAUGUUUGGAAUUUCUUUUACUUCCCAAUUAUUAAUUUUUACCUUGAUUAUCAGAAAAUUAAUUUUAUGAAUAAUUUAGCCGGGUGUUUGGUAAAUGAUGAUUAUUUGACAAUCAGUUUUUAAAUAAUCUACUAUAUAAAUCUGGUAAGUGAAAAUUAAAAGUAUAAUGUUCAUGUGCAAAUGACAAAAAUGUACUCAUUUACUUAUUUGUAAUUUAUUUAGAAUAUUAUUAUUAAAUAAUUUUUCUUAUUCAUUGGAUUUUUGAAGAGCAUAUUCUAUUUUCUUGAUUACAUAUUUAAAUAAUUUUUUAUUAACUAUUUUAAUUUGCAAUAAAAAUUAACUAUAAUAUAUUUAACUAAAAAAUUUGUUAUGUAGUCCGUAAUAUACACAAAUACUUGAAUUGAUUAAUAAGCUUAACUGCAAAAAAGAAAAUGCAAAAAUUUAAUCUCUAUAUAAACUUUUAUGUACACAAAACUAUUGUAAUAAAGUAAUUCAUAGAAAUAUAAUAUUAUAUACAUGUGUAAAGAAAUAUAUAACUAUAAUAUUAUCCACUUGUAGCACUAUUAUUUUUCAAUCUCUCCAUCUCUUGAUCUUCAAGAACGUUAGUACCAUGAUCUGCUUCUUGAGUUCGACCUCCAUUUCCACAGCAUCAACAAGGCAAUCAAUUUGCCGUGAAAGCCUUACAGCUCCUCCCACUUUCCUCCUUUUUGUAGCCACUCUUUUUCCCUUUCUUUAUUUAGUAGCUUCUAUGGAAAUGUUGUGAAAAUUUUAAUAUACUCGCAAGCGCACGAAUCUAGAAAUAGAAUAGUAGUAACGAGGUCGAUCCCACAGGGAUUGUUAUAAAUUAAAAAGUCUAAUUUAAAUCUAAAAUUAAUAUUAAUUCUAACCUAGUUGAGCAAAUUGAGUUUUUAAGAAAAUUAAACCAAUAAAACUAAGGAAGCAAUUAAAAUAAAGGAGAAUUCAAUAAGAUAAGAAUUACCAAGGUUUUAGAAUCCACCACUAUUCAACUAGUAAUUAUCUAAUUAUUAAUUAAUCCCCAAUUUUGGAGUGACAACUCGAAAUCAAUCUAUGUCAUCUCAUGGAUAUAACAAUUAAGCCCAAGUAAUUAAAUCUAAUGUAAGUUCUUUUUCUGCUUAAUAAUAUGACAUCUAAGAAUCUCAUGUAAACAUAUUGAAUAACAAAGAGUCAAAGUUUUCCUAAGCACUCUAUGUAAACAAUUUAAUGAAAGACAUAGAAUCAAAGAUAAUCAUGUAUAAACUUUAUAAAUUCAAGCAUAGAUUUAAUUGAAUAUUAAUCCUAACAAUCAAUAAUGCAUGACAGAAUUGAUGAAAAGAUUUUAUUAAUAUCUAAUUAAUCAUGUGAAAUAAAAACCAUAAUCAUCAAAGAACAUAUAUAGGGAAUUAAUUAAAUAAAAAGAUAAUUAUUUCAUUGAAUAGGGUUUCAUCCUUAACCUCAGUAUAAGAAAAUUAGUUAGACAUACUUGAAUUGAGAGCAACAAAAUAAAUAAAUUCAGCCAUGGGGAAGCCGAAUUGCUGCAGAUUUUCUUCUCUGUCUUGAAUCCUUGCGUCUCCAGUUCUCCCUUCUGACGGCUCUCUUGCCUUUAUAUAAUGUUACUAACUUGCUUAAUCCUUAUUGGAUUCUAAUUGCAUUAAUUCUUCUCCACCGACUUAUAAAGCCCACUCACCAAGGCCUUUUAAAAUUAUUUCCUUACUAAACUUUGAAAGCAAAGCACACGUUUGACCACAAAAGCAAAAGGCCAAUUAAUGAUUUCUUCUUUUAAUGCCCAGCACAUGCAUUCCAAAUUGCCAAAUCUUUGCUUUCCAAAUGCAUGCCCACCGUUCAUCCUUUGAAGAGAUUGACUUCCAAUUUUGGUCUUCUUGACUUCCAUUAAUUCUUGGUUGCAUUUUUGUCUUCCAAUUUAAUCUUUAUUCCUUCUCAAUUUGAAGUGUUUUCAUGCCCUUUUUAUCAACAAUCUCCAAUUAAUUCCCUAUUCAAUAAAACAAUUCAAUUAAUUAAAAAUAACAAAUAAAUAUAACUAGCAAUUAUAUUAUUAAGGGUAAAAUAUGUAUAUAAAUUAUGCUCAUCAGGAAACAAACUCAUCGAACUACCAGUACAUUUUUCAAUUAGAUAGGACUGAUAGUAGAUAUUCAGUACUCUCAGAUGGUGUGCAAACAUGAUCAUCAGUGAUUGUUGUCUUAAAAAGCAUUCUAUUUAAUUGUUCCUCUGACUCUGGCAUGCAAAAUUUCUUGAUUCACGAAUUUCCUACGUAUGUUGAUAUCAUAUUAAAAUGAAUUCAAUAUCACAUNNNNNNNNNNNNNNNNNNNNNNNNNNNNNNNNNNNNNNNNNNNNNNNNNNNNNNNNNNNNNNNNNNNNNNNNNNNNNNNNNNNNNNNNNNNNNNNNNNNNGCAUGUUGUGAGCUUAUUACCAAAAAUGAGACUAUAUAUUUAAGCCGAAUGGUAAAAAACUUCGGAUGGAGGAUGUGCCAUCUUUUUAUUUUAGAUGCUUUCGGAUGGAGGAUGUGCCAUUUUUUUAUUUUACAUGCUUUGUAAGACUUUUAAUGAUCGAGUGCAGUCAAUUAACAAAAGCUUACAUAUUAUUUGUUGAAAAUUGAUUUUAAAAAAAGAAGUCAAAAUGAUGGGUGGUUGAGCCUGUUGGGGAAAAAUCAGGUUUUUAAAUUUUUAUAAAACCUUUUGAAGAUCGCUCUCAUAUAAUAUAUAAGAAUUCGUAUUCUAGAAAUCGUACCUUGUAAAUCUGAGUUUGCUUUUUCCGCUGAAGUGAUUUAGGCUCCUAGAUCACGAUCCGCCACCACCACUCCUGUUAGAUCACGAUCCGUCACCACCACGCUUGUUAGAUCACGAACUGUCUCCAAUGAUCUUCCAGGUUAUGACUCAGGUUCGAUCUGCACUUGACGUGUGGGCGCCUUUAUCACUACCAAAGCAACUAGCACGAGAAAAUUUUUCUCUCAAAAAUGGAGAGAAAAAUCUUAUUCUCUGAUUUGUAUAAAGUGGCUUCUCCACUUUUUCUUUAGAGAAAAAUAAGCCUUUUAUAUCACUCUUUAGUGAAAACCCUAGGCUCCAAAUAAAAUAAAAUCAAAACCCACGUUAUUUACUUUUUCAAUAGGGGACCCACCUUGUAAAAUAACAUAAGGCCCGUUAUACAAAAGCUAAUUAAAUGGAGCCUCCCACUAAAUGAUAUAUUUAGGCUUUUGACCCAAAUUGCUAGUUAUCUUACUUAUUAGUCCAGUAGUGGUGCAAUCAAUUAAAUGAGCUAACCCGGGGAUCAUUUGGGAACAUACAAUAGUGGCUACAAUAAUUAGGCAUGUAAUUAAACUAGCCCAAUUAUUUAAUUCCAAAUCUACUCCACUAAAAGAUUGGAACUGACUUCCAUAAUUGUAUGCUCGAAUAAUAAUUCGUCCCAAGCCACAUUGAUUUCUUUACUGCACAAUCCUUUGUACCACAUCGUUAAUUAAAUUGAUAUCUCAACUGUCCAAUCAAUUUAAUAACAUCUUAUUCCUUGAUCCUUACUGGUUUUCUCUAAUGAUCAUUUUCAACAUACUAAAUAUGUUGACACACUCUGGCCAGAGAAUUCUAUGAUCAAGUACCGAAAACCUAUCAAGAGAUGUGUUGUACAAAUUCUAUAUUGUUAAUCCAUAACUCCAAUACUCAUAAUUGCUCCCACCAAGAUACCGGGUAAUCUUGACCACAAGGAUGUGUCGUGCCCAUUGGUAACUCAAAUGGAAUAACAAUCACAAUCAUGAAAUCAUAAUUAACUCAAGAUUAAGAUUACAGUAAAAUCAAUGCCUAUGAGAUUUAAUAAGUCUGACAGUUAUUACAAAGUUAAUUAAAUCUCAUAUGUGAUCCUGUUCAAUGUAGUCGUACUACAUCAAUAAAUUCAUACAUGAUUAAGACAAAUCAUUCAAUGAAUUUAUUACAGUCUAUACCUAAAUAAAGUGCCCAACUUUAUUUAUCAACUGCGAACUAAAUUUAUUUAAUCAUAAGAUAACUUGUAUUUAUGUCUUCUGUGAAUCCACAUGGUGAUCACAUAAAUACAUAUAAUAUGAUUAAAUGGACUUUAAUACAAAUAUUAAUGCAAUUAAGAUAUUUGAAUAAAAUACCUCAUUAAUUUUAUUAAUCAGAAAAAAUGUUUAUUACAAUUAAAUAAACACAUAUGCUUUUAAAGAGCAUAUUUUCCCAACAGAGCCAUCAUCUUUGAAUUCAAAGAUGGUGGGUGGCCAAGUUAGCCACCAUCAUUGAACAAGAAAAAAUGGGUGGGUGCCGCCCAUGCAAUGAAGAAAAGGGAGAAAAUGAAGCCAAAGUUUGGCUAUAAAUAGAGGGGUUCUCCCUCUCAUUUUUGUAUCCCAGAGAAGAAAUCCCAAAAUUUGAGAAGCAAGAAUAUGUAAGAGAAGCAUUGAGAGCUUCCAACAUGGGAGAGAAAUAUUCUUAAGCAUGUAUUUAUAUUGAAAGAGCAUUUGGCUCCUCAAUAUGGGUAUUACGGGUUUGAUUUGUUAAGGAAUAUUUCUCGCAAUUAUGUAUUUGGGGCUUGGGUGAGAGAAAAUUAUUUAUGAGAGUGUGGUUGUAAUAAUUUUCCACAUAGUGAAAUUUUUUUUUUCUGGUUGUCUCUUGACAACGGCUAUGGUUUUUCUCCGGAUUUGGAGUUUUCCACGUAAAUCUUGUGUUGUGUGAUUGUUGUAUUCUCCAUUUAAAUUUUUUGUUAAUUUGUUGCUUGACAAAUUGCUUGGAGUGAUCUUGGAAGGAAACUCAAUUUCCUAACAGUGGUAUCAGAGCCAUUGAUUGAAGUUUUGAUGUCGAGGUACUGUUCACGUAGACAUUACUAUUUCACGUAUACGAUAUUGUUCAUGUAUACGGUAUUGUUCAUGUGAAGCAGUGGGAGCCAAUCUAAAUUGUCCGUGGUGAAGAGUAUAGGGUCAUUAUAAAGCAAAUAUGUCAGUAGCUGGUAUUUUUCAAACUUGGUGGAGUUUGAUGUUGUUCAAAAAUUAAUGGGAGAAUGAUUUUUUGUUGGCUUGUGGAGAAUUCAAGUCAAAGGUGUAUCCAAUCUGGUAUGCACAAAGAUUUGAAGGUGUGGACAAUUUUGGCACCUCAAGAAAAUUGUCAAGAAGGUGGAGCGGGCUCGACAAAUUACUCCAGAAUCAGUAAAAGAAAUACUGAUAUUUCUCGCAGAUGGUGAAUUUGUUUUUGAUAAGAGAUUGGAUUAGUUCUUUUGGCAUGUAGAUCUCCAAGUUACCAUAAAAGAGAACAUGUUAUUAUCAGUGGGGUCCACAAGUUUGCACGAGGGCAUUGGCUUGGUAUAAAUGCAAGGUGUGUGGUGGAAAAGUUAUGUCAUGGCUGAAGAAUUCUCAGUGAAACCAAGCAUGAGAAUUGCACUAUAAAUUUCAGCAGGAUAUUUUGAUAUGUGCCGAGAAAAAUCUUAGAAUAGUUGAUUCUAAGUGGUAUACUCAUUAUGGUGUAGUGUGAUAAUUCUUUAUAUUGAGAAUUAUAACUAUUGGUGAAGACAAUGUUUUGUAGUAGUGACUAUGAAAUUCUUUUUUUUAAUCAUGGUAGAGAUUGUUGAAAAUUGAUUUUAAAAAAAGAAGUCAAAAGGAUGGGUGGUUGAGCCAUCAUCUUUGAAUUCAAAGAUGGUGGGUGGCCAAGUUAGCCACCAUCAUUGAACAAGAAAAAAUGGGUGGGUGCCGCCCAUGCAAAGAAGAAAAGGGAGAAAAUGAAGCCAAAGUUUGGCUAUAAAUAGAGGGGUUCUCCCUCUCAUUUUUGUAUCCCAUAGAAGAAAUCCCAAAAUUUGAGAAGCAAGAAUAUGUAAGAGAAGCAUUGAGAGCUUCCAACAUGGGAGAGAAAUAUUCUUAAGCAUGUAUUUAUAUUGAAGGAGCAUUUGGCUCCUCAAUAUGGGUAUUACGGGUUUGCUUUGUUAAGGAAUAUUUCUCGCAAUUAUGUAUUUGGGGCUUGGGUGAGAGAAAAUUAUUUAUGAGAGUGUGGUUGUAAUAAUUUUCCAAAUAGUGAAUAUUUUUUCUUUGGUUGUCUCUUGACAACGACUGUGGUUUUUCUCCGGAUUUAGAGUUUUCCAUGUAAAUCUUGUGUUGUGUGAUUGUUGUAUUCUCCAUUUAAAUUUUUUGUUAAUUUGUUGCUUGACAAAUUGCUUGAAGUGAUCUUGGGGUGAAACUUAAUUUCCUAACAUUAUUUAGGUGCUGAGAUGUCUGUUCUUGAUAAAGUAGAUUUAUUUACACCCAAGCCAACGUAACAAAAGCCUAAUAUACACAAUAAUUAUUUUUGUUAGACUGAUUUCUAGCUAAUGAGAUCUUUGAAAGCAUUCAAAGAAGCCACAGAACUCAUAGGAAAGCCCUGAUAAAAUAUACGGCGAAGCAUGUGAGCUCGUUUUUUAAUCUCUUGAUCACUCAUAAGCUUUUCUAUACCAAUGACUAUAUCAUUCUUUUGAAUCGAUUUUGAUUGAUCAUUAGAAAUCAUGUACCCCACCUUUAGAUGAUUGAUCACCAAUUUGGCAUUGUAAUGUUGAUCAUCUCUAAUUGGCCAUGCUAAAAUUGGAACCCCACACCAAUGGCUUCUACCAUUGAAUUCCAUCCACAAUGAGAUAAAAAUUCACCCAUUGAUUGAUGAUUCAAUAUCAAUAAUUGUGGCGCCCAUCCAUCUAUUAUCAAUCCCUUUUUACUGGCUUUACUACCCAAACCACUAUGAAAAUAAUUGCCUUCUGCUGGUCUGUCUAAACCAGUUAAAUGACACGGAGGAUCCAAUCUACCAGCACCAGUUUGAAUUACCCAAAUAAAUGGUUCAUUUGAUACUUCUAAAGCAUUGGCUAGUACUAAAUACUCAUCUAACUUGGACCCACUUCGAUACCAAAUGACACAUAUAACACAGAUCCUCAUGAUUUCAAAUCCAACCAUUGAAUGAUCUCAUCUUCGUUCAUGUUAGAACUCCACCGAUUGGUUCUCAUCUCACGAUCACGAAGCACUGAACCCGCCCCAUUUGUAAAAUUGUUCAAGUAAUAAUGGGCCUACUCCCCACAUUGGCUUUCCCAUUCGAUUGACUAAAUAAUGGGAGAUUGCCAAUUUUCCCCUACUAUAAUCAAUAUAUAUCAUUUAUUCAUUUACUAUUUUUAUAAUGGUCAAAAAUCCCCUUGACAGUAUAAGUUUAUAAUAUUACUUUUAUUUUUAAUUGCUCUUUUAUUUAUAUUUAUUAUAAAUAAAAUAAAUCACAUGAAUAAAAAAUAAAUAAAUAAUUAAGUAUUAAAAACAAGAAAUAUAUGUUUUAAUAUGAGCAAAAAAUUUAAUAAUAAAUUUUUCUUGUAAUUAUUUAUUUUGUGAAUAUUUUCUUAUAAUAAACAUUUAUAAUAUUUUAAAAUUAAAUGUAAAAAGAAUAGGCAAAAUAUUUUAUUAUUUAUCUUAUAAUAAAUUUUUAUUUGUCAUUCAAGUUUUCUUAUAAUAGUUUUUUAUCAUUUUAUAAUAAUUUUCUUAUAUAUUUAUUAUAAGAAAAUUUUCAAAAAAUAAAUAAGUACAAGAAAAAAUUACAUUAUUGAUUUUUUUGCUCAUAUCAAAACAUAUAUUUGUUAUUUUUAAUGCUUAAUUUUUUAUUUAAUUUAUAUUCAUGUGAUUUAUUUAAUUUAUAAUAAAUAUAAAUAAAAGAGUAGUUGAAAAUAAGGAUAAUAUUAUAAACUUAUGUUAUCAGGAAGAGUUUUUGGUCAUUAUAAAAACAGGAAGGAGGUAAAUGGUAUAUAUUGAUUACAAUAGGGGGAAAAUUGGUAAUCUCCCCUAAAUGAUUAAUAAAUGGUCCCUCAAGAUCAUCACAGGUGUUGAACAUCAAAGCCAUCCAUUCCUCCACUUCCUUCAUCCAGUGUGGUUGAUCACGGGGUUCGAUGGACUCAUUUUCUCUGAACCGGGCGCACCUCGCAAAGGUAGUGGACCACGAGGAAGGGGCCCGUGAGGCCCGUAUUUAAGCUACGAUUCGAAUAAAGCCAUAUCCUUGGGUAACCCAGGAAGUAAAUGGGCCUCUCCCGGUUUGACAUCUUGGAUGCGAGCCUGCUACAUGGCACACUCCACGCUGCUGAGCAAGCACCAGAAGUGAAGAACCCAACAAUGGGACCUUCAAAAUUCUUGAAAACAUCAGCCGUCCAGCCCAUCAUAACGUCGAUGACUGCACAAAUGGGUCGGGUUUCGGGUUCCCGGGUUGAAAGGGGUUUUGAAGGCCUUGAAGCAUUUGACUGUGCAUGACAACAUGGUGGUGGUGGUGGCAGUGGUGGAGAUGAGGAGAGUAUUUCAGUAAUUUCGAAUAGAGGGUAUUGGUGAAGAGGGGAAGGGAUGAUGCCGGUGCCGGAAAUGUGAGAGGGAACGAAUAUUUUAACAGGGACGGAGCCAGCGUGGGACGAGGUGGGGCACAGGCCCCAGCUGGCUUUUAAUUUUUUUUUAUAAUUAUACUAAAAUAUGUAUUUUAUUUGUUAUUUAUGAAAAAUGUCUCAGCUGAAUUGUAAAAUUUAAAAUUGACUCCAGUAAUUUUAAAAUAUUUCAUACUGUCCCUAAUUUAUAUUUUUAAUUAUAAAUUAUUUAAUUAGUUAUUAACAUUUCAUGAAACUUUAUUAAAGACACGAGAACAAAUAUUAAAAUAAAAAAUAAUCAUAACAAAAUGUUAGUAUAAUGGUUAAUGGACUAGUUUUUAAUCUUUUUAUUUUUUAUUCAAGUAAAAUUAAUUAUUUAGUCUUUCAACACUGACCAUAAGUUGUAAGUCUUCCUAAUUCUAAUUUAUAAUUUUCUAAUUAAUCUUUUAUCUAGUUUUAAAAUUUAUAAUUUUAUCAUGCAUUUCAUAUUUGUUCUGUGUGUUGCAAUAUUUGAAUAUUUUUGUUAUUAUUAAAAGAUUUUAAGAGCAAAUUAAGUAAUAACCUAGUCUUGUAUAUUGAAAAAUAUAUUUUUGCUUAUAUUGAUAAUUCAUUAUUUUCAACUCAUAAAAUCCCAUUGAGGAGAUUUCGCGGAGAACCAUUGUAAUAAGUAAAUUUAUUAUCAAUGAAUAUUAUAGUUGUAAUGCUAUUUAUUGAUAUCUAAAUUUUUAAAAAUGUAUUAUACUUUAAAUAUGCUUUCAAUUAGAUGCAUACAGACGCACUCUAUAAGAAGUACAAUUGUACAUGUAGCAAGCUCCCAUUUAGAGUUUAUAGGGCCCACAAUACAGUUUCUCAAAUGACGACUUAUCACACGAGCAAUCGUACAUUCGAGUCAUCUUUAAUUUUAAAUGUGCCCCAGCUCUAUCAAAAUCCUGGCUACGUCCCUGGGAACGAUGAGGGUAGAUUUGUAAUUACGUGAAGCGAUUUACUUGCAUAAUUCAAUGCAUGGAAAUAGAUGUCCCUGACCGAAGAAUGAGACAAUCCAAAUCUCAGCCUCAGCAGCAUUAACGACAGAGCUUGACAUAUUUUAUUAAUCAUUUGAUACUUAAUUAUUACUGACUGCUUUUGCCACCUUUCGUAAAACAUUCUUGGUUAUAUAUAAAAGAGAUGAUUUGAUGGCGAAGUGUGUGUUUUACUUUUACAGUUUUACUAGUCGGUGAGCUAUGAUUUUGAUAAUUUGAUUGUUAGUUUCAGUUGGUUAGUUAUGAGAAAGCAUCUUUCAAAAAAUUCAUUACAGUUUCAACUAAAAUUAACAAUACUAUUCAAAUUAAUUACUCGAUAAAUAAAUAGUCACAGAUAAAUCUAUCCCUAAUCACACAUUUAUAAAAUAAGGAUUGAAAUGAGUUUCUGUGGCUUCGAACCCACGCCCUCAAGCCCAGCGGCUGGAUCUUGACUACUUUGACAUAAUUAUUAUUAGUUUUUGUCCAUCUUUCACCAGGCAUCUUUUGUUAUAUAAUGAAGAAGAUAAGUUGACGGAGAAGAGUUCUACUUUUACUAGUAGAUGAGCAUUGAAGGUUAGUUUUAGUUAGUUAAAUAUCUACCAUCCAAACCAAAGUUCCUUAGACUAUUAUUCAAGUGAGAUGUUUGAGUAACAUAUGCUUGAGUUAGUCGGUGCCUAACAAUUCAUGUGAUACAUGAAACCAACCAAAUGAAGUUGGUAGGAUUAGAUUAAUUUAAAUGAAAAUAAAAAUUAGUUUAUGCUAUUUAUUUAUCUUAUAAUGUUGAAACUUGAAAGUUAACUCUUCAACCUGUCAAUUGGUUCAUGACAUGAUCAAAUAUUCAAGUAAAUAAAUUUAUCGGUUAAAAUUAAUUUUUCAUGUGGUAAAAGCAAUACUAAAUAUGGAGUGGAGAGAAUCAUUUGUAGGUUAUACCCCCACCUUUUAUUUCAUUUCAUUUAAAAAAAAAAACAACAACAACAACAAAGGCUUGGUCAACAUCCAAGUAAAAUUAACAAUUCCAUGAUAAAAUUGCCUGAGAAUAAAAAUUAAAAAAAAAAAAAAACAGCAACUCGAAAACGAGAUACAAAUACCGCACAGAAGUUUUUCGUCACGAGAUAUUUUUGGGUUGAGACAACGCUUGUAUAACAGAGCAUACAGCUUGGAUGACGGUGAGAAUAAGAAGGAAAACGGCACCGCAGACCGAAAUUCCAGCCCAUGGAGUAUUGAAGUAAUUUUGUUUCAAGUUUGCCCUCCAUUUGUAGCACGUUCUUUUGCAGUGAUCAUUCAAUCCUUUGCAUAGCCCAGAAAAAUAGAAGCUAUCAGACAGCAGAGUAGUACCUCUAGAAAGGUUAUUUAUAAGCGUUGACGCUGCCUCUUUAUCCGGCAACCAGUUCUCAAUGAUUCCGUUCUGAACAAGCAACUCGACGUCCUUCGCUGUGUUCACGAGAUUAUGAAUAAGGAACACGUAAUCAUUUAUGUAAUUCUCUGAGUAAUGCCGUUGUUCAAAGGCAAUGAGAUUACGAAAUAAGGAUUCCGUUUCCAGCUGUAGCUUCAGUUUCGGAAUAUGCAAUGUCCUGUUUUUGAAUUCUAUGGCGAACAAAUCAUUGCUCUUGCUCAAACUGAAGUGGACUCCAGCUUGGUGGAGAUCAGUCACACUUGGUGCGGUUUUACCUUUGUGGUAUUGCUGACCUUCUUGUUUUUCCUGAUUCCUUGAUGAUGGUAGAUGACAAAUCCUUAGAAAAUCAAGGAAAUGCUCUACCCUAGCCUCAGUGUAAGGAGGGAAUUUUUGCCGAUUACCUUGUACUGCCUCUAAACCCUUGAAAUACUCGUAUGUGACUGUGAUGAUGGUUGGAUUUUCAUGUUGGUCGGGGAUUUCAAUUGCCGCUAGAGCAAAAAGAUCCUCAAGAGUGAAGAAAGGAAGCUGAUUCUCAAGCAACCACAUAUCAUACCAUAUAUCCUCUAUUAAAUAGGGUUUUAUGAAAUAUAUGAUCAUCCUUUUUUUGAAGUUGACGGAAAUGAUACCUCAAUAAGAGUUCAAUGAUGAAGGCAGCAUCCAGCAGAAUCAUUUCAACAAAUUUAUCACUACUUAGUUCGACUUUUCUGCAUAAGAACCUCGUAAUUCUGCUUCUCUGAACUUUAUAAUUUGAACAAACUCGUCAAAGCUUAUUUUGGUCCGUUGAAGAAAGUAAUGCAGGUACCGCUGUUUAUGUUCUUCCAUUAACUGUAAGUUUGCUUUGCCAUGGUGAAGAGGGCCAAUUGAGACUACCUGAGGUGUGUAUACCUUUUCAUUUAUCUGACGUAAUCGCUCUGGAACUCUGUAGAUGCAGCAGUUUGAGGGCAAUGGUGAUAAUUUUUUCAACUUAACUUGCAAGCAUUCUUCCAUGUUAUAAACUGAAAACAUGGCGCGAAAUUUAAUCAAUUCAACGCUUAAUAAGGCAUAGUAAUUAAAAAAGAAUUAAAAAAAAAAAAUACAAGAGCAUUCUUACAAGUACAGAAGCACCUCAAUCCCUACUAUUUGCAGAGCUGUAGCCAGGAUUCAAUGAUAGACCGGACUGAACUAAAAGGAACAACUUUCUUAGGAAUAUGUUAUCGGCAUUUUCUCUGGCCUCAGGCCAUCAACAAAGCAGUUUCAGUGCUUCUUAUAUAAUUCCAUGGAUUAUUCCUUGCCUUUACAGAUGAUAUAAGUCACAAUUCAUAUAUUAAUUUCUCCAGAUUCCGUACAAGUGGACCAUAACUAUGGAAAAAUUCAAAGAAUGCAACAGCCAUUUGAUUGGUCCAUGUCAGAAGUUAAUCUGGGGAAAGAAGCUUGAUCUAGCUGUAAAAUUCUCUCCUUCAAUCAGUCAGUUUGGGGCAGCAACAAGAUCAAAGCCACCACGCAAACAUUUACUAAAGUUUAUAUAAUAUUCUUGAACCUCAUCUUAAGUAAAGCAACAAAAGCCUUCACUGUUUCUUAACAACUUUAUUGCUCUAACACAUAGCAUAACAUUUUUAAAUUUGCAUAAAGCACAAUAGUACUUCAGUUUGUAACAACAGCACGGAUAAUAAAUAGCAUUUUAUAGCUUUAACAAAAGCAUACAAAAUUCUUAAACCUUGUUUCAAGCAAUCCAUUAAUGCCACAAGGAUAUCUUUUUGCUUCCUACAGUUUUUAUUGAAAUUCAUAUAUUCUUCUUUAUCAAAUUAAGUAAUUUUCCUUUUUCAAAAAAUCAAGAAGGUUUCGACUGCAUGGAAAUACAGCACACAAUUACUACUAUUCCCGGAGUAAGAAAUUCAUAAAUGCAAUAUAAACAUACAUUUUCAUAAGACAUCAGAAUCAAAGAAUCAUCAAUGCAUCAAAUCUGUACACCCAAAAAAGUUGAAAGCAUCAAGAGAAAAUUAUACCGCAUGGACCCUUUACAACCCUUAUAACGAGUUCAGACAGCCUAAUCCAAUUUGAUAGAUUUGAGGACAGCUACAAUGUGCAAUACAAAAUUUCCCAAUACUAUUUAGAACAAAGUCUAGAAAACAAAACUUAUAUAUUGUACAAAAUCAUGAAAACCAGAAAUGACGAAAAACCUGCAAAUGUAAUUUUUGGGUUUCUUCAACAUAUCUUCCAUCCAAAUCAAACAAGAAUCGAUAAAUCAACAACAUUCAUCUUUAAACGACAUAUUACCACAAUAAAAUUGUCAACCAAGCCUCAUAUAAACCUUUUUUGUGUUUUUUGGUAAAUAUGUUUGUUUUUCUCUAAGAAUACUAGGGAAAAAAGAAACCCACUUUCUUAAUCAAGAAUCAAAUAAUAUAUAUGAAUCUAAGCUGAAGUAAGUCUUGGGUUUGAUGAAAUAGCUUGCAUUGCGAUUUAGAUUGGAAAGGAAGUUGAUUUUUACUGGUUGAGAGAGAGAGAUUUGAGACUUAAGAGAGUGUUGCUAAUCUUCAAUCGUGUAAACAAGGGUAACUGGGUCAUAGUUCAAAAUAAGGGUCCAAAAUUUACUAAAGCUAUUAAGGAGCCCAAAACUCAUAAUGGCUUCCCCAAAAUAAAUAAAAUUUUCUAGCAUUAAGUUUUUGUUUCUUCUUGAGAUUUCCUUGUCGUACUUACCCAUAUUUCGAUAUUGCCUCCAAGUAAACUUAUAUAUAUUGAUUAACAAUAUAAACAAGCACUAUGAAGUUUUAGGCCUGAAAGAACAUUAGGAUUGAAAUGAAAACCAUCUAUUUAAGUAACAAAUUCUUCUGAUAAUCUGAUGCUUAAUUUAGAGAAGAGAUGACAUAUCAAUCACGUUAUGAUGUGGAAGUUAUGAUUAUAUUCAUCUUAGAAUAAGAUCUUUCAGGCACUGGCAGAUUAGUAUAAAAAAUACUCAGCAUAAGACCUACAAACUAGAAAUCACGCACCAAUUAUUGAACUCAGCACAUAAGUUGAUCUUUUAUAAGCUAUAAAACAAAUCUGCUAUAACAUAAGAAAGUGGGAUUUAUCACCAGACAAGUAUUUUGGUGAAACUCAAGCUGACGGAAGGAUAUCCAAAGCAACCUCCUUAAGGGAAGGCAUCACUUCCUGCUGAUGCAAACAUAUAUAUUUAUUACUCACUUUCUUGAGGACCUUCUAGGAACCUGGGUAGCACCUAACAGAAAGUGGAAAAGAAUAAAAUGUAAAAUAUAAGUUAAACAGCAGGAAAACAGUGAGUGAUACUAGGCAAGCAUUAAUAUGUUGCCGCAAGAAAAGUGUCAGUAACUAGCUAGCAAACCUGAAAAGGGUUCCUCCAUUACGACCCUUAAAAUUGUGAAUGUAAUAUAUGGUCUCCAUCACAGGAAAAAGUGUUUUGGAUAGUGCAGCCAGCUUAGGGUAGAAGAAUGACGGAUAAUCUUAGCUCAUUUAAGGAAAUCCUCUCUGAUCCUUUCAUUGCACAUUCCAAAACAACUCUACUACAACCAAGUUACCAAUUCUUUUUGUUAAGUCAUUGUUAUUUGUUAAAAAAAAAAAAAAGUCUUCCUUGUAACAUUUUAUUGAAAGAUAUAACAUGAUCAUCCCUAUUAAUUCCCUUUUAGAUUUCUGUGAGUGAAUUUCAAAUUAUUGUAUUAAAAAAUAGAAGCAAAAGACCCACUUUACUUUCAAUUUCUGCAACAAGAUACCAAUUGAAGGACCAAAAAGUUGUAAACAAGCAAUUCAAUGAGUGGACAUCUAGAAACUGCUAUAUAGCAUCAAAAUCAUACUAAAUUUACAGAAAGCACGAUAAGAAUGAAAGAAUGGUGAAGGAUACACCCAGACCUUAUCCGGUCAAGUUCUCCAUUGAAUAUAAUCAGUUUCCGGGCAGUAUUGAAGACAGCUUCUUUGUAAAGCUCUUCAACGACAAGCAUUUCUACAAGACAAAAGAAAAGCAAAAUUAAUUACCUUAAGGAAUGAAUAUCAAUGAGAAGACAAGGUGUAAGACUACCAUUGACAUUAAAAUAUGGAUAGGCGACUAGAAACAAUUCAUCUUCCGGCUUCACACGGUCUGCCAUUUUAACCUUCUCAGUGAAUCCAAAAUCCUCAAAGAAUGAAGGUUUUGUUAGAUAGUCCAACUUAAAUGAUGAUCCUUCAAAGACCGAUUUUCUUGCAAAUUUGACUUCAUUUGCCUCUGGGAAAAACUAAAAACCAAAUGACAGACCAAGAUCACGAAACGAAUCAUGAACGUAGAUAUCAGAUAAUCAGAAAUGGGCAUUAAACAGACUACUAACAAGUAGGAAAUGCAUACAGAAAACAUUAUUCAUACACCUUAUGCACAUGAAAUAUAUAUGCAGAGGGAUCCUCUUGUGAAUUUAGUUUAUAUCCUAAUAUGAGACGAUGAACAAUUGGAUGCCAUCUAAGGGCUAACAUUUGUUUGAUUAUUAUAUGAAAAAAAAAAAAAACAGAGUUGAUUGAUGGCCUUUGAUGGAUUGCCUACACUCCUAAAGUGCAGAGAGCCUGAUUGAUUGCUUUACCUGCCCCCCACACACACUUGAUUUUAUUAUCUCUCUUUUCAAAUAUAUAAUCAUUGCCUGUCUUUCAUCCUGAUCCAGCUCUCCUUCCAGGCACCAGCUGUGUUUUCUUCAAUUCAGUGAAACAUUCACUUUCAGGUAAGAAUAAACUUGUCCUUCCUCAAAAACCAACUUCUCACCAUGAAGCUUUCUUUUUUAAAACAAUUACUAGUCUAGCAUAAUUGAAGACAACUCAGAAUUGAAAAAGCCAUACUUUAAUGUCUGCUGUUGGGACCUCAAGACCAGGAACAAAAAGCUUCUUUCUAACCGUUGGAUUAACAAGUAGAAAUAGCUUUUUUCUGAAGGACCCAACAUUGCAUUGAAAAAUUCAACAAAAUGACUGGCGUCAUAUUUAGUCCUGCUAGAAUUUUGUGCACUUAACACAAUGGCUAAUAAUUGGCCCAGCGGACACUUUGUCGAACUACUGGCAACCUUGACUGUGGAAAUGCAUAUUUCAAAUGUUGGCAGGCUCUAGCUUCUUGAUGUACUGUUGAUAGAAAUGCCUAUUUCAAAAGUUGGCAGGCUCAAACUGCCGAGACUUUGGUUUCUUACAUUUCAAACCCACAAAUAAAACUUUGGCAGAACCCCAGAAAGAGCUACACCUCCCAAAUUUGAUGACAUAUGAGGAGACCAUGCCUAGUGCUUGGUUCGGCAAAUGAGUAAGUUUGAAAGAAAUUGAGGGAAACCUUUCCCACAGAGAGUCAUAUUGAAGGUUACAAUUUGAAGACUUUGUCCCCUGUCGCCCGUAACCUUCUUUGAUCUCUUUUCUUAGUCAUAAAUAAUCAAACAUGUGUUAGUCGUUGGAUGCAAUCCACUCACUGACAUCUCAUGUCCACAAUCAAUCAACCAUAUUUUAAUAGAAAUGAAAACAUUUUAAUUAAAAAAAAUGAGAUAGGAACAAAAUCAAACUUGGCAGACAUGGUCUAUGAGAUUUUAAAGAUGCUUGGUGAAAGUUGUAUUCAAGAGUUCAACAGUCAGUUCUAUCACCUAUGGCAAAGUAACCACCGCAACUAAAGCAAUUACAAAACAUCAAGAAGCUUGAACUUGGCAAGAGGUCUCAUUAACAGUAUACCUCAGAAAUUAAGACAGACUUAAAGUGCAAGCUUUUGGAUUUAUUUAAACACUGAAAAUAAUAUGGGUAGAAGCUCCUAUGGUCACAGCAAACAAUUACAAAGCACAAAACCCAAAAAACAGAUAUGCAAAAAGCUGCAAAAGAACAUUAUUAGCAAUUGACAUCUGCUUUUGCUCAGACAAAGGUUCUCAUAACAAAGGACUUAGUGAUUAUCUGUCAUAUGUUUAUGUUAAGGGGAAAAAGGAAGUUUGUUUUAGUCAAUCUCACGUCUAAUGGCAUUUAUAAGGAGCCCAAAAAUAAAAGAAAAAAUAAAGAGUUAGUAGGUGUUUCUUGCAGCACAAAGAAAAUUUAUCAUUCAUGAAAAACUUAGUAUGGAAAAAGCUAACUCAUUUAUCUGCCAAUGGAGAAAAACUUGUUGUCCACCCACUAAGGACCCACCAUUGGCAGGUCUGAUGGAUCCCAUGGAUGGGAACCGCAAAUAUUUUAUUCUAAAUGACAUGUGUAUUGUACCCAUAUCAUUUAAUUUGUAGAUUCCACUGAUGGAACUCAUCAAACUUGCCAAAUGGCAGGUCCUCCGUGGGUAGGCGCAUCACUUCAGCAUCCUUCUCCACCGAUGACCAAAUUUGGACUCAUUUAAAAAGAAUACAAAGCAAAACUAACUGACAUAAAUUGCAUAGAGAUCUAGGAGCCAAAUCAAUGUUGUUAACUCAUCCAAUUAAUACAUUCUCUUAGAGGCAGGGACGGAGCCAGCGUGGGACGAGGUGGGGCACAGGCCCCAGCUGGCUUUUAAUUUUUUUUUAUAAUUAUACUAAAAUAUGUAUUUUAUUUGUUAUUUAUGAAAAAUGUCUCAGCUGAAUUGUAAAAUUUAAAAUUGACUCCAGUAAUUUUAAAAUAUUUCAUACUGUCCCUAAUUUAUAUUUUUAAUUAUAAAUUAUUUAAUUAGUUAUUAACAUUUCAUGAAACUUUAUUAAAGACACAAGAACAAAUAUUAAAAUAAAAAAUAAUCAUAACAAAAUGUUAGUAUAAUGGUUAAUGGACUAGUUUUUAAUCUUUUUAUUUUUUAUUCAAGUAAAAUUAAUUAUUUAGUCUUUCAACACUGACCAUAAGUUGUAAGUCUUCCUAAUUCUAAUUUAUAAUUUUCUAAUUAAUCUUUUAUCUAGUUUUAAAAUUUAUAAUUUUAUCAUGCAUUUCAUAUUUGUUCUGUGUGUUGCAAUAUAUGAAUAUUUUUGUUAUUAUUAAAAGAUUUUAAGAGCAAAUUAAGUAAUAACCUAGUCUUGUAUAUUGAAAAAUAUAUUUUUGCUUAUAUUGAUAAUUCAUUAUUUUCAACUCAUAAAAUCCCAUUGAGGAGAUUUCGCGGAGAACCAUUGUAAUAAGUAAAUUUAUUAUCAAUGAAUAUUAUAGUUGUAAUGCUAUUUAUUGAUAUCUAAAUUUUUAAAAAUGUAUUAUACUUUAAGUAUGCUUUCAAUUAGAUGCAUACAGACGCACUCUAUAAGAAGUACAAUUGUACAUGUAGCAAGCUCCCAUUUAGAGUUUAUAGGGCCCACAAUACAGUUUCUCAAAUGACGACUUAUCACACGAGCAAUCGUACAUUCGAGUCAUCUUUAAUUUUAAAUGUGCCCCGGCUCUAUCAAAAUCCUGGCUACGUCCCUGCUUAGAGGUCAUACCUUGGUAACUCAUUUGAAAAGAAAUUAAAAGAAAAACGACUGCACAAAUUGUACUGAGCUCAAGAAAACCUGUUCAAGGUGUUCACUUGUCCAACUAAUAAAAGUCAUCAAGGAUUGUAUCGGGGACUUGGGACCAAUCCUGCCUUAACGAGAGAAAGGGAAUUUAGGAGGAAGAAGAUAACCUCUUUUCCUAGAACCCUUGAGAAAAUUAUUGAAGAAAUAUGUAUCUCCUUUUCUUAUUUUUACAAUAGGGUUACACAAUACAUAUAUAUAUAUUCUAAACUACAUAAUGUGCUAGAGUAGGAAAGUAAACAACUAACUGCAGACCAAGAAACUAGGAAACAAACUCUAUCUAAAAAACUGAAAUUCUAUCCCUAUCUUUUUUCUUUUCUAUCCCUAUCUUUUUUCCUUAAAAACAGGAUAGAAAACAAGUGACUUUUCCACACUCCCCCUCAAGCUAGUUCGAAGAUAUCAAUCAUUCCCAGCUUGCUAGUUAGUGACUCAAAGCUUGAUUUAUGAAGUCCUUUAGUAAGAAUAUCAGCUAGCUGCUUUGUUGUUGGAACAAAGGUCAUGCAUAUCAAACCACUUUCUAUUUUCUCCUUGAUAAAAUGACGAUCCACUUUGUUGAGUGUUAGAAAAUGCAUAUUUAUAAAGGAGAAAACCAUCAUUUUACAUUUCAAGUCGUACUAACAACUCUUACUUUUAUGUAUUUAACCUUCUUGUGAUAUAAUUACGUGUGUUUUAUUUUAAUUAAGUAUUUUAUGUAUUUUAGGGGCAUUAUAGUCAUUUCACAAUAAAGGAGAGAUUAGACGGCAAAACGGACAUCACUUUUGAACUCAGGACGGUCGAAAACCUUAGGAGGAGCAUAAAAGGAAAAAUGGCACUAUUCAUAUGUACGGUACUAUUCGCGUGUACGGUAUUAACUACGUUACUGUUCACAACACUGUUCACAACACUGUUCACAUAGACGGAUCGAUGACGUGGCAUUGACCGAUGAUGUGGCAUUGACUGAUGAGGUGUCACGAUCCUGUUGGGCUAAAAUUCUUAUGUACUGUUGAUGGUGACGUGGCAGCAUAUCAGUGGAUGAAAAAUCUCGCGUACGGUACAUGCAUCACACAUGAUUAUUCUCAACCAAACCGUGUUACUGUUUAUCCGAGUCAAACCGUGUUACUGUUCAUCCACGUGGUCAAACCGUGGACUGUUGACUUAUGACGUGGCGCAAUCCUGAGCGUCCAAACUGUUUUUAAUCUGAUGGCCAUGAUUUACUCCAUGUAUCUAUAAAAAGGGGGCCUUCCCCCCCUAAUUUGAUAGCUCUGAAUCCAUUUUUGGGAUCCAUUUUCUGUAAUUCCUUCUCCAUCUUGUAUUUUCUUUGUAUUUUAAUAAAUUCCCAUUUUGCCCCUAGUUCAAUUAUGAGUGGCUAAUUUUCUUUCAAGCUUGGGUUGAAGGUGAAGUCUCAACAUGUGUCAUGGGCUUAAUUUGGUAAAUUUAUUUUCUCUUCCCCUCUAGUUUUUGUGGAUGUUUUGACUUCUCGUCGACAAAUAAUAAUAAUCUUGUCUAGAUACCGCCUUGGUUACACCGGCUCUCUAGUAUAAGGUUAUUAUUAUUUGGCACGAUAAGCCCUUAGCACCAUAUUGAUUAUAGCGUGGUUCAUGAGGUGUGGAUUCCCCCCUCAUGAUUUAAUUGGCAUUAAUAAAGAUUAUUUAGCCCAUGAUGCAUGUUGAUACGGAUCCAGAUACCCAAGUACGUCAUUUUAAUAGAAUUCUCUUCAAUUUAUUCUCGCCAUUUCAAUUCCAAUUUUAGAAUUUAUUCUCGCCAUUUUAAUUUAAGUUUUAGCAUAUCCCAAAUCAUUUCCACCACAAAUCCAAUCACCCAUUUACAAAAUUAAUUCUACACAAUUAAAAUCCACCUCCUCGUGGGAUCGACACUCGUCACCAUUAGUCUAUACUACAAUAGAUUCGUGCGCUUGCGAGUACAUUAAAAUUUGCACAACAAGUUUUUGGCGCCGUUGCCGGGGAGGUAAGUAAUUUUAAUUCAUAGAAUUAAUUUUUGUGAAUAAUUUCUUUUAUUUAUUUUCUUGUAUUUUUUUUUAUUAUUAAAAAAAAAAGUAAAUCUACAUUUAAAGGUUAGUAUUUCUUUUCUUUUUCUCUUCUUUAAAAUUCUGUAAUUUAAUUUUCAAUUUAUUUUUCUUUGUAAUUUUUUUUUGUUUAUUUUAUUAAUUUAUUUUUAGUUAAUUUAUUUCACGUAUUUAUUUUUGUGUAUUUUUAUAGUAAGGUUGUAAUAGCGCAAUAAGGUUAGUAUUGUAAUUUCUCUCUCUUCUUUAUUUUUAUUUGUUUUGUUCCAUCUUUAUUUUUAUUUUAUUUAUUUUGUAUGCAUGGUCGUAGGUCUUUAUUACCUAAUCUUGAACCUAUAGACCUUGAACUUGAGAAAACACUUCGCACACACAAGAACGUUAAAAAUAAAUUUGAAAUGGAUUUACAAGCACCACAGGAGAGGCCAUUUAAGGACUAUUUUAGUCCCUUAGCUAAUUUGAGCACAUCAUGCAUAAGAUACCCAAAUGUAGCUGCUAGGAGUUUUGAAUUAAAACCUAGUGUGCUAAAUUGUCUCCCCACAUUCUAUGGCCUAGAAAAUGAGGACCCAUAUAAUCAUCUGAAUGAUUUUCAUGCCAUUUGUCAAACUUUUAAAUAUGAAAAUUUUUCAGACGAUGAUGUUAAACUUAGAUUAUUCCCAUUUUCUUUAAAGGAUAGAGCUCGUUCAUGGUUAAAUACUUUGCCUGCUAAUAGCAUUGCAUCAUGGGAACAAAUGGUUACAAAAUUUCUAAAUAAAUAUUUCCCAGUGCAUAAAACCAAUUCUAUUCGCAGGGAAAUUUCAGAGUUUACACAAAGAGAGGACGAGCAGUUUUUCGAAACUUUGGGAGUGAUUCAAUGGGCUACUCUUGAAGUGUCCACAUCAUGGGUAUGAGAAAUGGCACCAAUGCCAAUACUUUUUGGAGGGAUUAUUGCCAAAUGUGCAAGAAUGGCUAAUGGCAACAAGUGGAGGAGAGCUAAUGUCAAAAAGCGCAACAGAGAUUUGGGAAUUCUUCCAGCGACAAGCGGAUAAUUCCCAACAACGGAGUCGAUCACUCAGGAAUACUAGAAGAAUUAAGGGAGUAAAUGAGGUUCAAAUUGGCGAGUCAACUUCGGGAAUCAAAGAAGUCAAGGAGAUAGUUGAAGGUCUUGCUCGACAAAUAGCAUCGUUGUCGACUGCUAAAUCAACAGAACCACAUGACCAUGACUCAUACUCCGAUCAAGCCAAUGCCAUAGGUGUAAUGAGAAAACCAUCGAAUUACAACCCAUACUCCAACACAUAUAACCCUGGAUAGAGAGACCACCCCAAUUUUUCAUGGUCUCAAGGAUUCCAACAGAAUGGACCAGCAGCUCCAGCUCCACAAAUUCCUCAAGUUCCUCAAGCCUCUCAGCCCCCAUUUAGACCAUUUAAUCAGAACCAGAACUACUCUCAACCCAGACCAUGGGAGGAUUCAUUCCAGAAUCUCAAGAAUCUUACUCACUCCACGAUUGAGCAGCAGAACCGCACCGUUGAUGGACUACGAAAUGAGUUGAGAGCAGGCUUCAACUCACAAGAUCAAUCAGUUUCAAACCUCGAGAAAAUGGUGGGACAACUUGCUUCUUCAGUUCAGACCUUGGCAAUGACUGUUGAGAAAGGAAAAUUUCCAAGUCAACCAGUGCCUAAUCCUAAAGGAGUGCAUGAAGCAAGUACCAGUUCACCACAGCAGCAUGGGGAGGUCAAAGCAGUCAUGACCUUGCGAAAAGGAAAGGAAGUCGACAACAAAGUGGAGAUGCCGGUGACAAAAGAAAAUCAAAUUGUACCUGUGAAUGUUGAGGACUCACCACCGGAGGAAAAAGAAGAAACCAACCCACGAGAAUAUGUUCCUAAAGCUCCAUUUCCUCAGAGGUUAGCGAAAGGAAAGAAGGGAAAUUCCACAGGUGAGAUUCUCGAAAUCUUCAAACAGGUAAGUGUUAACAUCCCUUUACUUGAUGCUAUAAAGCAAGUUCCAUCUUAUGCUAAGUUUCUUAAAGACCUUUGUACUAAAAAGAGAAAUAUGCAUGUUCAAAAGAAGGCAUUUUUAACAGAAAACGUUAGUUCUAUACUCCAACAUAAAAUUCCUUUAAAAUGCAAAGACCCAGGCUCCCCCACUAUCUCAUGUAGUAUAGGGAACCACACAAUUGAGAAUGCUUUGUUGGAUUUAGGAGCUAGUGUAAAUCUUUUGCCUUACUCUGUAUUCGUGAAACUUGGACUGGGAGAAUUACACCCAACUCCAGUGGUGUUACAGCUUGCAGAUCGGUCCACGAAAAUACCUCGUGGUAUUGUGGAGGACGUGCUUAUCCAGGUAGACAAGUUUUAUUUUCCUGUUGAUUUCAUUGUAAUUGACACUCAACCAAUACAGGAUUCAAGGAAGCACAUCCCCAUUAUUCUAGGCCAACCUUUCUUGGCAACUGCGGAUGCUCACAUUCAAUGCAGGACUGGAAAUAUGCAAUUGUCCCUCGGCAACAUGACUAUGGAGCUGAACAUCUUCAAUAUUGCCAAACAACCUCAUAAUGCAGAUGAUAGAAUUGUAGACGUGGAUUUAAUUGAAGCAUUAGUUGAUGAUACUUUUGUUUCAAACCUUAGUGAUGAUCCUUUACAAACAUGUUUAACUCACUUUGGUUUGGAUUUUGAUAUUGACAGAUCGGUCGAAGAGGUCAACGCCCUGCUUGACUCAGCACCAUACAUGGACACUAAUAAAUGGAAGUUAAGAGUUGAACAACUAGCACCAUCAGAGAAGAAACUCAUCCCAUCAUCAGAAUCACCACCGAAACUCGAGGUCAAACCAUUGCCCAACACAUUGGAAUAUGCAUUUUUGGGAGAAGAAAUUACUUUGCCGGUAAUCAUCUCAUCAUCCCUAAAUGACGAACAAAAAGGUAAGUUGUUGGAUGUUUUAAAAGAGCACAAAGGAGCAUUAUGAUGGACCAUAGCAGACAUAAAAGGUAUAAACCCAGUAGACUGCAUGCAUUACAUUCACCUUGAUGAAAAUGCUAAAUCUACUAGGAAAAUGCAACGUCGGUUAAAUCCUAAUAUGAAAGAAGUUGUUAGAACAGAAGUCCUUAAGCUAUUAGACGCAGGUAUCAUUUACCCAAUUUCUGAUAGUUCAUGGGUCAGUCCUGUACAAGUUGUCCCCAAAAAGUCAGGAGUCACAGUAGUUACGAAUGCUGAUAAUGAAUUGAUACCCACUAGAGUAACUACAGGAUGGCGUGUAUGCAUUGAUUAUAGAAAGUUGAAUUCUGUCACACGUAAAGACCAUUUUCCUUUACCAUUUAUUGAUCAAAUGCUUGAUAGAUUAGUAGGCCAUGAAUUUUAUUGCUUUCUAGAUGGCUACUCAGGAUAUAAUCAGAUUCCCAUAGCACCAAAAGAUCAGGAGAAAACUACUUUCACUUGCCCUUUUGGCACAUUUGCAUAUAGGAGAAUGCCAUUUGGAUUAUGUAAUGCACCUGCUACAUUUCAACGAUGCAUGUUGAGCAUUUUUUCUGAUAUGGUUGAACAAUUCCUUGAAGUCUUUAUGGAUGACUUUUCUGUUUUUGGUAACUCGUUUGAUCAAUGUUUACAUCAUCUAACGCUAGUUCUGCAGAGAUGUAUCGAGAAGAAUUUAGUCUUAAAUUGGGAGAAAUGCCAUUUUAUGGUAAAACAAGGUAUUGUUCUCGGUCACAUCAUUUCGAGCAAAGGUAUUGAGGUUGACAAAGCCAAGGUGGAUCUCAUUUCUAAUCUUCCUCCACCUAAAACAGUCAGAGAAGUACGAUCUUUCCUUGGACAUGCUGGUUUCUAUAGACGUUUCAUUAAAGAUUUUAGCAAAGUUUCUAGACCCUUAUGCAAUUUACUUGCUAAGGAUGUACCUUUUAUCUUUAAUGAUUCAUGUCUCAUGGCGUUUGAAAAAUUAAAGCAAUUGUUGACAUCAUCACCCAUCAUUCAGGCCCCAAACUGGAGCUUACCAUUCGAGCUCAUGUGUGAUGCAUCUGAUUAUGCAGUAGGAGCAGUAUUAGGACAAAGAGUUGAUCGAAUUCCCCAUGUUAUUUACUAUGCUAGUAUGACAUUCAAUGAUGCACAGUUGAAUUAUUCAACUACUGAAAAAGAAAUGCUAGCAGUAGUGUUUGCAUUAGAAAAAUUUCGAUCUUAUCUCAUUGGUUGUAAAAUAAUUAUAUUCACAGAUCAUGCUGCUCUUAAAUAUCUUCUCACAAAGAAAGAUGCAAAAGCUAGACUAAUUCGUUGGGUAUUACUUUUGCAGGAAUUUGACUUGGAAUUCAAAGAUAAGAAAGGCACAGAAAAUGUCGUGGCGGACCAUCUCUCUCGUCUCCAUUUUGACACAAUUACAGAGCCAUUAAUAUUAAAUGAGUCAUUUCCAGAUGAACAAUUAAUGAGUGUGGAAGUAUUACCUUGGUAUGCUGAUAUAGUUAAUUAUCUUGUUACAGGUAAACUUCCAGAGCAUUGGACCAAGCAAGACAAGGCUAAAUUCUUUGCGGAAAUAAAGAAUUUCUUUUGGGAUGACCCAUAUUUGUUCAAGUAUUGUGCAGACCAAAUUGUUAGACGAUGUGUCCCUGAAAAUGAAAUUCAGAAUAUUCUUUCAUUCUGCCAUGAACAAGCUUGUGGAGGCCAUUUCAGUGCUAAGAAAACAACGACUAAAGUUUUACAAUGUGGUUUCUAUUGGCCAACUAUAUUUCGAGACGCUUACACUUUCUGUUCUUCAUGUGAUAGGUGUCAACGAAUGGGGAGCAUUACACGAAGGAACAUGAUGCCACUAAAUCCAAUUUUAGUGGUUGAGAUUUUUGAUGUAUGGGGUAUCGACUUCAUGGGACCCUUUCCCUCUUCUUUUGGCCAUCAAUACAUAUUGGUUGGUGUUGACUACGUCUCAAAAUGGGUAGAAGCAAUUCCAUGUAGAACCAAUGAUCACAAAGUGGUGAUAGGAUUUUUGAAAAGCAACAUUGUCUCACGCUUUGGAUUCCCUCGAGCAAUAAUCAGUGAUGGUGGUGCCCACUUUUGUAACAAAGCAUUCAAAGCUCUUUUGACAAAGUAUUCAAUCACACACAAAGUGGCAACCCCUUAUCAUCCGCAAACCAGUGGCCAAGUUGAGAUCUCCAAUCGAGAAAUAAAGCAUAUAUUAGAAAAGACGGUGAGGCCAGACAGAAAAGAUUGGUCAUUAAGACUUGAUGAUGCAUUAUGGGCAUAUAGAACGGCUUUCAAGACCCCGAUUGGGAUGUCACCCUACAGGCUAGUGUAUGGAAAAGCUUGCCACCUACCUGUGGAACUCGAGCAUCGUGCAUAUUGGGCCAUCAAGAAAUUCAACUUUGACAUGCAGCAAGCCAGCUCAGAAAGAAGAUUACAACUGGCAGAACUUGAAGAAAUUCGCAAUGAUGCAUACGAAAAUGCCAAAAUUUACAAGCAACGAAUGAAAGUCUUUCAUGACAAGCACAUUAUGAGAAAAUCGUUCACUCCAGGUCAGAAAGUGCUUUUAUUCAAUUCUCGCUUGCACCUAUUCCCAGGUAAGUUACGCUCUCGAUGGUCUGGUCCAUUUAUUGUUCAUACUAUUUUUCCACAUGGGGCAAUUGAAAUUAAGGACCCAAAGAACGGUGUCACGUUUAAAGUUAAUGGUCAAAGAUUAAAGCCAUAUCUUGAGUACCAACCACAUGGAGAAGACACCGAAAUAAAUUUGAGUGACCCACCAGAUUUGAAUUGAUUUUUUUUCUUUUUGUUGAUUUGAUUUUUCUUUCUUUUUAUUAUUCUUUUGCUAAUUGAAAUUAUUUUUGCAUAAGUGUGUUUGUUUUACCAUUAAGUUUUCUUUUCUCUUAUCAUUGUUAAUCAUGAGUACCAUACUUAGACCGUUCCUCCUGAACAUUCUUAAACCACUUCAACGUGUCAAAACUCAUCUCAAAAAGCAGAUUCAAUUUUGUAAAACACAACGCAUUUGGGCUCUACAACCACCAGAGUUAGUAGCCUAUGUUGAGGGUUUAGAAUGCCAACUCAGAGACAUUGAGAGAAGUGUUUACGACAUCCAGUUAGAGCUUGAGGUAAAUUCAAUAAGAGGACGAUUUUAAUUUUCUUUGUGUGUUUUAAUUUGUUUUUCUGUUUGUGUGUUUUAGUUUGUUACCCCGGUGAAAUGGCGGAUAACGGUACUCCGUGACAAUCAAGUCGGUUACUUCAGUUUCCCAUAAUAACUGACAUUCUGAGGCGAAAGUAUGGACAGAAAAGAGAUUCUAGCAAAGCUUCACAAGCGAUUCCCUUCACUUCCUCAGAAUGCCCUCCUUACGAUCUAUAAAGCUCGGUCCGAACGCAUGCGAUUACUCAUGAAGAAUAACAUACCUGCUGACAUCCGUUGGUUAAUCGAGGCUAAAGUACGAUCGGCAGGUGAGUUUCCUCCAAAAUUUAUUGCAUACAUGCCUGGUUGUGGUAAAGGAAAUUAUGCAAGAAAACGACGAGCUCGAAGAAUUUCUGUUGCUUGUCAUAAGUGUGCUAGAAUGAGUUGCGAUAGAAACCCAUGUUCUUUAGGAAUGGUGUCUGAUAACAGGGAAGAUAAGAUUUAAUUCAUUAGGGAUGGCUUGAAUAAGGAGUCAUUGGAUGAUAUCCUUUUGUCUCUUGAAACGCAUCCUAGUGGAUAUGUGCAAGGAGCGAUUCUCCAGUUAUGGCCAUUAUUCCAGAAAGAGCAUGCACGAUAUAGUCUCGGGAAUCUGACUAUAAACGACCCUGUUUGCCAGUUUAUAAGAAAACUGGAUAGGAAGCCUAUCCUCGACCCAUAGAGGGCGUUCAAGCCGUUUCUGGACGUAAAACCAGAGGAAGAUGUGAGCCACAGUCGCAACUACGUGUAAAUAUCCUUUUACUUUACUGUUAUUUUAUUUCAUUUCACUGUUGUUUUAUUGUUUGCAUUAUUGUCUUUAAUAAUUUUGUUACUGUUUGCUUUUUCCUUUUUACUGUUUCCUUUUUGACUCACGAGCCACGUGCUUAACGCGUUAUUUGACACUGACAUGCCACCCCAUACACAGUUGUGACCCACUGUCACCAAGAUUCUUAAAUAUGACUUUUUGUUAAGCACUCACAAAUUGUUUCUGAGAAAUAUUCCAAUGGCAGCUACUCCUAAUAGACAAUUCAAGAACAUUUGUGUGCUUUCUGGAUUUACCUAUGGCAAACAUAAAGAGUUCGUGGAGGCAGCCAUAGAUCUUGGUCGAAGCAUAGCAGCGAGAAAAUUACACUUGGUGUAUGGAGGAGGUAACCGAGGGUUAUCAAAAAUGGUCUCAGAAGCAGCUUUUAUCAGAGGAAGUCAAGUGUUAGGCAUCAUCCCAAGAGUCCUAAAACCAUUGGGCAGUUCGUCUGACUCAUCAACUGGAGAAGAGUUAGUCGUCUCAGGUAUGCAAGAAAGAAUAACUGAAAUGCUUAAUCAUGCUGAUGCUUUUAUUUUCCUUCCAGGAGAUCUUGCAACACUAGAGGCACUUAUGACACUAGCAUCUUGAGCCCAUCUACACAUUCACCAGAAACCCAUCGGUUUGUUAAAUGUCAAUAACUUUUAUGAUGGCUUUAUCGCAUUUCUUAACCAUGCAAUAAAAAACUAUUUCAUUCCUUCUAAUGUGAAAAAACUCUUUAUUUGUGCUCACACUGCUAAUGAGCUACUUGAUAUGUUACAAGCUUAUAAACCGGAGCCAGACCCCUGGACCUUUGUGUUGGAGCGACCAAAUAAUGAUGGUAACAGUAGCCGCAGUAAGAAGUACAAAUUAGAUUUAACUCUCCGCCUGUAAAUAUUUUCUUCUGUGUUGCACCACCCAGGUGAUGUCUUCUAAACUCUACUUCUUUCAUUUCAAACAUUGAGGACAAUGUUUCGUUCUGGUUGGGGGGAGGGAAUAGUCGACAGUUGUGGAAUCUUGGUUAAAUUUUUACUGAUUUUUUGUUGUAGAAACUAACUGUUGCUAACUUUUUAUGUUGAAGAUGGCUGAAUAUGGAGUGUAGUGACUCUAGAAACGCAUUUUCAUCGUUUAAAAAAAAUUAAAAAAAAACUAAAAAAAAAUUUCAGACAGUUUCUUUUUUUUUUCUUUCUUUAUUCUGUUUUUAUGUUUAUUUUUCUUCUUUUUAAUUUCUCCUCUAUAAAUAUACAUUUUCCAACUUGUGAGUCGAAGAUGGCUGAAUAUGGAGUGUAGUGCCUCUAGAAACGCAUCUUCUUAAAAAAAAAAAAAAAAAAAACCCAUUUUCUUUUUCUAUCAUUUUACGUGUAACUUUUCUAAUUAGUUUUUAUGCAUCAUUUUCACAUUUCUGCAUGCAUAUUUUCCUUUCAUGUUUAGAAUAGGUUGGGGGGUAGAAUGUUGUUUAAAAAAAAAAAAAUUGUGUUAUUUGUUUUAACAUUGGAUGACAUGAUUAAUUUCAAAUUUUAGUAUUUGUAUUAUCUUUGGUCUUAAGUGAUGUUACGCUAUGUUUGCUACUUUACAUGUUGAUGUCGGAGACAAAUAUGAGUUGCUUGAAGGAAUGAACAUGUCAUAAAUAAGUGCCAAGUGAGUUGUUGAGCCUAUCAUUUUCUUGGAGAGUAACACUUUUGCCCAUUCUCUAUACAGCUUAGCAGUUUAUUAGUUUAUACACGAUCUCUAGAUUUCUUUUGAGUUAACCCUUUAAAAAAAAAUGUGUGUUGCUACAUUGGGAGACCCAUCUAACUAGUAGAUAUGGAUAAUUAUUUAGAGCCCUAAAAGACGAUGGAAAGGCCAUAUUUGAUCCGUUUGAGCCUUUCUAGCCAUCCCUUUUAUUAAAUAUCCAUAGUUACCCCUUUUGAGCCUUUUUUUAAAAAAAAAAGAGAACAAAAACAUUUUCUUUGUCAACUUAUCAUCUUGACCCACUCCGAUUUGGAGUAUUACCCAAUGUCUUUUAAGUUCCAUCACCUAUUUAUGUUUGAGAAAAUGUAAAUAAUGAUGUUGUUCAGUGAAGUUAUGCCAAAUAAAAGCAAAAAAAAAAAAAAAAAAACAAAAGUUGUUGUUUCAAAAGAAUAAAAAUAACAAUAAUAGGUGAAAUCCACCUUGCAACUUCAAAAAAAAAUAUAUAUAUUUCUGCAUUUUUCUCAAACAUACACUUUGUUUUCCUUAUUUCCUUUCUUUGUUAGCCAUAUCCCUAGCCUACGUUAUGUCCUAAUAAAAGUCCUUCUUGAUUUUAGGGAACUAUAGUUUGAAGUAGAAGCUAGUUAUAUGGGCUAAAAAGAUGUAGUGAUGCAUAAUAAAAAAAAAAAAGAUAAAUAAAGUGGGUUGACUAACAUUUUAUUUGACUUGAGAUCGUAUUAUUUCUAAGCUAAGGGCAUAUUUAUUUCAUCUUGGUGAGAGCAUGUGAUAUCACUUCUUCAUUAUUUUCUCUCAAUUACCAUUCAUUGGAGUGACUAUUUUUUUAGGUUUAAUUUCUUUGUGAGAGUGUCACUACUUCCAGUGAGAUUUUGGGUUUUGACAUGUCAUUCUUGAAAGUAGUUAUAACAAAGUCUACUGGCCGAUUCAUGUGGAUGGUUGAUGUGGGUGUGAUGUUGUUUUAGACUGGAGAUAAUACUUAUACUUUUAUUUGAUUGCUAUCAUUAAUCUGAUUGAAUAAACACGAGUGUUUCUAAAAAAAAAAAAAAAAAUUAUUUUGAAUUUGAAUUUUGUUUUCGCUUUAUUUGCUAGGGACUAACAUUAAGCUGGUUGGGGGGUGUGUUGAGUGUUAGAAAAUGCAUAUUUAUAAAGGAGAAAACCAUCAUUUUACAUUUCAAGUCUUACUAACAACUCUUACUUUUAUGUAUUUAACCUUCUUGUAAUAUAAUUACGUGUGUUUUAUUUUAAUUAAGUAUUUUAUGUAUUUUAGGGGCAUUAUAGUCAUUUCACAAUAAAGGAGAGAUCAGGCGGCAAAACGGACAUCACUUUUGAACUCAGGACGGUCGAAAACCUUAGGAGGAGCAUAAAAGGAAAAAUGGCACUAUUCAUAUGUACGGUACUAUUCACGUGUACGGUAUUAACUACGUUACUGUUCACAACACUGUUCACAUAGACGGAUCGAUGACGUGGCAUUGACCGAUGAUGUGGCAUUGACUGAUGAGGUGUCACGAUCCUGUUGAGCUAAAAUUCUUAUGUACUGUUGAUGGUGACGUGGCAGUAUAUCAGUGGAUGAAAAAUCUCGCGUACGGUACAUGCAUCACACAGGAUUAUUUUCAACCAAACCGCGUUACUGUUCAUCCGAGUCAAACCGUGUUACUGUUUAUCCGAGUCAAACCGUGUUACUGUUCAUCCGCGUGGUCAAACCGUGGACUGUUGACUUAUGACGUGGCGCAAUCCUGAGCGUCCAAACUGUUUUUAAUCCGAUGGCCAUGAUUUACUCCAUGUAUCUAUAAAAAGGGGGCCUUCCCCCCCUAAUUUGAUAGCUCUGAAUCCAUUUUUGGGAUCCAUUUUCUGUAAUUCCUUCUCCAUCUUGUAUUUUCUUUGUAUUUUAAUAAAUUCCCAUUUUGCCCCUAGUUCAAUUAUGAGUGGCUAAUUUUCUUUCAAGCUUGGGUUGAAGGUGAAGUCUCAACAUGUGUCAUGGGCUUAAUUUGGUAAAUUUAUUUUCUCUUCCCCUCUAGUUUUUGUGGAUGUUUUGACUUCUCGUCGACAAAUAAUAAUAAUCUUGUCUAGAUACCGCCUUGGUUACACCGGCUCUCUAGUAUAAGGUUAUUAUUAUUUGGCACGAUAAGCCCUUAGCACCAUAUUGAUUAGAGCGUGGUUCAUGAGGUGUGGAUUCCCCCCUCAUGAUUUAAUUGGCAUUAAUAAAGAUUAUUUAGCCCAUGAUGCAUGUUGAUACGGAUCCAGAUACCCAAGUACGUCAUUUUAAUAGAAUUCUCUUCAAUUUAUUCUCGCCAUUUCAAUUCCAAUUUUAGAAUUUAUUCUCGCCAUUUUAAUUUAAGUUUUAGCAUAUCCCAAAUCAUUUCCACCACAAAUCCAAUCACCCAUUUACAAAAUUAAUUCUACACAAUUAAAAUCCACCUCCUCGUGGGAUCGACACUCGUCACCAUUAGUCUAUACUACAAUAGAUUCGUGCGCUUGCGAGUACAUUAAAAUUUGCACAACACACUUCAACAUGUUUAGUUCUGUCAUGAUGAAUAGGGUUAUGAGCAAUGUUUAUUGCUGCCUUGUUGUCACAAUACAACUUCAUAGGAACAUCAAUGAUAAUCUUCAAUUCUUCAAGUAGCUUCUUUAACCACAAAAGUUCACAAAUACCAUAUGCUACUGCUCUAAAUUCAGCUUCAGCACUGCUUCUUGCAACCACUGAUUGCUUCUUACUCCUCCAAGUUACCAAGUUUCCUCCCACAAAUGUGCAAUACCCUGAAGUUGACCUUCUAUCAAUAAUAGAUCCAGCCCAAUCUGCAUCAGUAUAUACUUCAACUUGCAUAUUGUUAUUUUUCUUGAAUAGCAGGCCUUUUCCUGGAGUUUUUUUCAGGUACUUGAGAACCUUGUAAACAGCUUCUAAGUGCUCUUUACAUGGAGAGUGCAUAAAUUGACUAAUAACACUUACUGCAAAGGCUAUGUCUGGCCUAGUAUGAGACAAGUAUAUCAACUUACCAACCAACCUUUGGUAACUUUCUCUAUCCACUGAUUUUCCUUCAAUUGCAUAUCCCAAUUUGUGAUAAGGAUCAAUAGGAGUGUCUCCAGGUUUGCAUCCCAACAUGCCAGUUUCCUUGAGUAAGUCUAAAGUAUAUUUCCUUUGAGAAACAAAAAUGCCUUUACUGGAUCUUGCAAUUUCCAUGCCCAAAAAAUAUCUUAAGGGGCCAAGGUCCUUCAUCUCAAAUUCUCUAGCAAGAACCUUCUUGAGAUUUUCCAUUUCUAUUACAUUGCUUCCAGUCAAGAUGAUAUCGUCUACAUAUACAAUGAGGAUCACAACACUACCAUCAGUGAAGUGUUUAAAAAACAUUGUAUGAUCUGCUUGACUCUGUAAAUAUCCAAAGCUAUGAACAGAUUUGGUAAAUCUGUCAAACCAAGCUCGAGGAGAUUGUUUUAAGCCGUAAAGUGAUCUCUUCAGCUUGCACACUUUUUCAAUACCAUAUUCAUUCUCAAAACCUGGUGGCAGAUCCAUAUAUACCUCUUCUUCAAGCUCUCCAUUAAGAAACGCAUUCUUAACAUCUAAUUGUUGUAGUUGCCAUCCUAAGCUUGCUGCAAGAGACAACAAAACCCGAAUGGAAUUCAUUUUUGCCACGGGAGCAAAUGUUUCUUGGUAGUCAAUGCUAUAUGUUUGUGUAAAACCUUUCGCGACAAGCCUAGCUUUGUACCUCUCAAGUGACCCAUCUGCUCUGUAUUUAACUGUAAAAAUCCACUUGCAACCCACUGGUUUUUUUCCUUCUGGUAAUUUAACUAGUUCCCAAGUUUUGCUUUUUUCUAGAGCUCUCAUCUCUGCAUACCCAGCAUCUCUCCAUUCUGGAAUAGAAAGAGCAUCUUGUACAGAUUUUGGAAUUGCUAUGACAGACAGGUUAGCUGCAAAAGCUCUAAAAGAUGGAGAUAAUCUAUGAUAUGACACAUACUUAGAAAUUGGAUGAAGAGUACAAGACCUAGUUCCUUUUCGUAGUGCAAUUGGAACAUCUAGAUCAUUUGUAGUUUCUAAAACAGAUUCUGAAAUAGGAUUAGAAUGAAUGUUACCUGCAAGUUCCAAGUUGCCUGUGUUUGGAUCCGAGUCUUGGCAGUGAGGAGAGGAAUGAUGAUUUGACCUUUUCGAAUUCCGUCGUGUGUAGACUUGAAGCUAUGGUUCUGGAACUCUCUCUAAUGAUUUUUCAUUAUUCAUAAUUGAUGGCAUUGUAGAAGGAACAUGAGGUACACAAGACAUAAUAGGCAUUGGAAGAGAUAAUUCCCAAAAAUGAUCUUCCGGAGUAUGAUUCUCCCCCUGAAGAGAAGUUUUGGGAAAGAAAGAUCUAUUUUCAAAAAAUGUGACAUCCAUUGUGAUGAAGAAUUUUUUAGACAAUGGAUCAUAACAUUUGUAGCCUUUUUGAGUAGGAGAAUAGCUAAGAAAUACACAUUUUAAAGCUCUAGGAUCAAGUUUGCUCAUGUUCUAUGUAUGAAUGUGAACAAAAGCAAUGCACCCAAAAAUCUUGGGUGGUAAAGAUGUGAAAAACUUAGCGGUAGGAUAGAAUUUUGUGAAAACAUUUAAUGGAGACUGAAAAUUAAAGAUUCGGGUAGGCAUGCGAUUUAUCAAGUAUGAUGCUGUGAGAAUGGCUUCACCCCAAAACUGUUUUGGCACCCUAUUUGUGAACAUAAGAGAGCGUGCAACUUCUAACAAGUGUUGAUUUUUCCGUUCAGCAAUACCAUUUUGCUGAGGAGUAUCUACACAAGAGGAUUGGUGCACAAUGCCAUUUUCCAUGAAAUAAUGACCAAGGGCAGUAGAAAAAUAUGCUCUCCCAUUGUCAGUUCUAAAGACUUGGAUUUUUGCUUGAAAUUGUGUUUGAAUCAUGGUAUGAAAGGUUUUAAAAACUGUUGCAGUUUCUGAUUUUUCUUUAAGCAAGUACACCCAACAAACACGAGUGUGGUCAUCAAUAAAAGUUAUGAACCAUUUAGCCCCCGAAAUGUUUGUAACAUGAGAGGGUCCCCAAAUAUCACUGUGUAUGAGAGAAAAAUGUUCAGAUUUUUUAUACGGCUGUGAAGGAAAAGAUACACGAUGAUGUUUGGACAAUACACAAAUUUCACACUGAAACAAAGAAGGAUUUUUAUUCUUGAACAACAAAGAAAACAAGUGUUGUAAAUAAGAAAAACUAGGAUGACCUAAUCGGAGAUGCCACAACAUUAUUUUAUCUUUAAUAGAGAAAGUUAGUUCAUUAUUUGUUGCCUGAGCUUCUCCACACAAACUAACAUCCUCCUCGAAGUAGUACAAACCAUCUACCUCUCUAGCACUGCCAAUUUUCUUCCCUGAACACAGGUCCUGAAAUUCACAAUAGGAAGGAGAGAAUUUAGCAAUGCAAUGAAGAUCCUUGGUAAUUUUGCUAACAGAUAAAAGAUUACAAGACAAAUUAGGAACAUGAAGAACAGAUGUUAACACCAAAUUUGUAGAGAUAGGAAUAGAUCCUUUUCCUGCUGCAGAAGAUAGUGAACCAUCAGCAAUUUUAAUUUUUUGACUACCAGGACAUGGAAUAUAUGAAUAAAAUAAUUUAGAAUGGCUAGUCAUAUGAUCGGUUGCUCCUGAAUCGAUGAUCCAUGGAUCUUUUUUCUCAUAAACAACUCCUAAAGCACUGAAAUCAUUACCUUUCUGGGCUAAAGAACUAGAAGAUGAAGGAUUUGGGAGAGAUUGUGACUGAUUAAGAAACUUGUACAGUUGCUCUAACUGUUCUUUAGUGAAGAGUUGAGAUUCGGAUUCUCCAGUGUUGAUUGUCGGCUGAUUCUCCCCAAAAACUUGAAAACCUCGACUAUGUUUACCAGAGAAUUUAUUGUUUUUCAAAUUUGGAGGUUUUCCAUGAAGCUUCCAACAUGCAUCUCUGGUAUGUCUUGGCUUGUGACAAUAAUCACACCAAACUCUGUCCUUCUCAUCACUCUUCUUCAGGUUUUUUGUUCCCCCAAUCAGUGGAGCUUCUGGUGUAACAGAGAUCAAGGCUGAGUUCUCUGCUGAAGAACCUCCCAUCAUCACAUUCUUUCUACUUUCCUCUCUUUUUACAUAAGAAAACACUUCCCUGGUAGAAGGAAGAGGUUCCUUGCCAAGUACUCGCCCACGGACUUCAUCAAGGUCUGAACUCAAACCUGCUAAGAAUUCAAAUACACGCUCUUUUUCUAACAUCUUCUUGUAUUUAGCACUAUCAGCAGCACAUUCCCACUCGCCAUCAUAGUACUGAUCUAACUCUUGCCAUAAGCCCUUCAAAAUAUUGUAGUAUUUAGUCACUCCUUGACUACCUUGUUUGGUUUCUCGAAUUCUGGUUUUCAGAUCAUAAAUCUGAGCAGAAUUUCCCAAAUCAGAAUAGGUCUCGGUGACAGCAUCCCACAAAUCCUUUGCUGUUGGCAGAAACAAGUAAGUUUGACCUAUCUCCGAUUCCAUUGAAUUCACUAACCAUGACAUGAUCAUUGAGUUGUCAGCAGCCCAAGUAUGAAACUUUGGGUCUUCUUCAGUUGGUUCUUUAAUUGAACCAGUAAGGUAACCAAUCUUCCCUUUACCUCUGAUAAACAUCUUCACAGAUUGGGACCACUGAAGAAAAUUUUGACCAUUCAAUUUAUGGAUUGUGAUCUAAAGUGAUGGACUAUCAUUAGAAACAUAACUUGAUAGUUGUAGAUGUCGUUGCAAUUGCUCUGAAGAUAACUCAGAAGUUUCUUGCUCGCUAUACUUUGAUAUUGGUAUUCAAAUAGAAUUGAAAACUAAAUCCAAGAAUCAAAGAGCGACUCUGAUACCAUGAGAAAAUUAUUGAAGAAAUAUGUAUCUCCUUUUCUUAUUUUUACAAUAGGGUUACACAAUACAUAUAUAUAUAUUCUAAACUACAUAAUGUGCUAGAGUAGGAAAGUAAACAACUAACUGCAGACCAAGAAACUAGGAAACAAACUCUAUCUAAAAAACUGAAAUUCUAUCCCUAUUUUUUUUCCUUUCUAUCCCUAUCUUUUUUCCUUAAAAAUAGGAUAGAAAACAAGUGACUUUUCCACAGCCCUUUUGGACAAAAAUGAUUUCCUGCUAAUUUUGAGAAUAAAACCAUAGACAUCUAACUUCUGAUAUCUAGUCAAUCUGGUAAAAUCUUGGCAGUUGCACUUGGGGCAUAAAUUAGUUCCACCUUGGUUUAAGGACAGAAAUUCGUCAUAUGCAUGUAUUUAUUUAUGUUUUAUACACACACACAUGCAUGUACACACAAACACUACCUUCACUUUGAAGAAAAGAUUAAAAUAACACUGCUCACAUACACAAUACUUACUAUUCUAGUUCGUGUAACUUUCUCCGGAGUCACAAACAGGUCACAGAAUUCACGUAUUAACCGCAUACUUCUAGUCAUUUCUAUUCCUCCUUCACCAUCACUUGUCCCACAAUUACAAAAAGUGAGAGGUAAUAACCAACAUAUUUGGGUUGCUCUUCGGUAAGGGGUGGGAGGUAAGGGUUAGUUGUGGAGGGCACCUAGUACAGAAUCAAGGCCAGCUGUUGGGAAUUUGAUCUCCUGUAACAUAUACUUGUUCAUCAUAAACUAUAUACUUAUUCUGCAGUCGAUGUGUGCAUAUAGCUCUUCAAUUAUCCAGUAAUAACUCACCAUCAACUUCCUGCCAUCUUUCACGGCUAAUUCAGCAGCCAUUUUUGCCUGCUUAAAGGUCAAAAGCCCAAACUAAGCAGAUGCUCCUACUCCGAUACUUAUUAUCUAACUACUACAGAACAGAUGAUACGCAUCAAGUUGUAUCAAGAGAGACACCAAGUUGUGUUUUCCAAGAGGUUCCAAAGAGGUUUUGUUUCUUUGUGUAAUUUUUAGACUGCUUUGACAACUCAUCUUAAAGGUGCCACUCAUCCAAUAUGAUGUGGUGACAGUAGUUUAGAGUUUUAAACUAAAUGCAGAGCUAAUAGUAUUUUGGAAUAUAAUCAUCCUAAGAUACUAUAACACAGGGAUUCUUACACAAAAACAACAACUUCGAUGUAGAGAGAAGAUGAUUUCACAAAAGCAGAUGUUUUGAUUUAAGUCUCCAAAACCCCCACCAAAGAAAUGUUCAACAGAUAUAGAAAUAUGAUCCACAUAUCUGUAACUUAAACUGUGAAAGUUGUUGAUGUUGUUCUAAAAUUGCCACAAUCUAUCUACCCCAUGAAUGUUUUUGGAUAAAACAACAAGCAGGACCCAAUGCCUGUUUUCUAAUAGCUUCAAAAAGGCCAAAUUGGUUUUGAAAUGUCUCCAGCUUUUCAUUUAAUAAGAGAGAGAGAGAGAGAGAAGAAUCGCUCCCCUUUCAAAUACCGUGCUCUUUUGUACCUGGGAAUUUAACUAAUUCUUGCGAAUAAAAAAAUUUAUAAAUUUGGUAAAUUAUUUAUUAAAAAAUAUUGAGAGGCUGUGCAUUAUUUUAUUAGUAAAGAUAUAGUUAUCAUCAAAUUAGUUAUAUUAAAAUAGUUUUUGACUCACGUAAUUUAUUUUUAUUAUUUUUAUAUAUAUAUUUAAUUAAUAAAUUUAUGUUAUAUUCAUUUGUAUAAAAAUGUACAGUUCUAUCCUCACUCUUAUUUUAUUUUUAUUAUUUUUUCAGAAAAUGGUAUGCGUUAUUAAGGUUAAGGGUGACAACUGGGAUCAAUAUACGGUUUAUUCGAGUGCUUAAAACCUAAUAAAUAUCCACUAACUCAUAUUUAAUUAAAAUAUAAUUAUUUUUAAAUAAAAAAAUUUAAUAUAAACUAAACAAAUUGAUUGGAUUUUGUUUCUAAAGGUACAUCAUUAGAACGUUACCUUUAAUUGAACAAAAGCACACAUAACUAGCACAUUCGCCACAAAAGCCUCAGCUUAGUGGUCGGCUUAUUAAUUAUCUUAAUAAAAUCAUGGUCAUAAAUUUGAGUCCCCGUAGGAAUUAUUAGGUUAGGUAGCUUUUUUAGACUACAAAAGCUUUUUUAGACUACUCAUUCAUUUAAUUUUCCGUUAUAUAUAUUCAUCUUUUUUAGAGGCCAAGAAGUCUUCGACAGAAAUGUGAUCUUUUUCUAGUUGCCUCCCGGUGAUGAGCUUCUCCCAAGUUUCAAUUAAUUCGCUUUGAGUGAGGAUAUUUUCUGGUGGCCUCAAAUACAAUGUCUUGUUCAGCACUCAAGGGUCAUCUAUUGUCUUAAUAGUAUAUGUGGCAACAUCAUCAAGAUGCACUAUAGAAAAAAAGAUAAUCAUUUUGUUUAAUAUGAACAUAAAUUCUUACAGUCUAACUCAUAUUAUAGUGAACGAUGCUGUUAUGUGGUGCGUGCAUGCACUAUCUAUAGUUUUAAUAUUAUUAAUAAAGAGUUAAAAGUCUUGAUUUAAUUUUAAAUUGUCAUUCCUCUAACUUCACCGUCUUCAUAGAUGCAGACUUUAUCUUUUGAAGGGUGAGGGUAGCUAUAUUUGAGAGAGGUGUCUAGGGAACCAACCAGCAAAAAACAGCUAGCAGAAACAUAAAUGACAGGGAUUUGAGCAGCCUUGAUUGCCCUUCUCACACAUGCGCUCUGCGUUCUCCCUCCCGCUCUCACUCACUCACGCCCAAAUCUCACCUCACUCACGCAUCUCUCCUUCUGACCGGUGGUUUUCUCUCUCUCGCCGUGGGUCUCAAGGCUGGCAGGGAUUUCUCGACUUGACUACUAAAACAUAAUCCAAAAACUACUAAGAGAUGUAUAUAUUACUCUGAUAUACACAAUAUGAAGAAACUGCAGUUAUAUUUCAAAUAUUAUAUGAAGGAAGAGGCUGUAUGGAUUAUCUAAAGGUGCUGAAAUUAAGAGACCUAUUGAAAAGUCAUGCAUGUGGUAAUUUUUCAAAGAGCUACCAAACAUUUGAAGAAAAAAUGGAAAGUUGGCAAAUUUGUCAAAUUUGCCAAAUGGACACCAUUGACUAUUGGCUUAGGUUAGGUGGAAUGGUAAAGGGGUUGGUGCAAUAGUGCCAUUAUUUUUCCUAUAAAUAGAUGGCACUUUUUCCAUUCUUUUGCAUCCCAAAAUUGUUAAGCUUAUAAGUUUCUAAGCUUUUGAGAGAAGUGAGAGAAGUGUGUCUGGGGAAUUUAUCUUUCCUGCAGAGUGUGAGAGUACUGGGUAUAUUUUGGGUUUCUGGGAAGUGAGAUUCGUUACUCAAAUAUUGUACUCUAUUAAUUGUUAAAUAAACAAUUAUUCUUUCUUGCCUCCGUGGAUGUAGGUUUAAUUACCGAACCACAUAAUUCUUGUGUCCUUUAUUUUUUCUAUAAUUAUUUGGUGCGCUUGAUUCCGCAUUCCAAGCACAACAAGUGGUAUCAGAGCCGAAGGUUCGUACUUGGGGGGAUACGGUACUGUUCACGUAUACGGUACUAUUCCCAUAUACGGUACUGUUCACGAAUACGGUGGAGACGGCCAUUUGUACUUGGGAGACAGUCUAUUGUAAGUAGUGUGUAUUUUUGCAUGUUUAGGAAAGUUCUGUCAACAAAGGCGAUAAGAGUCUAAGGAUUCUGGUUUUUAAUUGGGACCGAGUUCCCGUCCAGUUUCUUGGGAACUUUCCUGGUGCAUUUAUUCAUGCGAAAUUAACAUCAUAGAGACUGUUUUUCAAGUGGAAAUAGUUCGUUGAGAAAAUGGUAGAAGGUGAAACUUCCAGAAUUGGGGAGAGAUCUACCGAGACUAUUUCAGGAGACACUUCAGGUGGGAGACGAGAUUUGUCAAAUCGCUAUUCAGCACCUGUUAUAGGAGGUCAGAAGAUCGAUGUUGAAAAGUUUGAUGGGAAAAUCAACUUCGGCAUGUGGUGGCGCGAAGUUAUGGAUGCCCUUAUUCAAAUCGAUCUCGAUGUUGUUCUGAAAAAUAAAAGACACUUGUAUGAUGAAGAAAUUUGGGAUCGUAUGAAUGAAAAAGCUUGUGGUUAGAUCAGAUCUUGUUUGACCAAGGAGGUGAAAUACUUGGUGAAAGAUGAGGAGUGUGCGGUAACUUUGUGGCGUACAUUAGAGGAAAAGUACUUGGUGAAAAGUCCUGAAAAUCGCCUUCAUGCAAUGAGCCAAGUAUAUGGUUUUCGAAUGAAGCCUGGGGUGUCAAUGCACGAUCAUGUUUCAAGAUUUGAAAAGUUACUUGCUGAUUUGAAGAAUCUUGAUGAAGAUAUUAAGGAUGAAGUCAAGGCUAUGAUUCUGUUACACUCACUACCAGAGGAAUAUAGCCAUUUUGUGACUACUUUGAUAUAUGGGAAGAGUGUGAUCGUCUUCAAAGAUGUUUGCACAACAUUGACUAGCUUAGAGAUUCGGAAUAAUGAUAAAAAUUCUGAACGAGCAUCGUCUGAAGCUUUAGUGAGCAGAGAUUGGGCGAUGGAGAAACAGAAGAAGCGUGGUGGAAAGAACUCUCGAUCCAAAUCGAGAAGCAGAAAUAUAGCUCGAGAUGAGUGUGCCUUUUGUCAUGAAAAGGGCCAUUAGAAGAAAGAUUAUCCAAAUGCUCAAAAGAGAGAUGGGAAGAAACCAGCAGCAGCAAACAUGGCACGGAAAGAUGAGGGAUCUGAUUAUUCACUAAGUAUUACUCCUGCAGCAUACGUGGCUAGUUCGAGCGAGUGGAUACUUGAUACUGGAGCAACCUAUCAUUUGUGUCCCAUUAAGGAAUGGUUUACGGAUUUCAACGUAUUGGAAUCUGGUGCAGUUGUGAUGGGGAAUGAUCAACCUUGUCGCACAAUGGGGAUAGUAACAAUUCGGCUCAAAAUGUUUGAUGGAAUGGUCAGAGAACUCAAAAAGGUUAGAUUUGUUUCAGCUUUAAAGAAAAAUCUAAUUUCUGUGGGUGCUUUAGAAGCUAAAGGCUACAAGGUUACCAUUGAAGAUGGUAUAAUGAAGUUUACACAUGGGGCUAUGGUGAUUCUGCAAGGGGUUCGGCGUCACAAUCUGUACUAUUUGAAGAGAGGUACAACUGAUGAAGCAAAUGUUGUUGAGGCACACAGUGACACCACCAAGCUAUGGCAUGUACGACUAGGACAUGCUAGAGAGAAGUCUUUGCAAACUCUGAUAAGGCAUGGACUCUUAAAAGGUACCAAAACCUGUAAAUUAAAUUUUUGUGAGCAUUGUGUAGUAGGCAAGAAAACAAGGGUUAAGUUUGGUACAGCUAAUCACGAUACUCGUGAGAUCCUUGAAUAUGUUCAUAGUGAUGUAUGGGGACCAACCAAGACUGCAUCAAUUGGUGGAAGCCAUUAUUUUGUUACAUUUGUUGAUGAUUUCUCUAGAAGUGUGUGGGUGUACACCAUGCGAGCAAAUGAUGAGGUUCUAGAGAUUUUCGUGAAAUGGAAGAAAUUGGUGGAGACUCAAACUGGAAGAAAGAUCAAAGUAUUACGAUAUGAUAAUGGGGGUGAAUAUACUUCUGAUCCAUUCUUGCAAGUAUGCCAGAACGAGGGUAUUAAAAGACAUUUCACAGUGAGACAUACUCCGCAACAGAACGGUGUGGCUGAGCGUAUGAAUCGUACUUUACUGGAGAAGGUAUGGUGUAUGUUAUCUAAUGCUGGUUUAGAUAAAAAGUUUUGGGCUGAAGUUGUGAGCUACGCAAGUCACUUGGUAAACCGGUUGCCUUCUGCUGCAAUUGGAGGUAAAACUCCUAUGGAAAUGUGGUCUGGAAAGCAUGCACAAGACUAUGAUUCCCUUCGUAUAUUCGGGUGUCCAGCUUAUUAUCAUGUCAAAGAUGGUAAACUAGAUCCUCGUGCUAGAAAAGCUAUCUUUGUGGGAUUCAAAGGUGGAGUAAAGGACUUCAAGCUUUGGGAUCUCGAAGAUAAAAAGUUUGUGUGUAGCAGAAAUGUCACAUUUGAUGAAGCUUCAAUGAUGAAAGCUUCAAGUUCUCAGCAGGUGGAGAACAAGACCAAAGAGGUAUUGCUGCGGGUGGAGUUUGAUGCAACUCCAUAUGUACCAGUUAGUUCUACAUCAAAGAAGAGUUCAACUAUAGAGGUGACACCUAGAGUUGAAGAAGAGGUUGUUUCUUCUGAUGUCCCACAAAAUGAAGAAACAAUUGAUAAUGUAGAUAAUGAUGAUUUUAUAGCAACAAGGAGGCUAAGAAGAGAGAUAAAGAAACCCGGAUGGCUUACUAAAGAUAUGGUGGUAGCCUAUGCACUUCCAGUUAUUGAUGAUGACAUCCCCAACACUUUCGGUGAAGCAUUACGCAGCAGUGAAAGUGAUCAGUGGAAGUUAGCCAUGGAGGAAGAGAUGAAAUCUCUCCAUCAAAACCAGACUUGGGAACUUGUAAAGUUACCAAAAGGGAAAAAGGCUAUUGGCAAUAAAUGGGUCUACACCAAAAAGCAAGGAUCUCCGAAUAAAAUAACUCCUCGAUACAAGGCAAGGCUCGUGGCAAAAGGUUUUGCUCAAAAGGAAGGUAUUGACUACAAUUAAGUUUUCUCUCCAGUUGUAAAACAUACUUCCAUUCGUAUCCUACUUGCCUUAGUUGCAGAAUAUGAGUUAGAGUUGGCUCAAUUGGAUGUUAAGACCGCGUUCAUACAUGGAGAUUUGGAGGAGGAAAUCUAUAUGAUUCAGCCUUGUGGUUUCAAAGUUGCUGGAAAAGAGAAUCAUGUGUGUAGGUUGAUUAAAUUUUUGUACGGACUGAAGCAAUCGCCAAGGCAGUGGUAUAAAAGAUUUGAUCAAUUUAUACAAGGGCAGAAAUUCACCAGAAGUGAACACGAUCAUUGUGUUUACUUUAGAAGACUACCAGAUAGAGCUUUCAUCUAUUUGUUACUCUAUGUCGAUGAUAUGCUUAUAGCUUCGAAGAAUAGAGAUGAGAUCGAAAGAUUAAAAAAGCAACUGGCUUCUGAGUUUAAGAUGAAAGACUUGGGUGAUGCACAGAGAAUACUUGGGAUGGAGAUUCGUAGAGACAAGAAGAAUGGGAGCGUAUGGUUGACUCAAAAGUCUUAUUUGAAGAAAGUGCUAGAAAGAUUCGGUAUGGAUGACAAAACUAAACCAGUAUGUACACCUCUAGCUUCUCAUUUCAAAUUAAGCUUUUCUUCAUGUCCUAGAUCUCAAGAGGAGCGUGAUUAUAUGGCUCGUGUUCCAUAUGCUAGUGCUGUGGGUAGUCUUAUGUAUGCUAUGGUAUGCACAAGGCCCGAUAUAUCUCAAGCAGUGAGCAUGGUUAGUAGAUACAUGCAAAAUCCGGGUAAAAAUUAAUGGCUUGCGGUAAAGUGGAUUCUCCGAUAUCUGUAUGGGACAGUUGAUGUUGGGUUAUUGUUCAAGAAGGAUUGUGGUCAACAAUGUGUUGGGUAUUGUGAUUCUGAUUUCGCUGGAGACCUUGACAAGCGAAGAUCAACAACGUGCUACGUAUUCACAUUGGGUGGAGGUCCGGUUAGCUGGAGGUCGAUUCUACAAUCGACAAUUGCUCUGUCCACUGCGGAAGCAGAGUAUAUGGCAGCAACUGAAGCUAUAAAAGAAGCUAUCUGGUUGAAAGGUUUAUUAGGUGAUUUGGGAGUAAUCCAGGAGAACAUUGCGGUCUUAUGUGAUAAUCAAAGUGUGAUAUUCCUUGCGAAGAAUCAAACAUAUCACGCUCGGACGAAGCACAUAGAUGUGAAAUAUCAUUAUGUGAGAGAGAUUAUCGAGAGCGGUGUUGUGUUGUUGAGAAAGAUCGAUACCAAAGAUAAUCCAUUAGAUAUGUUGACGAAGGUAGUUUCUGGAGUUAAGUUUCAACAUUGCUUGAAAUUAAUUCAAAUCCUUCGAUUGUGUUAAGAUAUGUCCUUCGGGAAUUUUGAACUACGGUUGGCUUGAUCCCAAAUUUUGGGUACGUAGGCAGUCAUAGAGAUGCAGCCACUUUGGGGAUGAUGAUUGGUUGGUAGUCGGCUCAGAUUUGGACAAAUUUUCACCGAGGUGGAGAAUUGUUGAAAAGUCAUGCAUGUGGCAAUUUUUCAAAGAGCUACCAAACAUUUGAAGAAAAAAUGGAAAGUUGGCAAAUUUUUCAAAUUUGCCAAAUGGACCCCAUUGACUAUUGGUUUUAUGUUAGGUGGAAUAGUAAAGGGGUUGGUGCAAUAGUGCUAUUAUUUUUCCUAUAAAUAGAUGGCACUUCUUCCAUUCUUUUGCAUCCCAAAAUUGUUAAGCUUAUAAGUUUCUAAGCUUUUGAGAGAAGUGAGAGAAGUGUCUGGGGAAUUUAUCUUUCCUGCAGAGUGUGAAGUACUGGGUAUAUUUUGGGUUUAUGGGAAGUGAGAUUUGUUACUCAAAUAUUGUACUCUAUUAAUUGUUAAAUAAACAAUUAUUCUUUCUUGCCUCCGUGGAUGUAGGUUUAAUUACCGAACCACGUAAUUCUUGUGUCCUUUAUUUUUUCUAUAAUUAUUUGGUGCGCUUGAUUCCGCAUUCCGCGCACAACAAGACCCACACCAACCGACAGACCCCCGGUGAUAGAGAGAAAGUCGACUGUGAGAUGCAUUCAAGACGGGGGAAGAGUGAGAGAGAAAACUGCCCGGUCAGAAGGAGAGAUGCAUGAUUGAGGUGAGAGAUUUGGGCGUGAGUGAGUGAGGAGUGAGGGAGAGGGUGCCGCGUGUGUGGGAUGCGUACAAUGACAAUUUAUACUUACAUCAAAACGCCGCGUUCGGUGCCAUGUGUAGGGCUAACUGUGGUUUGAAUCUCACUUUGGUAAUGGAAAUGACUUUGCAAUUGACAGUUUUUGUCAAAAGUUCGCACUGCAUGAAACUAGUGUUAAUAUAAUUUAAAAAAUUAAUUUCAGUAUUAAUUUUUAAAGUUUUAAUUAUUAUAUUUAUUUUAAUAAUAGAUUUAUAUUUAUUAUAAAAAUUUUAGUUAAAUAUUUGUGUUAAAUGGAAUUUAUAAUUAAUAUAAUAGAUCUUAGGUAUUAAUAUAUUAUAAUUAUUCUAUAUGCUAUUGAAAAUCAUUUAUAUUUUUAGACGUUUAUUUUCAUAUUAAGUUUCUAUUUAUUUUAAAAUUUAGUUUAAUAUAAUAUAAGCAAGUAAAGUAUUAAAAUAUUUUUUAGUAUUAUUUAAAAUAUUAAAAUAAUUUUAAAAUAUAAGUCAAAUUUUUAAGUGAAUAUAACUAAUAUUUACAGCUAUUUGAUGGCCUCAACAAGCUAAAGCAGCAUCAAAAUUUGUGGCUCGUUAAUUUAUUUUUUCCCUUUCAAAAAGGGAAGAGGAUAAGUUUGGAAGAAUGAUUAUAUUUUUAAUAAAUUCUUUUUUAUUAUAAUACUUUUUGUCUUUAUUAAUUUAAAAAUAUUGACUCUUAUAUUUUAAAAAAUAUAAAUAUAAUAUUAUAAUAAAAUAUAACAAUAUAUAUCAAAUAUUUAAAAAAUUUAAUAUUUUAAUAUUUUAUAUUAUAUUAAAAUAAAUUUUUAAUAAAUAAAAAUAAUCUAUUAAAAUAAAGUACAAAAAUUUAAAUUAUUUUCAAUAUCAUCUAAAAUAAUUUUACUAUUAUUAAUGCAUGAAAUAUAUUAUAGUAAUUGUAAAUUUCAUUUAACUCAAAGAUUUAUUUAGAAUGUUCAUAAUAAGUCCAAAUAUAUUAUUAAAAUAAUUAUAAUAAUUUACAUUUUAAAAAUUAAUACUGAUAUUAAUUUUUAAAUUAUAUUACUCUACCAGAAAAAUUAAACUAUUAAAUUAUAUCAAUAUUUAUUAAAAAAUUUUGAAAUUAAUUCUUGUUAUAUUUUUAAUUGGAAUUUUUUCAUGUGAUAUAACCAGAAUUGCUACAAUUUUUUUCCCUAAUUAAAGAUGGAGUUAUAAAUUAUUUGUAUAAGUGUCUGUGUGGAAACUAAUGUGACAUGAAAGUAAUAGCUGAAUAACAAUAAUGGGCCGAUUUCAAUUCUUAAACAGACUUGUCCUUCAUCCCAAUUUAUUUACCCCAUUUGGGCCGGUUAUGACAUAAACAUAUUCUUGUGGAAUGAAAAACAUCAUGAGAAGAAAAUGUUUUAUUAUAAUAGAAAAAAGUGGUCCAUAAGUCUAUUCAUUACUUUUUUUAUUCAAUAUAAAUGGCUAACUUUAAAAAUGGUAAAAAUCACAUAACGCGCAAACAUAUUUUAGAUUUAUAUUUUUUAAUACUCUCCGAGUCUCUCUUUCUCUUUUUCUUUUUUUAAAUAAAUGUCAGUAUAAAAUUUAAAAAAAAUUUAGAUAUAAAAUUUGGCAAUGACCAAACAAAAAUUGCAGAGGAAACCUUGAUAUCAUUGAAAUACUGAUAAUAGACACUACAGUAUAAAUAACUUGUUGUGAUCCACUCAACUUGUAACACUUUAAUCCAUAUUCUAAAAUUUUCAUGUUUGUUAGGAUUUUUAUUAUUGAUACUACUGUAUCAAUAAAAUUAUAAUUUAUUCAUAUGGAAUGAAAACAUCAAGAAAGGACCUCUGAUGUUUAUUGUCAUAGAAAAAAGUGGUCCAUAAGUCUAUUAAUUAUUUUAUUUAUUCAAUACAAAUGGCCAACUUAAAAAAUGGUAAAAAUCACACAAUGCACAAGUAAAAUUUUACAAUUACAUUUUUUAAUUCUCUUUGAGUCUCUCUCUCUCUUUAAAAAAUAAACCUCACUGUAAAAUUAGAAAAAUUUUAGACGUAAAAUUUGACAAUCACCAAAUAGAAAACAUAGGGAAAUGAAAAUGGAGGAGCCCUAUUUUCAUUAGAAUAUUGAUCAUAGAUACUAUAAUGUAAAUGAUUUGUUGCGAUUCCUUCAACUUGUCACACUCUAAGCUAUUUUCUAAAAUUUGUAAGGUUUAUAGGAUUUUUAUUACUGCCAUCAUUGUAUCAAUAAUAUUAUAAAUUAUAUAUUCUAUUGUAAUGAAAAUUUGUGUAAUCUUAGGUAUUUAUUGUAUUAAAUUGUGUGGAUUAAUUAAGAAUAUUUUUGGAGACAAAAGAAGUGUGUGUACGUAGGAUUAAUGAUAAAAAAUUUCUAAAUAAAGGUGAUUGCUUCAUUGACAAGUACAUAUUUAUAUUCCUCUAUUAAUAUUUGGGUUGUAAACUCUAUAAUAAAGUUGGUUGGUGUGAGUGGUUCGGCACUCUCACUCUUUAAGAGAGGUCGGGAGUUCAAGCCUCGCUCUCGUAUGGAGUCACCACUUUGGCCAGCACUUUACCUCUUAUGGGCCGACCCGGUGCGAGUGGGAAUUAGUAUGGGUUGUGGUAUGGGCUUAAAGGUGUCUCCCACAGUUGGGGCCCACUCAGGACCACCUCGUGAUUCAAACAAAAAAAAAAAGUGAAUAUAUUGUGGCAAGUGAUGUGGGCAAUAUCGGAUGCGAAAUAUUGAGAGAUCAUUAACGCAUAUAUUUAUUGAAGAUGCGUAUAGAGGAAAGAGUGUAGAUCCGGCCGUAACAAUUACGAAGCUUUCCCCAAGUAUACUCAUGCUUCCUUAACUGUUUCGAAGUAUUUUUCAUAGUGUGCAGAUUUACUUUAUGGUGUCUUUAAUUCAUCUUAAAUGAUUACUUUAUUGUUUUAGGAUGCAAUGUCAUUUAUUGUGUUAAUUUAAACAAUAGAAAAAAUAAGUAACAGUAACGAAAGACUAAUUUGUGAUAUUGAAGCGUACGGGCUUAACUCAAUCCAAAAAUUAGUAAAUUAGCUCAAGAGUUAAGAGUUGUCCAAAUCUUAUAUGAUGAACCCAAGUUUAAUACACAAUUGAUGCGGGAUGUUAUUCCUAACACCUCCCGUCAUGUGUAGGAUUGGCAAAAAAACUCGGGUCAGUCCCGCCUAAACCUACGAGCUUUAUGCAUGGCUCGCAUGAUGAAGUUACGGAUAUUAACCUAAAAAUUUGAAACUUACUAUGAAUGGCCUUGCUUAAAGACUUUUGCAACUUUAAUUUAUAACAAGUAUGUAUAUCUACACACACAUAAGCUUAGAUUGCAUUUGGAUGGCUUUUUUAAUCAAUUCAAACAAUCUGAAAUUUAUCAGAUUAAUCCAAAUCUUAUAUGUAUCCAAUUUUGCCCGCCCCUACUAUAUAUAAGCCCAAGUGACUCUCUUUUACUAAUUAAUAAGAGAAUUUUUGACCUUAUAUCCUUGUUGUGGCGUUAGACUGUUGGUUAUUUUGAUUGUUUCCUACCUUCCAUUUACGCCAGCUAUAACAUUGUAUUAUCACCAUUUUAGCCAUUUAAAUGAAAUUUUAUUUUUCAUUUUAUUGUGUCAAUACUAUCAUAAUUUAUUCAUUUUAUUGUAAUGAUAAUUUGUCUAGUCUUAGGUACUUACUAUAUUAAAUUAUGUAAAUUAAUUGAGAAUACUUUUAGAGACAAAAGAAACACGUGUAUGUAGGAUUAAUAAGCGAAGAGUUGUAAAUGAAGGUGAUUGCUUCAUUGAGAGGCAUAUUAAAUAAUUAUGGAGAGUUGCUCUAUUUCGGAAGCAUAUAUUUAUACUUCCCUAUCAGGAUUUGGGGUAAGCGAGGUGCUUUAUGUAUUGCAGUAACCAAAUGUGGGCAAUAUCAGAGCCGAAAUAUUGAAAGAUCAUAACGCAUAUAAACGAUUAGUAUAUUGAAGACACAUAUAGAGGAAAGAGUGCAGAUCCGGCCGUAACUAUUAUGAGGAUUUCCUCAAGUAUUCUCAUGCUUCCUCAACUGUUCUGAACUAUAUAUUCCUCAUUGUGGGCAGAUUUACUUAAAUACCAACACAAUGAUUCAAUACUUCAAAGGUCAAGGAAAUGUCAAAAUAUGAAAUGAAAAUACUUAAAUACCCUUCUACCUAACAAAACUUAGUACUUCUAACUGCCUUAGCAGAGAAUCUAUAAAAUUAAAAAAAAAAAUUCAUCCAUGAAAAGCUUCGUAACAGAAAAACCGUCUUUCAAAAAAUAAAAAAUAAAAAAUAAAAACAGAAAAACCGACUCAUUUAUCUGCCAAUGAACCAGUCAGGACUCAUUUAAAAAAGAUUACAAAGCAAAAGUAAAUGACACAAAUUGCAUAGAUAUCUCGGAGCCGCAUCAAAGGACAAUGGUGUUAAUUUGUCCGAGUAAUAAAUUCUCCUUGGUCAAAAGCAAUUAACGAUGAAAACUUUCUUCAUUAAGGUUCUGGCCUACGUAAAAAAAAAAAAAAAAAACCACCCCAAGGUCAAAGCACAACGAUAAGUUUAGAAUUGCAGUUUUUAAUUUUUUUUAAUAAAUCAACGUGUAUAAAAAAUAGAUAAUAAUUUUAAAUAAAUUUUAUUUGAUAAAUAUAGGCAUAAAAUUUUAAAAUCACCAAACAGAAAAACAGGGGAAUUAAAACAGAGUCCCUGUUUAUCCUCUAUUUUGCUUGUUAUUAAACAGGGAAAUGAAAAGAUCACAAGCGGAAAUUUUGUUUCUGCGUUGUCUCUUCUCAAUGCUACAUGCAUUCAAAUUAAACCUUACAUAUGCUAGCAAACUAGCUACCUGCGUUUAAGUGUUAGAGUGCAAUUUAUGCACUAAUUUUGCAUUGUUUACUUCUUUUAAUAUCGAUAUUUUGCACUUAAUAAUAGUGAUUUACUUGUAUUUUAUUUUUGUAAGUGCAAUUCUAUUUAUUGGUGCUAAAAUUGGGCUACAAGAUGAUGUUUGAAGAUGAUUGUUUUCUUGGAAAAAUUAUGAGUUUCAGAAGAACUUUGUUGAUAAGGCGUGGGCGCUGGCUGUCAACUACGGACCUGUAGUUUUUAGUUUAACGUGUUUUGUCUUUUUGGUUAUUUUUGUAAUCACGAAUUUAAUAUUUAGAUAAUAUUUUAGAUAUUAGUAUUUUAUUUUAAAAAGAACUCUAGAAGAGAAUUUAAGAGGGGAAUCUAUGGUCAAAGGAAAAAAAAGAAAGGAAACCCUAGAUCUAAAUUUUUCUCUUCUCUCUAUGAAGAACUAAACCUAUUAUUCUGGUUAAAGGUUAAUGGAGCUUUGAUUCAUCAUUACUGUGAGAUCUUUCUUAUGCUUUAAUUGUUUUAUUGAUUUUUGGGUAUUUGUUUAUUCUCUAAAUUAUUGUCAUGAUUAUGUUUGUUAAUUAGAUAAUUAGCCAUUAUUUAAUUAUCAACUUAAUCUAUUGUCAAUUAAAGGAUUCAUCGUAUGAAGAUUUUAAUGUUUGUGACAAAUAGCAUAGCAGUUCGUUAUGUUAUGAGAAUAAACAAUCUAAUUUAAAUGAACCAUCGUAUGCGUUUGUUGAUUAGGAUUUGGGUCUCUCUGGUUUUUCAGGUUGUCAAUUGAUUAAAUCCUAUGAUCGUAUCUAGGGUUGUCUAUUGAUUAGGGAAAUAACCAAUGGUCGUACCUUGGUUAUCGACUAGUUAAGGAGAGAUUGGCUAUUAGAGGGUCUCAGUAGCUAUAACCGGUCUAUUCAUAAGUAGUAAUGAUUUAUAUUUGAAUCAAUGAUCAAUAGUCGAAUCAAGCUGAGUUAAUUCCUUCAACCAGAGCUUUCCCCAAUUUUAAUUUGCAUUCUUGUUAUUUUAAUUUGAUUUUUAUUAUUGUCAACAAUUCCCCCAUUUUGCAUUUUGCAUUUUAAAAGGAUUUAAAUAAUUACUAAUCUCUGUGGACACAACCCUACUCAAUCACUAUACACAAUUUAUUUAGAGUAUGUAUUUAUUUUUGCUGGCUUCGACAACCAUCAAUAAGUUCUCGAUAAGUCCAAAUAAUAGAAUAAUUGUAAAAUGUUCAAAUUCAGUAAUUAAUUAUACAUAUUUAUUUAUUCAAAAUUAUUAUUAUUAUUAAUUAUUGUCAAUAAUAUAUUAAUAUACUAAUUAAUUGUAAACUUUUUUAUCAUUCAUAACAAUGAUGAUGAUGAUGAUGAUGAUGAUGAUGAUAAAAAAUUCAAAACAUAUUAAUUAAUUAUAAUAAUAUAUUAAAUAUUUAAUUAUUUAAUAAUAAUAAUAAUAAAUGCACAAUGUAUAAAUUGAUUAGAAUAAUUAUAUUAAUUAAUCAUAAUAAUUUUUUAAUUGAGGACAAAAUAGAUAUUUUAUAGUUUGUGAGAGGGGGCAAAAUGGUCAAUCUUGGGAAUGGGGGAUUGAUUCCCACCACCUUCCUUAGGAAUCAAUCUUCCAUUCCUCAUUCCUAAUUUGGGUGGUCCCCAUAGUUCUGAUUCGGAUCCCAGCCUCCAUUUUAUGAAGUAAACAUCAUUAAGAUUUCGAUUCCGGAUUCCGAUUCCCCAAUCCAAGAAGUACAGGCACCAUUAUUGUUGAUUGGUUCAAAUGCACAAAGAGAAUGUACCAUGUAGCUAGGCGUCAAGGUUGUGCUGCACAAGUAACCUUUUUCUUUUCUUUUCUUUUUAUUUUUCUUAUUUUCCUUAAUGUAUCGGAAGAAACUGGUGCCUUUGAGAUACUACCAUGUAAAUAAGUACUUAUGGUUCAUUGAAUCUGUAACACUCGGUACCCUACAAUUGCUUUUGAAAAAGGGCUUUACUCACUUAUCGCUAAUAUUCAAGUAAGUUUGUUUCAUUUCAGAAGGUGCAAAGUUUCAAACUUGUUGUAUUGAGAUGUAACAAACUUUGGCCUUAUAUGCUUGUUGUGACGUUUGACUGUUCAUUUUGACUGUUUCCUACCUUCCACUUACGCCUGUAGCACUGUAUUAUUCACCAUUUUAGUUGUUUAAAUGAAAUUUUAUUUUGUCAAAAAUGAAAUGACACCAUUAAAAUUUAAAAAAAUAGUCAUGGAGAUCCCAAAUUUUUACUAAAGAACACCAAUAUUCCCCUUGACUAUAAUACCCUUAGCAGGUGGUAAUAAAAAAUUGACUUAAAAUUUUUUGCGAAAUGUAAAUAUGAUUUAAAUAAUUUAAAUUUUCCAAUAGACUAAUAUAUAUAAUUUAAAUAAUUAAUUUCAAUAUUAAUUUUUUAAAUGUAAAUUAAUAUAUUUGUAUUUAUAAAAUAUUUGCAAUUAUUAUAAAAAUUUUAAAUAAAUCCUUAGGUUAAUAGAUUUUACAAUAAAUAUAAUAUUUCUCAUGUAUUAAUAAUAUUAAAAUUAUUUUAUAUGAUAUUGAAAAUAACUUAAUUUAUAUAUUUAUUUGAAUAUUAUGUCUCUAUUUAUUAUAAUUUGGUUUAAUAGAAUACGAGAUUGUAAAAUAUUAAAAUAUUUUAGAUAUUGAAAUUUUAAUAUGUAUAUAUUAUUAUAUUUAUUUUAAUAUAUUUAUAUUUAUUAUAAAUUAUUAGAGUCAAUUUUUAGUUAAUAAAUUUAAAAAUAUUAUAAUUAAAAAAAAGAAUUCUUAUUGUCUGUUAUUCACAAUAUGAGGUUCUACAAAAUUAUUUCUCCAGACGGGUGUCCUUUUCUUAUUUGUAAAAGGAAAAAUAAGUUCAGGGAUCUUAAAAAAUUCUAGUCCUAUCGACCACUAUGACUAAUGGGAAACGACAUUGCAAUUGACAUUACUUUUCGCAAUAUGACAAAUUUUUGGAGGGAUACGGGAGAAUCGUCAAACGUUCACACCACACGAGAGCUUUAGGUGGGAUCGGGGAGGAUUGUCAAGAGUUCACACCACGAGAAAUUAAUGAUAGGCCUAAUUUCGCUGUCAGUUCUUUAUUUAUUUAUUUUAUUUAUUUCAUACAUUAUUAUCUUGUUGGUAUUGUUUUGUAAAGGUAUAAAAGUAAAGUAAAAUACUAGGGGUACCAUUAAGUUACAGCUGAUGUAACUUACAGUGUUUUAAAAAAUAAUAUAAAAAAUUUAAUAGCUGGUGGGAUCCACAUAUUUUUGAAGAGACUUAAGUUACAACAGUUGUAACUUAACAAAAUCCAAAUAUUUGACAAUAAUGCAUAUAAUUUGGAUUUGAUUUUUAAAAGAUUAUUUGAGCACCACCUAUCCUUAUGAUAUUAAUGUGAAUAUAUCUUAAUAUUAAAUAAUCAAAAUUUGUUUAAUUAUUAUUUGUAUUUCAUACAUUACCUAUUAGAUUUGUUUGAAUUUUACGUUCUUGCUAAUAAAUAUUUAUGUUGUCAAAGUCAAAUUCUAAUGAUUAAAAGAGCAACUAUCCCUUAAAUUUUAAUGGUGAAUUGUAUAUAGUUUUUAAGAAAGUAAGGAUAAGUUGGAUAAUUGACUUAAAUUCUAAUGAUUAAAAGAGCAACUAUCCUUUAAAUUAAAAUGUCAAUUUCUUUAAUUAUAAUUUUUUUUUCAUGUGAUAUAACCACAAUUGCUAUAGUUUUUUUAAAUAAUAAUGGGAGUUAUAAAUUAUUUAUAUAAAAUUUGUGUAGAAUCUAAUGUAACCUAAAAGUAGUUGCUGAAUAAUAAUAUUUGAAACUCUAGGUAAUUUUCAUAUGAGCCCUUUUUAUAUUCAGCAUCUUGAAUCGGGGGAAAUCCGACUUGAAUUGGCGGCUGAUUUUGGUGAUGUAGCUUUCGGUUUAUGGUUGCCUUACAGUGGCGGACGACUGAUUUACGGUCGCCGACUGCUAGGGAUUAUGGUGGUGGUGUAAAUUGACGGAAAAAGUAGAAGGUUUGGUGGCGGCGCGUGUAGGAACCACUCGUGGGUUGUCGUUUCGUGUGGUGACUGCGGGUGGCGAUCAAGGGCUGACGUUGGUCGGUUUUUGGUCAACGGAGGGCGGCCAGUUUGUUGGUGGAGGUGGCUGGCGGUGAAAGUGGCUGAAUGGUGGUGGAUAUCUUGGUGGAGCUACGGGUUUGGGUUGGUGAUUUGCGGCUGUUCAGGCGGCGGUUGAGGCAGCGAUAGCUGCGGCUUGGUCGGCGGUGGCUAGCGAGGUUUGUUGUGGUGUUGGCUGGCUGAUCGGUGGUGGUGGGCGGCGGCGGUGGAGGUUGAUGCGGCGGGUAGGGUUUUCAAAUCGGUUUUUGAUAUUUUUUUUUUUUUUUAUGAAUUUGGUGUGGAUGGGUAUAGGGUAAGAAACACUAGAUAUCAUUCUAGUACUGGACCAAGCCAACGCAAUUAAUUUACCAUCUAGUCGAAGGGUGAUUAGAUAUCGUUCUAACCCAAACGAUAAAAUGAGAUUUUUAACAACGCGUAAUACAAGAUUAGAUGAUGCUCUAAUCCAAACGACUCUACAACGACUCUAUAAGAGAGAUUUUGAUAGAUAAAUCUAGGGAAAAUUAUAAAAGAUGGGUUUUAUUUAAUAAUUAAACCUAAAGUUUUGAAAACAAUGACAAGAUAUUUUUAUUUAUAAUACAGGAAAUCUGCUUCCCUAAGAUAACCUAAAAAAGAAAAGUAAAUCAUAAUUAUAAUAGAAAUGAAAGAUUAAGAUACACACCAUAAUUGACUCAAACUAAAAUAGAAAAUCUUAAAGUAAUAAAUAUUCUAAAAUUGUAAAUUAUCUAAAAUAACAAUAAUUAACUUCCUAAAUCAUUUCUUUGGUGUAAAUCAUUUUACAUCCAACCUCGCUUUAAAGGUUUGAACCAGCGUUACCAACAACAAUGUAUCAAGUUCCAAUCUAGCUUAAGAUCAUGCUGAUACAUCUACUGAUAUCUUUAUUUGAUUAGACAAUAAUGAGUCUAUCUCAUCACUUGUUACCUCUUUCUUGAAGGCUGCAUCUGUUGAGCGAUAACCUCGUUGAAAGUUUAAAGAUCUUCCUCCAUGUUAAAUUAAAUGGGCAUUUGAUUAAGAACUUUAUCUCUAUCUCCUUCUAUCAAAUAACAACCAUCCAAAGGGAAAAAAAAAUUAAAAAAAUCCAUGGGUCACAAUAAUUUCUGGUCAGCCCACAAACCCCCCAUUAUCUGCCACUAUCAAUCAUGAAAAUGAAAAUAAAUGGCAUAUUCCCAAAAUGACGAAAGAUUUUGGGGGAUAUGGGGGAAUUGUCAAAAGUUCACACAACGCGAAACAAGUGUUACAUCCAAUUUUAUUUCGUCAUAUAAUGAUAAUAUCAAAUAAUGACAACCAUCCAAAAGUAUGAUGGGUCUUCCAAAAUUUUAAAAAUGUCGUCAACAUUUAAUUUUCAAUGCUAAAGAAAAUGAAAUGCCCAAAAAUGACACGCAAGACCCACUCACAAACUAAAUGGCCCUUGACCAUAUGUAACAAACUUUGACCUUAUGUCCCUGCUAUGGCGUUAGACUGUUGGUCAUUUUGAUUGCUUUUUACCUUCCAUUUACACCCACUGAAGCAUUGUACGAUUAACCAUUUUAGCUGUUUAAAUGAAAUUUUUAUUUUUUUCAAAAGUAAAAUGACACGCUUAAAAUUUUAGAAAAUAGCCAUGUAGACCCUAAAAUUUUAAUAAAGAACACCAAUACCCUUUUUGACUAUAGUACUUUUAGUCGAUGGUAACAAAAAAAAAAAAUGACUUCAAAAUUUUUUACUAAAUGUAAAUAUGAUUUAAAUAGUUUAAAUUUUCUAGUAGACUAGUAGGUAUAAUUUAAAUAAUUAAUUUAAAUAUUAAUUUUUAAAAUGUAAUUUAAUAUAUUUAUUUUAAUAAUAUAUUUUUAUUUAUUAUAAAAUUUUAAAUAAAUCCUUAGGUUAAAUAGAUUAUAUAAUUAAUAUAAUAUUUCUCAUGUUUUAAUAAUAUUAAAAUUAUUUUACAUGCUAUUGAAAAUAAUUUAAAGUUUUAUAUAUUUAUUUGAAUAUUAUGUCUCUAUUUAUUAUAACUUGGUUUAAUAGAAUAUGAGAUUGUAAAAUAUUAAAAUAUUUUUAGGUACUGAAAUUAUUUUAAUAGGUAUAUAUUAUUAUAUUUACUUUAAUAUCCUACUUAUAUUUAUUAUAAAAUAUUAAAAUUAAUUUUUUUAGUUAAUGAAUUUAAAAAAUAAUAUAAUUAAAAAAAGAGUCUUAUUGUCCGUUAUUCACGAUAUGAGGUUUUACAAAAUUAUUUUCAAAAGGAAAAAUAAGUUCAGGGGUUUCAAAAAAUUCUAGUCCAAUCGACCACUAUGACUAAUGGGAAACGACAUUGCAAUUGACAUUGUUUUUCGCAAUAUGACAAAAUUUUGGAGGGAUAUGGGAGAAUCGUCAAAAGUUAACACCACACAAGAGUUUUAUUUAUUUAUUUAAUUUAUUUCACACAUAUAUUGUCUUGUUGGUAUUGUUUUGUAAAGAUAUAAAAGCACAAGUAAAAUAUUAGGGGAAGUAAAGUAAAAUAUUGGGGGUGCUGCUAAGUUACAACUGCUAUAACUUACAGUUCCUUCAAAAAUAAUGUAAAACAUUUAACACGUGGUGGGACCCACAUUAUGUUUGAAUAGUCCGUAAGUUAUAGCAGUUAUAAAUUAGUAAAAUCCAAAUAUUAGACAAUAAUACACAUUAACAAUGCAUAUAAUUUGGGUUUAAUUUUUUUUAAAUUAUUUGAGUAUUACCUAUCCUUAAGAUAUUAAUGAGAAUAUAUUUUAAUAUUGUGAAGCUUUCCUCAAUUAUUCUCAUGCACCCAGACCUUAUCUGGUCAAGUUUUCUGAUUCAAUACUGACGACAGCUUCUUUGUAAAGCUCUUCAACCACAAGCAUUUCUACAAGGCAAAGGACAAGGACGUGUUGGAAUGAAUAUCAACAUGGGAAUGUCUUAUGAAUUUAGUUUAUAUUCUAAUAUAAGACAAUCAAUAAAUAUUGGAUGCAAUCUAAGGGCUAACAUUUGAUUGAUUAAUAUAAGAAAAAAAAAGGGUACAAAAAUGCAAAACAGAGCUGAUUGAUGGCCUUUAACAGUCAGUUCUAUGACAAAGUAACCACCAUAACCAAUGGAAUUAUAAGACAUCAAGAAACUUGAACUUGGCAGGAGGUCUCAUUAGCAGUAUACCUCAGAAAUUAAGACAGAGACUUUAAAAUGCAAGCUUAUGGAGCAAUUUAAGCACUGAAACUAAUAACAGUGAUGCCAAAAAAGGUGCAGGAGUACGGUAUUAGCAAUUGACCUCUGCUUUUGCUUGGACAAAGGUUCUCAUCACAAGGGACUCAUUAGUUGCCCUUGCCUCACACGAUUGGAUGCUAAGGGGGAAAAGGAAGUUUGAAUUAGUCAAUCUCAUUUCUAAUGGCAUUCACAGAGAACCUAUAAAACAAAAAAGUAAAUAAAAAUUUUCAUCCAUGAAAAGCUUAGUAACGGAAAAACCGACUCUUUUAUCUGCCACUGACCUAAUCCGGACUCAUUUAAUUAAAAAAGAAUUCAAAGCAAAACUAAAAGACACAAAUUGCAUACAAGUCUAGGAGCCAUAUCAAAGGCGUUAUAUAACUUGUCCAAUUAAUAAAUUCUCUUAGGGACCAUGCCGUGCUCACUCAUUUCCAAAGCAAUUAAUGAUAAGAACUUUCAUCAUUAAUUGAUAUGGCCAGUGUAGAAAAAAAUGAAAAACCCCUCCAAGAUUAAAGCACAAGGAUAAGUUUAGAAUUACACUUCUUAAAUUUUGGUUAAUAAAUAAACGUCUAUAUGAAAAUAGAAAAUCUUUUUGGAAUAAAUAAACGUCAAAUUUUUGUUUCUAUCUUACUACCUUCUAAAUCCGCAAUCCCAAGUACUUAGAAGUAAAUGCUACAUAGUACAUGAGAUGUUUCCCGUUCAAAUAGCUCGUCCGAUACCAUUAACAUGUUCAUCUCUCUGUAAUUGGUGUAAUUACGAGAUUGGUGGUUGACAUGGCUUUCCUUGUACAGGUAUGUAUGAUUGUUUUUUUUUUUUUUGGCACUUCUAAAUGGAUACUGUUGAAAAGCUUAAAAUUGAACUGAUAAUUUUGUUUGGAAGCUCAGAAAAUUCAUGAGAAAGUGAAAUAGAAUAUGCUGGAUUUCUUUUCUUUCCAUAACAUACAAAUGACAAACGUAGCAGUAUUUAUACUCGUUGCUUACAUCAUAAAAACAGAAUUAAAGCAAGGUACACAACUAUAACAGCAUCAAAAGCGUGCUUAACUAAUUGGCUGAGCUGGCAUAUACUUCUUUAACUAACAAUGCUGCUGACUGGACUUUAGCUCACACAUGCUUAUCGUGCAGCUACUCUUAGUUCACACGUGCUCAGUGUGCUUCCUUAACAGACACAAGGGAAAAGACAUGAUUUUGAGAUAUAACGCUUGAAUGUUCUCGGAAUGGCAUAACGCUUCGUGUGUCUCGGAGCGGCUGAUUGGUGCUGUACGUGUUUCUCAUAUAGAACUCAAGUCUGCUGUUGUCCCAAAGUUGGAACCAGAGAUAUCAUGACUCUGGUUUCAUUUCACCUCAACUGUGUUUUUUUUUUUAAUUAAAAAAAUAAUUUUUUUAGGUAUACAUACAUGUAUUUUGAUCCCAUUUUCAUGGGAAUUUUGCAUUAAAAAAUGAAGAAUAGCUAAUAGGGAAUUUCCUGAUUCUUUAGUUACUAUUUUUGGAAUGAGGGUAAUUAGUAGUAAAGUUGGUUUCUACUCGCAAACAAGUGAGCUGCUCGAUUCCCAAGUGGUAUCAACCAGUUUUCAACUUUUUAAUAUACACAAAUUGUUAUUGUUUAAUAGCUACUACUAUUAAAACUCAACAUCUUACAAAAAUACUUAAAAAAAAUGAUUUUUUCUUAUGAUGCUGUAAAAAAAAUUACGGGUUUACUUAUUUCCACGAGAUCUUGUAUAGUGUUCUUGUAUAGUGGAAUUAAGAUUGUCUUCCCGAUGGUGCAAUUCACCCUCUUCCUUUACAGUCACUUGCACUUUGUGCAGCUUUGGUGUGGAUACGAUUCCCAGGGAAAAAGUCUUCAUGUUCGGACAAUGUGUCACAAAUACUCGUUCCAAUGAUGGGAAUUCAAGAGUGUAAUUCUCCAAACAAAAGCUGGUAAGCCUUGGUAAAUCAUCAAGUUCCAAAAGUUUUAAUUCACUGAAAGCAAUACGAUUCUCCUUCACUUCUUCUCCAGCAUGUCCUACGAUUUCUUCUAAUUUUUUGCAGUUCCAUACAUAAAGAUUCACCAGACUAGUAGGAAUUCCAACCUGAAAAUAAGCAGAGAGAGUGUGUGUGUAUAAAUAUUAAAAAAGUAAAAAUGUAAGAGUAUCAUUCAACUAGGCUCAAAGUAUGUUUGAUCAUACAAUUAUACGUUUUAUGAACAUAACAAACUGUGAAAUGUCUACUAGAUAUUUUUUGUUAAACAAAAAAGGUAACAAGAUAAAUAAAUAAAUAAAUAAAAGCCAGAUAAACAAAGAUGAUAAAAAUGUAUUUACACAAUUAGUAUUAGGGACGUAGAAAGAAUUUAAGGCAAUUUCUAAAUAUUUUAGACUUAUUUUGCAUCUUGAUAUAAGUUUUUAAGCAUAAAUUUGCACAUUUCAACUAUUCCUUUAAAAAAAAACUCAACUAAAAUGCCUCUUUUUCCCUUUUCCUUGGUCCCCUUUUUUUUAUGUAUAUAUAAAAAUGGAAAAAAAAAUUUGGAAAAGACUUCCUAGUACUGUCAACAAGGGAUUGCUGUAAAGUGGAUCUUUAUUAAGUACUUCCAGACUCGAGGAAAUUUCUUUACAAUCAAGGGUCAGUUGUAAACAAUCAUGAAUUUAUGGUUAAGUAAUGGCAUAAUCAAUUCUUAACUAAACUGGAGAUAUUAAUUAAAUUUGAAGACUUUUUUUUUUUCCCAAUCGAAAUGUGAAGAACUAAGGAAAAGAGAAAUAUAUAGAUGAAUUUGUGAACUUAUAAGAUGAGUGACUAUCCUUUAAUUUUUGAAAAUCGUACUUAUUAAGAUAUGAGCAAAAACAAUUAAAUUGAAUUAUAUUAUGCUGUUGAAUCUGUUUAAAAAAAUUAUAUUGUUGAUUCUAAUGCUGGUGAACCUAAAAACUAGACUUAAAACGUAGAUUUCAGAGUGGUGGUUUGAAGUACAAUAUUUGAAAUAAAUAAUUAGUGGCUGAAUAUCAUUUGUAAACACAGAAAUGAUUAAAAAAUUGUUGAAUGUUAUUUGAAAAAAAAAAUCGAAAUGAAUACAGAAACCUUACCAAUGGAGGAAAAAUAUUCAUUAGCUUAUCACACUCUUCUAUCUCCAAAUUCUUCAAUUUCCUGAAAGACUCCGAAGCAAGCUGGUGGUGCCAUAUUGUUCUUAGGUUAUCCAUCCACACAAUAUAUAAUACCUCCAACCUAGGAAGUCGUACCUGGCAAUUAAAGAUUAAAUAACUAAUUAAUCAAUUAAUGGCAUAAUCAAUUGAUAACUAAAUUAGAGGCGGAUAUUAACUAAAUUUGAAGACUCAAGGAAAAGACAAAUCAAGUAUUGUGACUAAAAUUAUUUUUUUAAUUAAAAAAAAAAAACUUUUCAUCAAAGAGAGGAGGAGGUUGCAUUUCAGAAUGAAUAGUGUCUUCUGGUGAGCUCGUAGAGAUGAAUCUUAACAUAUUACUGCAACAACCAAUCAUGAGGUUUAGCAAAGAAGGGAAUUCAACAACUAAAUCUGAAUGAAUAUGUCCCAUAUUGGCAAAACCUUUAAUUCAAUCAACUUUCCUUCAUCUCUUUCUGACCAUCCCGUGGUGUCGACUACCCCUUCCAUUGACUCACAAUAGCUUAUCUCAAGAUGUUGGAGUUGCAAAAGGCUAUUAACCAUAGAAUAUGAAAACAGAUACUUUAGACGAUAACACCUUUCCACAGUCACUUUUGUUAAAUUUUGACGAAAGUACAUUCCUUGAUUAUGAUCGGCCCAUAAUUUUUUCAUGUUUCUUAAGUCCCUGAGAUUCAAUUCCUCUAAGCUCGGAAGAAUAACCUGCAAAGAAAACCCGUACAUUUUUGUUCCUUCAAGUACAACCGUCUAGUAUAAUAUUCUUUUGAUGAUCAAAGAUUAAUUGUGAUAAUAAAUUAAUCAAUUAAUUAUUGAACAGAAAAUUAUCACCUUUGGAGCAGGAUCAUCAUCAGCAAUGAUUUCGUUGAAUCCCAAAGAAGUUGUUGGUUUGCUAAUUGUUGCACCAAAGAAGUAAGAUUUGAAACUUGUUUUUCUAGAGAAGUAGUACUUACCUCAUUGACUCGCUUAGGUGGCGGCAGUAGAUCGUUCCUAGUGUUGAACUGUUGGGAAUUAGCAGCCAUGUUAGCAAUGAGAUUUCGGGCUGCUUCUGGUGUCUUAUCCACGAGUGCUCCUCCACUAGCGGCAUCAAUCAUACUCCUAUCCAUAGGUAGUAGAACCUCAUAAAAGUAUUGAAUAAGAAGUUGAUCACUUAUCUGAUGGUGAGGGCAACUAGCACAUAGCUUUUUGAAUCGUUCCCAAUAGUCGUAGAGCGACUCUCCAUUAUACUGUCGGAUUCCACAAAUUUCUUUUCGAAUGCUGCCAGCUUUUGAUGCUGGGAAAUAUUUCUCCAAAAAUAGCUGACGCAUCUCAUUCCAUGUAGUGACAGUACCGGAGGGAAGAUAGUACAACCAUUCCUUGGCUGAAUCCGCCAAAGAGAAUGGGAAGGCCAUUAGCUUAACUUGCUCUUCAGAAACUCCGGCUGGUUUCAUUGUGGAGCAGACCACAUGGAACUCCUUCAAGUGGUUAUUUGGAUCCUCUCCUGCAAGACCAUGAAAAGUAGGAAGAAGAUGAAUCAUCCCAGAUUUGAGUUCAAAGUUUACUUGAGGGUUUGGAUUCUCAAUGCAUAAGGGUUGUUGGUCCAAGUUAGGAGCUGCCAACUCUUUAAGUGUUCGGUUGUUAUUCUGAGCCAUUGGUUGGGGUUCUGGGCUGCUUGGNNNNNNNNNNNNNNNNNNNNNNNNNNNNNNNNNNNNNNNNNNNNNNNNNNNNNNNNNNNNNNNNNNNNNNNNNNNNNNNNNNNNNNNNNNNNNNNNNNNNNNNNNNNNNNNNNNNNNNNNNNNNNNNNNNNNNNNNNNNNNNNNNNNNNNNNNNNNNNNNNNNNNNNNNNNNNNNNNNNNNNNNNNNNNNNNNNNNNNNNNNNNNNNNNNNNNNNNNNNNNNNNNNNNNNNNNNNNNNNNNNNNNNNNNNNNNNNNNNNNNNNNNNNNNNNNNNNNNNNNNNNNNNNNNNNNNNNNNNNNNNNNNNNNNNNNNNNNNNNNNNNNNNNNNNNNNNNNNNNNNNNNNNNNNNNNNNNNNNNNNNNNNNNNNNNNNNNNNNNNNNNNNNNNNNNNNNNNNNNNNNNNNNNNNNNNNNNNNNNNGCUAGUCCCCGGCAACGGCGCCAAAAAUUUGGUAGUGUCGUUAAGGUGCACCAAAUUUAAAACCUUACCACUAAUAUAAAUAAUUAGUACAGAGCGAGUAAGGAUCGAUCCCAUAGAGACUAUGCUAGUUAUAUUUAUUAUUAACUCCAAAGCAAGAUUUAAAAUAAAAUAAUAGUAAUAGUAAUAAUAAUAUAAAUUAAUCUAACUAAAGAAAAUGCCAAUUAAAAAUAAAAGGGGGGUUUAUGAAUUUUUAACUAAAUAGUAAGAAAUAAAGAAAUUAAAAUUACGAACAAGAAUUUAAUAAAAACUCUAAUUAAAGGAGAAAGAAAUAAUAAUGAUGAAAACUUUGGUUAAAGGAUCAUUCGCCACCACCAAACAUGCACAUAAUAAAUCAAUUCUAUUAUCAAUUUAUAUUGAAACUAUCAACCAUAGACAACAAUAAGCUCUGUUAGUCUCAAUCUUUCCUUAGUGUGUCGUUAGGUAAAAUAAGCUCUUCACCUAAUCUAUAACCAUUAAAUAAUUUAAAACAAGCUCUUUAAAUUUAAGAUAAUGGAAGCAUUAAACAAAGAAAGAAAUUAGGUUGAUCUAGGCAAUAAACACACAAGCUCAGAUUAUUUAACCUAGGUUAUGUUCUCCAAUUGAAAUCAUUAAUUCCAACCUGCUACUAAUGAUUAAAAUAUCAAGACAAUUACGGAUCAAGAAUUUUAAUCUAGCAAUAAAAUUUAUUCAAGUCCUAUCUAAUUGGCCACUCAAACAAAACAAGAAUAAACCAUGAACAUUAAUUAUAGAAGAACAUAAACAAUCUCAAUUAAAUAAAUUGAAUGAUAGAAUUUAAAUUUAAUUGCAUAGCAUGUUUAGGGUUUUGAAUUCACCCUCAACCAAAUAAAAAUCUAGCCUAACAUAAUUGAAUUGGGAAUAAGAGAAUUGACAAAACCAAUCAUAGAGAUUAAUUCAAGCGGCUGCCUUUUUCUUCAAUUGAAUUCCGGCUGCUGAUUUUUUCUUCUUCUUGCGGCUAUUGAUUUUCCUCUUGCUGCCGAAUUGGAUUUGCCCUCCCAAAGUCUCUUGCUGCCCGAAUUCUUUUCCCUCUAUUGCUUCCGCUUGAUCCUAUUUAUAAUGCUUCAAUUGUGGCUUUUUUUAAAUCCUUGCCUGGAAAGAAUUAAAUUCAAAGCUCAAAACCGCCACCUCAUGCUUCAAUUAAUAAGCCAAUAAUGAUUUCCUAAAGCCAAAAGGCUUUAUUCUCUUUCCUUUCACGUGGCAACUUUUGGUUUGCAUCUUUGUUUUCCAAUUUUGCUUUCAUGUGAUGGCUUGGCUUGUUAAUUGGCUUGGCUUCCUUUUUGACUUCCAUUUUCUAAUUUUAGCUCCAUGUGCAACAUUAAUUUUGCUCGGCCCAUACAAGCUUUAAUUAAAUUUAUUUUCUAAUUCCUUCCAAUUCUUGAUCUCUUGUGCACUUUUGUCUCUCAAUCUUCAAUCAAAUUUUUUUUCUUGAAUGCUCCGAUUUAAUUUCUCUUUAAUUCCAGAAUAUACCUAAAAUAACAAAAUAAAUAAAACUAAGAUAAAAAUUAACAAAAUAAAAUAUAAUUUACUAAAUUAAAAAUUAACUAAAAUAACUAGAAUAUUUAAGACCAAAACAAGAAAAAGAUAGAGAAAUUAAUAGCAAAAUAUAUGAAAAAUAUGCACUUAUCACAAGCCUCUCAUUUUUCAAAGCUUUUGCAAGGGUAAUAAGUGCAACAGGCAAUCCUCCGCAUUUUUCAACGAUCUCAUCUGCUAAAGGUUGAAAAGCAGAUGCUUUUGCAGAAUUACACACUAUCUUUCCAAACAAUUGCAAUGCUUCUUCCUUUGAUAAAACUUCAAUUGAGAAAUCCUUCUGAGAUUUCAUAUCAUUGCGCAAUAAAUCUCGACUUCUAGACGUCAAUAUUAUUGUGCGUCUUCUCCGAUCGUCCUCUCUAUCUUUCUCAUCAACAUCCCCAUAAGGAAUUCCAACUGUAUCGAACUCAAGUUUUGUCCAAAUAUUAUCCAGUAUAAUGAGGAGCCGCUUCUCUUGCUUCAACCUUUGACACAGUCGAGAAGCUCUUUGAAAUUCAUUCUCAUUCAAGUCAAAUUCCAUGCCUAAAUCAAAAGCAAGUUUGUCUUGAAUUUUAUGAUGAUCUGGGGUCUGUGUUAUCUCAGCCAUAACGAACUUAUCGAACAACUUAUCUUCCAUCACUUGGUUUGCAACUUGUUUGACCAGCGUGGUUUUGCCCACGCCGCCCAUCCCAUAGACCCCAAUUAUGUUGACCUUGUCAUCCUUCACCGCCUCCAUAACAUCUUGAAAUACUUUCAUUCUUGAAUCAAACGCCUCGAAAUCUUUCACUUGCAUAUGUUCUGCCCGCUUUGGAGCAGGACUGUAGGAAACAUUGGAGAAGUUGCCUUUUCCCACGAGACUAGCGGCAGCUUCUGCCGCCUUUGCUGCUUGUUUACUAAGCUUGUAACGAGAAAUCAAGUUUGGGCAUAAUCCUUUGAAGCAGGACUUCUUAGCUCUAUCUUCAUCAUCAAUGAUGGAUUUUGCAACCCCUUCACUGAUGAAUUCAUCAACGCUAUGUAGCCAGUCUGUGACACCCUCAUAAAGCUCAUCCCCUUGUAGCCUAGCAUGAUUAACUGGUUGCUGCACCAUUUCUCUCUUAUAUCCCAGCUGCUUCACUUGAUCUUUUAGCUCAUCUAUGUAGCUCUGGUACUUGAACACAUAAGAUAUCUGCCGUGUAAUCGGGUUGAACAGUGACUUUGCACCUUCUGAUACACAGUUGGUUAAAAAAGCCAGACACGCUUCUAUAGCCAUUGCCGGUUGCUUAACAAUAUAUAUCUAGUUUUUGGCUGUUGAAAAAAAAAAUGGAUUCAAAUAAAUUAAAUGAACUAGCGGGGAAGAAAAAGAAAGAAACGACAACAAACAACUUUUUAGAAAAAGGUUUCAGGGGCCUGAAUGGAAAACCAACAAUUUUUUGAAGAAAGAAAACUUUUUUGGAAGAUGGAUGCAAAUUAACCAUUAAUAAUACUGCAUAAGAACACAGAAGUUAACAAUAAACAGUAACUUAAAACUCAAGAAAAUUAAAUGACAAGAUUAAGACAAACAAGAGAUAGUUUUUGUUGGACAUUAAGAAACAUCUGCUAUCAAGAUCAAAGAUUAGAAAUUAUGCUAUUGAAAGAAAUUAUUAAAGUAUUUAGAACAAACGCACCUCUUCAAUUAUCGAGGAUCACAGAGUUUAUGAGCUUCACUCUUGGCCUUCGAUUUAUAAGAAAAAUUUUAAUGAGCAAAAGAUCACUGUUAACUGCAGAAGAAUGUGAGUAAAGAGUUUAUGGGAGUAAGCAAUACAAUUGAAUUGUAAAAGAACAAGACUUAAAGCGUGCACCCCGUGUUCAUAUAAACAGAACACAUGUUCAUUUUUAACAAAGUGAUCAAUAACUCUAUUCGUUAUUUAAUUGAUAUUGUAACCAAUUCUAAGAGAAUAUAAUAAUAAUCAUUCAAUCCAUAAAUUUAGAAUUAGAUUUUUUUAACUCUUUAUUUAAAUAUAAACCUUAAUGGAAAAUUAUAAAAGUUUAGAGAUAAAAUUUUUCAAUCACCAAACGAAAAAAACAGGGGAAUGAAAACAGAGGAAUCUUGUUUUAACUAUUUUUUUCCUCAACUCUCGUUCUUAUAUUAAUAAUCUUGUUUUGAUGAUAGUGCUCGUGACUGCGGGAAAAUUUCUACUGGAAACAACUCAAUUUCGGAAGAAAACUUAAUUUUGCAAGUGAUGAAUUUGAACUCGUUGGAUUGGUUGAUUUAUGAUUGACUGAAUUUCACUUUUGCCCAAAAGAUCUUUAACCAAAGUUUAAUAGCCAUCAUGUACUCCUUAAAAGCAAUUUUUUUUUUUAGAUUUGACUGAAUUUGAACUUGUUGGAUUGGUUGUUUUUAGAUUAUUAAUAUGAGAUAUUACAACGUAAAUAUUUUCAUGUGGUUGAGCCCUAUUCUAAAAUCUGUAUAGUUAGCUUUAGAAAAAGGGCUUUUCCUGCUGAUCUGUAAUCUUCAAAUAAACUUAGAUACAAAUAAUGAAAUAAAAGACAACAAACAAGCAAUACUGAUACAAAGCCAACAGAUCAGAGUUUUUUCUUGCCUUCUUUUGUUGAAGGAUUAGAGUUUUUGGUAUUAUCAGUAAAGGUUUCAAGGAGUAAAGCCUAUAAACUUUUUUUUUGGGGGGGGCGCCGCCGCGGGGAGGGGGGGGGGGGGGAGAGCAUGCAAAUUAACCAAAAGAAAUAAUAAGAGCACAGGCUUUAACAAUGAAUACUGACUUAAAACUCAUGCAAAAUAAGUUACAAUAUUAAAACAAACCAGAGAAAAUUUUUUCUUGGAAAGUAGAUGGAACUUAUGAAAGAGCAGAUGUCAAGGAUUUAGAAAACGCGCACCUCUUUAAUUAUCUGGGAUUAGAGAGUUGGUGAGCUUCUCUAUUUAAGAACAAGUUGAAAGAGGAAAAAGAUCACUGGUAACUGCUGAGGAAUGUGUGAGAAAAGAGUUGAUGAGAGCAAUAACAAAGACCUGCAAAAGAAAAAGAAUUAGUCAUGCACCGCUUUUCUAUAUCAUGUAUUUGGUUAUUGUUGCCCUGUUGACGCAUGUUGAAGAAGAAAGCACUAGUUCACAACUCUACGUUUUCAUAUAUUCUAAAGAAAUAAUUAAGUUUUCAUAGAAUGAUACCUGUUGUGUUUGAGUAAUUUUGGUAUAUACAUUGCUUGUGUACUGUGAAAUUGAAAUGAAUAUUGAUGGAAUGACUGAAUUUCACUUUUGCCCAAAAGAUCUUUAACCAAAGUUUAAUAGCUAUCAUGUACUCCUUAAAAGCAAUUUUUUUUUUUAGAUUUGACUGAAUUUGAACUUGUUGGAUUGGUUGUUUUUAGAUUAUUAAUAUGAGAUAUUACAACGUAAAUAUUUUCAUGUGGUUGAGCCCUAUUCUAAAAUCUGUAUAGUUAGCUUUAGAAAAAGGGCUUUUCCUGCUGAUCUGUAAUCUUCAAAUAAACUUAGAUACAAAUAAUGAAAUAAAAGACAACAAACAAGCAAUACUGAUGCAAAGCCAACAGAUCAGAGUUUUUGGUACAAAGCCAAUAAAAGACAAUAAACUUAGGACCUUUUUUUCUUGCUUUCUUUUGUUGCAGGAUUAGAGUUUUUGGUAUUAUCAGUAAAGGUUUCAAGGGUCUGAGUAAAAGCCUAUAAUCUUUUUAUAAACUUUUUUUUUUGGGGGGGGGGGGGGGGGGGGAGCAUGCAAAUUAACCAAAAGAAAUAAUAAGAGCACAGGCUUUAACAAUGAAUAGUAACUUAAAACUCAUGCAAAAUAAGUUACAAUAUUAAAACAAACCAGAGAAAAUUUUUUCUUGGAAAGUAGAUGGAACUUAAGAAAGAGCAGAUGUCAAGAUCAAGGAUCAGGGAUUCUACUAUCAAAAAAAAAAAAAUUAUUCAAGGAUUUAGAAAUCGUGCACCUCUUUAAUUAUCUGGGAUUAGAGAGUUGGUGAGCUUCUCUAUUUGGCCUUCAAUAUUUAAGAACAAGUUGAAAGAGGAAAAAGAUCACAGGUAACUGCUGAGGAAUGUGUGAGAAAAGAGUUGAUGAGAGCAAUAACAAAGACCUGCAAAAGAAAAAGAAUUAGUCAUGCACCGCUUUUCUAUAUCAUGUAUUUGGUUAUUGUUGCCCUGUUGACGCAUGUUGAAGAAGAAAGCACUAGUUCACAACUCUACGUUUUCAUAUAUUCUAAAGAAAUAAUUAAGUUUUCAUAGAAUAAUUUUGGUAUAUACAUUGCUUGUGUACUGUGAAAUUGAAAUGAAUAUUGAUGGACAGAGCAAUGCAUAUGCCUAAAAAAACAUAAAGCAAAUCCUUGAACGAAUGAUUCAGGACUAAAACUUUUAUAAAAGCAAAUACCGGAAACACACAAAAAGCAUUUAAGAGAGAAACUAAACCGCAAAUAAUCGAAGUAAGAUCAAUAAUAUAUGAUUUGAUUUAUGCAUAUUCAAAAACCAAAAUAUAAAAUAAAAUACAAAAUUAAAGUUUGGUUUAUUCUUUCCACAAAAAACAGGGGAAUGAAAACAGAGGCAACUUGUUUUACCAAUUUUUUCUUCUUAAUUUCCGGCAAAAAAAAUCAAUAAACAGGGGAAUGAAAACAAAGGAACGAAAACAGAGGAAACUUGCUUUUCAGGCUAUCUUGUGACAUGAUGAUAUUGCUCGUGAAUGCAUGAAAAUUUCUAAUGCAAACAGCUCAAUUUGGGAUGAUAAGCUUAAGUUUGCAAGUGAUGCAUGAUAAUCAGAUAUUUGUGGCUUUUAAAACUCAAGAAAACUCAAGAAAAUUAAAUGACAAGAUUAAGACAAACAAGAGAUAGUUUUUGUUGGACAUUAAGAAACAACUACUAUCAAGAUCAAAGAUUAGAAAUUAUGCUAUUGAAAGAAAUUAUUAAAGUAUUUAGAACAAACGCACCUCUUCAAUUAUCGAGGAUCACAGAGUUUAUGAGCUUCACUCUUGGCCUUCGAUUUAUAAGAAAAAUUUUAAUGAGCAAAAGAUCGCUGUUAACUGCAGAAGAAUGUGAGUAAAGAGUUUAUGGGAGUAAGCAAUACAAUUGAAUUGUAAAAGAACAAGACUUAAAGCGUGCACCCCGUGUUCAUAUAAACAGAACACAUGUUCAUUUUUAACAAAGUGAUCAAUAACUCUAUUCGUUAUUUAAUUGAUAUUGUAACCAAGAUCAAGGAUCAGGGAUUCUUAUGCCUACUGAUAUUUAAACAGAGAAUUCUUUCUUCUUUUUCUCUUCAUGGAUUAGAGUUUUUGCUAGUAACAGAAAGGUUUCAAGGGUCUGAAUAAAAUCCCAGAUUUUUUUUUAACUUUGUUUUUUGUGGGAAAAUGGAUUCAAAUUAACCAAAGCCAAUAAUAAGAUCACAGACUUUAACAAUGAACAAUAACUUAAGCAAAACCAAUGACAAGAUUAAAACAAACCACAGAAAUUUUUUCUCGGAAAGUAGAUGAAAAGCAAGUAAGAACUGCUAUUAAAGGAUAUUAUUAAAGGAUUUAGAACAUGUAUACCUCUUUAUUUAUAUGGGAUCAGAGAAUCGAUGACCUCCUCUAUUCGCUUCAGAUAUUAAGUAAGAACUGCUAUUAAAAGAAUGAAUUGAUGAGAGUAAUAACAAUGAUUGCAAAAUAGGAAGACUCAAUCAUGCACCCCUUUUAUACCUGAUCAUAUUAAGAAGUCGUUAAAGAAUAACGACUAAAUUAGGAAUUAAUUCUGAAGUUCAGAAUCAAGAACAAAGACGAAGCUUUAAUAACGCAUGCAGUGAGAUACAAGAAAUGGAUCUGGUAAAAUACAUUAAAAAAAUUUGUUCAACUUCAACCUAGUUAAGCUGAUGAAAGCACUAGUUGUUGGCUCUACGUUUCAUAUGUUCUAAUGAAAUAAUUAAGUUGAAGUUUUCAACGAAUAAAUACCUGUUUCGCUUGAAUAGCUUUGGCAUAUACAUUACUUGUGUCCUGUGAAAUUGAAAAGGUUAUUGAUUUACAAAGCUUAUUAGUAGAGAAAAGCUACGUAAGAUGCCUGAUAAAAGAUAAAGCAAGAGCUUGAAUGAAGAAUGACAUUUUAGAAAGAAACUAAAGUGUAAUCAUCAAAGUAGGAUCAAUAAUGUACCACUUUCCUUGCAAAUCUGGUGGGUUUUCUGAAUAGAUUUUUACAUUAUUCUAUUUAACCAUUUUGGGUUUACCCUAAGCAUUCUUGGUUGGCAUUGUCCUGUAAUCUGCGUGCCCUGGAUACGUGUGAGGGAAAGAUGAGGGUAGAUAUGCAAUUUCAAGAAGCGAUUUGCUUGCAUAAUUCAAUGCAUGGAAAGAGAUGUACCUGACCAGAAAAAAAAGGGCACCAUCCAUAUCUGAGCUUGACUUUUUAGAUGGAUAAAUAUUCUUAUUACUGUUGAUAAUGGAGAAGGGUUCUACUUUUACUUUGCCAUCUUUGAUAUAAAACAGCAUGAUUCCUUUUUAUCAAACACUUGCCUAAGUCUAUUUUUUAUUUUUCUUAUUUUCAGAAAGAGAUUAGCUUAAUUUAAAUUAUAUUCAAGUACAAAGUGUUAUACACUCAUAAAACGAGAAAUAGGCAUGUAUUGAUCACGCGCAAUCUAGUUUUUUUUUUUUUUCUUUUUUUUUAAUCCAGUCUUCUUAUUAAAAAAAAAAGAAUUUAUUUGCUUUAUUUUAAAUUAUUUUUUCAUGCGGUAAAUGCAAUACUGAGUAAUGGGUGAGCAAAAUAUUUACAGGCACACCCCCUUUUAAUGAUUUCGUACUAAAAUUAAAAAUUGACGAUUCCAUGAUAAAGUUCAAAGAGUAAAUGAAGACCCAUAAAUGUUUUUUGGUCAUGAGCAAUUUUUGAGUUGGGACAGCACUCGUAUGAAAAAAAAUAGUUUUUUUUUUUCUUUAAGCAUGAGGAUAUUAAUUCUUUUUUUAUAAAUCAGCGUGAAUAUAAAAUUAAAAAAAUAGUUUUGAAUAACUUCUUUUCUUUUUUCAUAAAUAUAGAUAAAAAAUUUUAAAGUCACCAAACACAAAACCAGGAAAAUGGAAAGGAAGCCCCUGUUUCUCCGCUGCUGCAAGCACAAAUUCGGUUUCUACAGGAGUACCUUCUAAAUGCACCAUUUGUAUUGCUUUGUUUCCACGUAAGCUAACGGAAUUUGAUGAAGACAAAAUAGAUAUGAGUCGUGCUAUUCACACCCCUCGAUAAUUCUCUCAAAAUCCCCUUUCUAAUUAUACCGCCUUGAAUAAUUUCAAAACUGACUUUUCCUCUUAUAAUACCACCUUCAAUUCCCUUAAUACCCUUGUUCGCUAUGAAAAUAAGGAAAAUGCCUACAUAAAAAGCUGGCUCUGAUAAUCUACCUGAAUUUACAUUAGAAAAGAGUGGACUUUGAGAAAUAAGAAGACAAUAUAGGGAAUUUUACCAAAAUAAUCCAUUUUUAUAUACAGGGAAUGGUAUUUUCUAAUAUAAGGAGGAGUGGAGAAAUUAAAUUUAGCAAAAUAAAGAACCUCCAUCGAGAAGCAAAAAUGAUGAUAUCUUUGUCGUGAAGAGAUUUCAAUUCAAUUGCAUACAUUGACGAAACAUUAAAUACGGAAAAAACAAAAAAGAAAUAAUAGAACAUGGGGAUUUCGAGAACUUCUAAAGAGAGAAAUGUAUUUAUAAGCAUUGAAAAUUAGCUCAUUAAAUUUGACAGAAUAAUAUACAAUCUCACUGUUGGCCAGAAAAUAAUAGUAAGAACUUGUGAACAUAUAUAAUCAAUUGCUUAUUACUUAAGCUUUUUCUCCGUUAUUUUGAAUGGGUGCAAAGAGGAGAAGUUUUGUACCCAAAUUCCAACUCGAAUUGUGUAGGCUGCUUGCAAGAGCUUCAUUAGAUUUUUAUUUGUCUUUUAAUAGUGCUACUCGAUAAAUACAGCUAGCUAUCUGUCCUUUUUGUUACUGGACUAUAGAUCAAUUGACAGUUGAAGUUAUAUUAAUUUGUUGUACUGGAAUUGAAGCUUGUAUCUUAGCCAUUUCGUGAAGUGUCAAAUAUAUUUUUAAUUUCCUUAAAAUUGUUCAAAAUAUGUUUACACUUUUAAAGUCACUAUUAUACAUGAGUGCCCUAAAAUCAUUUCCUUAAAAUUGUUCAAGUGGGAUCCUAGUUCUCUAUGGCAGUUGAAGAGGUAAAUGCGCAUAGAGCUAUGCUCUAUCAUAGGCCUCGGCCACUAUAAGAAAUUUGAUUUUUUAAGACGAUAUUUUUUACAACAACUUUAAAUUUGGUCACAAAAUGGUAUUUAUUGUGACAAAUUUUUUAAAUCGUAGCUAAUAAUCUUGUCCUAACUUAUAUUUUUUUUUGUAACCAAUUAUUUUUAUUUUGAGACUUGUUCAUUGGUCAUUAAUUAAAUUUUUUUAUACCAAAAAUUAUUUUAGUCACCAAAAGAUAUAUUUUUUUGGCGCAAAAUCUUCCCUCCAAAAGUGAUUAUUUUGAGACAAUAUUUCACUAUUUAUGACAAAAUAAAUAGUCAUGAAAUAUAAUUAUAGGCGACCAAAUUAUUUGGUAACUAAAAGAGGGGUGUAAAAUUAACUAAACAAUCUAUGACACAAAAUAUUAGUAGCCAAAAUUAUUGUUCUUUUGGCAUAUUUUAAGACCAUUUUUUUGGUCAUAUAUAAUUACCUACAGUGACAAAAUUAAAAAAUAGUCGUUGAAUGUUUUAUCUUGAAUAAUUUUAUAUUUGAUAACCAAUUUUUUUUUCUUUUUGAGACAUAUUACUUGGUCCCUAUUUCAACUUCUUUUUGACUAACUUUAUAAUAGUCACAAAAGACAUUUUUUUUUUUUUUGGCAUAAAAAGUCUGUCCAAAGUUAGCUCUUUUGGGACAAUAUAUAAUCUUUUAUGACAAAAUAUAUAGUGGCGAAAUAUAAUUAUUUUUUACAAAGUUAUUUCGUAGCUGAAAAAGAGGUGUAAAUUUAGUUAACCUAUUUGUGACAUAAAAUAUUAGUCUCCAAAACUAUUAUGCUUUUAGCCAAUUUUAAGACCCGAUUUUGUUGUCAUGGAUAAUUACCUAUUUUCAAAAAACUAAGAGAUAGUAAUCAAAAGUUUGUCUUGAUUGACAUUGUAUUUUAUGAGCAAAAUAUUUUGUUUCAGUGACACUUUACUUGGUCUCUGAUUAGACUUGUUUGUGAUGAUCAAUAGAAAUAUAUAAUAACCACUAAAUUUUUUUGGAUUAAAUUUUAUAGAUACUAUUAAUUAAGUUGUUGACGAAAAUGAUCGAACCAAUACUAAUAUGGGAUACCAUCAACAGCCGUAAUACUUAUGAACCGAGAAAUUAUAAUAUGUAGUGAAAAAGUUUUAACAGUAGUCCCUAGUAUUUAGAAUUAUUUUGACUACUUUAUUUAUUUCCAAAACAUAAAAUUCUCAACCCAAAAUUCCCCGCAUUGUGUUUUAUUUUGUCUCCUCACUCAGUUACUCUUAUUAACUCACGGCUUGACAAAAAAAAGAAAAAAAUUCUCACAGCUUGAUGUUCUCCUCUCUUUAAAAAUAAAAAUCCCCAGUUACUCUGCUCAAACUCGUUAAUAUUUGUUUCCACCACCAAAGCAGCCACUCGUAUCUUUUAUUAAGCAUAACGUUUUUCUUAAAACCUAAUUGAUCAUUCUUUAACGUCUCCAGGAUUAUAUUUGGCACGCUAUUUUUCUCCUUCAAUUGAAUAGAAGUCUAGAACCUUUUUUUUUUCGCAAUUCACUUUUGCUGUGUUUCGUGGUUUGGACUAAGAUCAUGACAAUUAUUGAACGAUGGGGAUAAAUAUCAAAGAAGGAGCUUACAUGCCCUAUAUAUCUCUCUUUGGAUGAAUAACGAAUGUGAGCUUUCAAAGUACAGAGAUUUACAUGUUUUAAUUGUCAUUUACAUUGCUGCAUGCCAAUUGCUUGAUAAAAUACUGCAACAAAUACGCAUUCUCGAUUUUCUUAUAAAUUUAUUUUCUUAAUCUGAAAAAAAUUGAAUGUUCAGAGAAUUUUGAAGGUUUUGGUGUAUGCAUUAAUAUUUCGAUUCUAUUUAUGUUGUUUAACUAAUGAAGAUGAUACAUCUAGCCUCUUUUUGCCCCUUGUUGUUUUUAUUCUUGUGCUUUAUAUACGGUUCAAGUGUGAUACACUUUAGUUUUUCUCAAGUGUUUGUUAGUAUUUCCCGAAGCAAAAUUUGUCACAGACUUUGAGUUCAAAAGUUGAAAUCAUAACUAACAUACUUCGAUUUUUUAUUUUCCUUUUUUCUUCGGUAUCCUUCUAUAUGGCAUUGGUUGAGAAAUUGGUGUACUUAGAUCGUAAUAUUCUGUAGAAAUAAGCCAAUAUUUCAUUACGUACAUUGUUUAAUAUGAUGAGUAUUGUAUAGAAGUUUUACAUAUAAGCUCCUUAUAUAUUAUGCAUUAUGUUUUUAUCAUAUUGUUGCUUGGAACUUUGAAGGAUUGGCCACAGGGCUUUAGUCCUACAUGGACAUUUUAUAUUUAAUAGCUGGUUAGGCAUUUUAUUUGAUGUUAUUUGGACUUGUAGGUGUUAAAAGUUUUGUUCAGUAAUUUUAUAAUUCAGAUUCCCAUUGUGAUAAGAUAGCAAUUUUUUGUGUGUCAGAUUCUGUCAACUGAUAUUUAGCUAAAAUAUCUCACUAACCCCUAUUGGUUAGGUAUUAUUUUAAAUCACAUACUUGAUUUUUAUUUUCUUUUUAUCUGUGGAAUCCCAUGUAUCAUUCAUAAGAAACAAGCUAUUAUAUAAUCUAUUCUUUAGAUCCAUUUAUAUGUAGUGAGCACUCUGAUUUCUAUUAUUUGAAUUUUUUGCUACUGUUACUACUCUUUCGGCCCUUCAAAUAGGGGUUAACAGAAAUGGUGAGUAUAUUAAUACAAAUUCAAACUUUCUUUUUCUAAUUUUAUCCAAAAUAACCUACUAUUUUAUUUUAAUUUCAAACUUUUGUCAUAGUCUAAUGGGCAGUUGUCUUGUCAUUAUUUGGUUUCAAGUAAGAAGAGAGAAAGUUAGUGAGAGGAUGAAAAUUUUGCAAAAACUUGUUCAUAGCUAUGGUAAUUAAGUAGUUUGAGUUCUUUUUUUUGUUGUUUUCUAUGUUGGUUUUGGAUCAUUGUAGUUGCUGAUUGUGAUUUAUUGUCGCCUAUGGUUGCUGACUUUUGUUUACUGUGGCUACUUUAUUAAAGCAAUUUUGGAUAUUGAAGUUUAUGGCCAACUUUUAUUAGACACUUCUGACCUUUAUCGAUAUAUUUUCUGAACCUUUACACUUAAGAUGUGUGUGUGUGUUUUUAAAAAAUACAUGUGAAUGAAAUAGUACUUGAAAUAAUAUAUUUUCUCAACUUUUAUUAGAUAUAGUGAAAUAGUACUUGAAAUAAUAUAUUUUCUCAACUUUUAUUAGAUAAUUCAAAGUAUAUCCCACUUAUUAUCGAUAUAUUUGCUCAAGUCUCAUGUGCAACAUGUGAAUGAAAUAGUACUUGAAAUAAUAGAGACUUUGUUUUAUGACUCAUAUUUUUACAUUUCUUUGCAAGGAACCAUACUUAAUUGUACCUAAUAGAAGAGAUAUCUUUUCACUAUAUAGUCUUAGUAUAAAAAGAUACAUCUUCUAUAUAAGGCACAAUUGAUGGGACAUAUCUUUAUACUAAGACAUCAUUCAUAUUUAUCACACAAUAAUAGAAACUGCAAUGGUAGGUGGAAUAUUAUGAAGUCAAAAUUGAGAACGACAUUAAAUCAUGAAUUCUUUAUGUGUUUACUCGAAUGCCUGACAGUAUUUAGUUCAAUUAACACAGAUUGGAAAUCCAAAUGAUUGAAGAGUUGUAUGAGUUCAAGUUCAGUAUUUAAUUACUAUAUAAUUAUACAUAAAUGUGGAUUUUGCAAGCUUGAACCCAUGUGUGUUAGCCCAUUUCGGCCCAAUAAACAUAUUGUUCUGGAUAAAAAAUAUCAGGGGAUCUCUGAUGUUUCUUUGGUUUAACAUAAAUUUAUUCCUAACUCUAUAACCAUGCAUUAUUUAGACAAAAAUUUUUGCAAUCACCAAACAGUAAAACAGAGAAAUAAAAACGGAGGAGCUCUUUUCUAAAACAGAAGUAGGUGUUUUGUCUGAACGUACCACUUUCUGUUUAAUUAUUAUGUUUACGGAAUAGAUUUUUUUUUAUUAUUCUGUUUUAUGUUUCCGUCUUUACCCUAAGCAUUCUUGGUUGGCAUCGCUGCAUUGUCCUGUAAUCUGUGUGCCUUGGUGAGGAGGGGAAUGGAUAACUGUGGUGCUGGAUACGUGAGAGACAAUGAUGAGGGUAGAUUUGUAAUUGCCAGAAGCGAUUUGCUUGCAAUAAUUCAAUGCAUGGAAAGAGAUGCCUCUAACAAAAAAUGGGACUAUCCAUAUCUGAGCAUUAGAGCUCUACGUCUUAGAUAAAUAAAUAUACUUAUUAGUAUUGUUUUUGCAUAUAUCUUUCACAAAAUUAUUGUAUUCGCUUAUAUAGAGAGGACGAUUUAGAUAAGUUUCAACUAAAAAUUGACAAUUCCAUGAUAAAGUUAAAAAUCACCGAAUAAAAAACUGGAAAAUCCCCUGUUUCUCCUCUGCUUUCUUUUGAUUAUUAUUAAAAAGGGGAAUUAAAAAAUGAGUUGCAAGCACAAAUUUUAUUUCUACAGUAGUACCUUCUAAAUGCACCAUUGUUUGAUACAUUAAAAUUAAACAUUACUUAUGCUAGUAUAUCGGUACUUCACAUGUCCGUUCUUCAUUAAUGUAUAUUCAUUUACACCCAAGCUACCUGUCAGUUUUGCGAAAACUGAAUUUAAAGGUGUGGCUUAAAUUAAAAUAAUAAUCAGCCUCAUAGAAUACAGAGAAAAAAGAUAAUUUAUCACAAUCAUAUCCUAAUGCAUCAUAAAUUUAGAUUAUUUAAUUACUGUUAGGAAAUCUGCUUAGAUAAGGCGCACACUACAAAUUCUAAAUUAAAUUCCUAAUUAACAAUAAAAGAUAGACCCUAUUAAUCGUCCACCAGGUACCUUGUAGCCUGCAUCAUAAGUUUAGAUUUAAAUUUUUGCAAUUACCAAACGGAGAAACAGGGGAAUGAAAACAAAGGAGCCCUAUUUUUUCCAUUUUUGUCCCCCUUAACUCUUGUCCUUAUACAAAUAUUUUUCCUUGGAAUUUCAGGCAUACGAAAAAAUAUUGAAAAUUAUUUAAAGCAAACAGGUGGAUGAUAACAAAAAUAUAUUUAAUUAACCAAAUCAAGACACUAUAUUGGUCGUCAAUGUUUCGGCAUCACUGUCUUCUUCAGAUGUUACUUGUUUUUCACAUUUAUUUUGCGCUGUUGUGGAUUAAUAUGGUUCUGCUGGGUGCACAUUUUUACGUGCUACUGUAUUUUCUCUCAGUCCUUUUUAAAAGAACAUACACCCACAUACUAUGUAGAGUGACCUUUUUUAAUGAGGAAUCUGUCAUUUUAAUAAAAUGAAGAAUAAACUAAAAGGUAGAAGUACACGAACUCUAAUGCAAUAUACCUUUUCUUUUCUUUUACCUUUACUAUAAGAUAGGGAAUGAUAUAAUUGAUAAUGGAACUUGGGGUCAGAGCAGCGGUGUAAUUUUGAGAGGAUUUACAAGAUGGUAAGUGCAAUAAUUAACAGGCUCAUUUAAUAUAUCAAACUGCUAGAUAAUUGUACUAGUUAAACAUAAUUUUCAGAGAAUCUUUUUAAGGGUUUAUUUAUUAAUAUUUUGUUUCUUUCCAGCAUGAACACUUUGUUUUGACACGUGCUUAACAACCUUCAACGAACUGGAACAACCUUCAUCACAUGCUUCCUCACGUGAUUACUUAAAUUGAUAUGUAAAACGUGCUCCAUCCAUGUCGUUUCCACUAAAUCGUUUUUUGUUAAGAAUCAGCUGAGCAGCACGUGAGCUAAUGAAGCUUUUACGGCUUCAAAACGCAGCCGUUUCUGGGAACCAAACUUGAUUCAUCAUCUCACAACUACAGAUGAAUUAUCGAAGUGGCUGAUUGGUGCUGUACGUGUUUUUCGUAUUGAACUCAACUCUGCUAUAAUACAUGCGUGCAUCUGAUACAUGCACAAAAACCACCACUCCCACUCCCACUCCCACUCCCACGCCCUCGCGUCACGCGCCUUACCACUCCCUCGCCUCACCUCACCUCUCUUCUUGUUCCACGGCCAUCAACGGCGGCACGAGUCGGCAACGAUCAACUGCGGCUGUAAAUUGACCACAAUCAUCUCUCUCUCUCGGCUUUGCUCAAAUUUGGCCGAUCUAUGCGCUUGCUUAAGCUUGGCCGAUCUAUGCUUGCUCAAUUACUCUUCCUAUAUUCAGUCGGAGUCAACUGUUUGACAAGAGUCGAAGUCCAAGGUUCUUUUUUACAGGAUUUGAGCUACUUCUUUUAUUCUUCUUCCAUGUUCACUGAUACGAAGCUUUGAUGUGGUGUUCUGAGAGCGGGUGGAAUUUGAGAUUCUCCUUUCUUCUCUAUAUGAAGGUGCUUGUCAUGUGUCAAGAAAAAUAAAAUUAUUUACAAAAGAUUAUUUUAAGGAGAUUUAUUAUUAUUCGUGGAUCGGGAAGCUCAAAAAAUUUUCUUAUGUAGACUCAAAUCAUUUCUAUAGGGCGAAGCAUAUGAAUGAUACAUAUUAUCUUUUUUUGGCCUUAUGUAUUGUUAUUUGCAGUGUGAUUUGGUCUAGCUUAAGAGCUUAAGCUUGCAGGCUGGAUUUGUCUGACAUGGAACAAUUUAAUUUGUUCAUCGUGAUGUUUAUAUCCAUUUUGUACUACUAUCAAUUUCAAUCAUGGCUAAUUUUUAUAUGUAUUUCUCGUGGACUCUCAGGUUCAGUGCACAAGAGGAUGAAGACGAUGGACACCCAAAUUUGAUGUGGAGAACAACUAUUGCAAAUGGUCCUUGAUUUACUUCUCCAAUUGACUUGAAUUGGUUUGACGCAAUUUAUAGUGUAUUUUUGUCAUCUUUGUAUGACUGGCAGGUCGUCCUGAUUUGGUACAUGACUGGACACAGGAAUUGGACUCAUAUUUUUCAAACCAGAAUGCCAACAAUCAAGCAUUUUCUUUUGAAAGCACUGGCGUCUUCUUCAGUGCCAAAAAGGUUAGAGAUUUUCUGUAUCCUGUUUUGUAUUUGAUCAGUUUAGCAUGUGGGUGGCAAUCAAGAAAAGUUAUUAUAACAUUUUUGUGUUCCCGAAAAACUGCUGCUGAUGUGUAGUGCAGGAAAUGAAUUGUUUGUGACUUCUUUUUAUUUGUAUUCUUUCUUUUUUCUUUUCUCCCCAACAGAAUUACGUAUUUCUGAAGAGCUUCUUGAAGUUGAUUACCAUGUAUGCCACUUUCUUUACUCUAUGCUCAGGAUGUGAUUUUGUUUAGGUCAGAACCAUCAUCUAAAGUUUACUUAAUGCUGCCGAGAAGCUGUAGUAGAGCAAUGAAGGCUGUUGGUGUUAUGAAGGCCAGCUGUGAAGAAAUAUUUGAACUUGUAAUGAGCAUGGAUGGGACACGAUACGAGUAUGCUUCUUUUCUAUUUUUUAUUUUUAGUUACUUUAACAUAAUCAAGACUAUAUUGGCUGUCUGUGUAAGCUGAGUAUUAUAUUUCCUCUUGUAUGCUGUGAAAUUCACAUUGUCUCCAGUCCCGAUUCUGUAUGUGCCUUUUUGAAUAUAUUUAAUUAAUCUGCAUGGUGCUUUCUAAAGAUUAUUACAAACUUUUGUUGCUUAAGUAUAUGAAGAAUGUGGAAAUGAAAAUAGCUUUUGAAGUUUGAUGGAUUGCUUCAUUAAUAAAGAAAGACUAGGACUCAUUUUUAUAACUUUUCUCCACUUAGCUAAUGGUAUUUGAUGAAGACAAAAUAGAUGUAGCUAUCUAUAUUUUUUGUUGCUGAACUAUAGAUCAAUUGAUGGUUGAAGUUAGUUAUAUUAAUUUGUUGUACUAGAUUAAAGCUUGUAUCUUAGCCAUUUCAUGAAGUGUCAAAUACGUUCUUUCCUCUUUUUUUUUUUUUUCGAAACAUGUUACACUUUUGAAGUCACUAUUACAUAAAAGAGUGUUCUAAAACAGGAGAAGGCGUGCUGCCUGAAAUUACCUGUUUCCUAGCAAAUCUAGCUGGUUUGCGAAUUAGAUUUUAACAAGUCUCUUGGCAAGGUUUGCUAGUAAUGUGUUCAAAUUAUUCUAUUUAAUUUUACUGUCUGUACCCUAAUAAUUCUUGGUUUGCACCAUUGCAUUGUUCCAUAAUCUCUGUGCGUUGGCUUAUAAAGGCCAGCAAGGCUGAUCAUUUGUCGAAUAGUUAUUUCCAUGAAAUUCCUAUCAAUUUGACUCAGUAUUUAGAGGUCUUGAAGAGGGCAGUGUACUAGACAUGGAUUUCUACCUCUUUUGGUUGUACAAUUGUUGUAUUUCUUGGCCAUCAGAUCUUUUUUAUGUACCUUUCUCAAAGUUCUUGCCGCACGUACACCGUUUUUCAUGUUUUGUGCAGGUGGGAUUGUAGUCUUCUGUAUCGCAGCUUAGUUGAAGAGGUAGAUGGUCAUACGGCUAUUCUCUAUCAUAGGCUUCAGCUGGACUGGCUUCCAAUGUAAUAGUCUCUUGAUUCAAUCAUCUCAUUUAUGCUUUGGUCAGAAUAGAACAUUUAUUGUUCUUCUUUCCCCUUUCCUCUCUUCUGAUGUAAUAUGUGAGGAAAUUACCUAAAAUUUCUGUAUCCCAAUGUAAUUGUUGGCAUUCAGAAAUAAAAUAAAUACACCGUCUUGUUUUUCCCUCGGUUCAGUCCUAAGUUCUCUUUGGGCCUUCUGCAAGUUUUUAAACAUACUGUGACAGUAAAAAAUCUAGUGAUUGAGAUCAUUUUGAUGAAUUUAAUUUUAAUUCUUAGCUGAUACUUUUUCUGGAAUUUUUUUCUUAUGUUUCCUCAAUAUGACUUAAAUAUAGGGCUUAGUCAUGGAUCAUGCACCAGAGUGAUGGAAGCACCCCUUGUUUAUUAGGAAAAGCAGUUGAUUGUAACUAUAUCCGCGGUCCUAAGUAGUUAGAAGUAAAUGCUCUUCGAAUUCCUAUAGUACAUGGGAUGUGUUCCCUUUCAAAUAGCUUGUUCAAUACCAUUAACAUGGUUUAACAUUGUUCAUCUUUCUGUAGAUUGAUGUUGACGUGUUCUUCUAGAGUUGCUAAUGGAGUUUUGGGCCUUGUAAUUGGUGUAAUUACGGCAUUGGUGGUUGACAUGGCUUUCCUUGUGCAGGUAUGUAUGAUUGUUUUUUUCCCCCACUUCUAAAUGACACGAGGGAAGAGACAUGAUUUUGAGAUAUUGUACUGCAAUUUGCAUAUUUGCAUACUUGAAUAGUAACUCAAGAAUCAUUUUCAGAAUGGUAUAAUGCUUCGUGUAUGCAGGCAAAUACUACAGAUGAAUUACCGGAGCGGCUGAUUGGAGCUGUACGUGUUUCUUAUAUAGAACUCAAGUCUGCUAUUGUCCCAAAGUUGGAACCAGAGACAUCAUGACUCUGGUUUCAUUUCACCUCAACUGUUUUUUUUUUAAUUGAAAAAAAAAAUCAUUUGUUUUAGGUAUGCAUACAUGUAUUUUGAUCCCGUUUUCAUUGUAAUUUCUCAUUUACUUUGAAAGAAAGUCACUGGUGUUUUCGAAUAGGAAUUUUGCAUUAAAAAAUAAAGAAUACUUAAUAGGAAACUUAAUAAUUCUUUAGUUACUAUUUUUGGAAUGAGUGUAAUAGUAUUGAAGUUGGUUUCUACUCGCAAUCAAGUGAACUACUCGAUCCCCAACUGCGACCGCACUAAUUGUCAUUGUUUAAUAGCCUACUACUUUUAAAACUCAACAACUAAAAAAAUGAUUUUCUUAUGAUGCUGUGAAAACAUUUAUGGGUUCACUUAUUUCCACAAGAUCUAUAACAUGGUCUUGACUUCACGAAAUUCUUUUAACUUAAAGGGUUCUGGUCUGAGAAAGUUAAUUUGACGGAUUAAUUCCUUUUAAUAAUGGUCGAGUUAAUUUUACUAUACUCGUAAAACUAUUAUUAUUCUGAUAAUGCCACAAAUGUUAUGAUGUUUUCUUCAGCCAAUAAUCUUCUAUUAGGACUAGUUAGAAAUCAAAUGCUUAAAACACCAAUUGAAUGAAUAAUGCAGAAGUUUAAACAGUAUCUAAUUGAAAAUUACAUGAAGCAUGAAACAUCAAUUCAAGUCCUUCCUUAAACAGAGAAUGCAUCAAACAAAUCCAAAGUGUCUUGCAUGUCUGUAAAUAAUUGUAAAUGCGUUUAGAUUAUUCAAGUACAGGAGAACAAGCAAGUUGAAUCAUGUACAAGAGGUUGGCCUGGUUCGAGAUAGCUUCUUCACAGUACCUGAAGGGUUGGCUCAAUCUUUUCUUUAGAAUUCUGCACAUUUUGUAAUUACUCGUGUAAGCAAGCAUACAUUACAACCAUAAUAAUAAUAAGGCAAGAGUAAUGAUACGACCACAGCCUCUUGUGCACAAAUAAUAUUGUACAAACUAAUAUGACAUAAUAUGAUUGAUUAAACAAAAACAUAACAUGACCCUCAUAAUUUAUUUAUUAUUAUUUUAUAUUUUCAGUCAAGCAAUCAUAUUAUGCCACAUUAAAUAGAAAUAAUUUACUAGAUAGUGCCAACACUUCAUUGAUACUCACCAUUUCAUUGAACAAUUUUUUUAUAGUGUCAUUGAGGUUGCCUUCCCAACAUCCUUCAUCAUCACCAUCUUCAUCUUCGGUGGGUUUCACUUUGUUUAGCUUUGGUGCGUCUACGACUCCUGGAGAGAAAAUCUUCAUCGUUGGGCAUUGUCUCACAACUACGUGUGCCAAGGACGGGAACUCAAGAGCGUAAUUACCCAAACUAAAGCUUGUUAGGCUUGGCAAACAAUCAAUUCCCAAGUACUCCAAUUUCCUGAAAACAAUGCAAUCUUCCGCUUCUUCUCCAACCUGCGACUGUAUAAUUUCUUCCAUCAUUUUGCAAUCAGUUAUCUUCAUUCUUUCAAGAUUCACUAGACUUUCAGAUGUUGAGAGUGUCAAUAAAUUUAUCAACCCAUGACACUUCGAUACUUCCAGAGUCGCAAGAUUUUCCAAAUGCCACAAAGCUGGUACUAAUUUCUGCAACUUACUACAUUCAAAUAUUUCUAGACUUUUCAAGUUUGCAAACACUUUGUUGGAUUCGGCAUUUUCCUUCCAGAGAUGCUGCACUUUGUGUAAUCCAGAUAGCUUUAACUUCAUCAAUUGAGGGAAUGCAACCUGAAAAUCAACAAAAUUAAGUUGUAAAUGAAAAUAUGUAUCCAAUCUCUACAGUCUUCCCCUACAUAUUUUAUGGACAAGAUUAAUCACGGCAUUUUAUAUUUUAUUUCCAAAUUAGUAUGCUUUGCAGUAGGAUCCCAAAUAUAAGUAUCAAAUCGAUUACCCUUUGAAACACAUAAAUGAAAUCUGAUCAUAAAUCCAAUAUGAAUUAGCUAGGAAAACAAAGAUCUAACACGCAUAAUUUAUGCGAUAUAGUUCAUCACCUCCUGUCACUAGGCAUCUAAUUAAUUUGAGACAUUUUUUUAAUUCAUACUAUAAAGUUAGUUAAUAACUACAAUUAUAUUGUUAAAUCAGAUAUAAAUUAAGACGACGUGCAAAAAGAUAAGUCAUUAAAUUUGAUUUGAUUCUAAUGAAAUUACAUCUAUGCGAAUGAAAGUGAAGGGAAAAAUAAUAAUAAUGAUUACCUUUUUAUCGAAGAGAUGUUGUAUUUGAUUAGCUACCAAGAGGUUCUCUUCUGAUUUUAAUUUUUGAGCUUCCUUAUUAUCUGCUGUCAUGUGCAAUACAGAUGUAGAAUUGGAUAUGAAUGUUUCCAUGUCAGGGCAAUUCUCAAUAGUUAGAUAUCUCAACUCAGGCAGUUCAAUUAUAUUCCCAGUGAAGUUGCAGAAUCUUUUGAGUUUUGGAAGAUCAAUGAGCCUUAGAUUGGAAAGCUUAGGAAACAUGGGGCCUAUAUGUUCUUUGUCAGCAUUUAGCUCUUCCAAACGAAGCACCUCUUCUAGUGAAUCACAAUUCCUCACUUCCAGCCGUCGCAAAUUGUUCAAGCAUCGUAGCAGAUUGGCAGGAAUAGCACUCGACAUAUUCGUGCAGUCAUCCACCACCAGCCGUGCUAAAUUGUUGAAGAAGCUGACAGGCAGUGCUUGGCCAUGCCAUAUUUCUUUCAAACGUGGAAAAUGUGAGAGUUGCAAAUACCAUAUGUCACGGAAUCCAAUCUGCACAAACCAAAACAAUUGCACCGGAUAUAUACAAUUUUUUUUUUGAAAGGCAUUAUAUAUAUACACAUUAAACUUACAUGUUUUGUGUUUUAACUUCUAAAAAUAUAUAUACAAGACCGGGGUAUAUGCUUAAAUGUGCAAUUGCAGGGGAGAUGCAUAAACAAUUUGGGUGAAUCGAUUAACACAUACCAUUUCUUUGUAAUACUUUUGCAUAAUGGAAUUAAGGUUAUUGCCUUCCCAAUGGUGCAGUUCACCCUCUUCCUUUUCAGUCACUUGCACUUUGCAUGGCUUUGGAAUGGAUAAGAUUCCCUGAGAAAAAGUCUUCAUAUUUGGACAACGUAUCAUAGAAACUCGUUCCAGUGAUGGGAAUUCAAGAGUGUAAUUCUCCAAACAAAAGCUGGUAAGCCUUGAUAAAUAAUUAAGUAUCAAAACUUUUAAUUCGCUGAAAGCAAUACGAUUCUCCUUCACUUCUUCUCCAACAUGUCCUACGAUUUCUUCUAUUUUUUGGCACUUCGAUACUUUAAGAUUCACCAAACUACUAGGAAUUCCAACCUGAAAAUAAGCAAAAGUGUGUGUAUAUUAAAAAAGUAAAAAUGUAAGAAUAUCAUUCAACUAGGUUCAAAGUAUGUUUAAUCAUACAAUUAUACGUUUUAUAAAGAUAACAAACCAUGAAAUGUCUACAAGAUAAUUUUUUGUUAAACAAAAAAAGCAACAAGAUAAAUAAAUAAAUAAAAGCCAGAUAAACAAAGAUAUUAAAUGCAUUUACACUAUUUAGUAUUAGGAACGUACGAAGAAUUUAAGGCAAUUUCUAAAUAUUUUAGACUUAUUUUGCAUCUUGAUGCCAGUUUUUAAACAAAAUUUGCAAAUUUCAACUAUUCCUUUUGGGAAAAAAAAAUCAACCAAAAUGCCGCUUUUUCCCUUUUCCCUUGGUCCCUUUUUUUUAUGUAUAUUUAAUUUUGGAAACAAAAUUAAAGUGGAUCUUUAUUAAGUACUUCCAGACUCGAGGAAAUUUCUUUACAAUCAAGGAUCAGUUGUAAAUAAUCGUGAAUUUGUGGUUAAUUAAUGGCAUAAUCAGUUCGUAACUAAACAAGAGAUAUUAAUUAAAUUUGAAGACUUUUCUUUUCUUUUUUUCUUUUUCCAAUCGAAAUGUGAAGAAUUAAGGAAAAGAGAAAUAUAUAGAUGAAUUUGUGAACCUAUAAGAUGAGUGACUAUCCUUUAAUUUUUGAAAAUUGUACUUAUUAAGAUAUGAGCAGAAACAAUUAAAUUGAAUUAUAUUAUGAUGUUGAAUCGUGAUUAAAAAAAUUAUAUUGUUGAUUCUAAUGCUGGCGAACCUAAAAAAUGGACUUAAAAUGUAGAUUUGAGAGUGGUGGUUCGAAAUACAAUACUUGAAAUAAAUAAUCAGUGGCUGAAUAUCAUUUGUAAACCCAAAAAUGGUUAAAAUAUUGUUGGAUGUAAUUUAAAAAAAAAAAGAUUCGAAAUGAAUACAACGACCUUACCAAUGGAGGAAAAAUAUUCAUUAGGUUAUGACACUUAUAUAUCUCCAAAUUCUUCAAUUUGCUGAAAGACUCCGAAGGAAGCUGGUGGUGCCAUAUUUUUCUCAAAUUAUUCAUCCAGCUAAUAUCUAAUACCUCCAACCUAGGAAGUCGUACCUGGAAGUUAAAGAUUAAAUAACUAAUUAAUCAAUUAAUGGCAUAAUCAAUUGAUAACUAAAUUAGAGGCGGAUAUUAACUAAAUUUGAAGACUCAAGGAAAAGACAAAUUAAGUAUUGUGACUAAAAUUAAUUUUAUUUAUUAAAAAAAAAACCUUUUCGUCAAAGAGAGGAGGAGGUUGCAUUUCAGAAUGAUUGGUGUCUUCUGGUGAGCUCGUAGAGAUGAAUCUUAACAUAUUACUGCAAUUACCAAUCUCGAGGUUUAGCAAAGAAGGGAAUUCAACAACUAAAUCUGAAUGAAUAUGUCCUGUAUUGGCGAAGCUUGUCAGUUCUGUAAGCCAAUAGAGCUGCAGGGAGUGUAGUUUAGGAAAAACCUUUAAUUCAAUCAACUUUCCUUCAUCUCUUUCUGACCACCCCGUGGUGUCGACUACCCCUUCCAUUGACUCACAAGACCAUAUUUCAAGAUGUUGGAGUUGCAAAAGACUAUUAACCAUAGAAUACGAAAACAGAUACUUCAUACGAUCACAACUUCUCACGUACAGCUUUGUUAAAUUUUGACAACAGUACAUUCCUUGAUUAUGAUCGGCCCAUAAUUUUUUGAUGUUUCUUAAUUCCGUGAGAUUCAAUUCCUCUAAGCUCGGAAGAAGAACCUGCAAAGAAAAGCCGUACAUUUUUGUUCCUUCAAGUACAACCGUCUAGUAUAAUAUUCUGUUGAUGAUCGAAGAUUAAUCGUGAUAAUAAAUUAAUCAAUUAAUUAUUGAACAGAAAAUUAUCACCUUUGGAGCAGUAUCAUCAUCAGCAAUGAUUUCGUUGAAUCCCAAAGAAGUUGUUGGUUUCUCCCUGUCGGGUCCUGUAAACAAACAAAAACAAUAUACAUAAUUAAUCUUUGUCGUUGUCUUUUUUUUUUCAAAAUAAUUGAGGCGAAGUCCAUAAAUCCACCAACACUUAAUUUCAACACUUACCAACAGUCAUUUCCAGUUUAUUGCAGGAAGCCACUUUGACCUUUUGAAGCCGCAGUAGGUUUCUGGCUAUGGAAAAUGAGAAAAGAUGCUUCAAUUUAUCACAGGAUUCUACUUCUAUAAUCUUUAAGUUGCUGAAAAAUUGAUCUUCUCUGAGUUGGCUGUGGCAUAUGGCCUCCAAAUUGAUCAAUUUAUAGAGAGACAAUGACUCCAGCAAGGGGAAGACUUUGCGAUGAACCCGUCCAACUGAACCGACAAUGUGUAAAAUCUCAGAACACCUUUCUACCCAAAGAUGCUUCAAUCGUGGAAAACCUUCCCCAUCAUCUAAUUCAUGAACAACAUUCUGAACACCCGUCAGUUCCUCUAGACGGAUAUCUUCAGUUAACUUCAGCAACAUUUUCAUCCCAUAAUUCUCCAAAAGAGUGCUAACAUUUUCUAACCCAUGGAGCUGCACCAAUCUUGAUGUUUCAGAAUUAGCGCGCCAGAUGCCCCACGCUUCUCCUAUACAUAUCCUAUAUCUUGGCAAUUCGACAAAGACCAAAUCCUGCGGCAGCAUUUGGGCAUCCUGAACUUGUAUCUCCAAAGUAGUUAGCUUUGACAGCCCCUUCAAUUCAGCAAGACUGGCGUUACUUCCUCCUUCAACCUUAUCCCACUGCGGAAAGCUGUCACCCAUAUAUAGUUCUUCCAAUCGAGAAAAUUUUGAUAUGACAUUUGGUGCUAUCACUACAAGGCUGCUACAAUUGCUCAAAUCUAGCAAUUGUAACUGCGCCAAUUGACCAAUUUCAAGUGGCAACUGCUUAAUGUCGGAAUAUCGAAAGCUAAGAAUCUCUAAUUUCUUUAGCUGUCCAAUUGCCGCUACAUCUUCUAGUUGGCACCAGUCUAAACACAAUGUUUGAAGGUUAAUGAGGUGACCAAGUGAUGAAGAUAAUGAAGAGAAAUGAAUUCCGCUAAGACUUAAAACUUUGAGAUCUUCCGUCCCUUCAAAAAAGAGGUGUGAAAUUUCCAAAUAGCUAUCACCAUUUGCAAGCAACAGUAAUAACUUGAGUUGGGGACAUUCCAACCUUUCGGGAAGCUCUUGAAUAUCUCCAUAAGGUAUAGAAAUAGCAAUUGCACCUUUCUGUAUGAUCUUUUCUAUCUCUUCCUUCAAGUUGGUAACAUUUGGGAUACUAAACAUGAGCUUCUCUGAGGCAAUUGAUACGGCAACAACAUGAAUGACGUCAUGCAUUUUAACUUCAUCUUCAGCAUCGCCGUCCAACAAUAAGCAUGAAGCUUUGAGAUUGUCGAUCAAUGCGUCCACUCUAUUCCUUGCAUUUUCCAAUGUGCGAACAUUUUUAAACAAACCCUUACCAUAUCUCAACAAGGAAGCAACUUGUAUAGGAGUACCUUCACCAAAUAGAGUACAAAGAAGGAACAAAGAUUUUGCUUCAUCACUUUCCAAGAAGUUGUAACUCAAUUCUAUGGAAGAGCAGACAUUUGCAUCCAUUCCAUGAAUUUCUCUUGGAUUAGAAUUUCGCAGCUGAGUCAACGCAUCCUUCCAAACGGGAAGCUUCUUAUUUUUCAGAGCAUUUGCAACUGUACUCAGUGCAACAGGCAAUCCUCCACAUUUUCCAACAAUCUCAUCUGCUAAAGGUUGAAAAGCAGAUGCUUUUGCGGAAUUGCCCACGAUCUUUUCAAAAAAUUGCAAUGCUUCUUCCUUUGAUAAAACUUCAAUUAGGAAAAUCUUCUGAGAAUUCAUAUCAUUGGUCAAUAAAUGUUUACUUCUAGACGUCAAUAUUAUCGUGCGUCUCCUUAGAUCUUGCUUUCUAUCUUUCUCAUCAACAUCCCCAAAAGGAAUUCCAAUUUCUUCCAACCCAAGUUUUUUCCAAAUAUUAUCUAAUAUAAUGAGGACUCGCUUCUCUUUCGUCAAUCUUUGACAAAGUUGUUUUGCUCUGUGGGGUUUGCUAUCAUUCAAGUCAAAGUUCAAGUCUAAAUCGGAAGCGAGCUUGUCUUGAAUUUUCUGAACAUCUGGGUUCUCUGUUACCUCAGCCAUAACGACCUUAUCGAACACCUUAUCUUCCAUAACUUGCUUUGCAAUUUGCUUGACUAGCGUGGUUUUACCCACGCCGCCCAUACCGUGGACCCCAAUUAUGUUGAGCUUAUCAUUCCUCAAUGCCUCCACAACAUCUUGAAAUAAUUUCAUUCUUGAAUCAAAGGCCUCGAAAUCUUUCGCUUGCAUAUGUUCUGUACUCUCUGGAGCAGGACGGUGGGAAACACUAGAGAAGUUGCCUUUUCCCACGAGACUAGCGGCAGCUUCUGCGGCCUUUGCUGCUUGUUUACUAAGUUUAUAACGAGAAAUCAAGUUGGGGCAAAAUCCUUUGAAGCAGGACUUCUUAGCUCUAUCUUCAUCAUCAAUGAUGGAUUUUGCAACCCCUUCACUGAUGAAUUCAUCAACGUUAUUAAGCCAGUCUGCAACAUCCUUGUAAAUCUCAUCUCUUUGUUGAGUAGCCUCACGAACGGGUAUUCCCACCCUUUCUCUUUUAUAUUCUAGCUCCUUCACUUGAACUUUUAGCUCAGCUAUGUAGCUCUGGUACUUGAACACAUAAGAGAUCUGCCGCAUAAUCGGUUCGAACAAUGCCUUUGCACCUUCUGUUACAAUGCCGGAAAAAGUAGUGGAAACCAGGUCUGCAGCCAUUGCCUAGCCUGUUGCUUUCAUACAUACAUACAUACAUAUAUAUAUAUAUAUAUUAGCUGUUGGAAAAAUUAGAUUCAAAUAAAUUAAAAUGAACUAGGGGAAAGACGGAGAAAGAAAUGACAACCAACAACUUUUUAAAAAAAGGUUUCAAGGGCCUGAAUGGAAAACCAACAAUUUAAAAAAAAAAUUGUAAGAUGGAUGCAGAUUAACCAUUGCUAAUAUUACAUAAGAACACAGAAGUUAACAAUGAACAGUACGUAGAAAAUUAAAUGACAAGAUUAAAACAAACAAGGGCUAUUUUUUCUUGGACAAUUGUACCUAUUUAAUUAUUAAAGAGUUAAUGACCUUCACUGCUGGCCUUGAAUAUAUAAGAACGACCAGAAGAUGAAUAUUAACUGCAGACGAAUGUAAGUAAAGAGUUCAUGAGAGUGAGUAAUACAAAUGAAUUGUAAAAGAACAAGACUUAAGUGUGACCCCAUCUUUUGUUUUAUUAUAUAAAUAGAACACAUGAUCAUUUUUAACAAAGUGAUCAAUAACUCUAUGCGUUAUUUAAUUGAUAUUGUAACCAAUUUUAAGGGAAUUUAAUAAUAAUCAUUCAAUGCAUAAAUUUAAAAUUAGAUUUUUUUAAUUCUUUAUUUAAAUAUAAAUCUUAAUGGAAAAUUAUAAAAAUUUAGAGAUAAAAUUUUUCAAUCACCAAGGAAAAAAAAUGGGAAUGAAAACAGAGGAAUCUUGUUUUACCUUUUUUUUUUUUUCCUUAACUCUUGUUCCUAUACAAAUAAUCUUGUUUUGAUGAUAGUGCUCGUGACUAUGGGAAAAUUUCUAAUGGAAACAACUCAAUUUCGGAAGAUAAGCUUAAUUCUGCAAGUGAUGAAUUUGUUCAAUUGACUCUGUACUUGAACUCGUUGGAUUGGUUGAUUUACGAUUGACUGCAUUUCAAUUCUGCCUAAAAGAUCUUUUUAAUAGCUAUCAUGUACUCCUUAAAAGCAAUCAUUUUUAGAUUUGACUGAAUUUGAACUUGUUGGAUUGGCUGUUUUUAGAUUAUUGAUAUGAGAUACUACAAUGUAAACAUUUUCAUGUGGCUGAGCCCUAUUCUAAAAUCUGUAUGUUGCUUUAGAAAAAGGGCUUUUCCUACUGAUAUUUAAUCUUCAAGUAAACUUAGAUAUAAAGUAAAUCAAAUAAAAUGACAAACAAGCAAUAUAAUAAAAGACAACAAACUGGCAAUAUUGAUACAAAGGCAACAGAUAUUAAACUUUAGGACAUUUUUUUCCUAGCUUUCAUUUGUUGGAGGAUUAGAGAUUUUGGUAUUACCGGAAAGCUAAAAGGUUUCAAGGGUCUGAGUAGAAACCUAUAAUCUUUUUAAAAACUUUCUUUUUCUUUUUUCUUUUUUCUUUUUUUGGGGGGGGGGGGGGGGGGGGGGGGGGAAGAAUGCAAGUUAACCAAACGAAAUAAUAAGAGCACAGGCUUUAACAAUGAACAAUAACUUAAAACUCAUGCAAAGUAAAUUCAAUAUUAAAACAAACCAGAGAAAUUUUUUUUCUUGGAAAAUAGAUGGAAAUUAUGAAAGAACAGAUGUCAAGAUCAAAGAUCUACUAUACACAAACACACACAUUAGAGGAUUUGGAAAAUGUGCACCUCUUUAAUUAUCUGGGAUUAGAGAGUUGGUGAGAUUCUCCAUUUGGCCUUGAAUAUUUAAGAACAACCUCAAAGAGCAAAAAGAUCACCGGUAACUGCCGAGGAAUGUGUAAGAAAAGGGUUGAUGAGAAUAAUAACAUUGACUUGCAGAAGAAAAAGCAUUAAUCAAGCACCCCUUUUUUAUAUCAUGUAUUUGGUUAUUGUUGCCCUGUUUACGCACGUAUAGGAUAAUUAUAUGCAAUCUUUUUUUAAAAAUCCACAUGCACUUUAGGGCUUCUUUCAUAAAAGCAGAUACCGGAAACACACAAAAAUCAUUUGAGAGAGAAACCGAACAGCAAAUCAUCAAAGUAAGAUCAACAAUAUAUGAUUUGAUUAAUGCAUAUUCAAGAACAAAACAAAAAUAAAUAAAUNNNNNNNNNNNNNNNNNNNNNNNNNNNNNNNNNNNNNNNNNNNNNNNNNNNNNNNNNNNNNNNNNNNNNNNNNNNNNNNNNNNNNNNNNNNNNNNNNNNNNNNNNNNNNNNNNNNNNNNNNNNNNNNNNNNNNNNNNNNNNNNNNNNNNNNNNNNNNNNNNNNNNNNNNNNNNNNNNNNNNNNNNNNNNNNNNNNNNNNNNNNNNNNNNNNNNNNNNNNNNNNNNNNNNNNNNNNNNNNNNNNNNNNNNNNNNNNNNNNNNNNNNNNNNNNNNNNNNNNNNNNNNNNNNNNNNNNNNNNNNNNNNNNNNNNNNNNNNNNNNNNNNNNNNNNNNNNNNNNNNNNNNNNNNNNNNNNNNNNNNNNNNNNNNNNNNNNNNNNNNNNNNNNNNNNNNNNNNNNNNNNNNNNNNNNNNNNNNNNNNNNNNNNNNNNNNNNNNNNNNNNNNNNNNNNNNNNNNNNNNNNNNNNNCCCCAGGGGAAAAUCUGGAAUUCCUUUUUUUAAUUUUUUUUUUUUUAAAAAAACCCCACCGGAAAUUCUUAAAAUUUGGAAAAAAAAAUUUUGAGUCCCUUAUUCUGGGGGGGGGGGGGGGGGGGACGAAAACAGAGGAAACUUGUUUUACAUUUUUUUGAUCUUAACUCUUGUUCUUAUAUAAUAUUUUCCCUGGGAUUUCAGGCAAACCAAACAAAAAAAAAAAAAUUCAAUAAAGAGCAAGUUGCUCUAAUUGAUUUAUCUUGUUUUUCAGGCUAUUUUGUGACAUGAUGAUAUGUAAUGCUCUUGAAUGCUAGAAAAAUUCUAAUGCAAACAUUUUUGCAAAUGACGAAUGUAAAUAACUUUUUUUGAUUAAUUGAAUCUCUAAUACUCUUACCCUAUUCUAAAAUUUGUAGGUUGCUUCAGAAAAAAAGGGUAUUUCUCACUCAUCUUCAAUCCUCAAGCACAAUUAGAUUAAAAGCAAAUCUAAUAAAAUAACAAACAAAUUAACAAAAAAAAGAAAAAGAAAAAAAACAAUGUUGAUCUUGAGACAAUUGAUACUUAAACAGAGAAUUCUUUGUUCUUUUUUUACUCCCCCUGGCUCGAGGAUUAGAGUCUUUCUUUGCUAUUAACAGAGAGGUUUUAAGGGUCCGAAUAAAAACCCGCGCUUUUUUUAAAAACUUCUUUUUUUUUUUUUAUUGGGGAAGAUAGAUUCAAAUUAACCAAAGCUAGUAAUAAGAACACAGGCCUUACAAAUGAACAAUAACUUACAACUCAAGCAACAUAAAUAAUAAGAUUAAGACAAACAUGAGAUUUUUUUCUUCGAAAGUAGAUGGAAAUCAAGUAAGAACAGCUAUUAAAAGAAAUUACUAGAGAAUUUAGAACAUGUGUACCUCUUUAAUUAUUUGGGAUCAGAGAGUUGAUGAGCUCUCUAUUCGCCUUGAAUAUUAAGAACUGGUAUUAAAAGAAAUUAUGAAGAACAAUUUUAGUGAGCGAUAGAUCACUGUUAACUUCAGAGGAAUUUGUGAGUAAAAAGCUGAAAAGAGCCGUAAUAAUGAAUUACAAAAGAAGAAGACUUAAUCAAGCACCCCUUUUAUACCCGAUUUUUAAGAUUUAGUCUUGAAGUUCACAAUCAAGAACAAAGACGAAGCUUUAAUAAAGCAUGCAGUGAGAUACAAGAAAUGGAUCGGGCAAAAUACCUUACGAAGCGUUUCAUAUUUUCUAAUGAAAUAAUUAAGUUGAAGUUUUCGACGAAUAAAUACUUGUUGUGCUUGAAUAAUUUUGGCAUAUACGUUACUUGUAUCCUGCGAAAUUGAAAAGCACAUUGGUUUAUUAGAGCUUAUUAGGAGGGAAAAGCUUUGUAAGAUACCUGAUAAAAGAUAAAGUAAAAGCUUGAAUGAAGAAUGACAUUUUAGAAAGAAACUAAAGUGCAAUCAUCAAAGUGGGAUCAAUAGUGACUUGAUAUUUCAAUUGUUCUGUCCACAAAUGAUGCUUCGUUAUUACUAAUUCCAGAUGGACAUUAUUAGAAAAUGAUCUUAUGUUUAACAGAAAAAUAAAAACUCGUCAUCAUACAAAACAGCGUGAAGAAAUCUUCAAUUUGAUUAUUAUAAAAUAAUAAGUUUCAUUACUAGAUUAUGCGGACAUUAAUGUUAGAGAUUUGAUCAGAUUAUCAUAUAAUUUACUAAACGCUUUGAGAAGAACAAUAAUUAAUUUUUAAAAAAUUGAAAAAUAAAUUAAAUAAAGAGUACACGCAAAUAAUGUUACUUCCAAUCACCAAACUGAAAAACAGGGGAAUGAUAACAGACGAGUCCCUGAUUAUCCUCUCUCUCUCUCUCUCUUUUUCAAUCUCUCUCUUUGAUAUCCAUAUCUGAGCAUCAGAGCUUGACAUCUUUGAUAAAUAAAUAUGCUUACUGGUACUGUUUUUGCAUAUGUCUUUCACAAAAUCAUUGUAUACGCUUACAUAGAGAAGAAGAUUCAGAUAACUUUCAAAAUCUGAAUCCGCCUGAUGGACAGGCUUGACCACACAGCCCCGAGACAAGGAAGUCCAAGCAACUAAUCUAAACCGUUCUCCUUUAUUAGCUAGAUUUAGUAUUUGGGUUCUUUAUGUAAAACGACACUAUGAUCUUGAAAUUUUGAUUUAAUUAAUAAAUAGUUAAAUUCUUAAUGUUUCAGGAGUAGAUACAUAGACUCUCUUCUAAUUUUAGUCAUUACAAACAAUGCCAUUGUGCGGUUAUACUAUUGCUUCUUUUAUGAAACCAUUCUCACCAUCACAUAGAUCUUGGCAUAUAGAGUCUCAUAAUGUCAUCAAAUAAUUUUUUUUUUUUUUAAAAACAUAAAAUAUGAUACAUGUAUUCAUUUUUUUUCAAAUUAGGGUGUAUUAUUCUUAAAACUUAAGUGUUCUACUUAUAAAUAUCUUGAAGGUGUGAGUGUUUUCUUUUCGUAAACAAACCGUAAAAGAAAAAGAGGAACAAUAAUUUUUUACUUAUCCUUAGAGAUAAGAUUCAAUCGGGAUGUGAGUAAGUGUGUUUUUCUUUUUUUAUUAUGCUAAAUUAUCGAGUCACAAAGCAUAUUGAUUCAAAAGUAUAACUUUAUACUGAUGAUAGAUAAUUUCAAAACAAUGGAAUGAAAACAGAGGAGCUCCCCCCUCCCCCACCCCAAUCCCCGCCCCCCCCCCCCCCCCCCCCCAAAAAAAAGUUCUUCUUCUUUUAUAUAUUUUUCUUGGAAUUUUAGGUAAAAGAAAAAAAAAACUGAGAUUGAUUUCAAGGGAACAGGUGGAUAAUAACUAAAAUACUUAUUUUUAUAUAUUUGAUAUGUGCGCUCACUAUUAAUAGAACUUAUUAGAUACUACAACUUAAAUAACUUCCCAUGGUUGAUUGAGGGUAUGUUUGAGAUUUCCUUUACUUUCCAAGAAUUAAUUUCUACCUUGAUUCUGAACAAAAAAAUAAUUUUACAAAUAAUCUAUUAGGGUGUUUGGUAAAUGAUGAUUAUUUGACAAUCAAUUUUUAAACGGUUUACUAUACAAAUCUGGUAAAUGAAAAUUAAAAGUGUAAAAUGUUCAUGUACAAUGACAAAAAUGUACUUGUUUACUUGUUUGUAAUUUAUUUAGAAUAUUAUUAUUUAAAUCUUUUUUUAUUUACAAGAUUUUUUAAGAGCAUAUUCUAUUUUCUUUAUUACAUAUUUAAAUAAUUUUUUAUUAACUAUUUUAAUUUGCAAUAAAAUUAACUUCAAUAUCUUUUUAACUAAAAAAUUUGUUAUGUAGUUCGUGAUAUAACAAAUACUAACAUAUCAUUAGUUUGAUUAAUAAAUUAAGUGCAAAAAAGAAAAUGCAAAAAUUUAAUCUUUAUAUAAACUUUUAUGUACAUAAAAUCAUUGUAAUCAAACUAGUUCAUAGAAAUAUAAUAUUAUAUACAUGUGUGUAAAAAAAAAAAACAUAUGACCAUAAUAUUAUCCACUCAUUAAACUUGCUGCACUAUUAUUUCUCAAUCUCUCCAUCUCUCGACCUUCAAGAACAUUACUACCAUAAUCUUCUUCUUCUUGAAUCCAACCUCUAUUUCCUCAUCAUCAACAAUGCGACCAAUUUGCCUUGAUAGCCUUUCAACUAGAAUAGAGUUGGCAGUAGAUAUUUUAGUACUCUCAAACUAUGCCCAAACAGGGUCACCAGUGAUUGUUGUAUUAAAAGACAUUCUAUUUAAUUUUCCUCUGACUCUGGGUCGAUACCUUUUAUGCAAAAUCUAUUUACUUAAGGAAUUUUCUACACAUGUCGAUAUCAUAUUAAAGUGAAUUCAGAUCCUAUAUUAUUGACAUUAAAAUUUAGCCGAAUAGUAAAAAAUUUCCCUUUUUGUUUGUCACACAACCAUAUAGUCCCAUUUUUGGUUAUAAGCUCACAAUAUGUAAGGGAAAUGAAGAUCUAUUAAAACUUUCCCAUAAUAUUAAACAUUAAACAAUAUCAACAUUUUGUGCAUAUGGUGCCUCAUCAACAAUUUGAUGUUCAUUUUGUUGCUCGGAGGAAUAUGACUACCUAUUAAUUAAUUAGCAAGAAUUGCGUUGCGAGUCCAUGUUUUUGUCGUUUGGAUGGAGGAUGUGCCAUCUUUUUAUUGUAGAUGCUUUGUAAGGCUUUUGAUUUAAUGAUUUAAUGCAGUCAAUUAACAAAAGCUUACAUAUAUUAUUAUGUAGUUGCUGAGAUGUCUGUUCUUGAUAAAGUCGAUUUAUUUACACCCAAGCCAACGGAAUCAAAGCCUUUUCGUUAAUAAUAUACACGGUAAUUGUUUUUGUUAAAUUGAUUUCUGGCUAACAAGAUAUUUGAAAGCAUUUAGGUAGCGUUUACAUUUUGCGUUGGAGUGAGAAUCGUGAGAAAUGAGAAUCCUGGGAUUAGGAGUGUGGAGUGGGAGUCGAAGUAUGUUGUUUACUUACACUGAAAUGGAAGUAUGGAAUUGAAAUCAGAAUCCAAUUUAUUUGUUUACAUUGUCUUAGAUUGUGAGUAAUGAUUUUAAAUUACAGCUUUACUCUUAAAGAAUUAUAGUUAUUAAUUACAAAAUUAAUAAAAAUUAUAUUUUUAAAUUAAUAAUAAUUAUUAAUAUUCUUAACUAUGUAAAUCACAAUUAUUUUAUUAAUUUUAAUUUUAAUUAUAUAAAUAAAAAAUUAUUAAUAACAACAAUACAAAUGAAACAUUAUUAUUGAUAAUAUAGUACAAAAUUAAUUUUUUUAGAAUAAAAUAUUUAUUAUUAUUAAUUACUAAUAUUAAAUAAAUAUAAUAGUAUUAUUUUUAAAUAAGUAUAAUAAUAUUAUAUUUUCAAAUAAAAAUAGAAUAUAGUAAUAUUAUUAAUUCUUUAUGAAUAUAAUGAUAUUAUUUUUAAGUAAUUUUAACUUAGAAUCAAUGUAAAUUAUUAUUUUUAACCAAAAAAUUAAUAUUAUUUUAAAUAUGUUUAAUAUUAUUAUUUUUAAUAAAUUUAAUUUAUAAAAUAAUAAAAUAUUAUUAUUUAAAUAAAUAUGAUUUUACUUAUUUUAUUAAAUUUAAUAAAAUAAAUAUGUUUAAUAUUAUUAUUUUUAAUAAAUGUAAUUUAUAAAAUAAAAUAAUAAUAUAAGUUAAAUAAAUAUGAUAUUAUUUAUUUUAUUUUAUUAAAUAUAAGGGUGAAAAAGGAAGAGAGGCGAGUGAAUUUCCACUCCCACCUUCCUCCAUGGGAGUGGGAAUCUCACUCCCCCACUCCAAAAUUAGGUGGGAUCCACGGAGUGGAAUUCUCACUUCCCCUUUGAAAAUUGUAAGUAAACACUGGAGUAAGAGGAAUCCACACUCCUCACUCUCACUCCAAAAAGUAAACACUAUAUUAAAGAAGUCAUUGACUUAUAAGAAAGCCAUGAUUAAAUACACGGCGAAGCAUGUGAGCUCGUUUUUCAAUUUCUUUGAUCACUCAUAAGUAGGGGUGGGCAAAAUCGGAUUCGGAUUGGGUUCGGGUUGAUUUGAUCAAUUUCGGAUCAAUCGGGUUGGGGAAAAAAUCAUCCGAACUCAAUCCGAAUUAUUAACCCGAUCCAAUCCGAUCCGAAUAUAAUUCGGAUCGGAUUGGAUCGAAAAUUCGGAUUAAUUCGGAUUAGAUUCAGAUUUAAAAGCAUUCGGGUUAUAUAUCCAUUCUAUAUUUCUGGGUUAAUUUCAGAAGCAAUCAAGUAAAACAAUCAACCUUUUCUCAAGAUAUAGUUUUGUUUUAAGCUUUUUAAAUUAAAUUAUUUAAAACAAUAUAGUCAAUACCACCAAAAACUUGGUGACAGUGAAUGUGGAGGUGAAUUUAGUUGUAGCAGUUGUGGUAACCGGUGAAGCUAGUGGCAGCAAGCGGUAGCAGUCGAGGUGUAGUAGAUUCCAUCGGCACGUUGCGGUUGCAGCGAUGGCUUAGCUUUGAACGAUCGCGUCGGUGACUGAUGGCUGCUGGUUCACGCAGUUGCAUCUCCGAUUUGCUGGCUGCUGCUUCUUGCGGUUGCAUCUCCGAUCUGCUCGCCGCUGCUUCGCUGACAUCUCCGAUCUCCGAUGGUUUGGCUUCGCACGAUCACAUCGGUGAUUGCUGGCUGCUGGUUCGCGGCUUCGCGCGGCCGCAUCUCCGGUCUGCUGGUUGCUGCUUCUUGCGGUUGUAUCUCCAAUCUGUUGGCUGCUGCUUCGUUGUUUGGCAUCUCAACAUUUCCGAUCUCCGAGGCCAAACCUCUAUUUGUGUGUGACCGUGUGUGAUGUGAGUGUGUGUGUGUGCACUUACAGAUUAUUUUAAUUUAGAUCUAAGAUUUGCUUUUUGUGUGGUGUGAAUCCGAUUUUGUUGUGUUUGCCACUUUGUUAGUUUGUUACACAGUUUUUUUUUUAAGCCAACCCGAUCGGGUUUUCGGAUCGGAUCGGGUUUCAUCCGAUCCGAUCAUGAUCCGAUCGGGUUGGCAAAGUUACAUCCGAUUGGAUUUUGUUAACAAUCCGAUCCGAUCUGAACCCGAUAUUUUUUGGGUCAGAUCGGAUCGGAUCGGGUCGGAUAUUUUGCCCAACCCUACUCAUAAGCUUUUCUAUACCACUCACUAUAUCAUCCUUUUAAGUCAAUUUCGACUGAUCAUCAGAGAUCAUGCACCCCACCUUGAGAUGAUUGAUCACCAAUUUGGCAUUGUAACGUUGAUCACCUCUAAUUGCCCAUGCUAAAAUUGAGACCCCACAGCCAAUUGCUUCUACAGUUGAAUUUUAUCCACAGUGAGAUAAAAAUCCACCUAUUAAUUGAUAACUCGGCAUCAAUAAUUGUGGUGCCAUUCCAUCUAUUAUCAAACCCUUUUUACCGGCUUUACUAUCUAAACCACUAUGAAAAUAAGCUGGUUAAAUGACGUGGAGGAUCCAAUCUAUUUACAUCAGUUUGAAUUACCUAAAUAAUCGGUGGAUUUGAUGCUUCUAAAUCAUUGGCUAAUGUUGAAUAAUCAUUUAAGGUGGGACCCAUUUCGGUACCAAAUGACAUGUAUAACACUGAUCCACAUGAUUUCAAAUCUAACCAUUGAAUGAUCUCAUCUUUGGUCAUGUUAGAACUCCGCCGGUUGGUUCUCAUCUCACAAUCACGAAGCACUGAACCGGUCGAUUUGUAAAAUUGUUCAGGUAACAAUGGGCCCACUCCCCACACUAGCAUCAACACCAUCGAUCCCUCCACUUGCUUCAUCCAGUGUGGUUGAUCACUCGGUUCUGAUGGACCUAUUUUCUCUGAACCGGGUGCACCUCACAAAGGUUGUGGGCCACCAGGAAGGGACCCGUGAGGCCUGCGUUUAAGAUCUGAUUGGAAUAAAGCAACAUCCUUGGGUAACCCAAGAAGUAAAUGGGCCUCUCCCGGUUUGGCAUCCUGGAUGCGAGCCUGCCACAUGGCACACUCCACAGCUGCUGAGCAAGCAUCAGAAGUGAAGAACCCAACAAUGGGAACUUCAAAAUUCUUGAAAACAUCAGCCGUCCAGCCCAUCAUAACGCCGAUGACUACGCAAACAGGUCGGCUUUCGGGUUCCGGGUUGAAAGGAGGUUUCGAAGACCCUGAAGCAUUUGGUUGUGCAUGACAACAUGGAGGUAAGAAGGAGGCGAUGGUAGUAGUGGAGAUGAGGAGGGUAUUUCGGUAAUUUCACAUAGAGGGUAUUGGUGAAGAGAGGAAGGGGUGAUGCUGGUGGUGGAAACGUGAGAGGGAAUAAUGAGGGUAGAUUUGUAAUUACGAGAAGCAAUUUGCUUGCAUAAUUCAAUGCAUGGAAACAGAUGUCCCUGACCGAAGAACGGGACAAUCCAAAUCUCAGCCUCAGCAGCAUUCGCAACAGAGCUUGACAUCUUUUAUGAAUUAUUUGAGACUUAAUUGUUAUUGACUGCUUUUGCCAUCUUUCAUAAAACAUUCUUUGUUAUAUAUUCAAGUAAAUAAAUUUAUCGUUUAAAAUUAAUUUUUCAUGUGGUAAAAGCAAUACUAAAUAUGGGGUGGAGAGAAUAAUUUGUAGGGCAUACCCCCACCAUUUAUUUAAUUUCAUUAAAAAAGAAAGAAAAGAAAUAAAGGCUUGUUCAACAUUCAAUUAAAAUUAACAAUUCCAUGAUAAAAUUACUUGAGAAUAAAAAUUUUUAAAAAAAAAGUAACUCAAAAACGAGGAAUUUUUGAGUAACUGAAGAACCAUAGAUGUUUUUUGGUCAUGAGCAAUUUUUGAGUUGACACAGAACUUGUAUAAAAAAAAUAGUUUUGAAAACUUCUUUUCUUUUUUCGUAAAUAUAGAUAUAAAAUUUUAAAAUCACCAAACACAAAACCAGGAAAAUGGAAGGAGAGCCCCUGUUUCUCCUAUGUUGCAAGCACAAAUUCGGUUUCUAAAGUUGUACCUUCUAAAUGCACCAUUUGUAUUGCUUUGUCUCCACUUGAGCUAACGGAAUUUGAUGAAAACAAAAUAAUUGAACGAUAGGGAUAAAUAUCAAAGAAGGAGCUUACAUGCCCUAUAUAUUCUCUUUGGAUGAAUAACGAAGGUGAGCUUUCAAAGUACAGAGAUUUACAUGUUUUAAUUGUCAUUUACAUUGCUGCAUGCUAAUUGCUUGAUAAAAUACCGCAACAAAUACGCAUUCUCGAUUUCUUAUAAAUUUAUUUUCUUACUCUGAAAAAAAUUGAAUGUUUAGAGAAUUUUGAAGGUUUUGGUGUAUGCAUUAAUAUUUUGAUUCUAUUUAUGUUGUUUAACUAAUGAAGAUGAUACAUCUAGCCUCUUUUUGCCCCUUGUUGUUUUUAUUCUUGUGCUUUAUAUACGGUUCAAGUGUGAUACACUUUAGUUUUUCUCAAGUGUUUGUUAGUAUUUCCCGAAGCAAAAUUUGUCACAGACUUUUAGUUCAAAAGUUGAAAUCAUAACUAACAUACUUCGAUUUUUUAUUUUCCUUUUUUCUUCGGUAUCUUUCUAUAUGGCAUUGCUUGAGAAAUUGGUGUACUUAGAUCGUAAUAUUCUGUAGAAAUAAGCCAAUAUUUCAUUAUGUACAUUGUUUAAUAUGAUAAGUAUUGUAUGGAAGUUUUACAGAUAAGCUCCUUAUAUAUUAUGCAUUAUGUUUUUAUCAUAUUGUUGCUUGGAACUUUGAAGGAUUAGCCACAGGGCUUUAGUCCUACAUGGACAUUUUAUAUUUAACAGCUGGUUAGGCAUUUUAUUUGAUGUUAUUUGGACUUGUAGGUGUUAAAAGUUUUGUUCAGUAAUUUUAUAAUUCAGAUUCCCAUUGUGAAAAGAUAGCAAUUUUUAUUGUGGGUCAGAUUCUGUCAACUGAUAUUUAGCUAAAAUAUCUCACUAACCCCUAUUGGUUAGGUGUUUUUUUUAAUUCACAUACUUGAUUUUUAUUUUCUUUUUAUCUGUGGAAUCACAUGUAUCAUUCAUAAGAAACAAGCUAUUAUAUAAUCUAUUCUUUAGAUCCAUUUAUAUGUAGUGGGCACUCUGAUUUCUAUUAUUUGAAUUUUUUGCUACUGUUACUACUCUUUCGGCCCUUCAAAUAGGGGUUAACAGAAAGGGUGAGUAUAUUAAUACAAAUUCAAACUUUCUUUUUCUAAUUUUAUCCAAAAUAACCUACUAUAUUAUUUUAAUUUCCAACUUUUGUCAUAGUCUAAUGGGCAGUUGUCUUGUCAUUAUUUGGUUUUAGGUAAGAAGAGAGAAAGUUAGUGAGAGGAUGAAAAUUUUGCAAAAACUUGUUCAUAGCUAUGGUAAUUAAGUAAUUUGAGUUCUUUUUUUUUGUUAUUGUUUUUUAUUCACUUUUUCCUGUCUUAAAACAAAUAACGAGUUUUUGUGUUUUUAAUAUUUCUUAUAAACUUCAUGUUGUUUGGUAUAAAAUUAGGUAAUUGGAAAGGUCUCAUGUUGGAUGAAAUUAUCAAUUAUGUGCAGUCCCUACAAAAUCAAGUGGUCGUCAAUGUGUCAGCAUCACUUUCUUCUUCAGAUGUUACUUGUUUUUCACAUUUAUUUUUCUCUCAGUCCUUUUUAAAAGAACAUACACACACAUACUAUGUAGAGUGACCUUUUUUAAUGAGGAAUCUGUCAUUUUAAUAAAAUGAAGAAUAAACUAAAAGGUAGAAGUACACGAACUCUAAUGCAAUAUACCUUUUCUGUUCUUUUACCUUUACUAUAAGAUAGGGAAUGAUAUAAAACUGUUCGAUAAUAGUAAGUGAAAUAAUUAAAAGGCUACUGUUCUAGCUCAUUUAAUAUAUCAAACUUUUCUAGCUCAUUUAAUAUAUCAAACUGCUCGAUAAUUGAAUUGGCCUAGUUAAACAUAAUUUUCAGAUAAUCUUUUUAAUGGUUUAUUUAUUAAUAUUUUGUUUCUUUCCAGUAUGAACACUUUGUUUUGACACGUGGUUAACAACCUUCAACGAACUCGGAACAACCUUCAUCACAUGCUUUCUCACGUGGUUACUUAAACUGAUAUGUUAAACGUGCUCCAUCCACGCCGUUUCCACUAAAUCAUUUUCUGUUAAGAAUCAGCUGAGCAGCGCGUGAGCUAAUGAAGUUUUUCGUAUUGAACUCAACUCUGCUAUUUUCCCAAAGCUGGAAAGCAGAAACAUCAUCCCUUUGGUUUUAUUUCACCUCAACCUUUUUCUGAUCCCAUUUUCAUUGUAAUUUCUCAUUUACUUUGAGUGAAAGUCAUUGUUGCUUUCGAACGAGGUUUUGCAACUAAAAAGGAAAAUGGGGCGGCUACAAUACAUGCGUGCAUCUGAUACAUGCACAAAAACUGACCAUUGGAUUAAAUGGAGUGAUCUAAUGGCUGAGAUUUGUUUCAUUAUUAAGCAAUAAAAAAAUUUGAAACAACCAGAAACCUGUAAAACCGGUCAUUUGGUUUAAGGUAAAAAUAUAUAAAUGAAAAAAAAAAAAAAAAACCCACCACUCCCUCGCCUCACCUCUCUUCUUUUGGGUUUAGUAUUGCUGCUUUUAACAUAAUUGACCUAUGGCCCAAAUCAUUUCUAUAGGGCGAAGCAUAUGAAUGAUACAUAUUAUCUUUUUUUGGCCUUAUGUCUUGUUAUUUGCAGUGUGAUUUGGUCUAGCUUAAGAGCUUAAGCUUGCAGGUUGGAUUUGUCUGACAGGGAACAAUUUAAUUUGUUCAUCGUGAUGUUUAUAUCCAUUUUGUACUACUAUCAAUUUCAAUCAUGCCUAAUUUUUAUAUGUAUUUCUCGUGGACUCUCAGGUUCAGUGCACAAGAGGAUGAAGACGAUGGACACCCAAAUUUGAUGUGGAGAACAACUAUUGCAAAUGGUCCUUGAUUUACUUCUCCAAUUGACUUGAAUUGGUUUGACGCAAUUUAUACUGUAUUUUUGUCAUCUUUGUAUGACUUGCACGUCGUCCUGAUUUGGUACAUGACUGGACACAGGAAUUGGACUCAUAUUUUUCAAACCAGAAUGCCAACAAUCAAGCAUUUUCUUUUGAAAGCACUGGCGUCUUCUUCAAUGCCAAAAAGGUUAGAGAUUUUCUGUAUCCUGUUUUGUAUUUGAUCAGUUUAGCAUGUGGGUGGCAAUCAAGAAAAGUUAUUAUAACAUUUUUGUGUUCCCGAAAAACUGCUGAUGAUGUGUGACUUCUUUUUAUUUGUAUUCUUUCUUUUUCUUUUCUCCCCAACAGUAUUAUGCAUUUCGAAGAGCUUCUUGAAGUUGAUUACCAUGUAUGCCACUUUCUUUACUCUAUGCUCAGGAUGUGAUUUUGCCAAGCAUUAAAAUGGUUUAGGUCAGAACCAUCAUCUAAAGUUUACUUAAAGUUGACGGAUUAAUUCCUUUUAAUAAUGGUCUAGUUAAUUUUACUAUACUCAUAAAACUAUUCUUAUUCUGAUAAUGCCACAAAUGUUAUGAUGUUUUCUUCAGCUAAUGAUCUUCUAUCAGGACUAGUUAGAAAUCAAAUGCUUAAAACACCGAUUGAAUGAAUAAUGCAGAAGUUUAAACAGUAUCUAAUUGAAAAUUGCAUGAAACAUGAAACAUCAAUUCAAGUCCUUCCUUAAACAAAGAAUGCAUCAAACAAAUCCAAAGUGUCUUGCAUGUCUAUAGCAUGACAAAAAAGUUGUAAAUGCGUUUAGAACCAAAUUAUUCAAGUACAGGAGAACGAGCAAGUUGAAUCAUGUACACGAGAUUGGCCUGGUUCGAGAUAGCUUCUUCACUGUACCUGAAGGGUUGGCUCAAUCUUUUCUUUAGAAUUCUGCACAUUUUGUAAUUACUCGUGUAAGCAAGCAUACAUUACAACUCUUGUACACAAACAAUAUUGUAUAAACUAAUGCGACAUAAUAUGAUUGGUUAAACAAAAACAUUACAUAGCCCUCAUAAUUUAUUUAUUUAUUUAUUAUUAUAUAUUUUCAGUCAACCAAUCAUAUUAUAUUACAUUAGUUUCUAUAAAAUAAUUUUCUAAAUAGCACCAAAACUUAAUUGAUACUCACCAUUUCAUUGAACAAUUUUUUUAUGGUGUCAUUGAGGUUGCCUUCCCAACAUCCUUCAUCAUCAUCAUCUUCUUCAUCAUCAUCUUUUUCUUCUUCGGUGACGUUCACUUUGUUUAGCAUUGGUGUGUCUAAGACUCCUUGAGAGAAGAUCAUCAUUUUUGGACACUCUCUCACAACUACUUGUUUCAAGGACGGGAAUUCAAGAGCGUAAUUACCUAAACAAAAGCUUGUUAGGCUUGGCAAACAAUCAAGUCCCAAGUACUUUAAUUCCUUGAAAACAAUGCAAUCUUUCGCUUCUUCUGCAACCGGCGACUGUAUGAUUUCUUCCAUCAUUUUGCAAUCAACUAUCUUCAUUCUUCCGAGAUUCACUAGAUUUUUAGAUGCUGAGAGCGUCAACACAUUUAUCAACCCGUGACACUUCGAUACUUGUAGUCCCCACAGAUUUUCCAAAUGCCACGAAGGUGGUACUAAUUUUUGCAACUUACUACAUUCCGAUAUUUCUAGCCUUUUCAAGUUUGCAAACGCUUUGUUGGAUUCGUCAUUUUCCUUCCAGAGAUGCUGCACUUUGUGUAAUCUAGAUAGCUUUAACUCCUUCAAUUGAGGGAAUGUAAGCUGAAAAUCAACAAAAUUAAGUUGUAAAUGAAAGUAUGUAUCCAAUCUCUGCAGUCUUCCCCUGCAUAUUUUAUGGACAAGAUUAAUCACGGCAUUUUAUAUUUUAUUUCCAAAUUAGUAUGCUUUGCAGUAGGAUCCCAAAUAUAAGUAUCAAAUCGAUUACCCUUUGAAACACAUAAAUGAAAUCUGAUACUAAAUCCAAUAUGAAUUAGCUAGGAAAACAGAGAUGCGACAAGCAUAAUUGAUAUAGUUCAUCACCUCAUGUUACCAGUCAUCGAAAUAAUUUAAGACAUUUUUUUAAUUCAUACUAUAAAGUUAGUUCAUAACUGUAGUUGUAUUGUUAAUUCAUAUAUGAAUCAAGAUGACAUGCAAAAAGAUGAGUCAUAAAAUUUGAUUUGAUUCUAAUGAAAUUACAUCUGUGCGAACAAAAGUGAAGGGGAAAAUAAUAAUAAUAAUAAUAAUAAUAAUAAUAAUCACCUUUUCAUCGAAGAGGGGUUGUACUUGAUGAGCCAGCAAAAAGUUCUCUUCUGAUGUUAAUUUUUGAGGUUCCUUGUUAUUUGUUGUCACAUGCACUACAGAGUUGGAUAUGAAUGUUUCCAUAUCAGGGCAAUUCUCAAUAGUUAGAUUCUCCAACUCAGACAGUUCAAUUAUAUUCCCAGUGAAGUUGCAGAAUCUUUUGAGUUUUGGAAGAUCAAUGAGCCUUAGUCUGUUAAGCCUAGGAAACCGGGGGCCUAUAUGUUCUUCCUUAGCAUUUAGCUCUUCUAAAUGAAGCACCUCUUCUAUUAAAUCACAAUUCCUCACUUCCAGGCAUCUCAAAUUGUUCAAGCAACGUAGCAGAUUGGUAGGAAUAGCACUCGACAUAUUCGUGCAGUCAUCCACAGCCAGUUGUCGUAAAUUGUUGAAGAAGCUGACAGGCACUGCUUGGCCGUGCCAUAUUUCUCUCAAGCGUGGAAAAUGUGAGAGUUGCAAAUGCUCUAUGUCACGGAAUCCAAUCUGCAUAAACCAAAACAAUUGCACUGGAUAUAUAUAAAUUUCUUUUUUUGAAAGGCAUUAGAUAUAUAUAUACAUUAAACUUACAUGUUUUGUGCUUUAACUUCUAAAAAUAUAUUUACAACGCAGGUGUAUAUGUUUAAAUGUGGUAUAGUGGAAUUAAGCUUAUUGCCAUUACUUCGUAAUGGUGUUCGUAACACCAUUACUUCGUAAAGUGAAUCGAUUAACACAUACCAUUACUUCGUAACACUUUUGUAUAGUGGAAUUAAGCUUAUUGCCUUCCCAAUGGUGUUCACCCUCUUCCCUUUCAGUCACUUGCACUACGUAUAGCUUUGGUGUGGAUGAGAUUCCCCGAGAAAAAGUCUUCAUGUUCGGACAAUGUGUCAUAGAAACUUGUUCCAAUGAUGGGAAUUCAAGAGUGUAAUUCUCCAAACAAAAGCUGGUAAGCCUUGGUAAAUCAUCAAGUUCCAAAAGUUUUAAUUCGUUGAAAGCAAUACGAUUCUCCUUCGCUUCUUCUCCAACAUGUCCUAUGAUUUCUUCUAUUUUUGCACAGUCUGAUACAUCAAGAUUCACUAGACUAUUGGGAAUUCCAACCUGAAAAUAAAGAGUAGCAUUCAACUAGAUUCAAAGUAUGUCAAAAUCAUACAAUUGUUUUAUGAAAAAUAACAAACCAUGAAUGUCUACUAGAUAUUUUUUGUUAAAGAAAAAAAAGAAAAAAUAAAAAUAAAUAAAUAGAAGUCCAGAAAAACAAAGAUAAUGAAAAUGCAUUUACACUAUUUAGUAUUAGGAACGGAGAAAGAAUUUCAGGUAAUUUUUAAAUAUUCUAAAUUCAUUUUUCAUCUCGAUGCUAGUUUUUUAAAAUUUUUAAUUUUCAAACAUGCCUAUUUUUAAAAUAACUAAACUAAAACGCUGUAUUUCCCUUUUUUUUUUUUUCCCGAUAUUCAUGCUUUUAAAAAUGGAAAACAUUUCUGGAAAACACUUCCCAACGCCAUCAACAUGGGACUGUUAUAGAGUGAAUAUUUGAGGAAUUUUUUAAUCAACGGUCGAUUCAAAAUGACCAUCAUGAAUUUGUGCUUAAUCAAUGGCGUAAUCAAUUCAUAACUAAACUAGAGAUAUUAACUACAUUUGAACACUUUUCUUUAUUUUUUUUUAAAUCGAAAUUUGAAGACCCAAGGAAAAGAGAAAUAUAUAUGAAUUUGUGAGCUUAAAAGCUGAGUAACUAAGUAUCUUUUAAUUUCUAAAAAUCUUAUUUAUUAGGAUUUAAGGAAAAAAACAAUUAAAUUGAAUUAUAUUAUGCUGUUAAAUCGUGUUUAAAACAAUUAUAUCGUUGACUUUAAUGCGGGUGAACCUAUAAAUUAGAUUGACAAUGCAGAGUUCAGAAUGGUGAUUUGAAGUACACUACUUUUUUGCCCUCCUGAUGUUUGAAGUAAAAUACUUGCAAUAAAUAAUUUGUGAAUGAAAAUUAUUUGUAAACACAAAAAUGAUUAAAAUAAUUGUUGAAUGUUACUUGAAAUAAAAAUUCAAAAUGAAUAUAGCAAUCUUACCAAUGGAGGAAAAAUAUUCAGUAGAUUAUUACACCCAGAUAUCUUCAAUUUUUUCAAUUUGCUAAAAGACUUCGAAGCAAGCUGGUGGUGCCAUAUUUUUCUCAACUUAUCCGCCUCACUAAUAUGUAAUACCUCCAGACUUGGGAGUCGUACCUGAAGUUAAAAAUUCAAUGCAAUUAGAGAUGUAUAUUAAUUAAAUUUGAAGACUCAACGAAAAGAGAAUUUAAAAAUUCAAUGAAAAAAAACCUUUUCAUCAAAGAGGGAUUGAGGUUGCAUUUCAGUGUGAAUGACGUCUUCUGGUGAGGCAAAGCUACUUAGUUUUGGAAGCCAAUGGAGCGACAGGUAGUGUAGUUUGGGAAAAACCUUAAAUUCAUCUCUUCCUCCUAACGUCGUGGUGUUGACUACCCCUUCAAUUGACCGGCAAUUACGAAUCUCAAGAUGUUGGAGUUGCCCAAGACUAUUAACCAUAGAAUAUGAAAACAAAUACUUCAGACGAUGACAACUCCACACGGUCACUUUUGUUAAAUUUUGACAACAAUAUAUUCCCUGAAAUUGAUCGGACCAUAAUUUUUUUAUAUUUGUUAAACUGACAAGUUCCAGUUCCUCCAAGCGUGGAAAAGUAACCUGCAAAGAAAAACCAUACAUUUUUGUUCCUUCAACUACAACUUCUAAUAUAAUAUUCUUUCGAUGAUUGAAGAUCAAUCGUGAUAAUAUAUUAAUUAAUUAAUUAUUAAACAGAAAAUUAUUACCUGGUGAACAGGAUCAUCCUCUGCAUUGAUUUCUAUGAAUCCCUGAGUUGUUGUUGGUUUCUCCAUGUCGGGCCCUAUAAAUGAACCAAAACAAUAUAUAAUAAACAUCCGUUGUUUUUUUCCCCAAAAAAAGAAAAAGAAAAAAAGAAAGAGUCAAUGUCAAUAAUCCUACCAAUAAUUAAUUUCAACACUUACCAAUAAUCAUUUUCAAAUCAUCGCAGUCUUCCACUUUUACUUUUUGAAGCCGCAAUAGGUUUUUGGCCAUAGAGAAUGAGAAGAGAUACUUCAAUUUUCGACAGGAAUCUACGUUUAUAAUCCUUAAGUUGCUGAAGGAUUGAUCUUCUCUGAGUUGGCUGUAGCAUAUCGUCUCCAAAUUAGUUAAAAACAUAAGAGACAAUGCCUCCAGCAAGGGAAAGACUUCGCAACGAACCCUAACUGAACCGACAAUAUGUAAAAUCUCAGAACAGUCUGUUACGAGAAGACGCUUCAAUCGUGGAAAACCUUCCCCAUCGUCUAAUUCAUGAACAACACUUUGAACACCCUCCAAUGUUUCUAGCCAGAGAUCUUCAGUUCUCUGCAGCAACAUUUUUGUCCCAUCAUUCUCCUGAAGAAUGCUAACUUUUUUUAUCCCCUUGAGCAUCAUCAAUCUUGAUGCUUCAGAUUUGACGAGCAAUGGGUCAAACUCAUCUUCGGGCCCAUCUCCUAUACGUAUCUUAUAUCUUUGCAAUUCCACAGAGACAAAAUCCGGCGGCAGAAUUUCGGCAUCCGGAACUUCUAUCUCCAAAGUAGUUAGCUCUGUCAACCUCUCCAAUUCGACAAGACUGGCAUUACUUCCUCCUUCAACCUUCUCCCACCCUGAAAAACCGUUACCCAUAUACAAUUCUUCUAAUUGAGAAAAAUUUUUGGAUAUGACAUUUCGGUGCUAUUCACCUUCAAGCCCACCAAACAAUUGCUCUCAAAUCUAGGAAAUUGGUAACCGCGGCCAAUNNNNNNNNNNNNNNNNNNNNNNNNNNNNNNNNNNNNNNNNNNNNNNNNNNNNNNNNNNNNNNNNNNNNNNNNNNNNNNNNNNNNNNNNNNNNNNNNNNNNGCGAGGCUGAGAAUCUCUAUUUCUUUAGUGUCCCAAUUGCGCUAUAUCUGCUAGUCGCACCAGUCUAAACACAAUGUUUGAAGGUUAAUGAGGCGACCAAGUGAUGAAGGUAAUGAAGAAGAGCCAAUUCCAGGAAACUGUAAAACUUUGAGUCCUUCCAUCCCUUCAAAAAAGUGGUCUGAAACUUGCAUAGGGCCAUUACCCUCCGUAUACAACAAAAAUAACUGGAGAUUGGGACAUUGCAACCUUUCAGGGAGCUCUUGAAUAUCUCUAUGAGGUAAUGAAAUAGCAAUUGGAUCUUUCUGUAUUGUCUCUUCCAUCUUUUUCUCCAAGUCAGCAACAUUUGGAACAUUAAACAUGCGCUCCUCUCUGGCAAUUGAUACGGCAACAACAUGAAUGACGUCAUGCAUUUUAACUUCAUCUUCAGCAUCACCGUCCAACAAUAAGCAUGAAGAUUUGAGGUUGUCGAUCAACCGAUGCACUCUACUCCUUGCUUCUUCCAAUGUGUAAACAUUUUCAAACAAACCCCAACCCACACCACAUCUCAAUAAGUCAGAAACUUGUAUGACAUUACCUUCACUGUAUAGACUACAAAGACGGAACAGAGAUUUUGCCUCCUCACUUUCCAAGAAGUCAUAACUCAAUUUUAUGGAGGUGUACACAUUUGCUUGCAUGCCAUGAAUUUCUCUAGCAUCCGAUCUUCUUAGCUGAUUCAAUGCAUCUUUCCAAAAGUAACUAUCCUUAGUUUUCAGAGCAUUUGCAACUGUACUCAGUGCAACAGGCAAACCUCCGCAUCUUUCAACGAUCUCAUUUGCUAUACUUUGAAAAGCGGAUAUUUUAGUUGAAUCACCCACUAUCUUUUCAAAUAACUGCAAUGCUUCUUUUGGUGGCAAAGCAUCGAUCGGGAAAUUUUUCUGAGAAUUCAUAUCAAUGCGCAAUAAAUCUCGACUUCUAGACGUCAAUAUUAUUGUGCAUCGUCUCUGAUCAUCCUUUGUAUCUUUCUCAUCAACAUCCCCACAAGGAAUUCCAACUUUUUCGAACUCGAGUUUUUUCCAAAUAUUAUCCAAUAUAACGAGGACCUGCUUCUCGUUCUUCAAUCUUUCACGUAAUCGAUCUGCUCUUUCGAAUUUAUUCUCAUCCGAGCCAAAUUUCAUGCCUAAGUCAAAAGCAAGUUUCUUUUGAAUUUCCUGAUGAUCUGGGGUCUGUGUUACCUCAGCCAUAACGACCUUGUCGAACACCUUAUCUUCCAUAACUUGCCUUGCAACUUGCUUGACUAGCGUGGUUUUACCCACGCCGCCCAUCCCGUAGACCCCAAUUAUCUUGAGCUUAUCAUCCUUCAACGCCUCCACAACAUCUUCAAAUACUUUCAUUCUUGAAUCAAAGGCCUCGAAAUCUUUCACUUGCAUAUGUUCUGCCCGCUUUGGAGCAGGACGGUAGGAAACAUUAGAGAAGUUACAUUUUCCCAUGAGACUAGCAGCAGCUUCUGCGGCCUUUGCUGCUUGUCUACUGAGCUUGUAACGAGAAAUCAAGUUUGGGCACAAUCCUUUGAAACAGAACUUCUUAGCUCUAUCUUCAUCAUCAGUGAUGGAUUUCGCAGCUCCCUGACUGAAUUCCUUGACGCUAUUAAGCCAGUCUGCAACAUCCUUAUAAAUCUCAUCUCCUUGUUGAGUAGCCUGAUGAACGGGUAUUUCCACCCUUUCUCUUUUAUAUCCCAACUGUUUCACUUGAUCUUUUAGGCCAUCUAUGUAGCUCUGGUACUUGAACACAUAAGAGAUCUGCCGUAUAAUCGGUUUGAACAGUGACUUUGCAUCUUCUGAUACGAUGCUGGAAAAAGCAGCCAGACCCACUUCUGCAACCAUUGCCUGUUGCUUAACAAUAUAUGUAUAUAUAUGAAUAAAAUGAAUAAAAAUGUCAAAGAAAGGAAUACAAAUAAAUUAAAAUGAACUAGAGGGAAAGACAGAGAAAGAAAAGACCGCAAACAACAUCGCGAUAUUGAUUUUGAACCAACUGAUACAUAAGUAGAGAAUUUCUUUUUCUAUCUUAAGGAUCAGAGGUUUUGCUAUUAACAGAAAGGUAUCCUUUAAGGAAAGUUGAUGGAAAUUAAGAAAGAAUGGCUAUCAAGAUCAAGUAUUCUGCUACUAAAAAUAAAUGAUAUGACUUAAGAAAAGUAAAUGAUAUGAUUAAGAAAAACCAGAGAAUUUUUUCCUAGGAAAGUUGAUGGAAAUUAAGAAAGAACCGCUAUGAAGAUCAAGUAUCAGAGAUUCUGCUACUAAAAGAAUAUUACAGGUUUUAGAACAAGUGCACCUCUUUACCUGUCUGGGAUCAGAGUCGAUGAGCUGCUGUAUUCACCUUGAAUAUAGAAGAAAUAUUACAGGUUUUGACUAAAGAGGAAUGUGAGGAACGAGUUGAUGAGAGUAAUAACAAUGAAUUUCCAAAAGAAGACGACUUGAGCAUUAAGCAUGCACCCCCUUUAUCAAUCAAAUAUUGGUACGUAUGUACGUAGGGACCAUUAUGCGUAUAUGAAGUCCAUUAGUUGCAAUCAGAAACCCUGGCCCAAUUUAAUUGACACUCGAUUUUUGAUAAGAAGAAGGCAAGGAUAAGGACAAAGUCAAUCAAUCACCAACAGUAAUUACUUCAAUCUUUGUCAAUCUACUUAAAUUGUCGAUCAACAUGAAAAUUGUUUAAAUUGAUAUUUGUAAAUCAAUCAAUUUUCUAGUUACUAUGAUUAUAACGUUUCACCUUUCAUAUUGGAUUUUAUCUUUUCGAAAGUUUUCAAAUAUGAGUGUCAAUAAUUAUUGAGACUCCAAGCCGUGCUCUCAAGAUCGUGCUGACAAAUCACUAUUGACUUUGUUUAUGCAAAAUUCAAAGAAAAAAAGUUAUGGUUUUGUAUUGCCAGCCCUGCUACUUUUUGUUUUUUUCAUUUGUAUUAUUUACGAAUUAUUUUUUAACAGAAACAUGAGAACUCAUCAUCGUAUAAAAUUGCAUGAAAAAAUCUUCAAAUUUAUAAAAGUAAAUUUCAUUGACAGAUUGUGGAUAUGUUAGAAAGAAUAAGGAUAAGAAUGAGUUAAGAAAUAAUAUAUAUAUAUAUAUAUAUAUAUAUAGAUAGAUAGAUAGAGAGAGAGAGAGAGAGAGAGAGAGAGAGAGUGAAAGUAAACAAUGUUUUGGUACAUUUGGUAUUGUUUUCAAAAUAUUUUGAAAAGAAAAAUUUUCAAUUAUCCAUCUAAGAAUUAUCUUAUUAUCCAAAAAGUUAUAAAAAUUUAAAAAUAUUUAAUUUUAUACCCAUUAUUACAAUGUGUAUCAACUGUUUACUAAAAAAAUAAAGUUACUCCUAAAACAUAAUCACCACUACAAUUUUGUGUUCGGUUCUAUUUUGUCACUUUGAACGAAUAACUUUAUAUUUUUAACAGAUGUUUCAUACAAAUUGCAUACAUUGGAUGUAAAAUUAAAUAAAUUUAAAUUUUUAUAAUAAUUUUAAUAAUUGAAUAAACUUUGAGUAAAUGACUGAUAAUUUCUCUUUUAUAAGCUACAAGAAGUUAAAAAGAAAAAAGAAAAAAUAGGAUGAUAAUUUCUCUUUUAUAUGCCUCAGAUGAUUUAUUGUUUCGGGUCUAAGAUUUUAAUUAUUCAACUUAAAAGAUUAAUAUAUUAUAAAUUAAUUAAUUAAAUAAUCAUUAAGCAACUAAAUUGGGUCCCCUGGAUGUCAAUUCCUUUAAUAUUGACGCAACUAUUUUUUUCUGGCAAAUAAUUAUUAAUGCACUGACGGAACUUUUGCAUAUCUACACAGCGAUUUUAAAUAUUACUGGUAACUGCUGAGAAAUGUGCGAGAAAGAAGUUGAUGAGAGUAAUAACAGCGACUUGCAAAAGGAAAAGACAGAAUCAUUCACCCCUUUUUGUAUCACCUAUUUGGUUACUGUUUCCCUGUUGACGCAUGUAUAAAUUUGACUGGUUUUUCUGCACUUUUUUGGCUGUUGCUUAACAAUGUGUGUGUGUAUUUGCUGUUGAAAAAAUUGGAUUCAAAUAAAUUAACUGAAAGAUUAGAGUUUUGACUAUUAACUGAAAGGUUUCAAGGGUAUGAAUGAAAAGCAACAUUCUUUUUUAGAAACUAUUUUAGAGGAGAGAUGCAAAUUAACAAAUGCUAAUAACAAGAACACAGAAGUUAACAAUGAACAGUAACUUAAAUCAAGAAAAUUAAAUGACAAAAUUAAGACAAACAAGAGAUAUUUUUUUCUUGGACAUUAAGAAAUAACUGCGGUCAAGAUCAAGGAGAUUAUGCUAUUAAUAGAAAUUAUCAAAGGAUUUAGAACAAGUUCACCUCUUUAAUUAUCCGGGAUCAGAUAGUUGAUGAGCUUCUCUAUUUAGCCUUGAAUAUUUAAGAAUAAUUUUAAAGAGCAAAAAGAUCACUGGUAACUGCUGAAAAAUAAGUGAGAAAAGAGUUGAUGAGAAUAAUAACAAUGAAUUGAAUAAAAAAAGGACUUAAUCAUGCACCCCCUUUGCAUAUCAUGUAUUUGGUUACUGUUGCCUUGUUGACGCAUGUAUAGAAUAAUUACAUGUAUUAUUAUAAUUUUGGAUUCGAUAUCCUUGUAUUAGUGUCUAAGAUUUUCAUGAAGAAUUAAACUUGGAAUGACCAAAAGAGGAAGCUGCAGUGUAUUGUUGGACCCAAUUAAGUUGAAGAAAGCACUAGUUCACAACCUUACGUUUGGAUAUAUUCUAAAGAAAUAAUUAAACAGCAAAUCAUCACAUGCACUUUAAUGAUUUGAUCUAUUGUUUUCAAAAGAAAUUGCAAUUAACAGUUUUUGUCAAAAGUUCGCACAGCGUGAAACUAGUGUUAGUAUAAUUUAAAAAAUUAAUUUCAGUAUUAUUUUUUAAAAUGUUAAUUAUUAGAUUUAUUUUAAUAAUAUAUUUAUAUUUAUUAUAAAAAAUUUAGUUAAAUAUUUGUGUUAAAUAGAAUUUAUAAUUAAUUUAAUAUAUCUUAGGUAUUAAUAAUAUUAUAAUUAUUCUAUAUGCUAUUGAAAAUAAUUUAAAUUUUUAGACAUUUAUUUUAUAUUAAGUUUCUAUUUAUUACAAAAUUUAGUUUAAUAUAGUAUAAGCUUGUAAAGUAUUAAAAUAUUUUUUUCAUUUUUUUUAAAAUAUUAAAAUUAUUUUAAAAUAUAUAUAUUAACAUUGAAGCUAAUUUUUUGAGUUAAUAGAGCUAGUAGGUGUUAUAGUAAAAAAGAGUAUCUUAGUAUCUCUUAUUGAAAAUAUAUAGAUCUAUAUAAUCAUUUUUUCAAAUAUUGAGAUGUAGAAAAAUAAAUUAAAAAAUUUUAAAUUUUAAUAUGGCCAUCGUAGGGUUAGAAUCCCCGCUCCAACCCGAUUUGGAGAUUUAUGUUUUUAAAAAAAAAAAGAACAAAGAAAAAAUACACACCCGACCAAAUCAAGCACCUCAUCAAAUCAAAAAUAAAAAAGGAAAGAAAUUAAUGGCUUGCAUGCAAUUUUGGAUCUGAAAUUAAAAUUACAUAAAAAUUAAGGCUUACGUACCUUAAUAUUUACAGCUUGUUUGAUGGCCCCAACAAGUUUAAGCAGCAUCAAAAUGUUGUGGCUCCUUAAAUGACAACAUCGACUUGUUUGACAGCUCCAACAAGGCUACGAUGAUCAGAAGAUGAGCCCUCAAUCAACAAGGCUAAGAUUGGCUUCUCUAUCCUCUGCCGACAUGUCCUCUUCUCCCAACAACCAGCGCCUUGCUCUUUGUCAUUUUUCCUCUUGUUAGUUUUCUUCUACAUAUAAUUAUUACACUGGGAAGUAUACACACACUUCUUUUCUUUUUAUAGUACCUUACUAUUAUAUCUUUACAAAACAAUAUCACCCUAAGACAUAUAUGUAUGAAAUAAAUAUAUAAGGAACGGACGAAAUAAAAUUAGAUCUAACACUAGUUUCAUGUGGUGUGUGAACUUUUGACAAUCCUCUCAUACCCCAACAAAAACUUUGUCAUAUUACAAAAGUUAUCACGACCAUAGACUUUUCAAUUGCAUAUUGGAAUUGCAAUGUCAUUUUAUUAUAGUAAUGUCAUUUCCAUUAUUCAUAGUGGCAGACAAUGGACAUCACGGGACACGGCUAGAAGUUAUCACGACCAUAGACUUUUCUAAUUUAUGAAAUAAAUGAAAUUAGAUCUAAUUCUAGUUUCAAGUGGUGUGAACUUUUGACAAUCCUCCCAUAUCCUAACAAAAGCUUUGUCAUAUUGCGAAAAUACCUUUUCAAUGUUUCAAUUGCAAUGUCAUUGCCAUUAUUCAUAGUGGCAGACAAUGGACAUCACGGGACAUGGCUAGAAGUCUAUGUUACGGCUUCUGUAAGUAACAGCAGCCAAUGGGGAACUUCCAUGGGGGCUAUAGGAGAGAGAAAGAGGUCCCAAUACAAGUGUUAGAGUACAAUUUAUACACUAGUUUUGCAUUGUUUACUUCCCUUAAUAUCGAUGUUUUGCAUUUAAUAAUAAUGAUUUACUUGUGUUUUACUUUUGUAAGUGCAAUUCUAUUGAUUUGUGAUAGAAUUGAGGUAUAAGAUGAUGUUUAAAGAUGAUUGUUCUCUUGGAGAAAUUUAGAGCGUCAGAAGAACUUUAUAGAUAAGGCGUGGGCGCGUGCUGUCAACUGCGGACCUGCAGUUUUUAGUUUAAUGUGUUUUGUAUUUUUGGCUAUUUUUGUAAUUACGAAUUUAAUAUUUCAAAUAUUAUUAUUUUAUUUUAAAUAGAACUUUAAAAGAGAAGAGAGAGAGAGUAUUUAAGGGAGGAAUCUAUUGUGAAAAAGGGGGGAUUUUAAUUGGAGAAAAAGAAAGAAACCCUAGAUCUAAUUUUUCUCUUCUCUCUAUGAAAAACUAAACUUAUUUUUUCUAGUUGAAGGUUAAUGAAUUUUUGAUUCAUCACUACUGUGAGAUCUUUCUUAUGCUUUAAUUGUUUUAUUACUUUUUGGGUAUUUGUUUAUUCUCUGAAUUAGUUUCAUGAUUAUGUUUGUUAAUUAGGUAAUUGGCCACUAUUUAAUUAUCAACUUAAUCUAUUGUCAAUUAAAGAAUUCAUCGUAUGACGAGUUUAAUGUUUGUGACAAAUAACAUAGCAGUGAGUUGUGUUAUGGGAAUAAACAAUCUAAUUUAAAUGAAUCAUCAUAUGUGUUGAUUAGGAUUUGGGUCGCUCUGGUUUUUCAGGCUGUCAAUUGAUUAAAUCCUAUGAUCGUAUCUAGGGUUGUCUAUUAAUUAGGGAAAUAUCCAAUGGUCGUACCUUGGUUAUCGACUAGUUAAGGAGAGAUUGGCUAUUAGAGGGUCUCAAUAGCUAUAACCAGUUUAUUCAUAAGUAAUAAUAAUCUAUUUUUGAAUCAAUGAUCAGUAGUCGAAUCAAACUGAGUUAAUUCCUUCAACCAAAGCUUUCUCCAAUUUGAAUUACAACUUUAAUUUGCAUUUUUGUUAUUUUAAUUUGAUUUUUUAUUAUUGUCAACAAUUCUCCCAUUUUACGUUUUACGUUUCAAAAGAAUUUAAAUAAUUACCGAUCUCUGUGGACACAACCCUGCUCAAUCACUAUACACAAUUUAUUUAGAGUAGGAAUUUAUUUUUAUUGGCUUCAACAACCAUCAACAAGGUGAUGGAAAUGGGAAAGUUCGAAGCUGUUACUUUCAGCUUCUGCACCGUAGCCAUGUCCCACGGGACAAGGCUAGAAGUUAUCAUGACCAUAGACUUUUCUAAUUUAUUUUUUCCUUUCAAAAAGGGACAAGGAUAAGUUUGGGAGAAUGAUUAUAUUUUUAAUAAAAGAAUUCUUUUUUAUUAUAAUACUUUUUGUCUUUAUUAAUUUAAAAAUAUUAACUCUUAUAUUUUAAUAAAUAUAAAUAUAAUAUUAUAAUAACAUAUAACAAUAUAUACAAAUAUUUAAAAAAAUUUAAGAUUUUAUUAAAAUAAAUUUUAUAAUAAAUAAAAAUACAUUAUUAAUAUAAUUUUAAUAAUUUGCAUUUUAAAAAGUAAUACUGAUAUUAUUUUUUAAAUAUUAAUUUUUUAAAUUAUAUUACUCUACCAAAAAAAAUUAAACUAUUAAAUUAUAUUGAUAUUUAUUACAAAAUUUGCAAUUAAUUCUUAUUAUAUUUUUAAUUGGAAUUUGUUCCUGUGAUAUAACAACAAUUGCUACAGUUUUUUCCCUAAAUAAAGAUGGAGUUAUAAAUUAUUUGUGUAAGUGUCAUGAAAGUAAUAGUUGAAUAACAAUAAUGGGGCUUUAGGCAAUUUUUUUUAUGAGGUCUUCUUGCAAUUUCAACACUUAAACAGACUUGUCCUUGAUCCCAAUUUAUUUACCCCAUUUGGGCCCACGAUGAGAUAAAUAUAUUCCUGUGAGAUGAAAAACAUCAGGAGAAGAAAAUGUUUUAUUAUAAUAAAAAAACAAGUGGUCCAUAAGUCUAUUUAUUACUUUUUUUAUUCAAUACAAAUGGCCAACUUAAAAAAUGAUAAAAAUCACAUAACGCACAAGCAAAAAUUUAGAUUUACAUUUUUUAGUUCUCUCCGUGUCUCUCUUUCUCUUUUUUAAAAAAAAUAAAUAAAUGUCAGUGUAAAAUUAGAAAAAUUUUAGAUAUAAACUUUGGCGAUGACCAAACAAAAAUUGCAAGGGAAAGAAAAUAGAGGACCCUUGAUAUCAUUAAAAUACUGAUCAUAGACACUACAAUAUAAAUAACUUGUUGUGAUCCACUCAACUUGUAACACUUUAAUCCAUAUUCUAAAAUUUGUAUGUUUGUUAGGAAUUUUAUUAUUGACAUUACUGUACCAAUAAAAUUCUAAUUUAUUCAUAUGGAAAGAAAACAUCAAGAAAGGACCUCUGAUUUUUAUUAUAACAGAAAAAAGUGGUCCAUAAGUCUAUUUAUUAUUUUAUUUAUUCAAUACAAAUUGCCAACUUAAAAAAUGGUAAAAAUCACAAAAUGCACAAGUAAAAUUUUAGAAUUACAUUUUUUUUAAUUCUCUUUGAGUCUCUCUCUCUCUCUCUUUAAAAAAUAAACCUCACUGUAAAAUUAGAAAAAAUUUAGACAUAAAAUUUGACAAUCACCAAACAGAAAAUGUAGGGAAAUGAAAAUGGAGGAGCCCUAUUAUCAUUAGAAUAUUGAUCAUAGAUACUAUAAUGUAAAUGAUUUGUUGUGGUUCAUUCAACCUGUCACACUCUAAGCCAUUUUCUAAAAUUUGUAAGGUUUAUAGGAUUUUUAUUAUUGGCAUCAUUGUAUCAAUAAUAUUAUAAAUUAUAUAUUCUAUUGUAAUGAAAAUUUGUGUAAUCUUAGGUAUUUAUUGUAUUAAAUUGUGUGGAUUAAUUAAGAAUAUUUUUGGAGACAAAAGAGGUGUGUGUACGUAGGAUUAAUAAUAAAAAAUUUCUAAAUAAAGGUGAUUGCUUCAUUGACAAGUACAUAUUUAUAUUCUCUAUUAGUAUUUGGGUUGUAAACUUUGUUUAUAAAGUGAAUAUAUUGUGGUAAGCGAUGUGGGCAAUAUCGGAUGCAAAAUAUUGAGAGAUCAUUAACGCAUAUAUUUAUUGCAUAUAGAGGAAAGAGUGUAGAUCCGGCCGUAACAAUUAUGAAGCUUUCCCCAAGUAUUCUCACGCUUCCUUAACUGUUCCAAAGUAUUUUUCAUAGUGUGCAGAUUUACUUUAUGGUGUCUUAAUUCGUCUAAAAUGAUUACUUUAGUUCUUUUGGGAUGAAAGGUCAUUUAUUGUGUUAGGAUUAAACAAUAGAAAAAAUAAGUAAUGGUAACGAAAGACUAAUUUGUGAUAUUGAAGCAUACAUGCUUAACUCAAUCCAAAACUUAGUAAGUUAGCUCAAGAGUUAAGAGUUGUCCAAAUCUUAUAUGCUGAACCCAAGUUCAAUACUCAAUUGAUGCAGGAUGUUAUUCCUAACACCGCCCGUCAUGCGUAGGAUUGGCAAAAAAACUCGAGUCAAUCCCGCCUAGACCUGCAAGCUUUAUUUAUGGCCAGCAUGAUGAAGUUACAGAUAUUAACCUAAAAAUUUGAAACUUACUAUGAAUGGCCUUGGUUAAAGACUUUUGUAACUUUAAUUUAUAACAAAUAUGUAUACACACACACACAUGUUUAGAUUGCAUUUGGGUGACUUUUUUUAUCAAUGCAAACAAUAUCAAAUUUAUCGGAUUAAUUUGAAUCUGAUCUAUAUCCGAUUUUGCCCGCCAUAAGCCCAAGUGACUCUCUUUUACUAAUUAAUAAGGGAAUUUUUUGACCUCAUGUCCUUGCUGUGGCAUUAGACUGUUGGUCAUUUUGAUUGUUUCCUACCUUCCAUUUACGCCAGCUGUAACAUUGUAUUAUUCACCAUUUUAGCCAUUUAAAUGAAAUUUUAUUUUUGUCAAAAAUAAAAUGACACCCUUAAAAUAAAAAAAAAUAGUUAUGUAGACCUCAAAUUUUUAAUAAAGAAUGUCAAUACCUCUUUUAACUACAAGAUUCGUAGUAGAUGAUAAAAAGAAAAUUAACUUCAAAUUUUUUCAUUAAAUGUAAAUCUGAUUGAAGUAGUUUAAAUUUUUCUAGUAGACUAAUAUAUAUAACUUAAAUAAUUAAUUUCAUUAUUAAUUGUUAAAAUGUUAACCAAUAUAUUUUUAAUUUAUUAUAAAAAUUUUAAAUAAAUCCUUGGAUUAAAUAGAUUUUACAAUUAAUGUAAUACUUCUGAUUUAUUAAUAAUAUUAAAAUUAUUUUAUAUGAUAUUCAAAAUAAUUUAAACUUAUAUAUAUAUUAAUAUUAUGUCUAUUUAUUAUAAUAUGGUUUAAUAUUAUACGGGAUUGUAAAAUAUUAAAAUAUUUUUCAAUAUCCAAUUAUUUUAAUAUGUAUAUAUCAUUACAUUUAUUUUAGUAUCAUAUUUAUAUUUAUUAUAAAAUAUAAAAUUAAUAAAAUUAAAGAGUAUUGCAGUAAAGUAAAAAAGAAAAGUCUUAUUAUCUCUUAUUCACGAUAUGAGAUUCUACAAAAUUAUUUCCCGAAACGGGUGUCCUUUUCUCAUUUUCAAAAGAAAAAAUAAAGUAAGAAUAAGUCCAUGGGUUUCAAAAACUUCUAGUCUUAUCCCGGGACUACAUUGUCUGCCACUAUAACUAAUGGAAAUGACAAUACAAUUGACAUUGCCUUUCGCAACAUGACAAAUUUUUGGUGGGAUAUGGAAGAAUUGUCAAAAGUUCACGCCAUGUGAGAGUUUUUGGUGGGAUGUGGGAGGAUUGUCAAAAGAUCACACCACAUGAUAUAACCACAAUUGCUAUGGUUUUUAUUUUUUAAAUAAUGAUGGGAGUUAUAAAUUAUUUAUAUAAAUUUGCGUAGAAACUAAUGUAACAUAAAAGAAGUAGCUGAAUAACAAUAUUUGGUGCUUUAGGUAAUUUUUAUAUGAGCCUUUCUUUUAUUUAGCGGCUCUAGUGCUUAAACAAACUUGUUCUCGAUCUUAUAACAGAAAAGGCAUCCCAUUUAAGCCUAUGAUGACAUAAUUAAACAUAUUCUUUUGUGACGAAAACAUCAAGAGAAGACAUCUCAUGUUUUAUUAUAACAGAAAAGAAGUGGUCCAAACGUCUAUUCGUUAUUUUAUUUAUUCAAUAUAAAUGGCCAACUUUAAAAAAAUGAUCAAAAUCACACAACACUCAAGUAAAAAUUUAGAAUUACAUUUUUUAAUACUCUCUAAGUCUCUCUCUCCUGCCCCCCCCCCCCCCACCCCGUCCCCUUUUUUGAAAAAAUAAACCUUAGUGUAAAAUUAGAAGAAUUUUAGAUAUAAAAUUAGAAGAAUUUUAGAUAUAAAAUUUGGCAAUCGCUAAACAGAAAAGCAGCGGAUUGAAAAUAAAAAAACUCUAUUACCAUUGGAAUAUUGAUUAUAGACAAUAUAAUAACUUGUUGUGGUUCAUUGUAGCACUCUGAGCCAUAUUCUAAAAUUUAUAGGUUUGUUAAGGCAUUUAUUAUUGACAUUAUUGUGUCAAUACUAUUAUAAUGAUAAUUUGUCUAGUCUUAGGUACUUAUUAUAUUAAAUUAUGUAAAUUAAUUGAGGAUACUUUUAGAGACAAAAGAAACACGUGUAUGUAGGAUUAAUAAUCGAAGAAUUGUAAAUGAAGGUGAUUGCUUCAUUGAGAGGCAUAUUAAAUAAUUAUGGAGAGUUGCACUAUUUCGGAAGCACAUAAUUAUACUUCCCUAUCAGGAUUUGGGGUAAACGAAGUGCUUUAUCUAUUGCAGUAAGCAAUGUGGACAAUAUCAGAGGCGAAAUAUUAAAAGAUCAUAACGCAUAUAUUGGAGCCAUUUAUCUUCCGCAACUGUUCUGAACUAUUCUUCAUUGUGGGCAGAUUUACUUAAAUACCUGCACAAUGAUUCAAUACUUCAAAGGUCAAGGAAAUGUCAAAAUAUGAAAUGAAAAUACUUAAAUACCCUUCUACCUAACAAAACUCGCAGAGAAUCUAUAAAAUUAAAAAAAAAAUAUUCAUCCAUGAAAAGCUUCGUAACAGAAAAACCGUCUUUCAAAAAAUAAAAACAGAAAAACUGACUCAUUUAUCUGCAAAUGAACCAAUCGGGACUCAUUUAAAAAAGAAUACAAAGCAAAAGUAAAUGACACAAAUUGCAUAGAUAUCUAGGAGCCGCAUCAAAAGACAAAGGUGUUAAUUUGUCCAAGAAUAAAUUCUCCUAGGUCAAAAGCAAUUAACGAUGAAAACUUUCUUCAUUAAGGUUCUGGCCUACGUAAAAAAACAGAAAAAAACCACCCCAAGGUCAAAGCACAACGAUAAAUUUAGAAAUGAAGUUUUUAAUUUUUUUUUAAUAAAUCAACGUGUAUCAAAAAUAGAUAAUAAUUUUGGAUAACUUUUUUUGAUAAAUAUAGACAUAAAAUUUUAAAAUCACCAAACAGAAAAACAGGAGAAUUAAAACAAAGUCCCUGUUUAUCCUCUAUUUUGCUUGUUAUUAAAAAGGGAAAUGAAAAGAUUGCAAGCGGAAAUUUUGUUUCUGCGUUGUCUCUUCUCAAUGCUGCAUGCAUUCAAAUUAAACCUUACAUAUGCUAGCAAACUAGCUACGCUGCAUGUAAGUUCUCGAUAAGUCCAAAUAAUAGAAUAAUUGUAAAAUGUUCAAAUUCAGUAAUUAAUUUUAUUUAUUUAUUUAUUCAAAAAUUAUUAUUAUUAUUAAUUAUUGUCAAUAAUAUAUUAAUAUACUAAUUAAUUGUAAAAAAAUUUAUCAUUCAUAACAAUAAUAAUGAUGAUGAUGACGAUAAUAAUAAAAAUUCAAAAUAUAUUAAUUAAUUAUAAUAAUAUAUUAAUUAUUUAAUAAUAAUAUAUUUAAAAUAUAUAUAAAUUGAUUAGAAUAGUUAUAUUAAUAAAUUAUAAACAUAUAUUAAUUAAUCAUAAUAAUUUUUUAAUUGAGGACAAAAUAGAUAUUUUAUAGUUUGUGAGAGGGGGCAAAAUGAUCAAUCUUGGGAAUGGGGGAUUGAUUCCCACCACCUUCCUUAGGAAUCAAUCUUCCAUUCCUCACUCCUAAUUUGGGUGGUCCCCAUAGUUCUGAUUCGGAUCCCAGCCUCCAUUUUAUGAAGUAAACAUCAUUAAUGAUUUCGAUUUCGGAUUUCGAUUCUCCAGUCCAAGAAGUAAAGGCACCAUUAUUGUUAAUUGGUUCAAACACACAAAGAGAAUGUACCAUGUAGCUAGGCGUCAAGGUUGUGUGGCACAAGUAACCUUUUUCUUUUCUUUUUAUUUUUCUUGUUUUCCUUAACGGAUCAGAAGAAAUCGGUGCCUUUGAGAUACUACAAUGUAAAUAAGUAUUUGUGGUUCAUUGAAUCUGUAACACUCGGUACCCUAAGGUUGCUUUUGAAAAAGGGCUUUUCUCACUGAUCACCAAUAUCCAAGUAAGUUUGUUUCAUUUCAGAAGGUGCAAAGUUUCAAACUUUUUGUAUUGGGAUGUAACAAACUUUGGCCUUAUAUGCUUGCUGUGACGUUAGACUGUUCAUUUUGAUUGUUUCCUACCUUCCACUUGCGCCACUGUAGCACUGUAUUAUUCAUCAUUUUAGUUGUUUAAAUGAAAUUUUAUUUUUGUCAAAAAUAAAAUGACACCAUUAAAAUUUAGAAAAAUAAUCAUGUAGAUCCCAAAUUUUUAAUAAAGAAUACCAAUAUUCCCCUUGACUACAAUACCCUUAGCAGGUGGUAAUCAAACAAAUUGACUUAAAAUUUUUUACGAAAUGUAAAUAUGAUUUAAAUAAUUUAAAUUUUCCAGAAGACUAAUAUAUAUAAUUUAAAUAAUUAAUUUCAAUAUUAAUUUUUAAAAUGUAAAUUAAUUUAUUUGUACUUAUAAAAUAUUUGUAAUUAUUUUAAAAUUUUAACUAAAUCCUUAGGUUAAAUAGAUUUUACAAUUAAUAUAAUAUUUCUCAGGUAUUAAUAAUAUUAAAACUAUUUUAUAUGACAUUGAAAAUAACCUAAAUUUUUUAUAUAUUUAUUUGAAUAUUAUGUCUCUAUUUAUUAUAAUUUGGUUUAAUAGAAUACGAGAUUGUAAAAUAUUAAUAUUUUAGAUAUUGAAAUUAUUUUAAUAUCUAUAUAUUAUUAUAUUUAUUUUAAUAUCCUAUUUAUAUUUAUCAUAAAUUAUUAGAGUUAAUUUUUUUAGUUAAUAAAUUUAAAAAUAUUAUAAUUUAAAAAAAGUCUUAUUGGCCGUUAUUCACGAUAUAAGGUUCUAAUAAAUUAUUUCUCUAGACAGGUGCCAUUUUCUUAUUUUCAAAAGGAAAAACAAGUUCAGGGCCUCGGGGGUUUCAAAAAAUUCUGGUCCUAUCUAUCACUAUGACUAAUGGGAAACGGCAUUGCAAUUGACAUUGCUUUUCGCAAUAUGACAUAUUAUGGAGGGAUAUGGGAGAAUUGUCAAACAUUCACACCACGCGAGAGCUUUAGGUGGGAUAGGGGAGGAUUGUCAAGAGUUCACACCACAAGAAACUAAUGAUAGGUCUAAUUUCGUUGUCAGUUCUUUAUUUAUUUAUUUUUUUUAUUUCAUACAUUAUUGUUCUUGUAAAGGUAUAAAAGUAAAGUAAAAUACUAGGGGUGCUGUUAAGUUACAACUGAUGUAACUUGUAAUUUUUUCAAAAAUAAUGUAAAAAAUUUAAUAGGUGGUGGGACUCACAUAUUUUUUAAGAGACUUAAGUUAUAGUAGUUGUAACUUAACAAAAUCUAAAUAUUAUACAAUAAUGCAUAUUAAUAAUGCAUAUAAUUUGGGUUUGAUUUUUAAAAGAUUAUUUGAGUACCACCUAUCCUUAUGAUAUUAAUGUGAUUAUAUCUUAAUAUUAAAUAAUCAAAAUUUGUUUAAUUAUUAUUUGUAUUUCAUACAUUACAUAUUAGAUUUGUUUGAAUUUUAAGUUGUUGCUAAUAAAUAUUUAUGUUGUCAAAGUCAAAUUCAAUAGCUACAAAAGCAGAGAUAAUGGUAUUGUAUAUAGUUUUUAAGAAUGCAAGGAUAAGCUGGAUAAUUGACAUAAAUUCUAAUGAUUAAAAGAGCAACUAUCCCUUAAAUUAUAAUGUUAAUUUCUUUAAUUAGAUUUUUUUUUUCAUGUGAUAUAACCACAAUUGCUACAAUUUUUUUUUAUAAUAAUAAUGGGAGUUAUAAAUUAUUUAUAUAAAAUUUGGGUUGAAACUAAUGUACCAUAAAAGUGGUUGCUGAAUAACAAUAUUUGAAACUUUAGGUAAUUUUCAUGAGUCCUUUUUAUAUUCAGCAACCUGAAUUGGGGAAAAUCCGACUUGAAUUGGCGGUUGAUUUUGGUGAUGUGGCUUUUGGUUUAUGGCGGCUUUACUGUGGCGGAAGACUGGAUUUACGGUUGCCGACUGCUAGGGAUUAUGGUGGUGGUGUAAAUUGACGGAAAAAGAAGGUGUUUUGGUGGCGGCGCGUGUAGGAAGCACUCGUGGGUUGUCGUUUCGUGUGGUGACAGAGGGCGGCGAUCAAGGGCCGAAGUCGGUCAGUUUUUGGUCAACGAAGGCCGGCGAGUUUGUUGGUGGAGGUGGCUGGUGGAGAAAGUGGCUGAAUGGUGGUGGGUUGCUUGGUGGAGCCGCAGGUUUGGGUUGGUGAUUUGCGGCUGUUCAAGCGGCGGUUGAGGCAGCGAUGACUGAGGCUUGGUCGACGGUGGCUAGUGAGGUUUGUGGUGGUGUUGGCUGGCUGAUUGGCGGUGGUGGGCGGCGGUGGGGGUUGGUCUGACGGGUAGGGUUUUCAAAUUUGUAAUUUUUUUUUUUGAUGGAUUUGGUUUGGAUGGGUAUGGUGUAUCUAGGAAAGAUGUGUGAUUCGCACAGAAUUGCUUUGAUACCAAUUGAUGGAGCGAGCGUAGCGGAAGUGGAAUUGAUAAGGUAAGAAAUACUAAAUAUCAUUCUAGUACUGGAUCAAGCCAACACAAUUAACUUACGCUUUAAUCAAAGCGUGAUUAGAUAUUGUUUUAAUCUAAAUGAUUCAAUGAGAUUUUUAAUAACGCGUAAUACGAGAUUAGAUGACACUCUAAUUUAAAUAACUCUAUAAGAGAGAUUUUGAUAAAUAAUACUAGAGGAAAUUAUAAAAAAAAGAGUUUUAUUUAAUAAUUGAAUUUGAAGUCCUGAAAACAAUGACAAGACAUCUUUAUUUUUUUUAUUACAGACAUCUUUAUUUAUAAUAAAAGAAAUCCACUUUCCUAAGUUAACCUAAAAAGAAAAUUUAAAUUAUAAUUAUAAUGGAAAUAAAAGAUUAAGAUACAUACCAUAAUUGACUCAAACAAAAAUAGAAAACCAUAAAAUAAUAAAUAUUUUAGAAUUAUAAAUUAUCUAAAAUAACGUUAAUUAACUUCCUAAAUCACGUCUUUGGUGUAAACCAUUUUGCAUCCAACCUUGCUUUAAAGGUUUGAACCAACGUUACGAACAACAAUGUAUCAAAUUCCAAUCUAACUUAAGAUCCUGAUACAUCUACCGAUGUCCUUGUUUGAUUAGACAAUAAUGAGUCUAUCUCAUCACUUGUUACCUCUUUUUUGAAGCUGCAUCUGUUGAAGUGAUAGCCUCGCUUAGAGUUUAAAGAUCUUCUUCCAUGUUAAAUAAAGUGGGCAUUUGAUUAAAAAACUUUAUCUCUAUCUCCUUCUAUCAAAUAACGAAAACUAUCCAAAGGAAAAAAAAAAAAUUAGAAAAGUCCAUGGGUUGCAAUAAUUUAUGGUCUGUCCUCGGACCCCAUUAUCUGCCAAUAUCAAUGAUGAAAAUGAAAAUAAAUGGCAUCUUCCCAAAAUGGCGAAAGAUUUUUAGGAGAUAUGGGGAAUUGUCAAAAGUUCCCACAACGCGAAAUAAGUGUUACAUCCAAUUUUAUUUCAUCAUAUAAUGAUAAUAUCAAGUAAUGACAGCCAUCUAAAAGUAUAAUGGGUCUUCCAAAAUUUUGAAAAUGUCGUCAACAUUUAAUCUUCAAUGCUAAAGAAGAUGAAAUGCCCAAAAAUGACAUGCAGGACCCACUCACAGACUAAACGGCCCUGACCACAUGCAACAAACUUUGACUUUAUGUCCCUGCUGAGGCGUUAGACUGUUGGUCAUUUUGAUUGCUUUUUACAUUCCAUUUACGCCAUUGUAGCAUUGUACUAUUUACCAUUUUAGCUGUUUAAAUGAAUUUUUUUUUCCAAAAAUAAAAUGACACCCUUAAAAUUUUAGAAAAUAAUCAUGUAGACCCCAAAAUUUUAAUAAAGAACACCAAUACCCUUUUUGACUAUAGUACUCUUAUGGUAGCCACAAAAAAAAAAUGACUUCAAAAUUUUUUACUAAAUGUAUAUAUGAUUUAAAUAGUUUAAAUUUUCUAGUAGACUAGUAUGUAUAAUUUAAAUAAUUAAUUUUUAAAAUGUAAUUUAAUAUAUUUAUUUUAAUAAUAUAUUUAUUAUAAAAAUUUUAAACAAAUCCUUGGGUUAAAUGGAUUUUAUAAUUAAUAUAAUAUUUCUCAUGUUUUAAUAAUAUUAAAAUUAUUUUAUAUGAUAUUGAAAAUAAUUAAAAAUUUUAUAUAUUUAUUUGAAUAUUAUGUCUCUAUUUAUUAUAAUUUGGUUUAAUAGAAUACGAGAUUGUAAAAUAUUAAAAUAUUUUUAGGUAUUGAAAUUAUUUUAAUAUGUACAUAUUAUUAUAUUUAUUUUAAUAUCCUACUUAUAUUUAUUAUAAAAUAUUAAAAUUAAUUUUUUUAGUUAAUAAAUUUAAAAAAUAUUAUAAUUAAAAAAAAGAGUCUUAUUGUCUGUUAUUCACGAUAUAAGGUUCUACAAAAUUAUUUUCAAAAGGAAAAAUAAGUCUAGGGGUUUCAAUAAAUUCUAGUCCUAUUUGCCACUAUGACUAAUGAAAACGACAUUGCAAUUGACAUUACUUUUCGCAAUAUGACAAAUUUUUGGAGGGAUAUGGGAGAAUCGUCAAAUGUUCACACUACGCGGGAGUUUUGGAUGGGAUUGGGGAGGAUUGUCAAGAGUUCACACCACAAGAAACCAAUGAUAGCCAUAAUUUUGCUAUCAGAUCUUUGUUUAUUUAUUUUAUUUAUUUCAUACAUUGUUGUCUUGUUGGCAUUGUUUUGCAAAGAUAUAAAAGUAAAAUAAACUAUUAGGGUGCUGCUAAGUUAAGCUGUUGUAACUUACAAUCCCUUAAAAAAUAAUGUAAAAAAUUUAACACGUGGUGGGAUCGACAUAUGUUUGAAGAGGCUUUAAGUUACAGUAGUUGUGACAUAGCAAAAUCCAAUUAUUAGACAAUAACGCACAUUAACAAUGCAUAUAAUUUGGGUUUGAUUUUUUGAAAAAUUAUUUGAGUAUUAACUAUCCUUAAGAUAUUAAUGUGAAUAUAAUUUAAUAUUAAAUAAUCAAAAUCUGUAUAAUUAUAAUAUAUAGUUCAUACAUUGCAUGUUUAAUCAAAAUCUGAUUGCUUUUUACCUUCCAUUUACGCCCACUGUAGCAUUGUACUAUUCACCAUUUUAGCUGUUUAAAUGAAAUUUUUUUUUUUUCAAAAAUAAAAUGACACCCUUAAAAUUUUAGAAAAUAGUCAUGUAGACCCCAAAAUUUUAAUAAAGAACACCAAUACCCUUUUUGACUAUAGUACUCUUAUGGUAUUCACAAAAAAAAAAAAUGACUUCAAAAUUUUUUACUAAAUGUAAAUAUGAUUUAAAUAGUUUAAAUUUUCUAGUAGACUAGUAUGUAUAAUUUAAAUACUUAAUUUUUAAAAUGUAAUUUAAUAUAUUUAUUUUAAUAAUAUAUUUAUUAUAAAAAUUUUAAACAAAUCCUUGGGUUAAAUAGUUUUUAUAAUUAAUAUAAUAUUUCUCAUGUUUUAAUAAUAUUAAAGUUAUUUUAUAUGAUAUUGAAAAUAAUUUAAAAUUUUAUAUAUUUAUUUUAAUAUUAUGUCUCUAUUUAUUAUAAUUUGGUUUAAUAGAAUACGAGAUUGUAAACUAUUAAAUAUUUUUUGGUAUUGAAAUUAUUUUAAUAUGUAUAUAUUAUUAUAUUUAUUUUAAUAUCCUACUUAUAUUUAUUAUAAAAUAUUAAAAUUAAUUUUUUUAGUUAAUAAUUUUAAAAAAAUAUUAUAGUUAAAAAAAAGAGUCUCAUUGUCCGUUAUUCACGAUAUGAGAUUCUACAAAAUUAUUUUCAAAAGGAAAAAUAAGUCCAAGGGUUUCAACAAAUUCUAGUCCUAUCUGCCACUAUGACUAAUGGAGACGAUAUUGAAUUGACAUUGUUUUUCGCAAUAUGACAAAUUUUUGGAGGGAUAUGGGAGAAUCGUCAAGCGUUCACACCAUGCGAGAGCUUUAGGUGGGAUAUGGGAGAAUUGUCAAGAGUUCACACCAAGAGAAAUUAAUGAUAGGCCUAAUUUCGUUGUCAGUUCUUUAUUUAUUUAUUUUAUUUAUUUCAUACAUUAUUGUCUUGUUGGUAUUGUUUUGUAAAGAUAUAAAAGUACAAGUAAAAUAUUAGGGGAAGUAAAGUAAAAUAUUGGAGGUGCUGCUAAUUUACAGCUGCUGUAACUUACAGUUCCUUCAAAAAUAAUGUAAAAAAUUUAACACGUGGUGGGACCCACAUUAUGUUUGAAGAGGCCGUACAUUAUAGCAGUUGUAAAUUAGUAAAAUCCAAAUAUUAGACAAUAAUACACAUUAACAAUGCAUAUAAUUUGGGUUUGAUUUUUUAAAAAAUUAUGUGAGUAUUACCUAUCCUUAAGAUAUUAAUGAGAAUAUAUUUUAAUAAUAAAUAAUCAAAAUCUGUUUAAUCAUAAUAUGUAAUUGAUACAUUGCAUGUUAGAUUUGUUUGGAUUUUAAGUUGUUGCUAAUAAAUAUUUAUGUUGUGAAAGUCGAAUUCAAUAGCUACAAAAGCAGAGAUAACGGUAUUUUAUGUAGUUUUUAAGAAUACAAGGAUAAGACCAUAACGCAUGAGAUAAUGGUAUUUUAUAUAUAUUAAAAGACCAUAACACAUGUAUUUGAGCCAUUGAUAUUGAAGACACAUAUAGAGGAAAGAGUGCAGAUCCGGCCCUCAGUAUUGUGAAGCUUUCCUCAAGUAUUCUCAUGCACACAGACCUUAUCUGGUCAAGUUUUCUGAUUCAAUAUAAUCAAUUUCCGCGCAGUACUGACGACAGCUUCUCUGUAAAGCUCUUCAACCACAAGCAUUUCUACAAGGCAAAAGACUAGGACGUGUCAGAAUGAAUAUCAAUAAGGGAAUGUCUUAUGAAUUUAGUUUAUAUCCUAAUAUAAGACAAUCAGUAAAUAUUGGACUCAUUAGUUGCCCUUGCCUCAGACGUUUGGAUGCUAAGGGGAAAAAGGAAGUUUGAAUUAGUCAAUCUCAUUUCUAAUGGCAUUCACAGAGAACUUAUAAAACAAAAAAAUUAUAAAAAAAAAUUCAUCCAUAAAAAGCUUAGUAACGGAAAAACCGACUCUUUUAUCUGCCACUGACGAAAAAAAAACUGAAGUAUCAAAUAGAUAAAGAUUUUAAUUUUUUUCUUGGAAAAACUAAUAAUAAAUUAACAAUUGGAUAAUACUAUUAAUUAGAGAUCUUUAAUAUUAAGGUUAUCAAAGAUAGAAUGUGUAUAAAAAUUCUUAAUUAUAAGAUAAUUACUAACUAAAAAGAGGCCUAAAAAAGAAGAUUUGCUAUUAUAAGUAAUACCAAAAAUAAAAAAGGGAGACUUCCUAAUUGUUUAAUUGUUAAAAAAGAGGAUUUGCUAUUAUAGGCCUAAUUUGCCUAUAAGUAAUACCAAAAAUAAAACCGUUCCUGGAUGUAAAAAAUAAAAAUUAUUGUUAAAUUCCUGACUAAUAAGGUCAUUGAAAGUAUUCAAAGGACCUGAACUUAUAGGAAAGCCAGCCAUGAUGAACUAUACCACGUUGCAAGUGAGCUCGUAUCUUCAUCCCUUGAUCUGCCAUCGGCAUUUCUGUUCCACUCACUAUACCAUCCUUUUCAAUCGAUUUUUAUUGAUCAUAAGAGGCCAUGUGGCCCACCUUAUUUUUAUUUUGGAUCCAUAACCCAAAGCUGGCCCAAGUUCUGAUUCCAGAAUCAUUUGUCUACAAAGUGACCUCAUUCCGGCAAUUGGUUUAUGCUAAUAGCACGUGCAAUUUUCAUUUUCUUCUUUUUAUUAAUUAAUUUCAUCAUUAUUAUUUGCUUAUUAUUUUAAAUUAAUUAAUUAAAUUGUAUUAUUGAAAUUAGUCUUUCUUUUUUCUUUUCUCUUUCAAUGCACAAAGCCAAACAACCAUUCUUGCUUCAAAUACCGAAGAGCUCCUGACUACGGCUGUCAAUGCUUCUAUAUUUACGUGCUGUGCUGCAUCACUCUUAGCGAAAGCUUGAAUGAAUGAUUAAAGACAAAAGCUUAUAUAAAAGCAGAUGCCGGAGGCACUCAAAAAGCAUUUGAGAGAGAAGCUACACAGCAAAUCAUCAAACGUACUUCAAUGACUUUGAUUUUGAUUCUUUUUUUUUUCAAAAGAAGUAGAAAAGUCCAUGGAUCACGAUAACUGCUUGUCCUAUGCCGUGACCUCAUUGUCCGCUGCUAGUGUCAAAUAGAUUAAUCUUUCUAGUAGAUUAAUAUAAUUUAUAAUUUUAAUUUCAGUAUUAAUUUUUAAAAUGUUAGUUGUUAUAUUUAUUUUAAUAAUAUAUCUAUUUUUAGUAUAAAACUUUAAAUAUAUAUUUAGAUUAAAUAGAUUUAUAAUUAAUAUAAUAUAUCUCAUGUAUUAAUGAUAUUUAAAUUAUUUUAAAUAAUAUUAAGCCUAACUUAAAAUUUUAUAUAUUUAUUUUAAUAUUAUGUUUCUAUUUAUUAUAAAAUUUAGUUUAAUAUAAUAUAAGAUUGUAAAGUAUUCAAAUAUUUUUUAAAUAUUGAAAUUAUUAUAAAAUGUAUAUAUUGUUACAUUUUUAAUAUUGAAGUCAAUCUUUUUUAAGUUAAUAGAGUGAAAAGAUAUUAUAAUAAAAGGCUACGUAAUCUUUCACUUGCACAUAUUCUGUACUCUCUGGAGCAGGACGGUAGGAAAUAUGAUUACAAAUGUUAAAUUCGCCUUUCUUCACAAGUUUAUCAGCUUCGUUUGCGGCCUCUGCUGCUUGUUUACCAAGCUUGUAACAAGAAAUCAAAUUUGGGCACAACCUUUUGAAGCAGAACAUCUUAGCUCUAUCUUUAUCAUCAAUGAUUGAUUUUGCAACCCCUUCACUGAAUUCAGCAACUCUAUUUAGCCAGUCUCUGACACCCUUAUAAAUCUCAUCUCCUUGUAGAGUAGCCUCUCUAACCAGCAUUUGCACCCUUUCUCUUAUAUAUUCCAGCUCCUUCACUCAAUCUUUUAGCCCAUCUAUGUAGCUCUGGUACUCGGAACACAUAAGAUAUGUGCCACAUAAUCGGUUUGAAUAAUGCUUUUGAACCUUGUGAUACAAUGCUAGAAAAAGUAGGGAGACACCCUUCUGCAGCCAUUGCCUGUUGCUUAACAAUCUAUAUAAAUAAAUACAAGUGUCAAAGAAAGGAAUACAGAUAAAUUAAAAUGAACUAGUGGGAAAGACAGAGAAUGAAAAGACUGCAAACAAUAUUGCGAUAUUGAUCUUGAACUAACUAAUAAUUAAAUAGAGAAUUUCUUUUUCUUUCUUGAGGAUCAGAGAUUUUGCUAUUAACAAAAAGGUACUUCGAGGGUCUGAAUAAAAAACCAACCAUAAAUUAUCAAAAGCUAGUAAAAACACAGACGUAAAUAAUGAACAAUUACUUAAGCAAAACAGACCAUGAUACAAAGCAAAUCUAAUAAAAUGACAAAAAAAGAAAGAAAGAAAGAAAGAAAGAAAAUACAACAAAUAAUAUUGAAGUGUUGAUUAUGAGCCAACUGAUAUUUAAACAGAUUUUUUUAAAAUUUUUAGUCUUUUGCUAAAGGAUUAGAGUUUUUGUUAUUAAUAGAAAGGUUUUAAAGACCUGACAUUACUAGAAAAAUACUAAAUAAUGACAGAAAUUUUAUAACAUAUAUCGUUAUGUCACGAAUGUGUCAUGAAAAUAUGAUAGAUUCGUGAUAUAUAUUCAUGUCCAGAGUAUAUGACAUAUUCAUGACUUAUAACUUAACCAUCGUAAAUAAAUGAUACAUAUAAGUCAUGCUUAAGUUUUGUGAACUUAUAAGAUUGUAAAACAAUGCCGUUUAAAUUAACGACACCGUUUUGUAUAACUUAAAACCCAUUAACACUCGCAGCCAAAUUUUGGCUAAGCGUUGAAUUAAUCCCUCUCUCCACUGUAGAGAUGGCAGAAAAGCCCGCUCAGACCGGAUCCGGACUGGACCCGGUGCAUACGGUCCGGGUAAAACCCGGAUCGGAUGCAUGGAAAAAGCGGAUCCGGGCACGGGUCCGGUCACAGCACCAAGAAUCUGGAACCCGGACCCGUGCCCACUUUUUUAUUAAGUAAAAAAAAAAUAUAUAUAUAUAUAUAUAUAUAGUAGUUUUCCAAUCAGGGAUUAGUUAAAAGACAAAAUAAACACAUACUCCAAUGCAUUGUAUUUUAUCAUGUAGUGUAGUAAAAUUUAAAUUUUUUUGUCUUUUAGCUAAUCCAACUACUAUAUAUAUAUAUAUAACAACAAAAAUGCAUUUUGCUUUACCCAAUUUCCCCCAAACCCAACCGGCCAACCCUAAAUCGCAACAAGUCUCAGAAUCGCCACCUCCCUCCGUUUCUCCACCAACAACCACCACCCAUCUUCACCGAUGCAGUGUUGACGGCGCGGCCUCUUCCCCACUUACAGAAAAAUGCGCAUGCUUUUACCGAGAAAAGAAAGCUUUUAUUUUUUGUAUGACAUCUGGUCCUCCCAUCAAGCUUACCUGAGGCAGCGAGGCUGAAAGUCUCUGUUAUCAACCAUCAGGACACCAGAAAGAGUAAUUGCUCACAUCGUAAGCGCCAUGAACUAAUUUUUCCGAAAAGGAGGAAAUGAAGGUCACAAUGGAGCUCAUUUCCCGCGAUUCGAGAGCCCUACAGAGAGGUAGGACCCCUAACUCACUCCGUUUUAGUCACCUUUCAAUGGCUCCCUUAAUUUCCUAAAUCAAUAAGUGUUCUAAAAGGGCUUGAAAAAUCAAAAUGAUGCCCAACAUUAGUGCCAGGAUUAAGGAACUUUUCACUGCAAAGAAGUGAAUAGCUACGUGGAUGAAGUUAUGGGCCAUGCAGAAAUUCACACUUCACUCUCUCUUGAUUUGUACUCAAAAGUCGCCACCAACCUUCAAUUAUAUGGACUCAUGGAUUCAAUAUUUAGGCUUACAAUUGGACCUUCACAAAGCAAUUGGAGCACUCCAAGCUGCAAAAAAUGUCUCUUCUCUGUGACAUCUGCAGGUGGGCUAGAAGAAGGUUAUGCAUAGAUGGUCUAUGUGCGUGUGCUUACUAAAUGCAUACAAAAUGUAUAAGAACUGAGAUUCCUAUGUUUUUUCCUUUUUAAUUUUAAUAAUUAUGUUAGAUGUUUGCUUGGUAGUUAAGAUGUUUUGGUUUUGGACUGUUACGCUUUGUUAGAACUUAAAAGUAAACAAUUGUUUAGGCUGUAUUUUUUUUUACAGUGUUUUCACCUUUGAAAAUCCGGGUAGAGAAAACCCGGAAAAACCCGUGCCCGGAUAGUGCCGGGCAUGUACCCGGCCUGUAUAAAAAAAAUUCCGGACACGGUGCGGGUUCGGGUAGUUACGUGUGACAUCCGGGUCGGUCCCGGGCAGCCUCAAACCCAGACCCGACCCGGACUUUUGCCAUCUCUACUCCACUGGCCACUGCAACCUAAAAUAGUUUUUCACUUUAAUAACCCAAAAGCUUUCCUCUGUUUCAACUAAGCGAAAAUUUACAUAUUAAAGCCUGGCUCAAAUUCCUUUUUUCAAUCGAAAUUAAACGUAGCCACAAAACCCUAAUUCACCACACCAAUUUAUCUCUGCCCGGUAUUCAUUUAAACCCUACCUCGCGGUUCAAUGUCAUUCAAUACGAUUGCAGAUGCUGUUUCAACUUGUCAUUUAGUUAGCGCCAUCCAGUUCUCUAUGGUAAGCCUUAACCCUAACAACUAAUCGACUGCGGUAGCACGUUGCUUGUUAGGAGUGGGGAUACAUUAUUUGAAUAUAUGAAUUGGGUGAUGUUAGUGAUUCAUUCCCCUAUUUGUCGUGAAUUGAGAUUUGUGCAUAAUGCUAGUAAGAUUGCUAAAAAUUUCAUAUUUUGUAUUGUUCCAGUUGAAUUUCUUGCUUGUGGAAGAUAAAACAAAAGUUCAAUUUCAUGUUGAUUUAAUUCUUCUUUUCCUUCUUUUUAUUUUUCUUCUUUAUAGUCACGCUCUGGCUUUGGUGCUAUGCUUAGUGCAGUUUAUGGUUUCAAGAUUAAGUCAUGUUUAUUUGAUGGCAUCGAUUCCAUCGUUGAGGAUUGGAUUGUUGAUCAAAUGCACAUAGUAAGCUCUUCUUAUUUUAUCUCAAUUUUAAUUUUCUUUUAUUAUCUGCCUCUACCUGAAAAUGGACGUGUUUUACUAGUAAGCAUAGACCUUGUUUAUUUAAUUGAUAUUUUAAUUUUAUGUAUAAGAAUGGAGGUUUAUUUUGGAAAAAAAAAGAAAUAAAAAAAAUACUCUGUUGAAGCUAAUUAGUACUGAAUUUUUUUUGGUGGUGCGACCAGAGGUGGAAACAGGGUAUGAAAAUGUGUUACUGGUGAGGCUGCUGCUUAAGAUGAGAAUGCAUUCUUUUCAAAAAUCCUUGGAAGGUGUGAUCUAAUUAUAUUUGAUGGAAUAUUAAAUGGCUAAAAAUCUGUCAUACGUUCAAACUUUGUUUGUGUUUAGAAGAAUGGUGUUGACUGUAUAUUCGUUUGGAAGAAUGGUGUUGAUUGUAUAUUCAUUUGCUUAGCCUUUUGACAGAUGGAUUUGGAACUGACGAUAAAUGUGAUUCAAUUUACAAGGUUUUCGAGGGGCUCACAGUGGAAGGGAUAUUGAAGAACUGGUCGAAGUUAAAGCCUAUGAUUGUGAAAGAUUGGAGUGAGAAUAUAGAUGCUCAUUUAAAUCUUUUUGGCAAGGUCAGAGAUGAAUGGAUAGAUAAGGAUUUAUUUGACAACUUGGACUGGUGCUAAUAGGUAUUUUAAGCAAGCUUUUUGAGAUAACACUGAGCAAGUUAUACUACUAUUUUGCACAUGAUGAUCAAAACUCUCGAAAAGUAAAUAAAAUAAAGUAUUAACUUUUACUUUCAUCUUUUGCAUAGCAAUCAAUGUGGUGCUUGUUCUGUGACAACUUUGAUAAUCUACUUAAUUACUGGUUAGCAUUUGGACCAAAAAAGUUCUUAUGAUUUACAUGUUUUGUAGAAAUGCAUGAACCUUAAAUGUGCUGAUCAGGGAGUUUAAUUAUUGCACCUUGAAAUUCAUUUACUGUUAACUAAUUGGCUUUCCUUUGCAUAAAGCCGCUUAUAAGGCUUGAGUGGACGUCUUUAUGGGCAUAUUUUUUGUAUUUCUCGAUGCAUGCCUUUAUCAUUUAAUGUGGUGCUCGUAUUUCUUUAUGCAUGCCUUUAUCAUUUAAUGGCCAGCUCCCUUUCCUCUUUUGUAAUUUGAAUAGUAGUAUGGGCCUCCAUUUUACAAAUCUUUAACAUUUUUUGCUGUAAAUUAAUUUUUCUUUCAAAUAUUUUGGAGGUCAUUGGAAUUCCUGUAGGUCUAUUUACCAGAUUUUAGUAUGUUUAAGGUUAUAAUUUUGCUUAGACUUUAAUUUUUCUGAAAGAUUGUAGUAUUGAUCCUUAAAGUAAGAUCAUGCUACUUCAAAUUAUUUUGAAGUGUUGCUAGUUAUAGCCUUACAUAUCAAAUUCCAGUUGUCUGGAAAUUUAUUGAUAGCUGUUACAGCAGCAUAUUUUAUGACUCUACUUCUUAGUUAUGUAAGUUCAUUAUGUUUAGGUCAGAGGCAGUCAGCUGUGGGGAAUCGAUUUAUACACAGAUGACUUUGAUCUUGUUGCUGGUAUGUGGUUCUAUGAAUAAUUGUUCACAAUAAUUGUGUUUGCCUCACUGUUUUUGUUUUAUGAGAUCUAUAAUUGAUCUUGGGAUAUUACUUUUUAGUUCUCAUGCAGGCAAGUUACUACCUUCCCACUGCAUCUCCUCCUUUAUCUGCUACUCAAGAGUUGCGUGCCAUAAUCUGGUAUUACCUCUGCAAGAUUGUGAAUGAAUAUGAUGCCUCUAAAUUUAUUUUAUACAUAAUGCUAAUGCUGAAUAAUAUAUUGUAGCUCCUGUCAUAUUCUACUUUGACUUUUUAUAUUCCGUUUCAAAUAAAAAUCUUAUUCAACUUUAGUUGUUCAUGAGCAAAUGUCACAUGUAUAAGCCCAAAUGAUGUUUAAAGGUAGCGCCGCUACCUUCAGUUUGAGCUUACAAUGGGUGAAAAAGAAAUUGAAACUGAUAUUUUGCGGUUUUUCUUAUUUUUCAAAGUAUUUUAGAUCAUGACUUUUGUUUGGACUUGAUGGUUAUAGAUUGUGUCUAGAUUUGUUAAGUCGUUUCCAACACCUCGUGCCAAAUCAAAGCACAAUCUUUCUGAUUCAGAUGUUUUGUUAAUUGUGCUUCAUUUUUUCGUUAAAGGUUGGAUGGUUGAAUGGAUUGAUGGAGUUGGAGUUCAACCAAUAAUUCUAAUUUUUUGGACUUAAAAUGCCUUUUUCUUCUGUAUAAAAGCUUUAGUAAGUGCUAUUGAGUUGACAGAAGUUGAAUACUUACAGGUUGUUUCACACUUUUUAAUAGUUUUACAUAUAUGAAUUUCUGUUUUUUGAAUUGCAGAAAGGAGGUGGAACUAUUGAUUUGGAGCCUUAUCUUACUCACUCAUCAACAACGGAGCCUACCCUCGCUCCUAUGGCAGUGGAACGGACAAUGACUACUAGGGCUGCAACAUCAGUUGGUUCGGGUCUGUUUUGAUAGCGAAUUUUGAUAUGUCAAUAUAAUGUGUAAUUGUUUUGGGUUGAGCUGGUAAUUAUGCUGGAUUAGAUUGGUUUGGUUUUGGUGCUUCGCUGAUGGAACACUGGUUUUUUAGAAAAUUUGAAUGUAAUAUGAGACUACAUUUAGUUUAAUUGAACACUGCAUCUAGUCUAAUUACUAGAAGUGUGGCAUUUGGUUUGGUUUAUCCGAUAUUCUCCAGAAUUUCACUUGCAUCUGGUUUUGUUGCAUAUGUUUGCUUGCAUUUGAUGGCAGUAGCAGACUGUUUGGUUUUGUGGCAUUUGAUGGCAGUUUGGUCUGUUCUUGGUGCUGAUUUACGAUUGUUCCUGAUGUGUUGAUGUUAAUUGCAGGUGCUUGAAUCAGCUAGGGUUGCUGGUUUUUUCAGAUGGUUGACUCAGGCGUUGUUACUGGUUGAUUCAGGUGGCUGGCUCAAGUUGUUCAUUUAAUGUUAGGAAGCAAAUUAAGAAUUAAUGAAGUAUUCAUUUAACUAUAAUUAUUGUAGUUAUUUUAUUUCAUAACUGAAUUAUAAUCUAUGAUACUUGUGAACAAAUUAGAGAAUUUUUAUAUAUAAAUUAUAUAUAUGUGUGUGUAUGUACAUUUUGCUUUUUAUAUAAUAAUUUAAAGAAUAUAUUUCAAUUCCCACAAAAAAAUGGCCCCAAUUUCAAUAAUUCCUGCCAAAUAAUUAAUUUUUUUUAAUUUACCGCCAAAAUAUAUCUUAAAGAAAUGUUAGUUAUUCUUGCUAGAUUUAACAAAAAUAAUUUAUAGGAUUAACAUUUAAUUAAAAUAAUUAAAUAAUUUUACUAUUUCAAUUAAAUGUCAUGUUUAUAUCACAGACAAUAGUCAUGAAUGGGAAGUAUUAGUUACAUAUUUUUCCUUGUAGUUAUUUUAUUUCAUAACUGAAUUAUAAUCUAUGAUACUUGUGAACAAAUUAGAGAAUUUUUAUAUAUAAAUUAUAUAUAUGUGUGUGUAUGUACAUUUUGCUUUUUAUAUAAUAAUUUAAAGAAUAUAUUUCAAUUCCCACAAAAAAAUGGCCCCAAUUUCAAUAAUUCCCGCCAAAUAAUUAAUUUUUUUUAAUUUACCACCAAAAUAUAUCUUAAAGAAAUGUUAGUUAUUCUUGCUAGAUUUAACAAAAAUAAUUUAUAGGAUUAACAUUUAAUUAAAAUAAUUAAAUAAUUUUUCUAUUUCAAUUAAAUGUCAUGUUUAUAUGACAGACAAUAGUCAUGAAUGGGAAGUAUUAGUUCCAUAUUUUUCCUUGGGAUUUCAGGCAAAUGAAAAAAAGAUUGAGAAUGAUUUCAAGAGGACAGGUGGAUGAUAAGUAUUCAUUUUUGUAUAUUUGGCUAAUGUCCUCAUUAGUGGAUUUUUAUGGUAUUGAUUUUUUUUUUUUUGGUUUAUAAUUUUCAAUUAGUUGUUACCCUAGAGGAAGAGCAGGCUGAUCAAAUUGAUUUGUCUUAUUUUUCCGGCAAUCUGCGACACGAUGACUGUGAUAAUGCUCGUGACUGCUGGAAACUUUCUGGUGGAAAUAACUUUAGAGUUCGUAGCAAGCAUUUUUGUUAUGACAAAACAAAGGUUCCCCCAUAUUUUGGUUGUUUGUUAUGGUAUUUAUAUAUCCUGCAUAUGCUAGGUCGACAGGUUAUGAUGUAGUUUGGUUGGCUCUUGUGCUUUGUGCAAUUUGUAACUGCAGAUACCUGCGGGAAAACAUUUAAUGGAUCUUGUUGCUGUUGAUUGGUUCAAAGACACAAAGAGAAUGGACCAUGUAGCUCGGCGUCAAGGCUGUACUGCACAAGUAACUGAAGAAAAAUGUGAAUUGGUUCCUCUUUUUCUUACUUUCCAGAACAGUAUGUACAGGGAAUAUAUACAGCAAAAUAGGAGAGAAAAUAGGAGACUACAUCUAUCCUUUCCUAAAUAAUAGGAAACAAAAUCUGGAAAGAAUCCUAAUGAAUCUUCCCAUUAUAAUUUAACUUAUUCCUAAAAUAGCCUAGAUUACAAAUAAAUCAUAACUUUGAAUCUUUAUUUUCAACACUCCCCCUCAAGCUAGUGUGUGUAUAUCAUACAAACCCAGCUUGUUACUUAAGUCUUCAAAGUUAGGUCUUGGCAGUGCUUUAGUAAGGAUGUCUGCAAUUUGUUGUCUAGUUGGAAUGUACUUUAGUUCCACACUUCCACUAGUGACCUUCUUUGAGAUGAAGUGCCUAUCAAUCUCGACAUGUUUGGUUCGAUCAUGAUGCACUGGAUUUUUUGCGAUGCUGAUUGCUGCUUGAUUGUCACACCUCAUUAGAAUGGAUGAAGGGUUGCACACACCGAGUUCUUUGAGUACACGCUUUAUCCAAAUUCCUUCACAGAUUCCAUUUGCCAAAGCUCUGAACUCUGCUUCUGCACUACUCCUAGCUACAACUGAUUGUUUCUUACUCCUCCAGGUUACUAGAUUUCCCCAGACAUAGGAACAGUAAGCAGAUGUUGAUAUUCUAUUUGUGAUGUCUCCAGCCCAGUCUGCAUCAGAGUAGAUCUCAAUAUUCCUAUAUUCUGAUUUCUUGAAAAACAAUCCUUUUCCAGGUGUCAUCUUUAGAUACUUCAAAAUUCUAAAGACUGCAUCCAUGUGUUCCUCUGUAGGAUUGUGCAUGAAUUGGCUCACAGCACUAACAACAAAGCCUAUGUCCGGACGGGUAUGUGAGAGAUAAAUUAAACGACCAACCAGUCUUUGAUAUCUCUCUCUAUUGACUGGAACACUAUUCUCAACUGAGCCUAGUUUCUUGUAGGGAUCCAUAGGAGUAUCUACUGGUUUGCACCCAAUCAUACCAGUCUCCUUUAGUAAGUCCAGGGUGUAUUUCCUUUGGGAGACAACAAUUCCCUUCCUAGAUCUUGCCACCUCCAUCCCAAGAAAAUAUUUCAGAUUCCCUAGAUCUUUAACUUCGAAUUCCUGAGCUAGCUGUUUCUUCAACUUCUGCAGUUCUUCCUCAUCAUUUCCUGAGAGAAUGAUGUCAUCAACAUAUACGAUUAGGAGAGAGAUCUUCUUUGCUUGUGAUGUUCGGAGGAAUAGAGUGUGAUCUGCCUGACACUGAGUGUAACCAAGUCUCACAACUGCCUUCGCAAAUCUAUCAAACCAUGCUCGAGGGGAUUGUUUAAGCCCAUACAAAGAUUUCUUGAGCUUGCACACUUUAUUUCUAGUAAGAUUCAGAUCAAGACCCUGGGGAACUUCCAUAAACACUUCUUCUUCAAGAUCGCCAUUGAGAAAUGCAUUUUUUAUAUCUAGUUGGUAUAAGUACCAAUCUAGAUUUACUGCUAAGGAGAGCAAGAUUCUAAUGGUGUUGAGCUUCGCAACCGGAGCAAAGGUUUCAAGAUAAUCAAUCCCAUAUGACUGUGUGAACCCUUUAGCUACAAGACGAGCUUUGAGCCUCUCAACACUUCCAUCUGCCUUGUAUUUAACAGUAAAAAUCCACUUACAUCCAACUGGUCGUUUCCCUGCAGGAAGAUUUGUUAUAACCCAUGUAUCAUUUUUCUCAAGAGCAUUUAUUUCUUCAUGAACAGCUCUCUUCCACUCAGGAUGACCGAGAGCCUCUUGUAUAUUGUUGGGAACAUGUAGAUUAUCUAAAGAAGAAACAAAGGCUCGGUAUGAUGGGGACAAACCAUCAUAUGAGACAUAUUUGGCAAUUGGAUGAGUGGUGCAACUUCGAACCCCCUUUCUUUCUGCAAUUGAUUUAUUAGAAUCAUCCACACUUGGAACCAUGAACUCAACCGAGGCAAGACUAUCCAUACCUGUGUUGUCUUCAUAAGAGCUUGGAUUUGGUUCAGUUUCUUGGACAUGUGGCUGAGUUCUGUGCUCUAUCUGCUCUCCAGUUCUUCUCCUCCUAUAAACAUUAAGAUUAUCAACAGCAAGCUGUGGAAGAGGUGAGAUUAGAGGUUGUAGUUGAUGAGCUGAUGGAUGACGGGGUGACUCGGCUGGUUGUGGUUGGGAGGACUCAGAUGACUCAAAAGGUUGUGAAGAUGUUGGGAGGAUUGCUGAUUGUGGCUGUUGGAUAGAUUGAUCAUGUGUGGUGGUUGAGUUAUGAGGGUUUUCAUGAGGGGUUUCCAGCCAAGAUUGCCAAGAAGAUUCCCAAGGCUGAUGUUCGCUCAUACUCUCUCCCUGAACAACAGUUUUGGAAUAGAAAGGCAGGUUUUCAACAAAUGUUACAUCUCUGGAAAUGUAUAUUUUUCUGGUAUGAGGAGAAUAGCAUUUGUAUCCUUUUUUAUGUGGAGAAUAGCCUAAAAAUAUACACUUGAGAGAUCGGGGAUCAAGUUUAGUCCUGUGUUGAGAGUGAACAUGGACAUAUGCUGUGCAACCGAAUAUUUUUUGUGGUAAAUCUGCUGAAACAAUCCUAGUGUGUGGAAAGAAAUUGAGAAGAACUUUUCUUGGGCAAUGAAACCCCAAGACUCUAGAAGGCAUUCGGUUGAUUAAGUAGGCUGUAGUGAGAACAGCUUCACCCCAGAAAAAAUUAGGAACAUGAGAUGAGAACAAAAGACAGCGAGCCACUUCAAGAAGGUGUCUGUUUUUGCGUUCAGCGACCCCAUUUUGUUGUGGGGUGUCAACACAAGAACUGAUGUGAAGAAUGCCUUGAUGGAGAAGAUAUGAGCUGAGGGAGUCUUUGAAAUAUUCCUUGGCAUUGUCGGUUUUAAGGACUUGGAUUUUGGUAUUGAAUUGGGUUUGAAUCAUGGCGUUAAAGUUUUGGAAGAUUUGACUAACUUCGGAUUUGUUUUUCAUGAGAAACACCCAAGUGAGACGAGUAUGAUCAUCCACAAAUGACAAAAACCAGCGAGCCCCAGAAACAUUUUUAAUUCUUGAGGGACCCCACACAUCAUUGUGAAUUAAAGCAAAUGGACGAGAAGGCUUAUACUUAACGCUUGAAUAAACAUUUCGAGUAUGUUUUGCAAAUUGACAAAUUUCACAAUGAAAUGAUAAAGGGUUUUUAUUGAUGAAUAGAUUGGGAAAAAUUUUUGCGAGAUACAUGAAACUAGGAUGACCUAAUCGAUAGUGUAACAGAACAAUUUCACUAUCGUUAUUGACAUUUGGACUAACAAUAGAAUGAGGAUAACUAGUUGACAGACUAUUGGACUUGGCACAGUUUGCUCUCGAAUCUUGUAUGAAGGAGGAUUGAUCGCUUUUGAGUAGAUAGAGUCCAGAACAUAGCUCAGCACUGCCAAUCGUCUUCGCGAAUCCAAGUCCUGAAAAACACACAUAUUUGGAUAGAAUUUAGUUACACAAUUCUGAUCACGAGUGAAUUUACUGAUUGAAAGUAAAUUGCAAGCCAAAUUAGGCACAUAAAGUACAGAAUUAAGGUGUAACUCCUUAGUGAGUCUGAUGGAACCUGUCCCUGCUAUAUUGUGUGAGAGCCAUCUGCGAUCCGGACUGAAGUGCUGUUGAUGCUAGCUUUAUAAUCCUGCAACAUUGAGGCAUCUCCAGUCAUGUGAUCAGAAGCACCAGUGUCAAUUAUCCAGGGUUUGCUUGCUCCAUUAGUGGCUGCAAAUGCUGAAUGAGUCUCUUUCUAAGCCACUAGACUUGUCCCUGCAUUGGAGUUCAAAGUGGCUUGAUCGAAAAGCUUUUGAAGAAUCUCCAUUUGCUCCUUGCUGAAUGGAUUUGGCUCGGGUAGGGCCUGAUUGUCCGUGGUGGAUGCUGCAUGAGCACGAGAUUCACGGUCACCUUUGGAACGAGGUUUCCAAUCAGCAGGUUUGCCAUAAAUUUUCCAGCAACUCUCCUUAUAGUGGCCUGCCUUACGACAGUGAUCGCACCAUGGUCUUUCUUUCUUUGUACGAUUUUCACUAACCCCUACAGAGUUGGAUGCACGGGCAACAAGUGCAGAGGCGCCCAGUGUUGGUUCUGAUGACCCCAUCAUCACCUUUUUCCUACUUUCUUCAUGCCUAACUUCAGAAAAGGCUUCACGAGGGCGCGGUAGAGGCUUUGUCCCGAGUACACGGCUCCUAACCUGAUCAAGAUCUUUAUUGAGUCCGAGGAGAAAUUUAAACGUUCUCUUCUGUUCCACAAUCUUCUUGUACAAGGUUGUAUCGUCGGUGCACUUCCAAGGGUAUGUUUCAAAUAGAUCAAGGUGUUGCCAAUGCCUAGUCAGAGUAUUAAAGUAUUGAGUGACAGAUUGUUCUCCUUGGCGGAAGUCAUGGAGGAUGGUUUCAAUCUGGAAUAACUCUGAUGUGUUCUCAGAGCUAGAAUAGGUUUCCUUUGCAGCAUCCCAUAUGUCAUUUGCAGUCCCAAACAGAAGAAAAUUCUCACCAAUAUCAUUGUUCAUGGAAUUGAUAAGCCAUGACAUGAUCAUGUUGUUCUCUGACUNNNNNNNNNNNNNNNNNNNNNNNNNNNNNNNNNNNNNNNNNNNNNNNNNNNNNNNNNNNNNNNNNNNNNNNNNNNNNNNNNNNNNNNNNNNNNNNNNNNNNNNNNNNNNNNNNNNNNNNNNNNNNNNNNNNNNNNNNNNNNNNNNNNNNNNNNNNNNNNNNNNNNNNNNNNNNNNNNNNNNNNNNNNNNNNNNNNNNNNNNNCACGUAACAGAGGUUGAUGAGGAAGCCAUCCCGUAUUUUGCCACAGAGAAUACAACUGAUGGGAGAGGAAGGAAGGUAGAUUGUUCAAUUUAUGAGAGAAGAAGGAAAUGGCGGCUGAUAGGAGAACUAGGGUUUAGAGCCAGGCUCUGAUACCAUGAAGAAAAAUGUGAAUUGGUUCCUCUUUUUCUUACUUUCCAGAACAGUAUGUACAGGGAAUAUAUACAGCAAAAUAGGAGAGAAAAUAGGAGACUACAUCUAUCCUUUCCUAAAUAAUAGGAAACAAAAUCUGGAAAGAAUCCUAAUGAAUCUUCCUAUUAUAAUUUAACUUAUUCCGAAAAUAGCCUAGAUUACAAAUAAAUCAUAACUUUGAAUCUUUAUUUUCAACAGUAACUAUUCUUUUCUUUUUAUUUUUCCUUUUCUGAAAGAAACUUAGUUUUGUAUUGUUUGGCAAGCUAGAAAAUGAAAGAAAAUAAAAGAAAGCGCUGUAAAGAAGUUUGUAGAACCUUUAUUACUCUAGCAUUACAACUGAAUGAAUACAGACUGAUAUUUCUAUUAAGCUACAAUUUUCUCAACACACACACAAGUUUGUUACAUCACAUAACCAUUUGCUGCAUAACUAAUUUGACACAUCAGCUCAACCAGCUAACUAACUUUGCCAGGUCAAGCCUAGUGAGUUGAUCUGCUAAAGUCAGCUACACAGCAACAUCAUGCUCUGCUCCAACUUCAUUCAAUUCACUAACAUCCCCCCUCAAGCUGAAAUGUUUAGGAUGAACAUUCAGCUUGCUUCUUAAGUAACUAAACUGUUUGAGAGUAAGCCUUAGUCAACACAUCUGCUGUUUGAUCUUGACUGGGCACAAAACAUACUUCAAUCUCUUUUGCAGUAACUUUAUCUCGAAUAAAAUGUAUAUCCAAUUCGACAUGCUUAGUUUUAGCAUGAUAGACUGGAUUGUAAGCUAAAGCAAUUGCUUCUUGAUUAUCACACCACAUCAUAGGAGUAGAGCUCAAUUUGAUGUUAAGUUCACCAAGUAAAGAUUGUAUCCAGGGAACCUCUGAAGCAGCAUGAGCAAGAGAUCUAUACUCAGCCUCUGUGCUGGACCUGGAAACAACAACUUGUUUCUUUGAUGACCAUGAGACUAGAUUAGGGCCUAGGUAAACAGCAAAGCCAGCCACUGACUUCUUAUCAUCACGAUCACAAGCCCAAUCAGAAUUUGAAAAACAAUGUAGUUGCAAAGUUCCUUUGUUAUUAAAUUGCAGCCCAAGAUGUAUAGUGCCUUUUAAGUACCUCAAUAACCUUUUGCAUGUUUCCCAAUGUUGUGUUCUAGGACUUGAAAUGAAUUGACUUAGGUUGUUUACAGAGAGAGCAAUGUCAGGUCUGGUAAGAGUAACAUAUUGAAGAGCUCCUAUAACACUCCUAUAUUGAGAAACAUUAUCAAUUAGCUCUCCUGAUUCUUUUGUGAGAUAAUAACCAGUAGACAUUGGAGUAGGCACAGGACUGCAAUCUGUCAUGCCAUGUUUAUCCAGAAUGUCAGUAAUAUACUUUGCUUGUGUCAAGGAAACCCCUUGUGAAGACUUGCUGACUUCAAUCCCCAGAAAAUAGCUAAGUUCCCCCAUGUCUUUUAAAGCAAAGGCUUGAUUCAUAAUCUUAAUAACUUGCUGAAUUAGUGUUGGACUGGAACUAGUGAUGAUAAUAUCAUCAACAUAGACCGAAACAAGAGUUAGAUGACCACUGUUCCAGGCAUGAAACAGAGAGUUAUCAGACCUUGAAUGCUAGAAAUGCCGUUUAGAGAUCAUUGCAUCCUUGAAUCUAUCAAACCAGGCUCUAGGUGCCUGUUUUAAGCCAUACAAAGCUUUAUUCAGCUUGCAGAUAUGAUUAGGUUUAGUUGAGUCAACAAAACCUUCAGGUUGAGCCAUGUACACCUCUUCAAUUAAAAUGCCAUUUAGAAAGGCAUUAUUAACAUCUACUUGCCUAAUCACCCAUUGAUUCAAUACUGCUAAGCUAAGAAUAACUCUAACAGUUGAAGCUUUAACUACUGGACUAAAAGUUUCUGUAUGGUCAAUCCCAUGUGUCUGAUGAAACCCCUUUGCAACAAGCCUGACUUUAUAUCUUGAAACUGAACCAUCUGAGUUAUACUUUAUUCGAAACACCCAUUUGCUGCCAACUAUCUUCACUGGAGUAGCAUGUAAAACUAAAUCCCAGGUGUGAUUAGUUUUAAGUGCUAGAUACUUUUCUUGCAUAGCCUUAUACCACAUAGGAUCAGAAAGUGCUUGGGAAACAGAAGUUGGUUCUGAUUUCUGGGCUAAUAAAGCUGACAAAUAAAUUUUUGGCUUGAAAAUACCUGCUUUUGACCUGGUUAUCAUUGGAUGACCAGUUGAUGCAGGUUGUGGCAAUGUAUGUGGAGGUGAAUUAUGUGGUAGUGAAGAAGAAGAAGCUGAGUUGGAAUUAUCAGAAAAAUAAAGUGGAGUAGAAUUUGGUGAGGGAGUAGGAGCAUCUGAAUGAUGAACAUUUUGAUGGUGUUCUGAUGAUGCUGCUAAAGGUGCUUGUAACUGAGUAAUAGAAGGAACAGAGGAAUUGAAAGAAGACUUAUAAUUUUUUGUUGACUAACAACUUGAAGAGAGUGAAGAAAAAUCUGCUCCAGACUCAUAAGGAAAAGAAUUUUCAUCAAAGGUGACAUGAUUUGAAAUGUAAACCCUCUUAGAAGAGUGAAGACACUGAUAUCCCUUGUGUUGUGAAUUGUAGCCAAUGAAUAUACAUCUGGCAGUUCUGAAAUCAAACUUAUGUCUAUUGUAUGGUCUGAGUGUUGGAUAACAAGCACAACCGAAGGUUUUAAGUGUUGAAUAAUCUGGUUGAUGAUGAAAUAACUUUUGGAAAGGAGAAAUGUUGUUUAGAAUUGGAGUUGGAAGUCUGUUUAUCAAAUAGACAGCUGUGUGGAAUGCAUUCCACCAAAAUUUGAGUGGUAAAUGUGCUUGAGCUAAUAAGGUCAGACCUACAUCAACUAUGUGUCUAUGUUUCCUCUCAAUUCUUCCAUUUUGAUGAUGAAUAUGUGGGCAAGGGUGUCUAAAAUGGAUACCAGAAGCAGUGAGUAAUGAGGAAAAUGUUCUGAACUCUUCUCCCCAAUCAGUUUGGACAGUUUUGAUUUGAAGUUGAAGAUGCUUUUCAAUAAAAAUUUUGAAAUUGGUAAACACUUCAAGAGCAUCAGAUUUGGCUGACAAUGGAAAUAUCCAGGUAAAUCUACUAUAAUCAUCUAAGAUUGAUAAGUAGUAAUUAUAUCCUUGGGUAGAACAGACAUGAGAAGGACCCUGAUGGCUGUCGAAGCCAACAAAAAUAAAUUCCUACUCUAAAUAAAUUGUGUAUAGUGAUUGAGCAGGGUCGUGUCCACAGAGAUCGAUAAUUAUUUAAAUCCUUUUGAAACGUAAAACGUAAAAUGGGGGAAUUGUUGACAAUAAUAAAAAUCAAAUUAAAAAUAACAAGAAUGCAAAUUAAAGUUGUAAUUUAAAUUGGAGAAAGCUCUGGUUGAAGGAAUUAACUCAGCUUGAUUCGACUACUGAUCAUUGAUUCAAAUAUAGAUUAUUAUUACUCAUGAAUAGACCGGUUAUAGCUACUGAGACCCUCUAAUAGCCAAUCUCUCCUUAACUAGUCGAUAACCAAGGUACGACCGUUGGUUAUUUCCCUAAUCAAUAGACAACCCUAGAUACGAUCAUAGAAUUUAAUCAAUUGACAGCCUGAAAAACCAGAGAGACCCAAAUCCUAAUCAACACAUAUGAUGAUUCAUUUAAAUUAGAUUGUUUAUUCUCACAACACAACUCUCUGCUAUGUUAUUAGUCACAAGCAUUAAAUUCUUCAUACGAUGAAUCCUUUAAUUGACAAUAGAUUAAGUUGAUAAUUAAAUAGUGGCCAAUUACCUAAUUAACAAACAUAAUCAUGAAAAUAAUUCAGAGAAUAAACAAAUACCCAAAAAGUAAUAAAACAAUUAAAGCACAAGAAAGAUCUCACAGUAGUGAUGAAUCAAAGCUUCAUUAACCUUCAACCAGAAAAAUGGGUUUAGUUUCUCAUAGAGAGAAGAGAAAAAUUAGAUCUAGGGUUUCUUUUUCUCCAAUCCAAAAUUCCCCCCUUUCACAAUAGAUUCCUCCCUUAAAUACUCUCUCUCUCUUCUCCUCUAGAAUUCUAUUUAAAAUAAAAUACUAAUAUCUGAAAUAUUAAAUUCGUAAUUACAAAAAUAACCAAAAAUACAAAACACGUUAAACUAAAAACUGCAGGUCCGCAGUUGACAGCACGCGCCCACGCCUUAUCAAUAAAGUUCUUCUGCCGCUCAUAAUUUCUCCAAGAGAACAAUCAUCCUUAAAAAUCAUCUUGUAGCUCAAUUUUAUCACCAAUCAAUAGAAUUGCACCUACAAAAGUAAAACACAAGUAAAUCAUUAUUAUUAAGUGCAAAACAUCGAUAUUAAGGGAAGUAAACAAUGCAAAACUAGUGCAUAAAUUGCACUCUAACAAAUUCCCCCACACCAAGAUGAUGCUUGUCCUCAAGCAUAUAACUCAAGAUUAAUCCCAAAUCUCCACUCAAUUCUCAUCUCAACUCAUCCAAAAAUAGAAAUUAAGUCGAUCAACAUUCGAGAGACAAGGAUUUUAAAGCAUAGAAUCUCAUAAGAUAGAAUAAGAACAUUCAACCACCAAGAAGAUCCAUUCAAAAUUCAAGUGCAACAAGAUGUAAUAGCCCUCUCAAUAACUUCACUCCAUGCACUCAAAGUGUUUAGGGUGUCAUUUAUCCACUCAAAUCAAAUCAAAGAAUGCUAUUACCAUAAGCUUGCUCAUAUAUCACAUCUCAAUCCACAAAACAUGAAUAAAAUGCAAAAAUCUAAGGGUCUUAAAAGGAUUGUAAUGGGGUUAAAUGGGUUAAAUGAAAAAGAAAGGUUUACGAAAGAAAAAGAGAUCAAAAUGAGAAGAAUGAACUCAUUGAAUGAACUUAUGAUAUCAAAAUGCUUAUUUCUACUCAAGUCACCAAGAAUGUAAACAUUUUUUUUUUCGAUUUUUCUUUUUCUUUUUUUUUCUUUUUCCUUUUCUUUUUCUUUUUUUUUUUCAUUUUUUCAUUUUUUUUUGUUUUUUGUUUUUUGUUUUUUUCGAAUCAAACAAAAGAAACGAACCUUGCACAAUUUAAUUCAAGCAUAAUGCUUGUUGAUCUAAUUGAGAAACUUCAAUACAAGGUAGAAAAAGCAACAAAAUAUAUCCACACAAUGAGUCCAAAAAUCUCCUUAAAUUGAGGCUCAAAAAGAAGAAAAAUGGUUAAGUAGACGGAGAGAAUUAGAUGGGUAAUGGUUAAGGCUCAAACAAAGGUAGCAAAUAAAGGUCUUCGGGUAGAGAAAAAGGAAAAUGCGAGAAUAGAAAAAUGGUAAAUGGUUUGCCCUUAUCAUUUUAAUGCCUAAAAUCCCGUAAUGUGGCUUCAAUAUGCAUAACAAAGCAAAUUCUAGAAUAAACAAACUAGGAUUGAUAUUCACAUAACAAAAAUAAUUAGAGCAAAGUGGUUGCUCAUAGGCUCAAAUCCUCACAAAGUUGGUAAAUUUGCCAUCAAAUCAUGUACACUCUUCAAAUGAAUCAACCAUCAAUAGUGGUGUAGAAUGAGAAGAAGGUAUGAGUGAUAUAUAAAAGAAAAGGUAAAAAUUAUAAGAAGUGAGAAAGAUGUAUGUAGUAAUAUGAAAAGUGAAAGAUAAAAUGUGAGUGAUGAAAGAGUAUGGUAAAAUAAAAAUAGAUAUGAAUAGUUUGAGAUAGAUGGGAAAAAAGUAGUGAGAAAGAAAAGAAAAGAAAAUUAAUAAUAUAUGAAGCAUACUAACUCCAAAAUCAUUUAAGGAUGAGUAGAGUGAAAAUAGAUGAGUAGAGUGAAAAUAAUAAUUCCAGACAUCAAUAAUGCAAAAAUCCCUCCCCCACACCAAGAACUUACAUUGUCCCCAAUGUAAGAUAAUCAAAGCUCACAUAAAAAUUAAAGCGUAAGGAUAAAAGAUUAAGGGCAAAAAAAAAAACUUCCCUGAAUUGUGAGCUUUGAUCCACAUAACGUCUAUGGGCUUGGCGGAAAUGGUGGGGUAAAUCCCACACUCUCGAAGUAUGCGGCCAAAUUCUGCUCCAUCUUGUUCAGCUUGUGCUCCAUUUUCUCUAACUGAAUACUCAAAGGUGGUGCGGAUGUAGAAGGAAUAGUUGGCGGGGCAGCAGUGUCGUCGUCAAACUCGUCAUCAGAGGUAGCACCACUCCUAGCAUAAAGCUUCUUCGGAAGUUGAGUGGGUCCUGGUUCAGUAAACUGAAAUCUCCCCUCCUUGAAUUCAACCACACCUGUUCUUUCAAACACAGACAUAUCCAAAAAUUCCUUUUUGCAAGCAGGAUGCAAAUCAUUAUUGUCGGGAUCAAGAACACAUAGGUUUAUAGCUAACAGAGUAAUGUAUGGACCAAGAAAUAAAGUCCUAUACCGUUUAAGCACAUUUUGAAAUUGAUCCGCUAACCAAAAACCUAAAUUAGGCCUCACAUCAUUUAACAUGCACCAGAUAAAAUAAAAUUCAGUUUUAGAGAAAAUUCCCGAGUGAUCUUUCUUGCCUAAAAAAUUAUAUGCUAAGAAUCGAUGCACACAUUUCAAAACAGGAUCACGUAAGAAAGAACUCUUUGAUUUACUCGGGUCAUAGGCAUUGUGAUCAACAGAUAAAUUACGCCAAAGACCAUAAGGCUCAAAAUUUUCGCUAAAGUCACAAGUUGUUCCUAAAUAUGCAUCACUAGAAGAAUAAUCAUCAUCAAUGAAUCCUAAAGCUAGGUUAAAAUCCGUGAUAGAGUGUGAAAAAUUUCGUCUCAUUAACCUAAACUUAAUGACAUUCGGGGUAUGCAAAGUAAAAUCAUUCGGCAUAGUAAAUUGAAAAGUAGCAUAAAACUCCCUAAUCAACUCAACAUAACCCAAACAAUCAACAUCAACAAAUUUACGCAACCCAAUCUUAUCUAUCAAAGAAUCAAAAUUAUCCUUAACAUUCAAUUUUUCAAGAGUCGGGUAAUGAAUAUACUUAGCUGGAAGUAUUUUGCAAGUGGAAAUAUCUUUGUACCUCUCUUUCUCUUGUUGAGUCGCGAACGCGAGGCACCCUCCGAGAUUGGAUUCCGCAAGUGGCAAAACACUCAUGCCUUUUCCAUGCUUCGAUCUUUGUCUCACGGCUUUGCGUGAAUCUGAAAUUGUGUUCCAUGGAACCGUAGUGGGAGCGGCAAUCUUAGAUUUCUUUACGACGGGUUUCUUUUUCGAUGACUUGGAAGUAGAUGCUUUCCUCUUCGGCAUUGUUACAAUAAUUGCACUCACGGAUUUCGAUUUACCCGGCUGGAAUACAUGACGUAGGCUGGUUGCGUUGCGUUGCUGCUCGACUGGAGCUUGCUGUGCGGGUUGGAGCUGGUUGCGCACUGCUGGGCUGCGAGACACGGGAUGCUGGUGCUGCGCUCGCGGGGGCUUGCGUUGCGAGCUGGUGAUUCGCGUUGCUGGUUCGUGCUGCGUUGCGGGGCUGCUGGUGGGACUGAUGUUGCGCGUUGCGGCUGGGGCUGGAUCUACGCACUGCUGUGUGAUUCGCGAGAGCCGGUUCGUCUGCGUUGCUGUGCUGCACUGAGGUUGAUUCGCGUUGCUGCUGGUUGCGGUGCGCGAUGCUGCGCCCGGCGGCUGGGGCUGGUGGGGCUUGCUGCUGGAAAACGAUAAUCAACAGUAAUUUUUUUGAAUUAGGGAUUUGUGAACAGUGAUUUUCGAAUUUUUUUUUUUUUUUUUUUUAGUGAUGAAUCACUUUGAGACACUAAAAAUUUCAGAAGUACUUUUUUAAUAAGCACGUGGGCACGCCUUAUCAAAAAUUUUCUUCUGGCCAAAAUAAGCAAACACAUUAUUUUAAAAAAAAAUCUGAAUCAAAAUUAAAAGAAGAUAUAACAAAAACCAAAAUAAAUAAAUCAUUUGGGUUGCCUCCCAAAAAGCGCCUUUGUUUUAUGUCUUUGGCUAGACACGUUUAUGCAUCAAUCUCCAUAAUUGGGACUCUCGAGAGCCACAUCCUCCACAAUAUUCACCGAAAAACCUUCAUAAAAAGGUUUUAAGCGAUGACCAUUAACCUUAAAAACUUUGUCAGAGGUCGGACUCCGAAUCUCAACUGCACCAUGAGGAAAAACAUUAGUAACAAUAAAAGGUCCAACCCAGCAAGAACGUAAUUUACCCGGAAAAAGUUUAAGCUUAGAAUGAAAAAGAAGAACUUUUUGACCAACAGAGAACUCCUUUCUCAAAAUCAUUCUAUCAUGAAAUGUCUUCGUCUUUUCCUUGUAAAAAAUUUCCUGCGCUAUAGGGUUAAUAACAUCCACAGAAAAUACCGAAUGUUCCUCACUAGGAUAUUUCAUGGUAUCAUUCAUAUUGAAUCCUAUAACCUCUCCAUCAAACUCCAUAGUGAGAGUCCCUUUAUGUACAUCCAUUUUAGUCAUAGCAGUCUUAAGAAAAGGUCUUCCUAGCAAAAUUGGGACAGAAUUAGAGGAGUUAUCAUCUUCCAUAUCAAGUACAUAAAAAUCAGCAGGAAAAACCAACUCAUUAACUUGUACUAAGACAUCUUCUAAUACCCCAUCAGGAUAUGCAUUAGACCUAUCAGCUAGUUGAAUUAUCACGCCAGUUUCUUUUAAUGGACCAACAUUCAAAGAUGAAUAAAUGGAACGAGGCAUGACAUUAAUAGAAGCUCCUAGAUCUAACAUAGCCUUUUCAACUCUAACACUACCAAUUUUACAAGGGAUAGUAAACAUACCUGGAUCCUUGCACUUAGGAGGUAGUUUCUUUUGGAAAAUUGCUGAAACAUUCUCCCCCAUGUGAACUUUUUCAUCUCCUCUUAAUUUUCUUUUGGAGGUGCACAGUUCCUUAAGGACUUUAGCAUAUCGAGGUAUUUGUUUUAUAGCAUCUAAUAAAGGAAUAUUUACCUCAACCUUGCGAAAUGUCUCAAGGAUGUCUUUCUCUUGUUCUUCCUUCUUGGAUUUUGCAAACCGGCUUGGAAAAGGAGGAGGUAUCACAAUAGGUAGGGGUUUCGCUCCGGUGGGUUGUGCAUCUUGAGAUUGAGGCAUCAAUUCAUUCUUCUCAAGCUCAUCUUCUACAUGCUCUGUCACUUUCUUACUAGGCUCUUGCAACUCCUUCCCACUUCUAAGGAUGAUAGCACUAACGUUUUGCUUUGGAUUCACCUCAGAUUAUGAAGGCAAUCUUCCUAAUACUCGAGACUCCAGAUGGCUUACUGUAGUCGCCAAUUGACUCAUUUGGUUCUCCAAGUUCUGAAUGCUUGCUGUAGUUGCCUGCUGAAAUUGUUGAGUGUUAGUCGCAAGUGAUUUAACAAUUUCUUCAAGAGAUAUACCUGACUUGGAGUUUGACUGUGGAGGUGCUGGUUGUCUUGGUGGAUACUGUUGUGGGAAUCCUGACGGUUUAACUCCAUAGCUGAAGUUGGGAUGAUCCUUCCAUCCCAGAUUGUAUGUUUGUGCAUAAGGAUCAUACCUCCUCUGAGGCAUGCCUGGAAAUCCUCCAACUGCAUUGGCUUGUUCAACGAGUUCUUCUUGGAGUGUAGGACACAUAUAAGUUGAAUGACCCAUAUUGUAACAAAUGCCACAAGUCUUCACCUGUUGCACAUUACCUACAACAAACUUUUCCACAAGAGAAGUAAGUUUAUCUAAACGUUGUUCAACAAAAGAAAUAUUUACCUCAUUCACCUUCCUUGAAGUGGGAUCUUGCCUGCUACUAAAUUGUUGUGCAUUGGCAGCCAUAUUUGAGAUCAACUCCCUUGCUUGAGUAGGGGUUUUGUUCACCAACACACCUCCACUAGCAGCAUCUAUCAUACUUCUAUCCAUUAAUGAUAGUCCUUCGUAAAAAUAUUAAAUAAGAAGUUGAUCAGAAAUCUGAUGCUAAGGACAGCUGGCACACAAUUGUUUGAAUCGCUCCCAAUACUCAUACAAAGUCUCCCCAGGAAGUUGUCUGAUCCCACAAAUAUCUUUUCUGAUGUUGGCAGCUCUUGAAGUAGGAAAGUACUUCUCAAGGAACUGCUUUUUCAAACCAUUCCACGUUGUAAUUGAUCCAGGAGGCAAGUAGUACAACCAAUCUUUAGCUAGCCCAUCUACAGAGAAUGGAAAAGCACGCAACUUAAUCUGCUCUUCAGUCACGCCUUGUGGCCUCAUACUUGAGCACACAACAUGAAACUCCUUGAGAUGUUUAUGAGGAUCUUCACCUGCAAAACCAUGAAACUUGGGUAAUAAAUGAAUAAGCCCAGACUUUAAUUCAAAAUUUACCUCCAAGUCUACAUAUUGAAUGCAGAGUGGUUGUUGAUUCAAGUCUGGUUCAGCUAACUCUCUAAGAGUUCUUUCUACAGGUGCAGGUCUAUCCAUCACUUGUUCUUCUGAAUCGCUAGAUGAUUCAACUAAAUCAGGCACUGUAUCUGUUUCAGAAAGCAAAGGCGACGAGGAUCGUUGCUUAGCUCGCUUUGUCUGCUGUCUCAGUUGGCGAGCUGUCUUCUCAAUUUUAGGAUCAAACGAAAGUGUACCUGUACGAGAAGAACGAACCAUACACCAAGUAAAACGUAAAAAAGAUUAAAUAAAUGACACCAAUCCCCGGCAAUGGCGCCAAAAUUUGAUGGGUGUCGAAGCCAACAAAAAUAAAUUCCUACUCUAAAUAAAUUGUGUAUAGUGAUUGAGCAGGGUCGUGUCCACAGAGAUCAGUAAUUAUUUAAAUCCUUUUGAAACGUAAAACGUAAAAUGGGGGAAUAGUUGACAAUAAUAAAAAUCAAAUUAAAAAUAACAAGAAUGCAAAUUAAAGUUGUAAUUUAAAUUGGAGAAAGCUCUGGUUGAAGGAAUUAACUCAGCUUGAUUCGACUACUGAUCAUUGAUUCAAAUAUAGAUUAUUAUUACUCAUGAAUAGACCGGUUAUAGCUACUGAGACCCUCUAAUAGCCAAUCUCUCCUUAACUAGUCGAUAACCAAGGUACGACCGUUAGUUAUUUCCCUAAUCAAUAGACAACCCUAGAUACGAUCAUAGAAUUUAAUCAAUUGACAGCCUGAAAAACCAGAGAGACCCAAAUCCUAAUCAACACAUAUGAUGAUUCAUUUAAAUUAGAUUGUUUAUUCUCACAACACAACUCUCUGCUAUGUUAUUAGUCACAAGCAUUAAAUUCUUCAUACGAUGAAUCCUUUAAUUGACAAUAGAUUAAGUUGAUAAUUAAAUAGUGGCCAAUUACCUAAUUAACAAACAUAAUCAUGAAAAUAAUUCAGAGAAUAAACAAAUACCCAAAAAGUAAUAAAACAAUUAAAGCACAAGAAAGAUCUCACAGUAGUGAUGAAUCAAAGCUUCAUUAACCUUCAACCAGAAAAAUGGGUUUAGUUCCUAAUAGAGAGAAGAGAAAAAUUAGAUCUAGGGUUUCUUUUUCUCCAAUCCAAAAUUCCCCCCUUUCACAAUAGAUUCCUCCCUUAAAUACUCUCUCUCUUCUCCUCUAGAAUUCUAUUUAAAAUAAAAUACUAAUAUCUGAAAUAUUAAAUUCGUAAUUACAAAAAUAACCAAAAAUACAAAACACGUUAAACUAAAAACUGCAGGUCCGCAGUUGACAGCACACACCCACGCCUUAUCAAUAAAGUUCUUCUGCCACUCAUAAUUUCUCCAAGAGAACAAUCAUCCUUAAAAAUCAUCUUGUAGCUCAAUUUUAUCACCAAUCAAUAGAAUUGCACUUACAAAAGUAAAUCAUUAUUAUUAAGUGCAAAACAUCGAUAUUAAGGGAAGUAAACAAUGCAAAACUAGUGCAUAAAUUGCACUCUAACAGACCCCAAAGAUCUGCAUAUAUCACUUGUAAGGGUGCUGAAGUUUUUGUUUCAACUGAAUCAAAAUGCAGCAUAUGAUUUUUCCCAUAUUGACAUGCUGAACAAAAUUUCAAGCUUUCAAUUUUAUUAUAAGCAGUAGAGUUGUUACAAGUUUUGAGUAUAGUUUUGAGAGUAUAAGAUGCUGGGUGUCCUAAUCUUCUAUGAAGAAGAUUUACAUCAAUAGAACUCUUUGUAACAACUGACAGACAUGGCUUUUUAUUCAAUUCAUAAGAACUAACAGCAGUGAGCUGAUCAGAAUUGAAAACAGGAGAACAAGCAAAGAGAGUGAAUUUUAUUUUGACCAACUGAAUUGAGAAAGACUGAAUGAGCAGCAACAUGUGAAGAGACUCUAUACAAGUCACCUUUAGCAACACCUUCAAGUAAAAUUUUCCUUGUGUUCCUAGCCUUUAUAAAAAACAAAUCACCAAGAAAUUCCAACAGUAACUGGAUUGUCAGCCAAUAAUUUUGAAAUGCUAAGCAAAUUCUUAGUAAUAAAAGGGACAUGAAGAACAUGGUUUUUAAAGGUUUAGAAGUUGAAGUAUUUAGCACAACUGAUCCUACAUGUGUAAUAGCUAAUGCAUUUCCAUCUCCAACAAACAAUUUUUCAGUACUAGUAUAAAUUUGUGAAUCCAGAAGUUUACCUAGAUCAUUUGUAAUGUGAUUUGUUGCUCCACUAUCAAUAUACCAUGAAGGAUCUUCAAUGUGUUCUGGUGGAAGUGAAGAAGGCAUAGCUGAGGAAGAUGAAGCACUUGACUGUCCAGGAUUAUUAUUUCCUUGACCAGAAACAAAAGUAGAUGGUCUAGGGGUGAAUGAGUAAUAAGCAGAAGGAUUACUAUCUGGAUACACCAUAUUUCCUUGAUAGCCAAAACCAGCAUUUAAACCAAAACCUCCAAAACCUCUGCCACCAUUACCAUUAAAAGCUCUUCCUCUACCAUAUUGCCCUUGAUUAAAACCUCUGCCACCAUUCAUAUUACCUCUGCCAUAGUUUCUCUGUGGAACAAAAGAUGAAUUGUACCUAUUUUUGCAUCUAUUGGCUGCAUGACCAGGUAUGAAGCAGAUUUGACAAACAGUUUCAGAGGAAUUACCACCAUUAUUAAACUGACCAUAUCCAUAUCCAUUAAAACCUCCAUACCUAGAAUUAUUUCCAUAAUUUUUUUGAAAAUUGCCAUUAUUCUUUCCAGCAUAUGAGUUCUUCUGAGCAAUAUUUGCUGUCAUAUUGUGCAUCACAUCACCAGCAAUUUUUCCUUUCUUUUGUUCAACUCUAUUUUCAUGAUUCAAUAGCAAAGGAUAUAGUUCAUCUAAUGUUAUCUUCUCACCUCGAGCUAAAACACCUGUGACUAAAGAUUCAUAAUCUGAUGAAUCAAGACCAGUUAAUACAUGAAUCACAAGAUCACUUAACUCAACAGGUUUUCCAGCUAGAGCUAAAGUAUCAGCUAUACGUUUUACUUUUGCAAAGUAAUCAGACAUAUGCAUUGCACCUUUCUUAAUAGUUUGAAUCUGCAUUCUAAGUGUUUGAAUUCUAGCUUGUGAUUAAGAAAUAAACAUACUAGUAAGAGUCUUCCAAAGCUGUUUUGAAGUUGUGGAGUCAAUCACAGUAGCAAGUAGAUUUUGCUGUAUCGACGACAUCAUCUAACUCAACAGAAGUUGAUCAGUCUUCAUCCAAGCUAUGAACUCUGGAUUAAUAGAUUUGGAUUCAGAUUCAGUAAAAAUUUCAGCUCCAUUGUUGUUUCCAAAAGAAAGAAACUACUCAGGACAUUCUUGAUCACCAUUGAUAAACCCUUCCAGACCGUUUCCUUUGAUCGAUGCUAAAAUUUGUGCCCGCCAUAAAAUGAAGUUGUUUUGGUCUAGCUUUGCAGGCGUAACAAAACUAAAAGAGUUGUUAUUUUGAACUGUAUUCGCCAUUUAUGGCUCUAAUACCAUGAAAGAAACUUAGUUUUGCAUUGUUUGGCAAGCUAGAAAAUGAAGAAAAUAAAAGAAAGCUCUGUAAAGAAGUUUGUAGAACCUUUAUUACUUUAGCAUUACAACUGAAUGAAUACAGACUGAUAUUUAUAUUAAGCUACAAUUUGCUCAACACACACACGAGUUUGUUACAUCACAUAACCAUUUGCUGCAUAACUAAUUUGACACAUCAGCUCAACCAGCUAAUUAACUUUGCCAGGUCAGCUUAGUGAGUUGAUCUGCUAAAUUCAGCUACACAGCAACAUCAUGCUCUGCUCUAGCUUCAUUCAAUUCACUAGCAUUUUCCCUUGAUACAUUAGGAGAAAAGACUGCCUGUGAGAUACAACAAUGUAAAUAACUUCUCAUGGUUCAUUGAAUCUAUAACGCACUGAGCCCUAUUCUAAAAUAUGUAGGUUGCUUCUGAAAAAGGGCUUUUCUCACUGAUCUUUAAUCUUCAAGAAAGUUUGUUUCAUUUCAGAAGGUAUAAGUUUCAAACUUAUUGUAUUGGGAGGUUGUAUAGUUGUAACCUAAGCAUCUGCAGGUUCCUGGUUCAACACAUUAUAGUAUGGUAUUUUAUUUUGUCACAAGGCAAUUGGUUACGGGAUCACUUUUGCAACGGUUUGUUGAUGGCGAUGAUGAAUUUCGCAAUAGUAGGUUGAAACUUAUUCCAUCUGUUCCUAAGGUAUCCAUCUUGGCCUUCAUGUAGUAGGACUAUAUUAACGUAUACUUACCCUUUACUGCAUGGUACACUUCAAUUUGUACAAAGAAGGCAUGCAUUUAGGUGUGAAUGUAUUGAUGGGUUGUACCUUCAAACUUUAUCUCCUUUUUACCCUCUUGAAUUUGUUUUGCACUUGUUCUUGAUUUUCAGCACUGAAUCAUGCAGGGGUCAUGGAUAGUGCGCCAGAGUGUUGGAAGCACCCCUUGUUUAUUGGGGAAGGCAGUUGAUUGUAACUAUAUUCGCGGUCCCAAGUACUUAGAAGUAAAUGCUCUUGGAAUUUCUAUAGUACAUGAGAUGUUCCCCUUUCAAAUAGCGUCCAAUACCUUUAACAUGGUUUAACAUUGUUCAUCUUUCUGUAGAUUGAUGUUGACAUCGAUUCUUCUACUGUUGCUAAUGGAGUUUUGGGCCUUGUAAUUGGUGUAAUUACGACAUUGGUGGUUGAGAUGGCUUUCCUUGUACAGGUAUGUAUGAUUGUUUUUUUCCCCCACUGCUAAAUGGACACAAGGGAAAAGACAUGAUUUUGAGAUAUUGCACUGCAACUUGCAUUUUUGCAUACUUGAAUGUUCUCAGAAUGAUAUAAUGCUUCUGUGUGUGUCUUCUUUAUCUUGCUCUUCUGUAUGCAGGCAAAUACUACAGAUGAAUUACCGGAGCGGCUGAUUGGUGCUGUACGUGUUUCUCAUAGAGAACUCAAGUCUGCUGUUGUCCCAAAGCUGGAACCAGAGAUAUCAUGACUCUGGUUUCAUUUCAGCUCAACUGUGUUUUUUUUUUAAUUAAAAAAAUCAUUUGUUUUAGGUAUACAUACAUGUAUUUUGAUUCUAUUUUCAUUGUAAUUUCUCAUUUACUUUGAAUGAAAGUCAUUGGUGUUUUCGAAUGGGAAUUUUGCAUUAAAAAAUGAAGAAUAAUGAAUAGGAAAUUUCCUGAUUCUUUAGUUACUAUUUUUGGUAUGAGUGUAAUUAGUAGUAAAGUAGGUUUCUACUCGCAAACAAGUGAACUACUCGAUUCCCGAGUGGUAUCAACCAGUUUCCAACUUUUUAAUAUACACUAAUUGUUAUUGUUUAAUAGCUACUACUAUUAAAACUCAACAGCUAGCAAAAAUACUUAAAAAAAAUGAUUUUUCUUAUGAUGCUGUGAAAAAAAUUACGGGUGUACUUCUUUCCAUGAGAUCUAUAACAUGGUCUCGACUUCACGAAAUUCUUUUAAUUUAAAGCGUGCUGGUGUGAGGUCAGUUUAACUGAUUAAUUCUUUUUAACAGUGGUCGAGAUAAUUUUACUAUACUAAAAAAUAUUCUUAUUCUGAUAAUGCCACAAAUGUUAUGCUGUUUUCUUCAGAUAAUGAUCUUCCAUUAGGAGAGGUUAGAAAUCAAAUGCUUAAAAGACCAAUUGAACGAAUAAUACAGAAAUUUAGGCAGAAUCUAAUAGAAUAUUGCAUGAAACAUGAAACAUCAAUUCAAGUCCUUUCUUAAACGGAGAAUGCAUCAAACAAAAUCCAAAGUGUCUUGCAAGUCUGUAGCGUGAGCAAAAAAUUGUAAAUAUGUAGAACCAAAUUAUUCAAGUACAGAAGAACGAGCAAGCUAAAUCAUGUAUAAGAGAUUGGCCUGGUUCGGGAUAGCUUCUUCACUGUAUCUGAAGGGUUGGCUCAAUCUCUUCUUUAGAAUUCUGCAGAUUUUGUAAUUACUCGUGUAAGCAAGUAUACAUUGCCACCAUAAGAAUAAUGAAGCUAGAGUAAUGAUAUGACCACCACCUCUUGUGCACAAACAAUAUUGUAUAAACUAAUGCGACAUAAUAUGAUUGGUUAAACAAAAACAUUACAUGGCCCUCAUAAUUUAUUUAUUUAUUUAUUAUUAUUAUUAUAUAUUUUCAGUCAACCAAUCAUAUUAUAUCACAUUAGUUUCUAUAAAAUAAUUUGCUAAAUAGCACCAAAACUUAAUUGAUACUCACCAUUUCAUUGAACAAUUUUUUUAUGGUGUCAUUGAGGUUGCCUUCCCAACAUCGUUCAUCAUCAUCUUUUUCUUCUUUGGUGACGUUCACUUUGUUUAGCAUUGGUGUGUCUAAGAGUCCUUGAGAGAAGAUCUUCAUUUUUGGACACUGUCUCACAACUACUUGUUUCAAGGACGGGAAUUCAAGAGCGUAAUUACCUAAACAAAAGCUUGUUAGGCUUGGCAAACAAUCAAGUCUCAAGUACUCCAAUUCCUUGAAAACAUUGCAAUCUUUCGCUUCUUCUCCAACCUGCAAUUGUAUGAUUUGUUCUAUCAUUUUGCAAUCAACUAUCAUCAUUCUUUUGAGAUUCACUAGAUUUUUAGAUGCUGAGAGCGUCAACACAUUUAUCAAUCCGUGACACUUCGAUACUGCCAAAGCCUCAAGAUUUUCCAAAUGCCACGAAGGUGGUACUAAUUUUUGCAACUUACUACAUUCCGAUAUUUUUAGACUUUUCAAGUUUGCAAACACUUUGUUGGAUUCGGCAUUUUCCUUCCAGAGAUGGUGCACUUUGUGUAAUCCAGACAGCUCUAACCAUCUCAAUCGAGGGAAUGAAACCUGAAAAUCAACAAAAUUAAGUUGUAAAUGAAAAUAUGUAUCCAAUCUCUGCAGUCUUCCCCUGCAUAUUUUAUGGACAAGAUUAAUCACGACAUUUUAUAUUUUUUUUCCAAAUUAGAAUGCUUUGCAGUAGGAUCCCAAAUAUAAGUAUCAAAUCGAUUACCCUUUGAAACACAUAAAUGAAAUCUGAUACUAAAUCCAAUAUGAAUUAGCUAGGAAAACAGAGAUGUUACACACAUAAUUAAUAGAGUUCAUCACCUCGUGUUACCAGGCAUCCAAUUAAUUUAAGACAUUUUAAUAAUUCAUAUUAUAAAGUUAGUUGAUAGCGGAGGUUAUAUUGUUAAAUCAUAUAUAAAUUAAGACGACGUGCAAAAAGAGGAGUCAUUAAAUUCGAUUUGAUUCUAACGAAAUUACAUCUAUGCGAAUGAAAGUGAAGGGAAAUAAUAAUAAUAAUAAUAAUAAUCACCUUUUCAUCGAAGAGAGGUUGUACUUGAUGAGCCAGCAAGAAGUUCUCUUCUGAUGUUAAUUUUUGAGGUUCCUUAUUAUCCGCUGUCAUGUGCAGUACAGAGUUGGAUAUGAAUGUUUCUAUAUCUCGGCAAUUCUCAAUAGUUAGAUUUCUCAACAUAGGCAUUUCAAUUAUAUUCCCAGUGAAGUUGCAGAAUCUUUUGAGUUUUGGAAGAUCAGUGAGCCUCAGCCUGUAAAGCUUAGGAAACAGGGGGCUUAUAUGUUCUUUGUCAGCAUUUAGCUCCUCCAAAUGAAGCACCUCUUCUAUUGAAUCACAAUUCCUCUCUUCCAGCCAUACCAAAUUGUUCAAGCACCGUAGCAGAUUGGCAGGAAUAGCACUCGACAUAUUCGUGCAGUCAUCCACAGCCAGUUGUCGUAAAUUGUUGAAGAAGCUGACAGGCAGUGCUUGGCCAUGCCAUAUUUCUUUCAAACGUGGAAAAUGUGAGAGUUGCAAAUCCCAUAUGUCACGGAAUCCAAUCUGCACAAACAAAAACAAUUGCACUGGAUAUAUAUAAAUUUUUUUUUUGAAUCAACUUACAUGUUUUGUGUUUUAACUUCUAAAACUAUAUAUACAAGGCAGGUGUAUAUGUUCAAAUGUCCAAGUGCAAGGGAGAUGCAUAAGUAAUUUCGACGAAUCGAUUUAACACAUACCAUUUCUUCGUAACACUUUUGUAUAGUGGAAUUAAGGUUGCCUUCCCAAUGGCGCAAUUCACCCUCUCCCUGUUAAGAAUAGAAUUAGUUAGUUAAUGAGUAUGCUGACAUGGCAGCUGAGUCAGCUAAAGGUUGUUAUAGAGGUUGUUAGUAGUAAACUGUGCGUGUGUGCAAUGUGUGUAGAAUCUUCUAUGCACAUAUAAAAAGGCUUGUAAUUUCCAGAUUCAUUAGAUCAAUAAUAACAGAAUUCUCAGCUUACAGAAGUUUUCUUUCUUCCUAUUUUCUUAGUAACCAAACAACAUCACAGUUUCAUAUAAAACUUAAUACUUCCUUUUUACUCACAUGCACUUCGUGCAGCUUUGGUGUGGAUACGAUUCCCUGAGAAAAAGUCUUCAUGUUCGGGUAACAUGUCAUAGAAACUCGUUCCAAUGAUGGGAAUUCAAGAGUGUAAUCCUCCAAACAAAAGCUGGUAAGCCUUGGUAAAUGAUUUCAGGUAAUUUUUAAAUAUUCUAAAUUCAUUUAGAAUAUUUAAAUGAAUUUAGAAUAUUCACUAUUUAGUAUUAGGAAUGGAGAAAGAAUUUCAGGUAAUUUUUAAAUAUUCUAAAUUCAUUUUUCAUCUUGAUUCUAGUUUUUUAAAAAAAUUUAAUUUUCAAACAUGCGUAUUUUUAAAAUAACUAAACUAAAACGCUGUAUUUCCCUUUUUUUCCCGAUAUUCAUGCUUUUAAAAAUGGAAAACAUUUCUGGAAAACACUUCCCAACGCCAUCAACAUGGGACUGUUAUAGAUGAAUUAAGGAAAAGAGAAAUAUAUAGAUGAAUUUGUGAACCUAUAAGAUGAGUGACUAUCCUUUAAUUUUUGAAAAUUGUACUUAUUAAGAUAUGAGCAGAAACAAUUAAAUUGAAUUAUAUUAUGCUGUUGAAUCGUGAUUAAAAAAAUUAUAUUGUUGAUUCUAAUGCUGGCGAACCUAAAAACUGGACUUAAAAUGUAGAUUUGAGAGUGGUGGUUCGAAGUACAAUACUUGAAAUAAAUAAUCAGUGGCUGAAUAUCAUUUGUAAACAAAAAAUGGUUAAAAUAUUGUUGGAUGUAAUUUGAAAAAAAAAAAAAGAUUCGAAAUGAAUACAGCAACCUUACCAAUGGAGGAAAAAUAUUCUUUAGGUUAUCACACUCAAAUAUCUCUAAAUUCUUCAAUUUGCUGAAAGACUCCGAAGCAAGUUGGUGGUGCCAUAUUAUUCUCAAAUUAUUCAUCCAGCUAAUAUGUAAUACCUCCAACCUAGGAAGUCGUACCUGGCAGUUAAAGAUUAAAUAACUAAUUAAUCAAUUAAUUGCAUAAUCAAUUGAUAACUAAAUUAGAGGCAGAUAUUAACUAAACUUGAAGACUCAAAGAAAAGACAAAUUAAAUAUUGUGACUAAAAUUAAUUUUUUUUAUUAAAAAAAAAACCUUUUCGUCAAAGAGAGGAGGAGGUUGCAUUUCAGAAUGAUUGGUGUCUUCUGGUGAGCUCGUAGAGAUGAAUCUUAACAUAUUCCAGCAACUCUGAAUCUCGAGGUUUAGCAAAGAAGGGAAUUCAACAACUAAAUCUGAAUUAAUAUGUCCCGUAUUGGCAAAGCUUGUUAGUUUAUAAAGCCAAUAGAGCUCCAGGGAGUGUAGUUUAGGAAAAACCUUUAAUUCAAUCAACUUUCCUUCUUCUCUUUCUGACCACCCCGUGGUGUCGACUACCCCUUCCAUUGACUCACAAGAUCUUAUCUCAAGAUGCUGGAGUUGCAAAAGACUAUUAACCAUAGAAUAGGAAAACAGAUACUUCAUACGAUGACAACUGCUCACGUACAGCUUUGUUAAAUUUCGACAACAGUACAUUCCUUGAUUAUGAUCGGCCCAUAAUUUUUUCAUGUUUCUUAAUGACCUGAGAUCCAAUUCCUCUAAGCUCGGAAGAAUAACCUGCAAAGAAUACCCGUACAUUUUUGUUCCUUCAAGUACAACCGUCUAGUAUAAUAUUCUUUUGAUGAUCGAAGAUUAAUCGUGAUAAUAAAUUAAUCAAUUAAUUAUUGAACAGAAAAUUAUCACCUUUGGAGCAGGAUCAUCAUCAGCAGUGAUUUCGUUGAAUCCCAAAGAAGUUGUUGGUUUCUCCCUGUCGGGUCCUAUAAACAAACAAAAACAAUAUACAUAAUUAAUCUUUGUUUUUUUUUUCAAAAUAAUUGAGGCGAAGUCAAUUAUCCCACCGGUACUUAAUUUCAACACUUACCAACAAUCAUUUCCUGAUCAUCGCAAAAAGCCACUUCUACCUUUUGAAGCCGCAGUAGGUUUUUGGCUAUGGAGAAUGAGAAAAGAUGCUUCAAUUUGUGACAGAAUUUUACUUCUAUAAUCCUUAAGUUGCUGAAAGAUUGAUCUUCUGUGAGUUGGCUGUCACAUAUUGUCUCCAAAUUGAUCAAACGACGAAGAGACAAUGACUCCAGCAAGGGGAAGACUUUGCGACGAACCCGUCCAACUGAACAGACAAUAUGCAAAAUCUCAGAACAACUUUCUGCAGAAAGAUGCUUCAAUCGUGGAUAACCUUCCCCAUCAUCUAAUUCAUGAACAACAUUCUGAACACCCUUCAGUUCUUCUAGAUAGAGAUAUUCAGUUCUCGUCAACAACAGUUUCAUCCUGUAAUUCUGCAAAAGAACGCCAAACUUUUCCAGCCCCUGGAGCUUCAUCAAUCUUGAUAAUCCAGAUUUAACGGACCAGCUGCUCCACCACUUAUUUCCUAUACAUAUCCUAUAGCUUUGUAAUUCCACAGAGACGAAAUCCUGCGGUAAAAUUUCGGCAUCCCGAACAUGUAUCUCCAAAGUAGUUAGCUUUGACAGCCCAUUCAAUUCAGCAAGACUGGCGUUACUUCCUCCUUCAACCUUCUCCCACUGUGAAAAGCUGUUACCAAUAUAUAGUUCUUCUAAUCGAGAUAAUUUUGAUAUGACAUUUGGAGCUAUCACCACAAGACUGCUACAAUUUCUCAAAUCUAGCAACUGUAAUCUCGUCAAUUGUCCAAUUACAACUGGCAACUCCUUAACAUCAGAAUCUCGGAAGCUGAGAAUCUCUAAUUUCCUUAGCUGUCCAAUUAUAGUUAUUUCGUUCAGUCGGCAACCGUCUAAACACAAUGUUCGAAGGUUAAUGAGGCGACCAAGUGAUGAAGGUAAUGAAGAGAAAAAUAUGCCAGUAAAAUCUAAAACUUUGAGUUCUUCUGUCCCUUCAAAAAAGAGGUCUGAAAUUUGCAAAGAGCUAUCACGCUUUGAAAACAACAAAAGUAACUCGAGACGGGGACAUCCCAACCUUUCGGGAAGCUCUUGAAUAUCUCUAUAAGGUAAAGAAAUAGCAAUUGGACCUUCCCGUAUUGUCUCUUCCAUCUUUUUCUCCACGUAGGCAACAUUUGGAAUAUUAAACAUGAGCUCCUUUUCUGCAAUUGAUACAGCAACAGCAUGAAUGAUGUCAUGCAUUUUAACUUCAUCUUCAGCAUCACCGUCCAACAAUAAGCAUGAAGAUUUGAGUUUGUCGAUCAAUGCAUCCACUCUAUUCCUUGCAUUUUCCAAUGUGCGAACAUAUUUAAACAAACCCAAACCCAUACCCAUACCAUAUCUCAACAAGGAAGCAACUUGUAUAGGAGUACCUUCACCAAAUAGAGAACAAAGAAGGAACAAAGAUUUUGCUUCAUCACUUUCCAAGAAGUCGUAACUCAAUUUUAUGGAAGAAUACACAUCUGCAUCCAUACCAUGAAUUUCUCUUAGAUUGGAACUUCUUAGCUGAUUCAACGCAUCCUUCCAAAUGGCAAGACUCUUAUUUUUCAGAGCACUUGCAACUGUUCUCAGUGCAACAGGCAAUCGUCCGCAUUUUCCAACAAUCUCAUCCGCUAAAGGUUGAAAAGCAGAUGCUUUUGCGGAAUUGCCCACGAUCUUUUCAAAAAAUUGCAAUGCUUCUUCCUUUGAUAAAACUUCAAUUGGGAAAAUCUUCUGAGAAUUCAUAUCAUUGAUCAAUAAAUCUUGACUUCUAGACGUCAAUAUUAUCGUGCGUCUCCUUAGAUCUUGCUUUCUAUCUUUCUCAUCAACAUCCCCAGAAGGAAUUCCAAUUUCUUCCAACCUAAGUUUUUUCCAAAUAUUAUCUAAUAUAAUGAGGACUCGCUUCUCUUUCGUCAAUCUUUGACAAAGUUGUUUUGCUCUGUGGGGUUUGCUAUCAUUCAAGUCAAAGUUCAUGUCUAAAUCGGAAGCGAGCUUGUCUUGAAUUUUCUGAACAUCUGGGUUCUCUGUUACCUCAGCCAUAACGACCUUAUCGAACAACUUAUCUUCCAUAACUUGCUUUGCAAUUUGCUUGACUAGCGUGGUUUUACCCACGCCGCCCAUACCGUGGACCCCAAUUAUGUUGAGCUUAUCAUCCCUCAAUGCCUCCACAACAUCUUGAAAUAAUUUCAUUCUUGAAUCAAAGGCCUCGAAAUCUUUCGCUUGCAUAUGUUCUGUACUCUCUGGAGCAGGACGGUGGGAAACACUAGAGAAGUUGCCUUUUCUCACGAGACUAGCGGCAGCUUCUGCGGCCUUUACUGCUUGUUUACUAAGUUUAUAACGAGAAAUCAAGUUGGGGCACAAUCCUUUGAAGCAGGACUUCUUAGCUCUAUCUUCAUCAUCAAUGAUGGAUUUUGCAACCCCUUCACUGAUGCAUUCAUCAACGCCAUUAAGCCAGUCUGCAACAUCCUUGUAAAUCUCAUCUCUUUGUUGAGUAGCCUGACGAACGGGUAUUCCCACCCUUUCUCUUUUAUAUUCCAGCUGCUUCACUUGAUCUUUUAGCUCAGCUAUGUAGCUCUGGUACUUGAACACAUAAGAUAUCUGCCGCAUAAUCCGUUCGAGCAAUGCCUUUGCACCUUCUGAUACAAUGCUUGAAAAAGCUUCGAGACCCACUUCUGAAGCCAUUGCCUAGCCUGUUGCAUAUAUAUAUACAUUAGCCGAUGGAAAAAUUGGAUUCAAAUAAAUUAAAGUGAUCCAGAGGGAAGGACAAAGAAAGAAAUGACAACGAAUGACUUUUUAAACAAAGGUUUCAAGAGCCUGAAUCGAAAACCAACAAUUUGAAAAAAAAAAAAAGAAUUGGAAGAUGGAUGCAAAUUAACCAUUGCUAAUACUACAUAAGAACACAUAAGUUAACAAUGAACAGUUACUUAAGAAAAUUAAAUGACAAGAUUAAAACAAACAAGCGCUAUUUUUUCUUGGACAAAUGUACCUGUUUAAUUAUUAAAGACUUAAUGAGCUUCACUAUUGGCCUUGAGUAUAUAAGAAUGAGCAAGAGAUCAAUGUCAACUGCAGAGGAAUGUCAGUAAAGGUUUCAUGAGAGUGAGUAAUACAAAUGAAUUGUAAAAGAACAAGACUUAAGCGUGCACCCCCUGUUUUGUUUUAUUCGUUAUGAAAAUGAUAUUGUACCCAAUUUUAAGAGAGCAUAAUAAUAACCAUUUAAUGCAUAAAUUUAGAAUUAGCUUUUUUUUUUGUAAUUCUUUAUUUAAAUAUACACGUCAAUGGAAAAUUUUGAAAAUUUGGAUACAAAAUUUUAAAUCACCAGAAAAAAAAAAGCACGGGAACGGAAAUAGAGGAAUCUUGUUUUACCUUUUUUUUUCCCCCCUUUAACUCUCGUUCUUAUAUAAAUAAUCUUGUUUUGAUGAUUGUGACUCGUGACUGCGGGAAAAAUUCUAAUGGAAACAACUCAAUUUCGGAAGAUAAGCUUAAUUCUGCAAGUGAUGAAUUUGUUCAAUAGACUCUGUACCUGAACUCGUUGGAUUGGUUGAUUGAUGAUUGACUAAAUUUGAAUUAAGUUUAAUAGCUUAGCUAUCAUGUACUCCUUAAAAGCAAACGUAAAUCUUUUUUAGAUUUGACUGAAUUUGGGAACCUGUUGGAUUGAUUGUUUUUAGAUCAUUAAUAUCAGAUACUACAAACGUAAAUAUUUUCUUGUGGUUGAGUCCUAUUCAAAUCACACAAAAUUGCACGACCAAAUAUUAAGAGAACGUAAUAAUAAUCACUCAGUGCGUAAGGGUAAAUUUAGAAUUACGUAUUCUUUUUUAUUUAAUAAAAUCCCAGCGAGAAAAUCAUAAAAUUUAGAUAUAAAAUUUUCAAUCACCAAACAAAAAACAGGGGGAAUGAAAACACAGGAAACUUGUUUUACCUUUUUUUCAUCUAACUCUUGUUCUUAUAUAAUAUUUUCCCUAGUGUUUCAGGCAAGCAAAAAAAAAAAAAAAAUCAAUAAAGAGCAAGUUGCUCAAAUUGAUUUAUCUUGUUUUUCAGGCAAUCUUGUGAUAUGAUGAUAAUGCUUAUGAAUGCUAGAAAAACUUCUAAUGCAAACAACUCUAUUUGGGAUGAUAAGCUUAAUUUUACAAGUGAUAAAUAUAAAUAACUUUUUGUGGUUAAUUCAAUUUGUAAUUACCCUUAGCCCUAUUCUAAAAUUUGUUGGCUGCUUCAGAAAAAAAAAAAAAAAAAUUUCACUCAUCUUUAAUCUUCAAGUAAAAAACAAAUCUAAUAAAAUGACAAACAAACAAACAAAUAAAAGACAGCAAACAAACAACAUUUAGCCAACUGAUAUUUAAACAGGGAUUAGAGUUUUUGUUAUUAACUGAAAGGUUUCAAGGGUCUGAAUAAAAUCCCAGACUUUUUUUUAAAACUUUUUUUUUAAUUAACCAAAGCCAUAUAAUAAGAUCACAGACUUUAACAAUGAACAAUAAUUUGAAACUCAAGCAAAACCAAUCACAAGAUUAAAACAAACCAGAGAAUUUUUUUCUUGGAAAGUAGAUGAAAAGCAAGUAAGAACUGCUAUUAAAGGAUAUUAUUAAAGGAUUUAGAACAUGUAUACCUCUUUAUUUAUAUGGGAUCAGAGAGUCGAUGACCUUCUCUAUUCGCUUCGGAUAUUUAGUAAGAACUGCUAUCAAAAGAAUGAAUUGAUGAGUAAUAACAAUGAAUUGCAAAAGAGGAAGACUUAAUCACGUACCCCUAUUGUACCCGAUUUUUAAGAUUUAAUUUUGAAGUCCAGAAUCAAGACAAAAGACGAAGCCUUAACAAAUAUGCAGUGAGAAUAGUUAAGUUGAAGAAAGCACUAGUUUAUGGCUCUGUGUUUCAUAUGCCGUAUUGAAAUAAUUAAGUUGAAGUUUUCAACGAAUAAAUACCUGGUGUGCUGGAAUAAUUUUAGAAGAAUAUUGGCUUAUAGAGAUUAGAGCAUAUUAGGAGGGAUCAGAUUUGUAAGAUGCCUGAUAAAAGAUAAAGCGAAUGUUAUUAUGGACAUACCAAUUUCCGACUUUUCGGAGUGCAUCCGUCUAUCCAUGACUUGAAAAGAGACCCAAUGUGUGGACAGACUUGAUUACAUNNNNNNNNNNNNNNNNNNNNNNNNNNNNNNNNNNNNNNNNNNNNNNNNNNNNNNNNNNNNNNNNNNNNNNNNNNNNNNNNNNNNNNNNNNNNNNNNNNNNNNNNNNNNNNNNNNNNNNNNNNNNNNNNNNNNNNNNNNNNNNNNNNNNNNNNNNNNNNNNNNNNNNNNNNNNNNNNNNNNNNNNNNNNNNNNNNNNNNNNNNNNNNNNNNNNNNNNNNNNNNNNNNNNNNNNNNNNNNNNNNNNNNNNNNNNNNNNNNNNNNNNNNNNNNNNNNNNNNNNNNNNNNNNNNNNNNNNNNNNNNNNNNNNNNNNNNNNNNNNNNNNNNNNNNNNNNNNNNNNNNNNNNNNNNNNNNNNNNNNNNNNNNNNNNNNNNNNNNNNNNNNNNNNNNNNNNNNNNNNNNNNNNNNNNNNNNNNNNNNNNNNNNNNNNNNNNNNNNNNNNNNNNNNNNNAUUUAAUAAUUAUAGAAGAAUAUUGGCUUAUAGAGCAUUUUAGUAGGGAUAAGAUUUGUGGACAGAAUAAAUGAAAUAAUAAAAAGCAUAACUGAUCAAGUCAUUAUUGAUCUUACUUUGAUUAUUACAUUGCACAUUAGUUUCUUUCUAAAAAUGCCAUUCUUCAUUCAAGCUUUCGCUUUAUCUUUUAUCAGGCAUCCUACAAAUCUUAUCCCUACUAAUAUGCCCUAUAAGCCAAUAUUCUUCUAAAGUUAUUAAAUGCCAUUCUUCAUUCAAGCUUUCAUGGACAUUAUCUACAAACUGAAUCUUCAAUGUAAUAAAAUAAUGAUCAGCCUCACAGGAUACAUAAAAAGCUCAUUUAUCACAAUCAUUUCCUAGUGCAUCAUAAACUUAGAUUAUUUAAUUUUACUAUUAGGAAACCUACUUAUAAAAGGCGCACACUACAAAUUCUAAAUUAAAUUUCUAACUAAGAAUAAAAGGUAAACCCUAGCAAUUUUCCACCAGGUGCCGUGUAGCCUGCAUCAUAAAUUUUGAUUUAAAUCUUUGUAAUCACCGAACAGAAAAACCGGGGAAUGAAAACAGAGGAGCCCUAUUUUUCCAUUUUUUUAACCCUUAACUCUUGUUCUUCUAAUUAUAUUUUUGCUUGGAAUUUCAGGCAAACGAAAAAAAAUAGUGACAACUAUUUAGAGAGAACAGGUGGAUGAUAGCAAAAAUAUUUUUAAUUAAUAUGCAUGAUUAACUCUUGUUCUUCUAAUGUAGUGGCUUGAUUAAUUAAUAUUUUUAAUCAAGCCAUUACAUUAUUGGUAGUCUCUGUGGGCUCAUUUCGUCUCCAGACCUGAUAUUGUAUAUCUCUUUUUGAAUAUGUUUAAUUAAUAUGCAUGCUGCUGAAUAAAGACGAUGAUUUCCAAAUUUUUGUUGCUUUUUUUUUUUCUUUUUGCUGCUUUGGUACAUGAAGAAUGUGGAAAUAGAAAUAGCUUUCGAAGUUUAAUGGCUUGCUUCAUUAGUAAAGAAAGACUAGGAUAUCCGUCCUUUUUGUUACUGAAUUAUUGAUCAAUUGACGGUUGAAGUUAGUUAUAUUAAUUUGUUGUACAAGAAUUGAAGCUUAUAUCUUUACCGUUUCGUGAAAGUGUCAAAUAUGUUCUUUCCUUGCAAUUGUUCAAAAUAUGUUACACUUUUGAAGUCACUAUUACAUAAAGGGUGUUGUAAAAUAGGGAAAGGCGGGUUUAUGAUUAGAUUUUAAUAUGUUUAAUUCAAGGAUUAACCGAAGCUAUUAACCAACGGCUACUAACCGAAAACCGAAUUUAACAAUAAACACUAACUCAGAAUUCAAGAAAAUUAAAUGACAAGAUUAAGACAAAUGAGAGAUAUUUUUCUUGGACAUUAAGAAAGAACUACUAUCAAGAUCAAGGAUUAGAGAUUAUAUAUGCUAUUAUUAAUAGAAAUUAUUAAAGGAUUUAGAACAAGUUCACCUCGUUGAUUAUCUGGGAUGAUGAGUUUCUAUAUUCACCUUGAAUAUAUAAUAACAAUUUUAGUGAGCAAAAGAUCACUGGUAACUGCAGAGGAAUGUGUGAGUUUAAGAGCUUAUUAGAGUAAGCAAUACAAAUGAAUUUUCAAAUUAUGUACUUGGUCAUUGUUGUCCUACUGACGCACGUUUUUUUUCAUGAAUAAUUGCCAGAUCAGAAAAGAAUAAGUUCGGUGGAUUGAAAGAUUGCUGAAGCAAGUAAAACAAUCUUCAUAUCGAACAUGAUUCCAAUUAAAUUAAUCUUUUUAUAAGAUGACUAAUAAAAGACAAAAGUAGAAGCUUUGAUGAAUGAACGAUGACCAAAACUUUUGUAAAAGCGGAUGCCGAUAAAAUAAACAAAAGGCACUUUAAAAAGAAACUAAAGUGCGAUCAUCAAAGUAAGAUCAAUAAUGACUCGAUUUAUUUCACCUAUUCUGUCCACAAAUGAUGCUUCGCUAUUACAAGGUCCGAAUGGACAUUAUUUACAAAUUGUUCUUAUGUUUCACAGAAAAAUGAAAAACCGUUCAUCAUCAUAUAAUUAUGAAAUAAAUAAAUUUUAUUAAUGGAUUAUGGGGAUAUGUUAAUGUUAGGGAUAUGUUCAAAUCAUCAUAUAAGUUACUAAACGCUUCAACAAGAACAAGAAUUAAUGAGUUAAAAGUAAAAAAAAAAAAUUUUAAAAAAAGUUAAAUAAAUAAAACUUAGAAGUAAAGAAUGUUAUUUGCAAUCACCAAAAUGAAAACAGUGGAACCCUGUUUUUCCUCUCAUUUCUCUUUCUCUCUUUUUCAUUUGUUGGGAAGUGUCGCCUAAAACACUUCCUCUGCUAGGUGGAAUUAUUGGCUUGAAGAGAUGAGUUCUUGUCACAAGCACAAAUUUUAUCUGUACAUUAUUUCAUUUUAAAUGAUGAGUUCUUGUCACAUGAUCAUUACUUUUUUUGUUUUGAUUUGGUUAGUUCAUGAUAACAAACAAAUUAUUUUGCAUCACAUUAUGGUAAAAAGUUGCCCUCUUUGUUACUUCCACAGCUAUAUAGUUUAAUAUUUUGUAAUAAGAUCACAAAGUGCAUGGGAACCACUGUUCGAGUACUUCAGCCUAAUAUGAAGAUCUAUUGAAAAUUUUCCUGAUGUCAUGAUAUUAAACAAAAAAAGGUACCUCUUUUACUAAUUAAUAAGAGAAGUUUUGACCGAUUUCAUGUGACUCUCUUUUACUAAUUAAUAAGAGAAUUUUUGGCCUUAUAUCCUUGCUGUGGCGUUAGACUGUUGGUCAUUUUGAUUGUUUCCUACUUUCCGUUUACGCCAGCUGUAACAUUGUAUUAUCACCAUUUUAGCCAUUUAAAUGAAAUUUAUUUUUGUCAAAAAUAAAAUGACACCCUUAAAAUUAAAAAAAAAAUAGUUAUGUAGACCUCAAAUUUUUAAUAAAGAAUGCCAAUACCCCUUUUAACUACAAGAUUCUUAGUAGAUGAUAACUAAAAAAAUUAACUUCAAAAAUUUUCACUAAAUAUAAAUCUAAUUGAAAUAGUUUAAAUUUUCUAGUAGACUAAUAUAUAUAACUUAAAUAAUUAAUUUCAUUAUUAAUUUUUAAAAUGUUAAAUAAUAUAUUUUAAUUUAUUAUAAAAAAUUUAAAUAAAUUCUUGGAUUAGAUAGAUUUUACAAUUAAUGUAAUACUGCUGAUUUAUUAAUAAUAUUAAAAUUAUUUUAUAUGAUAUUCAAAAUAAUUUAAACUUUUAUAUAUUUAUUUUAAUAUUAUGUCUAUUUAUUAUAAAUUUAUAAUUUGGUUUAAUAUAAUACGGGAUUGUAAAAUAUUAAAAUAUUUUUCAAUAUCAAAUUAUUUUAAUAUGUAUAUAUCAUUACAUUUAUUUUAAUAUUGCAUUUAUAUUUAUUAAAGAGUAUUGCAGUAAAGUAAAAAAAAAAAAAGUCUUAUUAUCCCUUAUUCACGAUAUGAGGUUCUACAGAAUUAUUUCCCCAAACGGGUGUCCUUUUCUCAUUUUCAAAAGAAAAAAUAAAGUAAGAAUAAGACCAUGGAUUUCAAAAAACUUAUAGUCCUAUCCCGGGACCAAACGUCUAUUCAUUAUUUUAUUUAUUCAAUAUAAAUGGCCAACUUAAAAAAAUGAUAAAAAUCACACAAAGCUCAAGUGAAAAUUUAGAAUUACAUUUUUUAAUACUCUCGGAGUCUUCUCUCCUGCCCCCUUUUUUUCUUAAAAAAAAAAACCUUAGUGUAAAAUUAGAAGAAUUUUAGAUAUAAAAUUUGACAAUCGCUAAACAGAAAAGCAGCGGAUUAAAAAUAGAGGAGCUCUGUUAUCAUUGCAAUAUUGAUUAUAGAUAAUAUAAUAACUUGUUGUGGUUCAUUGUAGCACUCUGAGCCAUACUUUAAAAUUUACUGGUUUGUUAAUGCUUUUAUUAUUGACAUUAUUGUGUCAAUAUUAUUAUAAUUUAUUCAUUUUAUUGUAAUGAUAAUUUGUCUAGUCUUAGGUACUUAUUAUAUUAAAUUAUGUAAAUUAAUUGAGAAUACUUUUACAGACAAAAGAAACACGUGUAUGUAGGAUUAAUAAGCGAAGAGUUGUAAAUGAAGCUGAUUGCUUCAUUGAGAUGCAUAUUAAAUAAUUAUGGAGAGUUGCUCUAUUUCAGAAGCAUAUAUUUAUACUUCCCUAUCAGGAUUUGGGGUAAGCGAAGUGCUUUAUGUAUUGCAGUAAGCAAAUGUGGGCAACAUCAGAGCCGAAAUAUUAAAAGAUCAUAACGCAUAUAAACGAUUAGUAUAUUCAAGGCACAUAUAGCGGAAAGAGUGCAGAUCUGGCCGUAACUAUUAUGAGGAUUUCCUCAAGUAAAUAUUAAAAGAACAACUAUUCUGAACUAUAUAUUCUUCAUUGUGGGCAGAUUUACUUAAAUACCAACACAAUGAUUCAAUACUUCAAAAGUCAAGGAAAUGUCAAAAUAUGAAAUGAAAAUACUUAAAUACCCUUCUCCCUAACAAAACUUAGUACUUCUAACUGCCAUCGCAGAGAAUAUAUAAAAUUUAAAAAAAAAAUCAUCCAUGAAAAGUUUCGUAACAGAAAAACCGUCUUUCAAAAAAUAAAAAAUAAAAAAUAAAAACAGAAAAAUUGACUCAUUUAUCUGCCAAUGAACCAGUCGGGACUCAUUUAAAAAAGAUUACAAAGCAAAAGUAAAUGACACAAAUUGCAUAGAUAUCUAAGAGCCGCAUCAAAGGACAAAGGUGUUAAUUUGUCCAAGUAAUAAAUUCUCCUAGGUCAAAAGCAAUUAACGAUGAAAACUUUCUUCAUUAAGGUUCUGGCCUACGUAAAAAAACAGAAAAAACCACCCCAAGGUCAAAGCACAACGAUAAGUUUAGAAUUGCAGUUUUUAAUUUUUCUUUUUAAUAAAUCAACGUGUAUUAAAAAUAGAUAAAAAUUUUGAAUAAUGUUUUUUUGAUAAAUAUAGACAUAAAAUUUAAAAAUCACCAAACAGAAAAACAGGGCAAUUAAAAGAGAGCCCUUGUUUCUCCUCUGUUUUGUUUGUUAUUAAACGGGGAAAUGAAAAGAUCGCAAGCAUAAAUUUUGUUUCUGCGUUGUCUCUUCUCAAUGUUGCAUGCAUUCAAAUUAAACCUUAUAUAUGAUAGCAAACUAGCUACUCUGCAUGUACGAUAAGUCUAAAUAAUAGAAUAAUUGUAAAAUGUUCAAAUUCAGUAAUUAAUUAUACAUAUUUAUUUAUUCAAAAAUUAUUAUUAUUAUUAAUUAUUGUCAAUAAUAUAUUAAUAUACUAAUUAAUUAUAAAAAUUUUUAUCAUUCAUAACAAUAACAAUGAUGAUGAUGAUGAUAAUAAUAAAAAUUCAAAAUAUAUUAAUUAAUUAUAAUAAUAUAUUAAUUAUUUAAUACUAAUAAUAAUAAAAAUGUAAAAUGUAUAAAUUGAUUAGAAUAGUUAUAUUAAUAAAUUAUAAACAUAUAUUAAUUAAUCAUAAUAAUUUUUUAAUUGAGGACAAAAUAGACAUUUUAUAGUUUGUGAGAGGGGGCAAAAUGGUCAAUUUUGGGAAUGGGAGAUUGAUUCCCACCACCUUCCUUGGGAAUCAAUUUUCCAUUCCUCAUUCCUAAAUUUGGGUGGCCCCAUAAUUCUGAUUUGGAUCCCUGCCUCCAUCAUUAAUGAUUUCGAUUUCGGAUUCCGAUUCCCCAAUCCAAGAAGUAAAGGCACCAUUAUUGUUAAUUGGUUCAAACACACAAAGAGAAUGUACCGUGUAGCUAGGCGUCAAGGUUGUGUUGCACAAGUAACCUUUUUCUUUUCUUUUUAUUUUUCUUGUUUUCCUUAACGGAUCAGAAGAAAUUGGUGCCUUUGAGAUACCACAAUGUAAAUAAUUAUUUGUGGUUCAUUGAAUCUGUAACACUCGGUACCCUAGGGUUGCUUUGGAAAAAGGGCUUUUCUCACCGAUCGCCAAUAUCCAAGUAAGUUUGUUUCAUUUCAGAAGGUGCAAAGUUUCAAACUUGUUGUAUUGGGAUGUAACAAACUUUGGCCUUAUAUGCCUGCUGUGACGUGAGACUGUUCAUUUUGAUUGUUUCCUACCUUCCACUUACGCACUGUAGCACUGUAUUAUUCACCAUUUUAGCUGUUUAAAUGAAAUUUUAUUUUUGUCAAAAAUAAAAUGACACCAUUAAAAUUUAGAAAAAUAAUCAUGUAGAUCCCAAAUUUUUAAUAAAGAAUACCAAUAUUCCCCUUGACUACAAUACCCUUAGUAGGUGGUAAUAAAAAAAAAUUGGCUUAAAAUUUUUACGAAAUGUAAAUAUGAUUUAAAUAAUUUAAAUUUUCCAGUAGACUACUAUAUAUAAUUUAAAUAAUUAAUUUAAAUAUUAAUUUUUAAAAUGUAAAUUAAUUUAUUUGUAUUUAUAAAAUAUUUGUAAUUAUUUUAAAAUUUAACUAAAUCCUUAGGUUAAAUAGAUUUUACAAUUAAUAUAAUAUUUCUCAUGUAUUAAUAAUAUUAAAAUUAUUUUAUAUGAUAUUGAAAAUAACCUAAAUUUUUAUAUAUUUAUUUGAAUAUUAUGCUCUAUUUAUUAUAAUUUGGUUUAAUAGAAUACGAGAUUGUAAAAAAUUAAAAUUUUUAGAUAUUGAAAUUAUUUUAAUAUGUAUAUAUUAUUAUAUUUAUUUUAAUAUCCUAUUUAUAUUUAUCAUAAAUUAUUAGAGUUAAUUUUUUUAGUUAAUAAAUUUAAAAAAUAUUAUAAUUUAAAAAAAAGUCUUGUUGUCCGUUAUUCACGAUAUGAGGUUCUACAAAAUUAUUUCUCCAAACGGGUGUCCUUUUCUUUUUUUCAAAAGGAAAAACAAGUUCAGGGCCUCAGGGGUUUCAAAAAAUUCUGGUCCUAUAUACCACUAUGACUAAUGGGAAACGACAUUGCAAUUGACAUUGCUUUCCACAAUAUGAUAGAUUAUUGGAGGGAUAUGAGAGAAUUGUCAAACGUUCACACACGCGAGAGCUUUAGGUGGGAUAGGGGAGGAUUGUCAAGAGUUCACACCACGAUAAACUAAUGAUAGGCCUAAUUUUGUUGUCAGUUCUUUAUUUAUUUAUUUUAUGUAUAUCAUACAUUAUUGUAUUUUGUCAAGGUAUAAUAGUACAAGUAAAAUACUAGGGGUGCUGUUAAGUUACAACUUAUGUAACUUGCAAUUUUUUCAAAAAUUAUGUAAAAAAUUUAAUAGGUGGUGGAACCCACAUAUUUUUUAAGAGACUUAAGUUACAGCAGUUGUAACUUAACAAAAUCUAAAUAUUAGACAAUAAUGCAUAUAAUUUGGGUUUGAUUUUUAAAAGAUUAUUUGAGUACCACCUAUCCUUAUGAUAUUAAUGUGAUUAUAUCUUAAUAUUAAAUAAUCAAAAUUUGUUUAAUUAUUAUUUGUAUUUCAUACAUUACAUAUUAGAUUUGUUUGAAUUUUAAGUUGUUGCUAAUAAAUAUUUAUGUUGUCAAAGUCAAAGUCAAUAGCUACAAAAGUAGAGAUAAUGGUAUUGUAUAUAGUUUUUAAGAAUGCAAGGAUAAGCUGGAUAAUUGACAUAAAUUCUAAUGAUUAAAAGAGCAACUAUCCCUUAAGUUAUAAUGUCAAUUUCUUUAAUUAGAAUUUUUUUUUCAUGUGAUAUAACCUUAAUUGCUACAAUUUUUUUUAUAAUAAUAAUGGGAGUUAUAAAUUAUUUAUAUAAAAUUUGGGUUGAAACUAAUGUAACCUAAAAGUGGUUGCUGAAUAACAAUAUUUGAAACUUUAGGUAAUUUUCAUGAGUCCUUUUUAUAUUCAACAACUUGAAUUGGGGGAAAUCCGACUUGAAUUGGCGGUUGAUUUUGGUGAUGUGGCUUUCGGUUUACGCCGGCUUUACAGUGGCGGAAGACUGGAUUUACGGUUGCCGACUGCUAGGGAUUAUGGUGGUAGUGUAAAUUGACGGAAAAAGAAGGUGUUUUGGUGGCGGCGCGUCUAGGAAGCACUCGUGGGUUGUUGUUUCGUGUGGUGACAGCGGGCGGCGAUCAAGGGCUGAAGUUGGUCGGUUUUUGGUCAGCAGAGGCCGGCGAGUUUGUUGGUGGAGGUGGCUGGUGGAGAAAGUGGCUGAAUGGUGGUGGGUUGCUUGGUGGAGCCGCGGGUUUGGGUUGGUGAUUUGCGGCUGUUCAAGCGGUGGUUGAGGCAGCGAUGACUAAGGCUUGGUCGACGGUGGCUAGGGAGGUUUGUGGUGGUGUUGGCUGGCUGAUCGGCGGUGGUGGACGGCGGUGGAGGUUGAUGUGACAGGUAGGGUUUUCAAAUUUGUAAAUUUUUUUUUUGAUGGAUUUGGUUUGGAUAGGUAUGGUGUAUCUAGGAAAGAUGUGCGAUUCGCACAUAAUCAUUUUGAUACCAAUUGAUGGAGCGAGGCGUAGCGGAAGCAGAAUUGAUAGGGUAAGAAACAUUAGAUAUCGUUCUAGUACUAGACCAAGCCAACACGAUUAGUUUACGCUCUAAUUGAAGCGUGAUUAGAUAUCGUUAUAAUCCAAAUGACUCAGUGAGAUUUUUAAUAACGCGUAAUACGAGAUUAGAUGACACUCUAAUCCAAAUGACUCUACAAAAGAGAUUUUGAUAACUAAUCCUAGAGGAAAUUAUAAAAGAGGGGGUUUAUUUAAUAAUUGAACUUGAAGUUAUGAAAAUAAUGACAAGACAUCUUUAUUUUUUUUAUUACAGGCAUCUUUAUUUAUAAUAGAAGAAACCCGCUUUCCUAAGUUAACCUAAAAAGAAAAUUUAAAUCAUAAUUAUAAUGGAAAUAAAAGAUUAAGAUACAUACCAUAAUUAACUCAAACUAAAAUAGAAAAUCAUAAAAUAAUAAAUAUUCUAGAAUUAUAAAUUAUCUAAAAUAACGUUAAUUAACUUCCUAAAUCACUUCUUUGGUGUAAACCAUUUUGCAUCCAUCCUCGCUUUAAAGGUUUGAACCAACGUUACCAACAAUAAUGUAUCAAAGUCCAAUCUAACUUAAGAUCUUGAUACAUCUACCGAUGUCCUUGUUUGAUUAGACAAUAAUGAGUCUAUCUCAUCACUUGUUACCUCUUUCUUGAAGGCUGCAUCUGUUGAAGUGAUAGUCUCGCUUAGAGUUUAAAGAUCUUCUUCCAUGUUAAAUAAAAUGGGCAUUUGAUUAAAAAACUUUAUCUCUAUCUCCUUCUAUCAAAUAACGACAACUAUCCGAAGGAAAAAAAAAAUAGAAAAGUCCAUGGGUCACAAUAAUUUAUGGUCUGUCCCCGGACCCCAUUAUCUGCCACUAUCAAUGAUGAAAAUGAAAAUAAAUGGCAUCUUCCCAAAAUGGCGAAAGAUUUUUGGGGGAUAUGGGGGAAUUGUCAAAAGUUCACACAACGCGAAACAAGUGUUACAUCCAAUUUUAUUUCGUCAUAUAAUGAUAAUAUCAAAUAAUGACAACCAUCCAAAAGUAUGAUGGGUCUUCCAAAAUUUUGAAAAUGUCGUCAACAUUUAAUCUUCAAUGCUAAAGAAGAUGAAAUGACCAAAAAUGACACGCAUGACUCACUCACAGACUAAAUGGCUCUGACCACAUGUAACAAACUUUGAUCUUAUGUCCUUACUGAGGCGUUAGACUGUUGGUCAUUUUGAUUGCUUUUUACCUUCCAUUUAUGCCAUUGUAGCAUUAUACUAUUCACCAUUUUAGCUGUUUAAAUGAAAUUGUUAUUUUUUUUCCAAAAAUAAAAUGGCACCCUUAAAAUUUUAGAAAAUAGCCAUGUAGACCCCAAAAUUUUAAUAAAGAACACUAAUAUCCUUUUUUACUAUAGUACUCUUAGUAGAUGGUAACAAAAAAAAAAAUGACUGUAAAAGUUUUUACUAAAUGUAAAUAUGAUUUAAAUAUUUUAAUUUUUCUAGUAGACUAGUAUGUAUAAUUUAAAUAAUUAAUUUUUAAAAUGUAAUUUAAUAUAUUUAUUUUAAUAAUAUAUUUAUUAUAAAAAUUUUAAACAAAUCCUUGGGUUAAAUAGAUUUUAUAAUUAAUAUAAUAUUUCUCAUGUUUUAAUAAUAUUAAAAUUAUUUGAUAUGAUAUUGAAAAUAAUUAAAACUUUUAUAUAUUUAUUUGAAUAUUAUGUCUCUAUUUAUUAUAAUUUGGUUUAAUAGAAUCAAAUGAAAGUGUACAUGUACAAGAAGAAAGAACCAUACACCAAGUAAAACGUAAAAAGGAUUAAAUAAAUGACACCAAUCCCCGGCAACGGCGCCAAAAUUUGAUGGUUGUCGAAGCCAACAAAAAUAAAUUCCUACUCUAAAUAAAUUGUGUAUAGUGAUUGAGCAGGGUCGUGUCCACAGAGAUCGGUAAUUAUUUAAAUCCUUUUAAAACGUAAAACAUAAAAUGGGGGUUUUGUUGACAAUAAUAAAAAUCAAAUUAAAAUAACAAGAAUGCAAAUUAAAGUUGUAAUUCAAAUUAGAGAAAGCUCUGGUUGAAGGAAUUAACUCAGCUUGAUUCGACUACUGAUCAUUGAUUCAAAUAUAGAUUAUUAUUACUUAUUAAUAGACCGGUUAUAGCUAUUGAGACCCUCUAAUAGCCAAUUUGUCCUUAACUAGUCGAUAACCAAGGUACGACCGUCAGAUAUUUCCCUAAUCAACAGACAACCCUAGAUACGAUCAUAGGAUUUAAUCAAUUGACAGCCUGAAAAACCAGAGAGACCCAAAUCCUAAUCAACACAUAUGAUGAUUCAUUUAAAUUAGAUUGUUUAUUCUCAUAACACAACUCACUGCUAUGUUAUUUGUCACAAACAUUAAAAUCUUCAUACGAUGAAUCCUUUAAUUGACAAUAGAUUAAGUUGAUAAUUAAAUAGUGGCCAAUUACCUAAUUAACAAACAUAAUCAUGAAACUAAUUCAGAGAAUAAACAAAUACCCAAAAAGUAAUAAAACAAUUAAAGCAUAAGAAAGAUCUCACAGUAGUGAUGAAUCAAAGCUUCAUUAACCUUCAACCAGAAAAAUAAGUUUAGUUCUUCAUAGAGAGAAGAGAAAAAUUAGAUCUAGGGUUUUUUUCUUUUUCUCUCAUCCCCCUUUUUCACUAUAGAUUCCUCCCUUAAAUACUCUCUCUCUCUUCUCUUUUAGAGUUCUAAUUAAAAUAAAAUACUAAUAUCUGAAAUAUUAAAUUCGUAAUUACAAAAAUAACCAAAAAUACAAAACAUGUUAAACUAAAAACUACAGGUCCGCAGUUGACAGCACGCGCCCACGCCUUAUCAAGAAAGUUCUUCUGACUCUCUAAAUUUCUCCAAGAGAACAAUCAUCUUUAAACAUCAUCUUAUAACUCAAUUUUAUCACAAAUCAAUAGAAUUGCACCUACAAAAGUACAACACAAGUAAAUCAUUAUUAUUAAGUGCAAAACAUCGAUAUUAAGGGAAGUAGACAAUGCAAAACUAGUGCAUAAAUUGCACUCUAACAAGUUCACACCACGAGAAAUUAAUGAUAGGCCUAAUUUCGUUGUCAGUUCUUUAUUUGUUUAUUUUAUUGAUUUCAUACAUUAUUGUCUUGUUGGUACUAUUUUGUAAAGAUAUAAAAGUACAAGUAAAAUAUUAGGGGAAGUAAAAUAAAAUAUUGGAGGUGCUGCUAAGUUACAGCUGCUGUAACUUACAGUUCCUUCAAAAAUAAUGUAAAAAAUUUAACAUGUGGUGGGACCCACAUUAUGUUUGAAGAGGCCGUAAGUUAUAGCAGUUGUAAAUUAGUAAAAUCCAAAUAUUAGAUAACAAUACACAUUAACAAUGCAUAUAAUUUGGGUUUGAUUUUUAAAAAAAUUAUGUGAGUAUUACCUAUCCUUAAGAUAUUAAUGAGAAUAUAUUUUAAUAUUAAAUAAUCAAAAUCUGUUUAAUCAUAAUAUGUAAUUCAUACAUUGCAUGUUAGAUUUGUUUGGAUUUUAAGUUGUUGCUAAUAAAUAUUUAUGUUGUGAAAGUCGAAUUCAAUAGCUACAAAAGCAGAGAUAAUGGUAUUUUAUGUAGUUUUUAAGAAUACAAGGAUAAGACCAUAACGCAUGAGAUAAUGGUAUUUUAUAUUAAAAGACCAUAACACAUGUAUUUGAGCCAUUUAUAUUGAGGACACAUAUAGAGCGAAGAGUGCAGAUCCGGCCGUAACUAUUGUGAAGCUUUCCUCAAGUAUUCUCAUGCACGCAGACCUUAGCUGGUCAAGUUUUCUGAUUCAAUAUAAUCAAUUUCCGCGCAGUACUAACGACAGCUUCUUUGUAAAGCUCUUCAACCACAAGCAUUUCUACAAGGCAAAAGACUAGGACGUGUCAGAAUGAAUAUCAAUAAGGGAAUGUCUUAUGAAUUUAGUUUAUAUCCUAAUAUAAGACAAUCAAUAAAUAUUAGAUGCAAUCUAAGGGAAUGUCUUAUGAAUCCUGAUUGAUGGCCUCUCACAGUCAGUUAUAUGACAAAGUAGCCACCACAACAAACUUGAACUUGGCUGGAGGUCUCAUUAGCAGUAUACCUCAGAAAUUAAGACAAAGACUUUAAAAUGCAAACUUAUGGAGCAAUUUAAGCACUGAAACUAAUAACAGUACUGUAUUAGCAAUUGACCUCUGCUUUUUUCUUGGACAAAGGUUCUCAUCACAAGGGACUCAUUAGUUGCCCUUGCCUCAAACGUUUGGAUGCUAAGGGGAAAAAGGAAGUUUGAAUUAGUCAAUCUCAUUUCUAAUGGCAUUCACAGAGAACCUAUAAAACAAAAAAAUUAUAAAAAAAAAAAUCAUCCAUAAUUCGCCAAACCGAAAAGAAAAACAGGGGAAUGAAAAGAGAGCCCACGGGAAUGAAGAGAUCAGCUCUUGUCGCGAAAAUGCAGUCGACUGUAACUAUAUCCGGGUCCCUAGUACUUAGAAGUAAAUGCUCUUGGAAUUUCUAUUAUAGAUUGAUGUUUCCCGUUCAAAUAGCUCUUCCGAUACCAUUAACAUGUUCAUCUCUCUAUAGAUUGAUGUUGACAUAGAUGUUAUUCUACUUUUGCUAGUGGAGUUUUCCUUGUACAGGUAUGUAUGAUUGUUUUUUUUGCACUUCUAAAUGGACACUGUUGAAAAGCUUAAAAUUGAACUGAUAAUUUUGUUUGGAAGCUCAGAAAAUUCAUGAGAAAGUGAAAUAGAAUAUUCUGGAUUUCUUUUCUUUCCAUAAUAUACAAAUGACAAACGUAGCAGUAUUUAUACUCGUUGCUUACAUCAUAAAAACAGAAUUAAAACAAGGUACACAACUAUAACAGAAUCAAAAGCGUGCUUAACUAAUUGGCAGAGCUGGCAUAUACUUCUUUAACUAACAAUGCUGCUGACUGGACUUUAGCUCACACAUGCUUAUCGUGCAGCUACUCUUAGUUCACACGUGCUCAGUCUGCUGUUGGCCCAAAGUUGGAACCAGAGAUAUCAUGACUCUGGUUUCAUUUCACCUCAACUGUGUUUUUUUUUUUAAAUUAAAAAAAUCAUUUGUUUUAGGUAUACAUACAUGUAUUUUGAUUCUAUUUUCAUUGUAAUUUCUCAUUUACUUUGAAUGAAAGUCAUUGGUGUUUUCGAAUGGGAAUUUUGCAUUAAAAAAUGAAGAAUAGUGAUUUUUGGAGUGUAAUUAGUAGUAAAGUUGGUUUUUACUCGCAAACAAGUGAACUGCUCGAUUCCCGAGUGGUAUCAACCAGUUUCCAACUUUUUAAUAUACACUAAUUGUUAUUGUUUAAUAGCUACUACUAUUAAAACUCGACAUCUAACAAAAAUACUUAAAAAAAAUGAUUUUUCUUAUGAUGCUGUAAAAAAAAAUUACGGGUUUACUUCUUUCCAUGAGAUCUAUAACAUGGUCUUGACUUCACGAAAUUCUUUUAAUUUAAAGCUUGCUGGUGUGAGAAGGUCAGUUUGACUGAUUAAUUCUUUUUAACAGUGGUCGAGAUAAUUUUACUAUCUAAUCGAAUGUUAUGCUGUUUUCUUUUUCUAAUCUGGUGUGAGAUAAUUAAUUCUUUUUCACAAAUGCUAUGCUGUUUUCUUAGGCUAAGGAUCUUCUAUCAGGAGAGGUUAGAAAUUCAAUGCUUAAAAGAGAAUAAUACAGAAAUUUAGGCAGAAUCUAAUCGAAUAUUGCAUGAAACAUGAAAAAUCAAUUCAAGUCCUUUCUUUAAACGGAGAAUGCAUCAAACAAAAUCCAAAGUGUCUUGCACGUCUGUAGCAUGAGCAAAAAAUUGUAAAUAUGUAGAACCAAAUUAUUCAAGUACAGAAGAACGAGCAAGCUAAAUCAUGUAUAAGAGAUUGGCCUGGUUCGGGAUAGCUUCUUCACUGUACCUGAAGGAUUGGCUCAAUCUCUUCUUUAGAAUUCUGCAGAUUUUGUAAUUACUCGUGUAAGCAAGCAUACAUUGCCACCAUAAGAAUAAUAAAGCUAGAGUAAUGAUAUGACCACCACCUCUUGUGCACAAACAAUAUUGUAUAAACUAAUGCGACAUAAUAUGAUUGGUUAAACAAAAACAUUACAUGGCCCUCAUAAUUUAUUUAUUUAUUUAUUUAUUUAUUAUUAUAUUUUUUCAGUAAACCAAUCAUAUUAUAUCACAUUAGUUUCUAUAAAAUAAUUUGCUAAAUAGCACCAAAACUUAAUUGAUACUCACCAUUUCAUUGAACAAUUUUUUUAUGGUGUCAUUGAGAUUGCCUUCCCAACAUCCUUCAUCAUCAUCAUCUUCAUCAUCAUCAUCAUCUUCUUCAUCAUCAUCUUCUUCAUCAUCAUCUUUUUCUUCUUCUGUGACGUUCACUUUGUUUAGCAUUGGUGUGUCUAAGACUCCUUGAGAGAAGAUCUUCAUUUUUGGACACUGUCUCACAACUACUGGUUUCAAGGACGGGAAUUCAAGAGCGUAAUUACCCGAACAAAAGCUUGUUAGGCUUGGCAAACAAUCAAGUCCCAAGUACUCCAAUUCCUCGAAGACAACGCAACCUUUCGCUUCUUCUCCAACCUGCAAUUGUAUGAUUUGUUCUAUCAUUUUGCAAUCAGCUAUCUUCAUUCUUUGAAGAGUCACUAGACUUUCAGAUGUUGAGAGCGUCAAUAAAUUUAUCAACCCAUGACACUUCGAUACUUCCAGAGUCGCAAGAUUUUCCAAAUGCCACGAAGCUGGUACUAAUUUCUGCAACUUACUACAUUCAAAUAUUUCUGGACUUUUCAAGUUUGCAAACACUUUGUUGGAUUUGGCAUUUUCCUUCCAGAGAUGCUGCACUUUGUGUAAUCCAGAUAGCUUUAACUUCAUCAAUUGAGGGAAUGCAACCUGAAAAUCAACAAAAUUAAGUUGUAAAUGAAAAUAUGUAUCCAAUCUCUGCAGUCUUCCCCUGCAUAUUUUAUGAACAAGAUUAAUCACGACAUUUUAUAUUUUAUUUCCAAAUUAGUAUGCUUUGCAGUAGGAUCCCAAAUAUAAGUAUCAAAUCGAUUACCCUUUGAAACACAUAAAUGAAAUCUGAUGCUAAAUCCAAUAUGAAUUAGCUAGGAAAACAGAGAUGUAACACGCAUAAUCGAUAUAGUUCAUCGCCUUAUGUCACCAGGCAUCUAAUUAAUUUAAGACAUUUUUAUAAUUCAUACUAUAAAGUUAGUUAAUAACAGAGGUUAUAUUGUUAAAUCAGAUAUAAAUUAAGACGACCUGCAAAAAGAUGAGUCAUUAAGUUUGAUUUGAUUCUAAUGAAAUUACAUCUGUGCGAACGAAAGUGAAGGCAAUAAUAAUAAUAAUAAUAAUAAUCACCUUUUCAUCGAAGAGGGGUUGUACUUGAUGAGCCAGCAAGAAGUUCUCUUCUGAUGUUAAUUUUUGAGGUUUCUUGUUAUCUGUUGUCACGUGCACUAAAGAGUUGGAUAUGAAUGUUUCCAUAUCAGGGCAAUUCUCAAUAGUUAGAUUCUCCAACUCAAGCAUUUCAAUUAUAUUCCCAGUGAAGUUGCAGAAUCUUUUGAGUUUUGGAAGGUCAAUGAGCCUUAGCUCGAAAAGCUUAGGAAACAGGGGACCUAUAUGUUCUUUGUCAGCAUUUAGCACUUCCAAAUGAAGCACCUCUUCCAGUGAAUCACAAUUCCUCACUUCCAACCAUUCCAAAUUGUUCAAGCACCGUAGCAGAUUGGCAGGAAUAGCACUCGACAUAUUCGUGCAGUCAUCCACCACCAGGUGUCUUAAAUUGUUGAAGAAGCUGACAGGCAGUGCUUGGCCAUGCGAUAUUUCUUUCAAACGUGGAAAAUGUGAGAAUUGCAAAAACUCCAUGUCACGAAAUCCAAUCUGCUCAAACCAAAACAAUUGCACUGGAUAUAUACAAUUUUUUUUUUGAAAGGCAUUAGAUAUAUAUAUAUACAUUAAACUUACAUGUUUUGUGUUUUAACUUCUAAAAAUAUAUUUAAAUGUGCAAGUGCAGGGGAGAUGCAUGAACAAUUUGGAUGAAUCGAUUAACACAUACCAUUUCUUCGUAACACUUUUGUAUAGUGGAAUUAAGCUUAUUGCCUUCCCAAUGGUGCAGUUCACCCCCUUCCUUUUCAGUCACUUGCACUUUGCAUGGCUUUGGAAUGGAUAAGAUUCCCUGAGAAAAAGUCUUCAUGUUUGGACAACGUAUCAUAGAAACUCGUUCCAAUGAUGGGAAUUCAAGAGUGUAAUUCUCCAAACAAAAGCUGGUAAGCCUUCGUAAAUCAUCAAGUAUCAAAACUUUUAAUUCGCUGAAAGCAAUACGAUUCUCCUUCGCUUCUUCUCCAACAUGUCCUACGAUUUCUUCUAAUUCUUUGCAAUCCGAUACUUUAAGAUUCACCAGACUACUAGGAAUUCCAACCUGAAAAUAAGCAAAAGUGUGCGCAUGUGUGGUGUAUUAAAAAAGUAUGUUAAUCAUACAAUUAUGCAUUUUAUAAACAUAACAAACCAUGAAAUGUCUACUAGAUAAUUUUUUGUUAAACAAAAACGGAACAAGAUAAAUAAAUAAAUAAAAUCCAGAUAAACAAAGAUAAUAAAAAUACAUUUACACUAUUUAGUAUUAGAAACGUAGAAAUAAUUUAAGGCAAUUUCUAAAUAUUUUAGACUUAUUUUGCAUCUUGAUAUCAGUUUUUAAGCAUAAAUUUGCAAAUUUCAACUAUUCCUUCUUUUUUUUUUAAAAAAAAAGGGACCAUUUUCCUUGGUCCCUUUUUUUUAUGUAUAUUUAAAAAUGGAAAAAAAAAUUUGGAAAAGACUUCCCAAUACUGUCAACGAGGGACUGCUGUAAAGUGGAUCUUUAUUAAGUACUUCCAGACUAGAGGAAAUUUCUUUACAAUCAAGGGUCAGUUGUAAAUAAUCAUGAAUUUGUGGUUAAUUAAUGGCAUAAUCAAUUCGUAACUAAACUAGAGAUAUUAAUUAAAUUUGAAGACUUUUAUUUUCUUUUUUUCUUUUUCCAAUCGAAAUGUGAAGAAUUAAGGAAAAGAGAAAUAUAUAGAUGAAUUCGUGAACCUAUAAGAUGAGUGACGAUCCUUUAAUUUUUGAAAAUCGUACUUAUUAAGAUAUGAGCAAAAACUAUUUAAUUGAAUUAUAUUAUGCUGUUGAAUCGUGUUUAAAAAAUUUAUAUUGUUGAUUCUAAUGCUGACGAACCUAAGAUACUUGAAAUAAAUAAUCAGUUUGCUGGCUGAAUAUCAUUUGUAAACAAAAAAUGGUUAAAAUAUUGUUGGAUGUAAUUUGAAAAAAAAAAGAUUCGAAAUGAAUACAGCAACCUUACCAAUGGAGGAAAAAUAUUCAUUAGGUUAUCACACCCAAUUAUCUCCAAAUUCUUCAAUUUGCUGAAAGACUCCGAAGCAAGCUGGUGGUGCCAUAUUUUUCUCAAAUUAUCCAUCAACCUAAUACGUAAUACCUCCAACCUAGUAAGUCGUACCUGGCAGUUAAAGAUUAAAUAACUAAUUAAUCAAUUAAUGGCAUAAUCAAUUGAUAACUAAAUUAGAGGCGGAUAUUAACUAAAUUUGAAGACUCAAGGAAAAGACAAAUUAAAUAUUGUGACUAAAAUUAAAUUUUUUUAUUAAAAAAAAAACCUUUUUGUCAAAGAGAGGAGGAGGUUGCAUUUCAGAAUGAAUGGUGUCUUCUGGUGAGCUCGUAGAGAUGAAUCUCGACAUACUGUUGCACCAACUAAUCUCGAGGUUUAGCAAAGAAGGGAAUUCAACAACUAAAUCUGAAUGAAUAUGUCCCGUAUUGGCAAAGCUUGUUAGUUCUGGAAGAAAAUGGAGCUUGAGGGAGUGUAGUUUAGGAAAAACCUUUAAUUCAAUCAACUUUCCUUCUUCUCUUUCUGACCACCCCGUGGUGUCGACCACCCCUUCCAUUGACUCACAAGACCGUAUUUCAAGAUGUUGGAGUUGCAAAAGACUAUUAACCAUAGAAUACGAAAACAGAUACUUCAUACGAUGACAACUGCUCACGUACAGCUUUGUUAAAUUUUGACAACAGUACAUUCCUUGAUUAUGAUCGGCCCAUAAUUUUUUCAUGUUUCUUAAGUCCCUGAGAUUCAAUUCCUCUAACCUCGGAAGAAUAACCUGCAAAGAAAACCCGUACAUUUUUGUUCCUUCAAGUACAACCGUCUAGUAUAAUAUUCUUUUGAUGAUCGAAGAUUAAUCGUGAUAAUAAAUUAAUCAAUUAAUUAUUGAACAGAAAAUUAUCACCUUUGGAGCAGUAUCAUCAUCAGCAAUGAUUUCGUUGAAUCCCAAAGAAGUUGUUGGUUUCUCCCUGUCGGGUCCUAUAAACAAACAAAAACAAUAUAUACAUAAUUAAUCUUUGUUGUUUUUUUUUUUCCAAAAUAAUUGAGGAGAAGUCCAUAAUCCCACCAAUACUUAACUUCAACACUCACCAAAAAUCAUUUCCAGAUCACCGCAAAGAGCCACUUCUACCUUUUGAAGCCGCAGUAGGUUUUUGGCCAUGGAGAAUGAGAAAAGAUGCUUCAAUUUGUGACAGGCUUCUACUUCUAUAAUCCUUAAGUUGCUGAAAGAUUGAUCUUCUGUGAGUUGGCUGUCACAUAUUGUCUCCAAAUUGUUCAAAUAGCUAAGAGACAAUGACUCCAGCAAGGGAAAGACUGUACAAUGAACCCGUCCAACUGAACCGACAAUAUGCAAAAUCUCAGAACAACUUUCUACCCAAAGAUGCUUCAAUCGUGGAAAACCUUCCCCAUCAUCUAAUUCAUGAACAACAUUCUGAACACCCUUCAGUUCGUUUAGAUGGAUCUCUUCAGCUUCCUUCAGCAACAUUUUCGUCCCAUAAUUCUCCAAAAGAGUGCUAACAUUUUCUAGCCCAUCGAGCUCCACCAUUCUUGAUGUUUUAGAAUUAACGCCUCACAUGCGCCACGCUUCUCCUAUACAUAUCUUAUAUCUUUGCAAUUCCACAGAGACCAAAUCCUGCGGUAGAAUUUCGGCAUCCCGAACGUGUAUCUCCAAGGUAGUUAGCUUUGACAACCCCUUCAAUUCAGCAAGACUGGCGUUACUUCCUCCUUCAACCUUAUCCCACUGCGAAAAGCUGUCACCCAUAUAUAGUUCUUCCAAUCGUGAAAAUUUUGAUAUGACAUUUGGUGCUAUCACUACAAGGCUCCUACAAUUGCUCAAAUCUAGCAAUUGUAACCGCGUCAAUUGACCGAUUUCAAGUGGUAACUGCUUAAUGUCGGAAUAUCGAAAGCUAAGAAUCUCUAAUUUCUUUAGCUGUCCAAUUGCCGCUACAUCUUCUUGUUGGCACCAGUCUAAACACAAUGUUUGAAGGUUAAUGAGGCGACCUAGUGACGAAAGUAAUGAAGAGAAAUGAAUUCCAGUAAAAUCUAAAACUUUGAGUUCUUCUGUCCCUUCAAAAAAGAGGUCUGAAACUUGCAUAGGGCCAUUACCCUCCGUAUACAACAAAAAUAACUGGAGAUUGGGACAUCCCAACCUUUCGGGAAGCUCUUGAAUAUCUCUAUAAGGUAAAGAAAUAGCAAUUGGACCUUUCUGUAUUGUCUCUUCCAUCUUUUUCUCCACGUCAGCAACAUUUGGAAUAUUAAACAUGCGCUUCUCUGCUGCAAUUGAUACAGCAACAACAUGAAUGACGUCAUGCAUUUUAACUUCAUCUUUGGCAUCACCGUCCAACAAUAAGCAUGAAGAUUUGAGAUUGUCGAUCAACCGAUGCACUCUACUCCUUGCUUCUUCCAAUGUGUAAACAUUUUCAAACAAACCCCAACCCACACCAUGUCUCAAUAAGUCAGAAACGGGUAUGACAUUACCUUCACUGUAUAGACCACAAAGACGGAACAGAGAUUUUGCCUCCUCACUUUCCAAGAAUUCAUAACUCAAUUUUAUGGAGGUGUACACAUUUGCUUGCAUGCCAUGAAUUUCUCUUGCAUCCGAUCUUCUUAGCUGAUUCAAUGCAUCUUGCCAAAAGUAACGCUCCUUAGUUUUCAGAGCAUUUGCAACUGUACUCAGUGCAACAGGCAAACCUCC